Molecule: long non-coding RNA, 184407 nt
Filed under: Triticum aestivum (bread wheat)
Lineage: Eukaryota; Viridiplantae; Streptophyta; Magnoliopsida; Poales; Poaceae
Description: long non-coding RNA (TAES_LNC022787)
Source: RNAcentral
GAAGAUCUAACAGACAGAAACUCGCGCUUGGUGGAGGGGGCUUGAGGGUCCUGGUCGUUCACCGGUUGAAAAGAGAAGAGACGGGAGGUCGGUUCCUUCUGCCUCGUACUACCGCCGUAACCCUAACCCUAACCCCUAGAGCAGAUCCAGCUAGCCGCAGUACGAGCGUCACCGGCGUCUCCUCCGCCCCCUACCUCAAAAAAGAUAAAGCCGGAGAAACUGGAGGUAGGUUCUUUCCGCCUCGUCGUAACACCCUAAGCCAUACAUCAGAUCUAGCCCGCCGCAAUGCGAGCGUCGUCGGGAUCUCCUCCUAUCCCGACCUCGAAGGGGGAGGGUGUGAUGGAAGUUGAAUCGGAUCAAGAUCAGGAUGAUUGUGAUGUGAUGAUUGAGCCUGCCGCUGCCCUCAGGGGUCUCUAUGCGAUGAUGGUCUCAUGGUGUGACCAAUUCCUUGAUAUUGAUAUUGAUAUUGAGGAGGAAGGGGAUAGAUCCGUUCCUCCCUUGUUGAUGAUCCACUUUCCCCGUGAGUCCCUCAAAUUAUUUGCUUUAUUUUGCUGGGAUGCGUGCGCAAUCUUUCUAAUCAUACAGUUUCAGGUCUUUUUGAGAGAGCAUGGGGAAAUAAUCGCCUAUAUCCUCAAGCUUUAGAUGACUGUUGUCCGUAUCGUGCAUACCUCCAGAAGUUCUGCGAUCAUAAUGCUCCUCGUUAUCAUGAUCCCGAUGCCUACAAGUUGGUAAUUAACAUCUCUAACCUACCCCGAUUGCACGAAAUCAAAACAAGCGGAUUUGCAUGUACAUGUGGCCAUAUAUCUAGUUGCUAGCUCGCAGUAUGUAUCAUUUAGAAUUCUUGAUCUGCACCAACUGCAAACUAACCCAUGAUUUCUCUCCUUGGGAAGUGUAUGGAUCAGGAAAUUAGAUUGAAGUCUGAGUGGCUGUACAAGCACACCCAUGUCCCCCAUGAUGAGAUCAGUCUGAGUGACAAUAUCCAAAACUGCGCUUAUGAACUUAUCCGUUCCAACAGCGGUGAAGGAGAUUCUCCUAUUUCCAUGAUCGCUGCCACAGUAAGCAUCUAAUUUGACUAAAUAAACUUGUGCGUCACUUUAAAUUUAGGAUUUUAUACCCUGUACUUAAAUUUAGGAUUUUAUACCUUGGGCUUACUACUAUCUUUGUGCCAUUUAUGAAACAUUGCAAUGGUCCAAAGUGUGUUGCGAAGGAGAGCGAGUUGAUCGUUGAGAGGCUGAGCUGUCAUCCCAGUCUUCUGGACCCUGAAGAAUCACCCCACGAGAGCACACAGAUACGGAUGUUUGCCUUAAGUUGCAUGAAAGGUUCUCAGGCUUGUUCUGAUGCUGCUCUUCUGGUUAAAAAAGCUGCCCUGCUGGUAUGUAUGCAAAAAAUCAAACCAAAAUGUGUUAUACUUCUUAUUCAACUUCGUUGUAACUCAUUACAAAAUCAUGAUUUGUCAAGGGCAUUACAAUUGAAGCUGGCUUGAUGACUCGGAACCUGAGGGAUAAGUAUUAUGACUCCAACGUAUCCUACCUGAACAGAUUGAUCCGGCGCUUUGCCUUAGAAGUUGUAAGGCAAAAAUUUGACGGAUCUCUUGAACAUUCUGCUCAUGAUGAUUAUCGGUAUGAUUUUGUUGCUAGACUUGAAGAAGAUGCUGAGAAUCAUUGUAGGUAUAAUCUGAGCAACAUUUCUGUUGCUUUCUUGAGAUAAGUUUUUUGUGUUGCUUUCUAAUCAUUUGAGUUGUGCUGCUGUUGUUUGCUUGGUACUAAUGCUAGUAUAAGUGUAAAAUUGAGUGAUACUGUCUUGGCUUUGUUAGCUCAGUAAUACCAUCUCUUACUCUACUAUCUCCAGGGACAGCCUUGUAAACUCUGAUCCAGCUUCUGAGGAGAAAGGAAAUGUUGCAUCAUGUGCCUCCACAUGCAGCAACGGAAACUGAGGUAUGGUUGAACCCAGAAAUCAUUUUGAUGCAAAAGGCAAACUGAAUGAAUGAACUAUGGAACAGCAAAUUGAAAACAAUUUCAUUUGCCUCUGGAUCUGAAAAAAAUGACACUUGAUGUUUUGAAAAUAGAAGAAGCUUUGCUGAGUUCUUCUGGCUUUGUGCCAUCUAGCUUUCAGUGGAAAACGCGGCUGAUAUAUCUUGGUUCCUCGUUUGAUUUUGGUUAUUAAAAACCCAUUUAUGCUGCUUACACUGGUUCAGAAUUUUUAUCUAUUUACAAACAAGAUUUGUUCUUAGUCUUGACAGAUUUGAGUGCCCAUCUGAUUAUAACAUCAUAGAUUUAUAUCUCUUAUGGGCUAAAUAUGUAAAUUCUGUUUGUAAAAGGUUCUACUGUUUAGCUUCAUUGCUAUUUUUGCUGUAAUCAUUAUUAUAUUCUCUGUACAUCAGAACUAGCUAUAAAAUGUCUCUUUAAGAGCACAUUUUUGCAUUCUAAUUUAUUUUUUAUAUCGGCUAUGAAAUAUCGAAAUAUAACAGAGGUCACAUUUUGAUGCUAAUUUACUUGCUGCAGGAAUGGAUGGUGCCAUGAAGGAGAAAGGGUUAGGAAAGAUGGAUCGCGAUUUCAUUUAUGCUCCCUUCCAAUUGGUGUACUGCAUGAAGCGGACAUGCUUUUCAAGCUAUGUGUUGGGUUCAAGUUUAAUUGUGUCAAACAUACCUUUACCAAUCUAGCUUAUAUAUUUGGACCAAAUUCACCCCAAUAUUUUUGUGUUGAUACCUUUAUCCUCUCUUUCUCUUUCAUAUCUGUGGAAAUAAGAUGGGUAGUUUUGUUUCGUGUCAACAGCUUUUACCAAUCUAGCUUAUAUAUUUUACGUCUCAAACAGCCUUUAGCCUAUUUUGUUUCAUGUCAACAGUCAAGACUAGCUGCUCGGCUCUGGUUAGUUUUGUUGCUUAGUUGUUUGGAUUUGUAUUUGGCUGGUGAUUGGGAGCAGACCUGCCAUCAUAGGAAAGUUCAGCCUUUUCUGUAUGAGAAUGCCGGUACUUGUGGUGCUACUGGUGCACCGGACGCAUUAGCACAUUUUAAAAUGUUAAAAAAAACUAGCACAUUGGCACAAUAUCAAUACGUUCUUGGAGUUAAGCUUGUAGGAUGGAUCAAAAUGUGAUUUUAUUGCUUAUGCCCACUUCAUGACUGUUAAUUCUUGCUGGAGUUCUUCAUAUGCACUGAUACUGUGAUAAUACUGUUGUAGGCUGACACCUAUAGCUCAUCAUCCCUAGGCUAACGCGUUAAUCCUGUGUUGCAUAUGCUUCAAGGCAGCCGGUGAUCCUAGUAUAAAUAAUUAAAAUUGAAUAGACCGGUUUUGACAUUUUGAAAUUGAACUGUUUCAAAAUGAGUAGUUGCCUGUUUGCUUUCAUGUUUUGGUGGCUUGUCUACCUUUGUUGAUAUUGUAGGCUGCAUUCUAGGAAAAAGAACUUAAAAUCAUUUCUGAGCACCCAAUAGCGGUUGAAACAGAUCAUAGUGCUUUUUUGCAGUUAAGCUCUACGAUUGUUAUAGGAAUGAACAUGUGCUUUUAUUGUUUAUGCCCAUUCUACUGCUGUUAAUUCUUGUUGGAGUUCUUCAUAGGCGCGGACACUGAUAGAACUGUUAUAGGCUGAUGCGUAGCUCGUCAUCCCUAGUUGAUGUGUUAUUCCUGUGCUGUGUAUAAGCUCCAAGUCGAUUUUUAUAACUUCACUUAUAUUGGACUAGCACAUAUGCCACGGGAGAGAAUUUUUUUUUUUUUGCGAGAAGCUACGGAAGAGAUAAGCGAUGUGUCCAUAAAACAGUCGUUUUUUUUUUGCGAGAAGCUAUGGAAGAGAUAAGCGAUGUGUCCAUAAAACAGUCGCUGUAGCGGUAAGGUGGCGAGGAGCUGUGCUCUUCUCAUGGGUCAUGUUUGGCCAUAAGCUCCAAGUCGAUUUGUAUAACUUCACCUAUAUUGGACUAGCACAUAUGCCACGGGCAACUGGAGGGAUGUGAUGUAUCCGUAAAAUGGCCGCAAUAGCGGUGGGGCGAUAGGGCGAGGAGCUGCGGUCUUCUCAUGGGUCAUGUUUGAUCAUAAACUUCAAGUCGAUUAGUAUAACUUCACUUUUAUUUGACUAGCACAUAUGCCAUGGGAGAGAUUUUUUUGCGAGAAGCAACGGGAGAGAUAUGUGAUAUGUCCAUAAAACGGUCGCCGUAGUGGUGCCGCUAAAGAGCGAGGAGCUGCCACCUUCUCAUGGAUCAUGUUUGGCCCACGAGAUCUUGAUUAUGGUGGGGUUGGUCGGCGUGACGGCAAUCACCAACUCAUACAUUUUUUUCCUCCAGGCCCGCCUUUGUUUUGAGGUUGAGGUUGUAGCCGCCUCCUUAUUUGAUGGUUGUGCGACGACCUUUGGGGCACGGUUGCUUCGACCACUCUCUUCUAUGAUGACGUAACUGGAUGGAUUAUUAAUUACAGUGCGUAAAUCUUGUUUCAUUAGGAUAAUCAGUGCUCACGCCCAUAGUUGUUUUAAUUAGAGCUAAACUGUCAUAUUCUCUUUUGUUGGCACGUGGCUAUAAUUUAUUUUGAUUAUAACCAACCAACAGUUUUUUUAUUAUCAAAUAGCGCAUGUGAAGCACAACACUUUGUGUUUGGGCCAGCCCACUGGCAGGCAUCAAAACGUCCUGUGAUUGUAAGGCGCAAGUAAAAAUUCAAAAAAUGACGAGUUUAAGGAUCGAACUCAUGACCUCAAAAACUUGACCACGUGUUGCUAGCCACUGGAACAAACGGGUCUUGGUAACCAAUGAUCACCGCGGAUGUUUAAGAACAUACUACAACGUCAACUCAUGACCUCAAAAACUCGACCACGUGUUGCUAGCCACUCGAACACACGGGUCUUGGUAACCAAUGAUCACCGCGGAUGUUUAAGAACAUACUACAACGUGAGAUUCAAAAUAUUUUUCAUUCUUUAUCUCUUAAAAAAUUAUAUUAAUAAUUAUUAAUUACCAACAAUUCUUUGAAACUUGAACAUUUUUCAAAAUCCCAAACAUUUUUCGAAAACAUGAAAAGUACUUUGAAUUUUUUGUUCAUUUUUGGAAAAGCAAAAUUUGGAACAGACACAUUUUUUGAAUUUCAUAAACAUUUUUUUUGAAAACAUGAACCUUUUUUUAAACAUGAAUAUUUGUUGAAUUGUGAAUUUAUUUUUAAAACAGAAACAUUUUUUGGACAUUCCGAAUAAUUUUAGAAAAUGUGUAUUUUAUACAAGAACAUUAUUUUAAAUUUGUAAACAUUUUGUUACAACAAGAAUAUUUUUUGAAUUUGCAAUUAUGGAAACACAAACCUAUUUUGAUUUUGAAGAAAUUUUGGUAUGCGAUUUUUUUAAAGUUCCAAACAUUUUUUAAAAUGGGAACAAAAUAUUGGAAUUAUAAAAAAAUUGAAAAUUUGGAAAAGUUGAAAUUCUAAACGUUUUCUGAAAUUUUUGAGAAGAAACAAAAAAGAAAAAGUGAAAGAGAUAGAAAAAGAAACAAUAGAACUAGAACACAGAAAAAACGAAAAUAGGCCGGCCUAUGCGAAACGCUGACUAUUUGCCGCAAAGUGCGGCAAAUAGUGGUUCGCCAGCUGCGUGGGCAGGAAAAUAAGUUGGCGGGCAUCGCUAGGCCACAGCGUGCACGACCCACGUAGGAAAUUCUGGACGAAAAUUUAGUUCCACCUUGGGUAAAAAAAAUUAAACUUUUCGAUGGUGAACGGAUGAAAAAGUUCGAAGGGAUGCACCUUGCUUUAUUAGAAAAAAAAAGAAUGAAAGAAAAGAAGUAGGUAUGGAAUUCAAGUUUACUGUGGAUGUGUUUUGCACCAAGACUAUUGGUAAUUUGUGUGAUUGGUAGUGACUGAUGAACUAGUGUUCUCUCUUUGACCAUCGUUCAUGUGCGGUGAAGCAUGUUGGCCAGAAUUUUUUUUACUCUGCUUAUAUGGGGGCACUUUGUGGCACUCUUCUUCUGGUUUUGCUUUGUUCCGUCUCUUGGGUGGUUCAAAUUCCAACAUUACAUUAGGACAAAAUAUGUUUGUAGCUUUACUUUACAUAAAGCAAUCAAGCAUGAAGUUUCACCAUUUGUUUAAUUAUACCCUACACUGAUUUUAGCAAGAGAGUACAAUAGUGAUCUAGGAGUAGAUCACUAGACAGCGGUCAAAAUUAUCCUUAGUGGAAUAAGGAUAUAUUUCUCGAUUAUGGAGGUGCCAAAGGUUUGUCGUGAAGGGUUACGUCGAUGCAAAUUUUGACACUGAUCCAGAUGACUCUAAGUCUCAAUCUGGAUGCAUAUUGAAAGUGAGAGUAAUUAGCUAGAGUAGCUCUGUGCAAAGCAUUGUUGACAUAGAAAUUUGCAAAAUACAUACGGAUCUGAAUGUGGCAGACCCAUUGACUAAACUUCUCUCACAAGCAAAACAUGAUCACACCUAAGUACUCUUUGGGUGUUAAUCACAUAGCGAUGUGAACUACAUUAUUGACUCUAGUAAAACCCUUUGGGUAUUGGUCACAUGACGAUGUGAACUAUGGGUGUUAAUCACAUGGUGAUGUGAACUAUUGAUGUUAAAUCACAUGGCGAUGUGAUCUAGAUUAUUGACUCUAGUGCAAGUGGGAGACUGAAGGAAAUAUGCCCUAGAGGCAAUAAUAAAGUUACUAUUUAUUUCCUUAUAUCAUGAUAAAUGUUUAUUAUUCAUGCUAGAAUUGUAUUAACCGGAAACAUAAUACAUGUGUGAAUACAUAGACAAACAGAGUGUCACUAGUAUGCCUCUCCUUGACUAGCUCGUUAAAUCAAAGAUGGUUAAGUUUCCUAGCCAUAGACAUGAGUUGUCAUUUGAUUAACGGGACCACAUCAUUAGGAGAAUGAUGUGAUUGACUUGACCCAUUCCGUUAGCUUAGCACUUGAUCGUUUAGUAUGUUGCUAUUGCUUUCUUCAUGACUUAUACAUGUUCCUAUGACUAUGAGAUUAUGCAACUCCCGUUUACCGAAGGAACACUUUGUGUGCUACCAAACGUCACAACGUAACUGGGUGAUUAUAAAGGUUCUCUACAGGUGUCUCCAAAGGUACUUGUUGGGUUGGCGUAUUUCGAGAUUAGGAUUUGUCACUCCGAUUGUCGGAGAGGUAUCUCUGGGCCCACUCGGUAAUGCACAUCACUUAAGCCUUGCAAGCAUUGUAACUAAUGAGUUAGUUGCGGGAUGAUGUAUUACAGAACGGGUAAAGAGACUUGCCGGUAACGAGAUUGAACUAGGUAUUGAGAUACCGACGAUCGAAUCUCGGGCAAGUAACAUACCGAUGACAAAGGGAACAACGUAUGUUGUUAUGCGGUUUGACCGAUAAAGAUCUUCGUAGAAUAUGUGGGAGCCAAUAUGAGCAUCCAGGUUCUGCUAUUGGUUAUUGACCGGAGACUUGUCUCGGUCAUGUCUACAUUGUUCUCGAACCCGUAGGGUCCGCACGCUUAAAGUUCGAUGAUGGUUAUAUUAUGAGUUUAUGUGUUUUGAUGUACCGAAGGUAGUUUAGAGUCCCGGAUGAGAGCAGGGACAUGACGAGGAGUCUUGAAUUGGUCGAGACGUAAAGAUCGAUAUAUUGGACAGUUAUAUUCGGACAUCGGAAAGGUUCCGAGUGAUUCGGGUAUUUUUCGGAGUACCGGAGAGUUACGGGAAUUCGCCGGGGAGUAUAUGGGCCUUAUUGGGCUUUAGGGGAAAGAGAGAGGAGAGGCAGCGCCCCCCCCCAAGGCCUAGUCCGAAUUGGACUAGGGGGAGGGGCUGCGCCCCCUCCUUCCUUCUCUUAUCUCUCCCCUUUCCUUGACUCCUACUCCUACUACUUGGAAGGGGGGGGGGAAUCCAACUCCCGAUGGGAGUAGGACUCCUCCUAGGGCACGCCAUAGAGAGGGCCGGCCCUCCCCCUCCUCCACUCCUUUAUAUACGGGGAGGGGGGCACCCCUUGGAGACACAACAAUUGAUCCCUUGGAUCUCUUAGCCGUGUGCGAUGCCCCCCUCCACCAUAAUCCACCUCGAUAAUAUCGUAGCGGUGCUUAGGCAAAGCCCUGCGUCGGUAGAACAUCAUCAUCGUAACCACGCCGUGCUGAUGGAACUCUCCCUCAAAGCUCGGCUGGAUCGGAGUUCGAGGGACGUCAUUGAGUUGAACGUGUGCUGAACUCGGAGGUGCCGUACGUUCGGUACUUGAUCGGUCGGAUCGUGAAGACGUACGACUACAUCAACCGCGUUGUGCUAACGCUUCCGCUUUUGGUCUAUGAGGGUACGUGGACAACACUCUCCCCUCUUGUUGCUAUGCAUCACCAUGAUCUUGUGUGUGCGUAGGAAAAUUUUGAAAUUACUAUGUUCCCCAACAUGAUCACAUUGAGCUCAUUAUGAUGAUGUCCUACCGAGUGGACCCAAAGAUACCUCUCCAUCACACGGAGUGACAAAUCCCAGUCUCGAUUUGUGCCAACCCAAUAGACACUUUCGGAGAUACCCGUAGUGCACCUUUAUAGCCACCCAGUUAUGUUGUGACGUUUUGCACACCCAAAGCAUUCCUACGGUAUCCGGGAGUUGCACAAUCUCAUGGUCUAAGGAAAUGAUACUUGACAUUAGAGAAGCUUUAGCAGACGAACUACACGAUCUUGUGCUAUGCUUAGGAUUGGGUCUUGUCCACCACAUCAUUCUCCUAAUGAUGUGAUCCCGUUAUCAACGACAUCCAAUGUCCAUGGUCAGGAAACCGUAACCAUCUAUUGAUCAACGAGCUAGUCAACUAGAGGCUCACUAGGGACAUGUUGUGGUCUAUGUAUUCACACAUGUAUUACGAUUUCCGGAUAACACAAUUGUAACAUGAAUAAUAGACAAUUAUCAUGAACAAGGAAAUAUAAUUAUAACCAUUUUAUUAUUGCCUCUAGGGCAUAUUUCCAACAGUCUCCCACUUGCACUAGAGUCAAUAAUAUAGUUACAUUGUGAUGUAUCGAACACCCAUAGAGUUCUGGUGUUGAUCAUGUUUUGCUCGUGGAAGAGGUUUAGUCAACGGAUCUGCGACAUUCAGGUCCGUAUGCACUUUACAAAUAUCUAUGUCUCCAUCUUGAACAGUUUCACGAAUGGAGUUGAAGCGACGCUUGAUAUGCCUGGUCUUCUUGUGAAACCUGGGCUCCUUGGCCAGGGCAAUAGCUCCAGUGUUGUCACAGAAGAGAGUCAUCGGGCCCGACGCAUUGGGAAUAACUCCUAGGUCGAUAAUGAACUCCUUUAUCCAGAUUGCUUCAUGUGCUGCCUCCGAGGCUGCCAUGUACUCUGCUUCACAUGUAGAUCCCGCCACGAAGCUUUGCUUGCAGCUGCACCAGCUGACUACCCCACCAUUCAAAAUAUACACGUAUCCGGUUUAUGACUUGGAGUCAUCCAGAUCUGUGUCGAAGCUAGCAUCAGCGUAACCCUUUAUGACGAGCUCUUUGUCACCUCCAUAAACGAGAAACAUAUCCUUAGUCCUUUUCAGGUACUUCAGGAUAUUCUUGACCGCUGUCUAGUGUUCCAUGCCGGGAUUACUUUGGUACCUUCCUACCAAACUUACGGCAAGGUUCACAUCAGGCCUGGUACACAACAUGGCAUACAUAAUAGACCCUAUGGCCGAAGCAUAGGGGAUGAAACUCAUCUUUUCUCUAUCUUCUGCCGUGGUCGGGCAUUGAGCCGUGCUCAAUCUCACACCUUGCAAUACAGGCAAGAACCCCUUCUUGGACUGAUCCAUAUUGAACUUCUUCAAUAUCUUGUCAAGGUAUGUGCUUUGUGAAAGACCAAUGAGGCGUCUCGUUCUAUCUCUAUAGAUCUUGAUGCCUAAUAUGUAAGCAGCUUCUCCAAGGUCCUUCAUUGAAAAACACUUAUUCAAGUAGGCCUUUACGCUUUCCAAGAAUUCUAUGUCAUUUCCCAUCAAUAGUAUGUCAUUCACAUAUAAUAUGAGAAAUGCUACAGAGCUCCCACUCACUUUCUUGUAAACACAGGCUUCUCCAUAAGUCUGUGUAAACCCAAACGCUUUGAUCAUCUCAUCAAAGCGAAUGUUACAACUCCAAGAUGCUUGCACCAGCCCAUAGAUUGAGCGCUGGAGCUUGCAUACCUUGUCAGCAUUCUUAGGAUCGACAAAACCUUCCGGCUGCAUCAUAUACAAUUCUUCCUUAAGGAAACCAUUAAGGAAUGCUGUUUUGACGUCCAUUUGCCAUAUCUCAUAAUCAUAGAAUGCGACAAUUGCUAACAUGAUUCGGACGGACUUCAGCUUCGCUACGGGUGAGAAGGUCUCAUCGUAGUCAACUCCUUGAACUUGUCGAUAACCCUUAGCGACAAGUCGAGCCUUAUAGAUGGUUACAUUACCACCCGCGUCUGUCUUCUUCUUAAAGAUCCAUUUAUUUUCUAUGGCUUGCCGAUCAUCGGGCAAGUCAGUCAAAGUCCAUACUUCGUUUUCAUACAUGGAUCCUAUCUCGGAUUUCAUGGCUUCAAGCCAUUUGUCAGAAUCCGGGCCCGCCAUCGCUUCUUCAUAGUUUGAAGGUUCACCAAUGUCUAACAACAUGAUUUCCAGGACAGGGUUGCCGUACCACUCUGGUGCGGAAUGUGUCCUUGUGGACCUACGAAGUUCGGUAGCAACUUGAUCUGAAGUUUCAUGAUCAUCAUCAUUAACUUCCUCUCUAGUCGGUGCAGGCACCACAGAAACAUUUUCUUGAGCUGCGCUACUCUCCGGUUCAAGAGGCAAUACCUCAUCAAGUUCUACUUUCCUCCCACUUACUUCUUUCGAGAGAAACUCUUUCUCUAGAAAGGAUCCAUUCUUGGCAACAAAGAUCUUGCCUUCGGAUCUGAGGUAGAAGGUAUACCCAAUAGUUUCCUUAGGGUAUCCUAUGAAGACACAUUUUUCCGAUUUGGGUUCGAGCUUUUCAGGUUGAAGUUUCUUGACAUAAGCAUCGCAUCCCCAAACUUUUAGAAACAACAACUUAGGUUUCUUUCCAAACCAUAGUUCAUACGGUGUCGUCUCAACGGAUUUCGACGGAGCCCUAUUUAAAGUGAAUGCGGCAGUCUCUAUAGCAUAACCCCAAAAUGAUAGCGGUAGAUCGGUAAGAGACAUCAUAGAUCGCACCAUAUCUAAUAGAGUGCGAUUACGAUGUUUGGACACACCAUUACGCUGAGGUGUUCCAGGCGGCGUGAGUUGUGAAACAAUUCCACAUUUCCUUAAGUGUGUGCCAAAUUCAUGACUCAAAUAUUCCCCUCCAUGAUCUGAUCGUAAGAACUUUAUUUUCCUGUCACGUUGAUUCUCAACCUCACUCUGAAAUUCCUUGAACUUUUCAAAGGUCUUAGACUUGUGUUUCAUUAAGUAGACAUACCCAUAUCUACUUAAGUCAUCAGUGAGGGUGAGAACAUAACGAUAACCACUGCGAGCCUCAACACUCAUUGGACCGCACACAUCAGUAUGUAUGAUUUUCAAUAAGUUGGUUGCUCGCUCCAUUGUUCUGGAGAACAGAGUCUUGGUCAUUUUGCCCAUGAGGCAUGGUUCACAUGUGUCAAAUGAUUCAUAAUCAAGAGACUCCAAAAGUCCAUCUGCAUGGAGUUUCUUCAUGCGUUUGACACCAAUGUGACCAAGGCGGCAGUGCCACAAGUAUGUGGGACUAUCAUUAUCAACCUUAUAUCUUUUGGCAUUCACACUAUGAAUAUGUGUAACAUCACGUCCGAGAUUCAAUAAGAAUAAACCAUUGACCAGCGGGGCAUGACCAUAAAACAUAUCUCUCAUAUAAAUAGAACAACCAUUAUUCUCAGAUUUAAAUGAGUAGCCAUCUCGCAUUAAACGAGAUCCAGAUACAAUGUUCAUGCUCAAAGCUAGCACUAAAUAACAAUUAUUGAGGUUUAAAACUAAUCCCGUAGGUAAAUGUAGAGGUAGCGUGCCGACGGCGAUCACAUCGACCUUGGUACCAUUCCCGACGCGCAUCGUCACCUCGUCCUUCGCCAGUCUCCGCUUAUUCCGCAGCUCCUGUUUUGAGUUAAAAAUAUGAGCAACCGCACCGGUAUCAAAUACCCAGGAGCUACUACGAGUGCUGGUAAGGUACACAUCAAUAACAUGUAUAUCACAUAUACCUUUGGUAUUGCCGGCCUUUUAUCCGCUAAGUACUUGGGGCAGUUCCGCUUCCAGUGACCGUUUCCCUUGCAAUAAAAGCACUGAGUCUCGGGCUUGGGUCCAUUCUUUGGCUUCUUCCCGGCAACUGGCUUACCGGGCGUGGCAACUCCCUUGCCGUCCUUCUUGAAGUUCUUCUUACCCUUGCCUUUCUUGAAACUAGUGGUUUUAUUGACCAUCAACACUUGAUGUUCCUUUUUGAUUUCCACCUCCGCUGAUUUCAGCAUUGAAUAUACCUCAGGAAUGGUUUUCUCCAUCCCCUGCAUAUUGAAAUUCAUCAUGAAGCUCUUGUAGCUAGGUGGGAGCGACUGAAGGAUUCUGUCAACGACCGCGUCAUCCGGGAGAUUAACUCCGAGCUGAGACAAGCGGUUGUGCAACCCAGACAUUUUUGUUGGGGAACGCAGCAGAAAUUCAAAAUUUUCUACGCAUCACCAAGAUCAAUCUAUGGAGAUUCUAGCAACAAGAGAGAGGGGAGUGUAUCUUCAUACCCUUGAAGAUCGCGAAGCAGAAGCGUUACAAGAACGCAGUCGGUGGAGUCGUUCACGAAGCGAUUCAGAUCACGGCCGAAUCCGAUCUAAGCACCGAACAAUGGUGCCUCCGCGUUCAACACACGUACAGCCCGGGGACGUCUCCUCCUUCUUGAUCCAGCAAGGGGAGAGGAGAAGUUGAGGGAAAACUCCGACAACACGAUGGCAUGGUGGUGAUGGAGCUCGUGGUUCUCCGGCAGGGCUUCGCCAAGCACUACGGAGGAGGAGGAGGUGUUGGAGGAGGGAGAGGGCUGCGCCAGGGGAAAGGUGCGGCUGCCCUCUCUCUCCCUCACUAUAUAUAGGGGGAAGGGAGGAGGCUGAGGCGCCCUAGGGUUACCUAGGGGAGGGGCAGCGGCCAUAGGGGAAACCCUAGAUGGGUUUGGGCGCCCCCACCCCUUAGGAAACUUGCCUCCCAAGCCGGGAGGGGCGGCUGCCCUAGGGGUGGCGCCCCCACCUCUCCUGGUUACGUGAGAUGGGGUGGGAGGGGCGCUCAGCCCCUUAGUGGGCUGAUGUGCCCUCUCCCCUUGGCCCAUAAGGCCCCCAACGCUUGUCGGGGCCUCCGAAACCCCUUUCGGACACGCUGGUCAUCACCUGGUACCCCCGGAACAAUUCCGGACUCCAAUACCCUUCGUCCAAUAUACCGAUCUUCACCUCCGGACCAUUCCGGAGCUCCUCGUCAUGUCCGGGAUCUCAUCCGGGACUCCGAACAACCUUCGGUAACCACAUACUAUUUCCCAUAACAACUCUAGCGUCACCGAACCUUUAGUGUGUAGACCCUACGGGUUCAGGAACCAUGCAGACAUGACCGAGACAUUCUCUGGUCAAUAACCAACAGCGGGAUCUGGAUACACAUGUUGGCUCCCACAUAUUCCACGAUGAUCUCAUCGGAUGAACCAUGAUGUCAAGGAUUCAAGCAAUCCCGUAUGCAAUUCCCUUUGUCAAUCGGUAUGUUACUCGCCCAAGAUUCGAUCGUUGGUAUCCCAAUACCUCGUUCAAUCUCAUUACCGGCAAGUCACUUUACUCGUUCCAUAAUGCAUGACCCCGUGACUAACUACUUAGUCACAUUGAGCUCAUUAUGAUGAUGCAUUACCGAGUGGGCCCAGAGAUACCUCUCCGUCAUACGGAGUGACAAAUCCCAGUCUUGAUUCGUGCCAACCCAACAGACACUUUCGGAGAUACCCGUAGUGCACCUUUAUAGCCACCCAGUUACGUUGUGACGUUUGGUACACCCAAAGCACUCCUACGGUAUCAGGGAGUUACACAAUCUCAUGGUCUAAGGAAAUGAUACUUGACAUUAGAAAAACUUUAGCAAACGAACUACACGAUCUUGUGCUAUGCUUAGGAUUGGGUCUCGUCCAUCACAUCAUUCUCCUAAUGAUGUGAUCCUGUUAUCAAUGACAUCCAAUGUCCAUGGUCAGGAAACCAUGACCAUCUGUUGAUCAACGAGCUAGUCAACUAGAGGCUCACUAGGGACAUGUUGUGGUCUAUGUAUUCACACAUGUAUUACGGUUUCCAGUUAAUACAAUUAUAGGAUGAACAAUAGACAAUUAUCAUGAACAAGGAAAUACAAUAAUAACCAUUUUAUUAUUGCCUCUAGGGCAUAUUUCCAACAGUCUCCCACUUGCACUAGAGUCAAUAAUCUAGUUCACAUCACUAUGUGAUUGUAAUGAAUUCAACACCCAUGGGGUUUAAACAUAUCUCGCUUGUGAGAGAGGUUAUUAGUCAACGGGUCUGAAUCUUCCAGAUCCGUGUGUGCUUUACAAAUCUCUAUGUCAUCUCCUAGAUGCAGCUACCACGCUCUAUUUGGAGCUAUUCCAAAUAACUGUUCUACUAUACGAUUCCGGUUUACUACUCAGAAUAAUCUGAAUUAGUGUCAAAGUUCGCAUAGGCGUAACCCUUUACGACGAACUCUUUUACCACCUCCAUAAUCGAGAAAAUUCCUUAGUCCUUUAGUUACUAAGGAUAUGUUUGACCGCUGUCUUGUUAUCCAUUCUUGGAUCAUUCUUGUACCCGUUGACUGACUCAUGGCAAGGCACACUUCAGGUACGGUACACAACAUAGCAUACUGUAGAGCCUAUGUCUGAAGCAUAGGGGACGACCUUCGUCCAUUCUCUCUCUUCUGCCGAGGUCAUGUCUUGAGUCUUACUCAAUACUCACACCUUAUAACACAGCCAAGAAGUCCUUCUUCGCCGAUCUGUUUUGAACUUCUUCAAAAUCUUGUCAUGGCAUGUAUUCAUUUGAAAGUAUUAUUGAGCGUUUUUGAUCUAUCCUUAUAGAUCUUGAUGCUCAAUGUUCAAGUAGCUUAAUCCAGCUUUUCCAUUGAAAAACACCUUUUCAAAUACCCUAUAUGCUUUCUAGAAAUUCUAUAUCAUUUCUGAUCAACAAUACGUCAACAACAUAUACUCAUCAGAAAUUCUAUAGUGCCCCCACUCACUUCUUUGGAAAUACAAGUUUCUCAUAAACUUUGUAUAAAUCCAAAAUCUUUGAUCAUCUCAUCAAAGCGUAUAUUCCAACUCCGAGAUGCUUACUCCAGUCCUUAGAAGGAUUGCUGGAGCUUUGCAUACUUGUUAGCAUCUUUUAGGAUUGUCAAAACCUUCUGGUUGUAUCAGAUACAACCUUUCCUCAAGAAAAUCAUCGAGGAAACUAUAUUUUGACAUCCUAUCUGCAAGAUUUCAUAAAUAAUGCAGUAGCUGCUAAUAUAAUUCUAACAGACUCUUAGCAUCGCUACAAGUGAGAAAGUAUCAUCGUAGUCAACUCCUUGAACUUGUCGGAAAACAUCUCAGGGACAAGUCGAGCUUUGUUAAUGGUGACACUUACCAUCAUUGUCUGUCUUCCCUUUUAAAAUCCAUCUGUACCCAACAGCCUUAUGACCAUCAAGUAGUUCUUCCAAAGUCUACACUUUGUUUUAUACAUGGAUCUUCUCUCGGAUUUUAUGGCCUCGAGCCAUUUGUCGGAAUCUGGGCCCACCAUCACUUCUCCAUAGCUCGUAGGUUCAUUGUUGUCUAGCAACAUGACCUCCAAGACAGGAUUACCGUACCACUCUGAAGCAGUACGCGUCCUUGUCGUCCUACGAGGUUCGACAGUGACUUGAUCCGAGGCUUCAUGAUCACUAUCAUCAGCUUCCACUUCAAUUGGUGUAGGUGUCACAGGAACAACUUCCUGUGCCCUACUACACACUAGUUUUAGUGACGGUUCAAUAACCAUAUCAAGUCUCCACCAUCCUCCCACUCAAUUCUUUCGAGAGAAACUUUUCCUCGAGAAAGGACCCAUUACUAGAAACACUCACUUUUGCUUCCGGAUCUGAAAUAGGAGGUAUAUCCAACUGUUUUGGGUGUCCUAUGAAGAUGUAUUUAUCCGCUUUGGGUUCGAGCUUAUCAGGAUGAAACUUUUUUUUCACAUAAGCGUCACAGCCGCAAACUUUCAAGAAGCGACAACUUAGGUUUCUCUAAACCAUAGUUCAUACAGUGUCAUCUCAACGGAAUUACGUGGUGCCCUAUUUAAAGUGAAUGCGGUUGUCUCUAAUGCCUAACCCAUGAACAAUAGUGGUAAUUCAAUAAGAGACAUCAUGGUAUGCCCCAUAUCCAAUGGGGUGCAUCUAUGAUGUUCGGACACACCAUCAGACUAUGGUGUUCCAGGCGGUGUUAGUUGUGAAACAAUUUCCACAAUGUCUCAAUUGUGUACCAAACUCGCAACUCAGAUAUUCAUCUCUAUGAUCAUAUCAUAGACAUUUUAUCCUCUUGUCACGACGAUCUUCAACUUCACUCUGAAAUUACUUGAACCAUUCAAUAAUUCAGACUUGUGUUUCAUCAAGUAAAUAUACUCAGUAUCUACUCAAAUCAUCUAUGAAGUAAGAACAUAACGAUAUCCACUGCGUGCCUCAGCACUCAUUGGACUGCACACAUAAAAAUGUAUUACUUCCAACAAGUUGCUUUCUUGUUCCAUUUUACUGAAAACGAGGCUUUCAGUUGUCUUGCCCAUGUGGUAUGAUUUGCAUGUCUCAAGUGAUUCAAAAUCAAGUGAGUCCAAACGGUCCAUCUGCAUGGAGUUUCUUCAUGCGUAUAUACCAAUAGACAUGGUUCACAUGUCUCAAUCUUUUCAAAAAUGAGUGAGUCCAAAGAUCCAUCAGCAUGGAGCUUCUUCAUGCGUUUUAUACCAAUAUGACUCAAAUGGUAGUGCCACAAGUAGGUGGCACUAUAUCAUUACUAUCUUAUAUCUUUUGGCAUGAACAUGUGUAUCACUACGAUCGAGAUUCAAUAAACCAUUCAUUUUAGGUGCAAGACCAUUGAAGGUAUUAUUCAAAUAAAUAGAGUAACCAUUAUUCUCCUUAAAUGAAUAACCGUAUUGCGAUAAACAUAAUCCAAUCAUGUCUAUGCUCAACGCAAACACCAAAUAACAAUUAUUUAGGUUUAACACCAAUCUCGAUGGUAGAGGGAGUAUGCGAUGCUUGAUCACAUCAACCUUGGAAACACUUCCAAACCAUAUCAUCAUCUCACCUUUAGCUAGUCUCCGUUUAUUCCGUAGCUUUUUAUUUCGAGUUACUAACACUUAGCAACUGAACCGGUAUCUAUUACCAUGGUGCUAUUAGGAGUACUAGUAAAGUACACAUCAAUAUAAUGUAUAUCCAAUAUACUUCUGUCGACCUUGCCAGCCUUCUCAUCUACCAAGUAUCUAGGGUAGUUCUACUUCAGUGACUAUUCCCCUCAUUACAGAAGCACUUAGUCUUGGGUAUGGGUUCAACCUUGGGUUUCUUCACUAGAGCAGCAACUGAUUUGCCAUUUCAUGAAGUAUCCCUUCUUGCCCUUGCCCUUCUUGAAACUAGUGGUUUCACUAACCAUCAACAAUUGAUGCUCCUUCUUGAUUUCUACUUUCACGGUGUCAAACAUUGCGAAUAUUUCAAGGAUCAUCAUAUCUAUCCCUGAUAGGUUAUAGUUCAUCACGAAGCUCUAGUAGCUUGGUGGCAAUGACUUUGGAGAAACAUCACUAUCUCAUCUAGAAGAUUAACUCCCACUCGAUUCAAGUGAUUUUUGUACCCAGACAAUCUGAGUACAAGCUCAACGAUUGAGCUUUUGUCAAUUAGUUUGUAGGCUAAGAAACUUGUCGGAGGUCUCAUACCUCUUGACGUGGGCACGAGCCUGAAAUUCCAAUUUCAGCCCUUGGAACAUCUCAUAUGUUCCGCGACGUUUGAAAAACGUCUUCGGCGCCACAAUUCUAAACCGUUUAACAUUAUUGAACUAUCAUGUAGUCAUCAAAACGUGUAUGUCAGAUGUUCACAACAUCCACAGACGACGUUCGAGGUUCAGCACACCGAGCGGUGCAUUAAGGACAUAAGCCUUCUACGCAGCAAUGAGGAUAAUCCUCAGUUUACGGACCCAGUCCGCAUAAUUGCUACUAUCAACUUUCAACUAAAUUUUCUCUAGGAACAUAUCUAAAACAGUAGAACUAACCUCGAGCUACGACAUAAUUUGCAAAGACCUUUUGACUAUGUUCAUGAUAAUUAAGUUCAUCUAAUGAAAUUAUUUAAUGAACUCCCACUCAAAUAGACAUCCCUCUAGUCAUCUAAGUGAUACAUGAUCCGAGUCAACUAGGCCGUGUUCGAUCAUCACGUGAGACGGACUAGUCAUCAUCAGUGAACAUCUUCAUGUUGAUCGUAUCUACUAUACGACUCAUGUUCGACCUUUCGGUCUCUUGUGUUCCGAGGCCAUGUCUGUACAUGCUAGGCUCGUCAAGUCAACCUAAGUGUUUUGCAUGUGUAAAUCUGGCUUACACCCGUUGUAUGUGAACGUUAGAAUCUAUCACACCCGAUCAUCACGUGGUGCAUCGAAACAACGAACUUUUGCAACGGUGCACAGUUAGGGGGAACACUUUCUUGAAAUUAUUAUGAGGGAUCAUCUUAUUUACUAUCGUCAUUCUAAGAAAAUAAGAUGCAUAAACAUGAUAAACAUCACAUGCAAUCUAAUAGUGACAUGAUAUGGCCAAUAUCAUUUUGCUCCUUUUGAUCUCCAUCUUCGGGGCUCCAUGAUCAUCAUCGUCACCGGCAUGACACCAAGAUCUCCAUCAUCAUGAUCUCCAUCAUCGUGUCUCCAUGAAGUUGUCUCGCCAACUGAUUACUUCUACUACUAAAGCUAACGGUUUAGCAAUGAAGUAAAGUAAUUACAUGGCAUUAUUCAGUGACACCCAGGUCAUACAAUAAUUAAAGACAACUCCUAUGGCUCCUGCCGGUUGUCAUACUCAUCGACAUGCAAGUCGUGAUUCCUAUUACAAGAAUAUGAUCAAUCUCAUACAUCACAUAUAUUUCAUUCAUCACAUCCUUCUUGGCCAUAUCACAUCACACGACAUAUGCUGCAAAAAUAAGUUAGACGUCCUCUAAUUGUUGUUGCAAGUUUUUUCGUGGCUGCUAUAGGUUUCUAGCAAGAACGUUUCUUACCUAAGCCAAAACCACAACGUGAUAUGCCAAUUGCUAUUUACCCUUCAUAAGGACCCUUUUCAUCGAAUCCGAUUCGACUAAAGUGGGAGAGACUGGCACCCGCUAGCCACCUUAUGCAACAAGUGCAUGUCAGUCGGUGGAACCUGUCUCACGUAAGUGUACGUGUAAGGUCGGUCCGGGCCGCUUCAUCCCACAAUACCGUCGAAACAAGAUAGGACUAGUAACGGUAAGCAUAUUGAACAAAACCAAUGCCCACAACUACUUGUGUUCUACUCGUGCAUAGAAUCUACGCAAUAGACCUAGCUCAUGAUGCCACUGUUGGGGAACGCAGCAGAAAUUCAAAAUUUUCUACGCAUCACCAAGAUCAAUCUAUGGAGAUUCUAGCAACAAGAGAGAGGGGAGUGUAUCUUCAUACCCUUGAAGAUCGCGAAGCAGAAGCGUUACAAGAACGCAGUCGGUGGAGUCGUUCACGAAGCGAUUCAGAUCGCGGCCGAAUCCGAUCUAAGCACCGAACAACGGUGCCUCCGCGUUCAACACACGUACAGCCCGGGGACGUCUCCUCCUUCUUGAUCCAGCAAGAGGAGAGGAGAAGUUGAGGGAAAACUCCGACAACACGACGGCAUGGUGGUGAUGGAGCUCGUGGUUCUCCAGCAGGGCUUCGCCAAGCACUACGGAGGAAGAGGUGUUGGAGGAGGGAGAGGGCUGCGCCAGGGGAAGGGUGCGGCUGCCCUCUCUCUCCCUCACUAUAUAUAGGGGGAAGGGAGGAGGCGGAGGCGCCCUAGGGUUACCUAGGGGAGGGGCAGCGGCCAUAGGGGAAACCCUAGAUGGGUUUGGGCGCCCCCACCCCCUAGGAAACUUGCCCCCCAAGCCGGGAGGGGCGGCUUCCCUAGGGGUGGCGCCCCACCUCUCCUGGUUACGUGAGAUAGGGUGGGAGGGCGCUCAGCCCCUUAGUGGGCUGAUGUGCCCUCUCCCCUUGGCCCAUAAGGCCCCCCAACGCUUGCCGGGGCCUCCGAAACCCCUUUCGGACUCGCUGGUUAUCACCUGGUACCCCCGGAACAAUUCCGGACUCCAAUACCCUUCGUCCAAUAUACCGAUCUUCACAUCCGGACCAUUCCGGAGCUCCUCGUCAUGUCCGGGAUCUCAUCCGGGACUCCGAACAACCUUCGGUAACCACAUACUAUUUCCCAUAACAACUCUAGCGUCACCGAACCUUAAGUGUGUAGACCCUACGGGUUCGGGAACCAUGCAGACAUGACCGAGACGUUCUCCGGUCAAUAACCAACAGCGGGAUCUGGAUACCCAUGUUGGCUCCCACAUAUUCCACGAUGAUCUCAUCGGAUGAACCACGAUGUCAAGGAUUCAAGCAAUCCCGUAUGCAAUUCCCUUUGUCAAUCGGUAUGUUACUUGCCCGAGAUUCGAUCAUUGGUAUCCCAAUACCUCGUUCAAUCUCGUUACCGGCAAGUCACUUUACUCGUUCCAUAAUGCAUGAUCCCGUGACUAACUACUUAGUCACAUUGAGCUCAUUAUGAUGAUGCAUUACCGAGUGGGCCCAGAGAUACCUCUCCGUCAUACGAAGUGACAAAUCCCAGUCUCGAUUCGUGCCAACCCAACAGACACUUUCAGAGAUACCCGUAGUGCACCUUUAUAGCCACCCAGUUACGUUGUGACGUUUGGUACACCCAAAGCACUCCUACGGUGUCAGGGAGUUACACAAUCUCAUGGUCUAAGGAAAUGAUACUUGACAUUAGAAAAGCUUUAGCAAACGAACUACACGAUCUUGUGCUAUGCUUAGGACUGGGUCUCGUCCAUCACAUCAUUCUCCUAAUGAUGUGAUCCCGUUAUCAAUGACAUCCAAUGUCCAUGGUCAGGAAACCAUGACCAUCUGUUGAUCAAUGAGCUAGUCAACUAGAGGCUCACUAGGGACAUGUUGUGGUCUAUGUAUUCACACAUGUAUUAUAGUUUCCAGUUAAUACAAUUAUAGCAUGAACAAUAUACAAUUAUCAUGAACAAGGAAAUACAAUAAUAACCUUUUUAUUAUUGCCUCUAGGGCAUAUUUCCAACAAUUUUGAGUAUGUGCUCGCUGACGGAACUAUUCUCCUCCAUCUUACAACUGUAGAACUUGUCGGAGACUUCAUAUAUCUCGACCCGGGCAUGAGCUUGGAAAACCAUUUUCAGCUCUUGGAACAUCUCAUAUGCUCCGUGUUGCUCAAAACGCUUUUGGAGCCCCGGUUCUAAGCUAUAGAGCAUGCCGCACUGAACAAGGGAGUAAUCAUCACUACGCGACUGCCAGGCAUUCAUAACGUUUUGAGUUGCUGGGAAAACAGGUGCUUCACCUAGCGUUGCAUCAAGGACAUAUGCUUUCUUGGCAGCUAUGAGGAUAAUCCUCAGGUUAUGGACCCAGUCCGUGUAGUUGCUACCAUCGUCUUUCAGCUUGGUUUUCUCUAGGAACGCGUUGAAGUUGAGGGCAACAUUAGCGUGGGCCAUUUGAUCUACAAGACAUGUUGCAAAUAUUUUAGACUAUGUUCAUGAUAAUUAAGUUCAUCUAACCAAAUUAUUUAAUGAACUCCCACUCAGAUAGACAUCCCUCUAGUCAUCUAAGUGAUACAUGACCCGAAUUGACUAGGCCAUGUCCGAUCAUCACGUGAGACGAACUAGUCAUCAACGGUGAACAUCUCCAUGUUCAUCAUAUCUUCUAUACGACUCAUGUUUGACCUUUCGGUCUUCCGUGUUCCGAGGCCAUGUCUGUACAUGCUAGGCUUGUCAAGUCAACCUAAGUGUAUUGCGUGUGUAAAUCUGGCUUACACCCGUUGUAUGCGAACGUUAGAACCUAUCACACCCGAUCAUCACGUGGUGCUUCGGAACAACGGACCUUUGCAACGGUGCACAGUUAGGGGGAACACUUUCUUGAAAUUUUAGUGAGGGAUCAUCUUAUUUAUGCUACCAUCAUUCUAAGCAAAUAAGAUGUAAAAACAUGAUAAACAUCACAUGCAAUCAAAUAGUGACAUGAUAUGGCCAAUAUCAUUUUGCUCCUUUUGAUCUCCAUCUUCGGGGCGCCAUGAUCAUCAUCGUCACCGGCAUGACACCAUGAUCUCCAUCAUCGUGUCUUCAUGAAGUUGUCUCUCCAACUAUUACUUCUACUACUAUAGCUAACAGUUAGCAAUAAAGUAAAGUAAUUACAUGGCGUUUUCAGUGACACGCAGGUCAUACAAUAAAUUAAGACAACUCCUAUGGCUCCUGCCGGUUGUCAUACUCAUCGACAUGCAAGUCGUGAUUCCUAUUAGAAGAACAUGAUCAAUCUCAUACAUCACAUAUAUCAUUCAUCACAUCCUUUUUGGCCAUAUCACAUCACACGACAUAUGCUGCAAGAACAAGUUAAACGUCCUCUAAUUGUUGUUGCAAAUUUUUACGUGGCUGCUAUAGGUUUCUAGCAAGAACGUUUCUUACCUACGCCAAAACCACAACGUGAUAUGCCAAUUUCUAUUUACCAUUCAUAAGGACCCCUUUCAUCGAAUCCGAUCCGACUAAGGUGGGAGAGACAGACACCCGCUAGCCACCUUAUGCAACUAGUGCAUGUCAGUCGGUGGAACCUAUCUCACGUAAGCGUACGUGUAAGGUCGGUCCGGGCCGCUUCGUCCCACGAUGCCGCCGAAUCAAGAUAAGACUAGUAACGACAAGUAAAUUGACAAAAUCGACGCCCCCAACAACUUGUGUUCUACUCGUGCAUAGAAACUAUGCAUAGACCUAGCUCUGAUACCACUGUUGGGGAUCAUUGCAGAAAUUUAAAAAAAUUCUACGCAUCACCAAGAUCAAUCUAUGGAGAGACUAGCAACGAGAGAGAGGGAAGUGCAUCUUCAUACCCUUGAAGAUCGCGAUGCGGAAGCGUUACAAGAACGCGGAUGAAGGAGUCGUACUCGUAGCGAUUCAGAUCGCGGUUGAUUCUGAUCUAAGCACCGAACAAUGGCGCCUCCGUGUUCAACACACGUGCAGCCCGGUGACGUCUCUCACGCCUUGAUCCAGCAAGGAGAGAGGGAGAGGUUGGGGAAGACAACUCUAGCAGCAGCACGAUGGCGUGGUGGUGUUGGAGCAGCGUGGCACUCCGGCAGGGCUUCGCCAAGUACCGCGGAAGGAGGAGGAGGUGUUGGAGAGGGGGAGGGCUGCGCCUUGGAUGUGGUGCGGCUGCCCUCCCUCCACCCUUCUAUUUAUAGGGUGAAGGGGGAAGGGGGUCGGCCCCUCUAAAUGAGUUCUAGAGGGGGGGGGCAAGGGGAGGGGGCUUGCCCCCCAAGCCAAGGGGGGCGCCCCCUUUAGGGUUCCCCUCAACCCUAGGCGCCCAGCCCACUUAGGGGCUCGUUCCCUUCCACAUACAGCCCAUAGGGCCCUUUGGGGCAGGUGGACCCUCCCGGUGGACCCCCAGAACCCUUUCGGUGGUCCCGGUACAAUACCGGCAAACCCCCGAAUACUUCCGGUGACCGUAUGAUGACUUCCCAUAUAUAAAUCUUCACCUCCGGACCAUUCCGGAACUCCUCGUGAUGUCCGGGAUCUUAUCCGGGACUCCGAACAACAUUCGGUAACCACGUACAAACUUUCCCUAUAACCCUAGCGUCAUCGAACCUUAAGUGUGUAGACCCUACGGGUUCGGGAGGCAUGUAGACAUGACCGAGACAUCUCUCCGGCCAAUAACUAACAGCGGGAUAUAGAUACCCAUGUUGGCUCCCACAUGCUCCAUGAUGAUCUCAUCGGAUGAACCACGAUGUCGGGGAUUCAAUCAAUCCCAUACACAAUUCCCUUUGUCUACCGGUAUGAUACUUGCCCGAGAUUCGAUCAUCGGUAUCCAUAUACCUUGUUCAAUCUCGUUACCGGCAAGUCUCUUUACUCGUCUGUAAUACAUCAUCCCGUGAUCAACUCCUUGAUCACAUUGAGCUCAUUAUGAUAAUGUCCUACCGAGUGGGCCUAGAGAUACCUCUCCGUCACACGGAGUGACAAAUCCCAGUCUCGUUUCAUGCCAACCCAACAGACACUUUCUGAGAUACCCGUAGUGCACCUUUAUAGCCACCCAGGUACAUUGUGAUGUUUGGCACACCCAAAGCAUUCCUACGGUAUCCGAGAGCUGCACAAUCUCAUGGUCUAAGGAAAUGAUACUUGACAUUAGAAAAGCUUUAGCAGAUGAACUACACGAUCUUGUGUUAUGCUUAGGAUUGGGUCUUGUCCAUCACAUCAUUUUCCUAAUGAUGUGAUCCCGUUAUCAACGACAUCCAAUGUCCAUGGUCAGGAAACCGUAACUAUCUAUUGAUCAACGAGCUAGUCAAUUAGAGGCUCACUAGGGACAUGUUGUGGUCUAUGUAUUCACACAUGUAUUUACGAUUUCCGGAUAACACAAUUAUAGCAUGAAUAAUACACAAUUAUCAUGAACAAGGAAAUAUAAUAAUAACCAUUUUAUUAUUGCCUCUAGGGCAUUUUUCCAACACUUUUUCCUUUGUUGAUUGUUCCCAUUAAAUUCUUCAUCUGACUUGCGUGACUGGUUCUGGGGUGGUUGGUUUCACUGUAUCCAUAUCCUAGCAGAUCUCACUUCACCUUUUCCUGCUUAUACUGGCUCCAAUUCUGUUCAUAGCUAUUGACUGAUCUGAGAUUUACCAUGUCUGAAUUAUAUGUCUGUUUCACAAAUCCGAGGGUGAUUUUUGAUUGCUGUGUCUGUACUGACAACUGUCCAUGAAUUAGUGAUCAGAUUGUUUUGAUGAACACCCAAGCUUUGACUCCUUGCAUUGGGUUCCUCCAUGAAAUGCAGGUCCUUCUGGUUCCAAACAGUGAGUUGAGGCAUAACUGCUUUCUUGACAGAUUCUGACUUAUCGUAGGAAUUUCUGAACCAUCCUGACUGGCUCCACUGUCUUUAGUCUCGGCUUCAUACCGAAUAUUUGAUUGUCGCCUGUCGUGGCCAGCAUAAGGGGUAUGACCUUAUCUAAUAAUAUCCUCAUCCUUGACUAACGGUGGUUCAAAAUUGAGUAGACUCCUUAGGUGAAUAUCCAUGGCGGUCGAUCCCGACUCAGACUGUCCGGGGCAUCUGCACCAUGUGAAUCAUGCAACAAUUAUGAGUCUGGCUCCUUCAUUACUGUUUUCCUUGCCUGGAUCCUUGGGUGAAGGAGCGGGGUCAUAUUGCUUCUUCGUGUGACCAUAGGUUCUGUCGGUUGCAAUAUUCUGACCGGGGGGAAAAUGAUCAUCUGAACCCUUGGAAGAAAUCGACAAAUAAAUUAGUAGCCACCGGAACGGUAUUUACAACUCAGAUCUGGGACAUUACUGAGAUAACUCAACCACGGCUCAGGACGGCUGAAAAGCAGCUCAGAGCAUGAGACCGAGUCGAUGAGAAGAAAGUGGUAGCUCCCUAAAAUAGCCAAAAGCAGCUAUAGGGCUACUGUCACAAAAAGAAACUCAACAGCUGUAUGAGACGGCCGAAAAGCAGCUCAGAACCCAUGCCAGUCGUUCAAGAGAGAAAUACAAAGUCGGCAUCCACCCUGGACGGCCAAAAACGGCUUAGAACAUAGGCGUGGUGCCGUUACCAGAGAAGAGAAGACAAGGGCUCAUCAGGAUCAUAUUCCAGGUUCACAGGUACUUGUACAGAGCUUAGUGUUCUCGUCAAUCCUCAUGGUCCUUUGUCACACUGAGGUGUAUAUCUGACUUCCUUCACAUAUAUCUGAGAUUCUGAUUCCCGAGGCAGACUUGUGUUCUGACUGAUUCUUGCUUCUAACCAACUGUCGCGGAGCUGAUUCUGCCAUCUUUGACUGAAAUUGCAUUGUUGCCUUGCACAUAGCUUAUCUUCUUGCUGAUAUGAUCAUUUCUGUCAUGAAGAGUGCACACUGAGGCAAACUUGAUUAUUCGUACUGUUGUAAGGAGUGCACGCUAUUGCAAACAUGAUACCGAAUGUCAAUCCAGGAUUCCUUUUCCAUUUAGAUGAGAUAUUCCAAAUUUCGCUGCAGUCUGCUGAUAACCUCAUUCCAUUUAUCUGAGCUUCCAAACCUUUGAACUCCUUGCUGAUUCUUCAGGUCCGGUGUUGGUUGACGAGCAACUUUAAUGAGGGAAAAAUAAUGCCACACCGAAGGCCCAAAGAAAGAAGUAAAAGAAACGACGAAAACAACAAAACAAACACACAAGCAUACAAAUAAUAUAAAUAAUCAAGCAACAUCGCAUAUUACUGCUACUCACACAAUAAUAUGCAUGCACACCUAAGCACACAAGUCUCACGAAAACUCCGGUAUUGCGAUCUAAUAUUCUGUGGCAGUGUGCACGAAAGUAAAUUCACAUGUGGAAAGGGUUGGGGUAAUCAAGGCUACACCAAGCGCUGGCUAAACUCCGGUUGCAACUAGAUGGAUAUGGGGCGAGGACGGACUUGGUGAUCAAGUAGUGAGACUCAAGGUCACGACUACAUCAUCAUCAAGCAUACAAAAGGGAAUCAUACAUGUCCAAAGAAUGGAGUGACAGGGCAAUAUAGUGGAGGAGAAGCAAGGCUUGAUGGCAUUGCCCUUUUUCAAUAACAAAUAUCUGUAAGGGUUGCCGAAGGGACGAUAUGGAUGGCACGAUUCCGGAUAGAGGCAAGUCUAUCACCGAAAUAAUAUGGGUGGGUGUCGGAAAGAUAUCGAUGUGAUACCUGAGCAUAACUCCUGCAAAUGGUGUCUGGAACACUUGGUACCAGGGCAUCACUCUACUGGGACAGAGAUGACGCCAAACACCGAAGAGCAGACAUGCAAAGAAGGAGAGUGCAGGUAGUGGAUCGAAACCGAUGCCACCUAUACUCACAAGAUUAACCGUUAGCGACAAGAUAAUAAUCUAUAUGCAUGCUAACAAACAAAUGCAACAAUCAAGUGCAACAAACCAACGGGGCUCUAUACUACCGCAUUCUAACGUUUGCGUGGUCUAGGGCAUCCUACAGCCAUACCAGCUCUGAUACUAAGCCUGUGGCACCCCGACUUAGAGAAACCGGAACGCUCCAUAUUCCAGCCCAGAGAUCGAGGAGAAGUCUUCUGGAAUACGGCACUGCUUAGCAUAGAACAAACUAGCUCUUUAUUACAAUCUAUAUGGGUACAAGGGGAUUACAUCGGCACGGCGACACUACGCCUGCCACGGUUGCUCCAUGCAAGAAGCAGAACAACACGAUGCAUCGGAAGGACUACUGGUAGCGGAAAAGCGACGACGGUGGCGAACUCCACUCCGCAGGGACUCUGGCUGGAACACUUAUCCUAGCUCGCAAACAAGGAAUCCACGACAAACAAGCAAUCAUAUCCGGCAUGACCUACAAACUGGCAUGACACGCCAGGUCAGUACAUUGAAUGUACUUGCAAGCUCACAGCAACCAAAGCAAUCAAGACAAACAAUAGCAUGGCAAUUAUAGAUUAUUAAGCAAUGAUGAAAACGAUACUAUCAGAACAACAUGGCAUGUACAAGAUGAUACAGCUAGAACAAUACGAGCAUGGCAUAAACAUAUGAACAUGAUGAGACUAGCAUGCAACAUGAUGAACUAUCAUGCACCAACUUACUCUAUUCGGGUUACAUCAUAACCAUCACCUGUAUCACUUACCAUCACGGAUAUCACACGAUCAUCUCAGGAUCCAAUCAAGGUAUUAACAAUACCGUAGUAAUCAUUUAGGACCACAAGGAGCUUGGCCUUUACCCUUGACUCUCGCAUAACAUCACAAAUGUCCAACAAGUUGGUAUUCCUGAUACCAAAGUGAUCCUCUCAUGAUCACAUAAAUAUCAACCAACUUCUUUCAUCAUCGAACCAGGGUUGUUGUUAAGCACAUUAUUAUUACUGUUGACCCACAGUGUGACCGACAUGAACUGGGCCCAUAUCCGCGGGCGCAGCUAUCGAUAGAUUUAACACACACACACACACACUACAGAGGUUAGCACACUGUACCCACACCACGGAACCCUAGCCUCGAACUCCCAUUCGGGUGGACCAAAGCGUUCCAACAAAACCGUCCUACUGCCAUGACACUCUCCCGGCCACUCCGACCAACUCCCCUUUAGGCUAAGUCCUGGGUGGCCCCGUGCCUACCAAAGGCACCAACGGCCACCGUCGUGGCAAAACAGUCCCAAACGGGGACAAGGAUCCAUACAAAACAACGGGCACACAAGGCUUAUGCCGUCCUACCUGAUCAGGGUAGCACCCGCCACCCGCGCAUAACCUUCCCUCGCGGGAGGCACCGAUGAGAGGUAUGACAAUAGACCCAGUUAGGACCCCCAUAGGGUAAGCGUGGUUUCACUAGUCAGAUCGAUAUGGUGGCACCAUGACUUAGCCAACAGUUGUUCAAGUUCAAUUUAAUACGGUUAAACUUGAAUGCAAUAUGCUGAGCCAUGAUAAAAUAACAUGAUGCAACUACAAUGCAUGAACAUGAUAUCAAAAUAAGCAUGGAGGUGCAACAUAAUCAACGAGCAUAGCAACAACAUGUAACAAUUUAUCCAGAUGAGCAUGGCAUACUGACAAUCAUGAAUAUCACAACUAGCACACUACCCAUAGUAUGACAUGACCACUAGCAUCAAUAAUAAAUACCAUGCAAUAACAUAACGAUAAAACUACCAUGCAAGUAUUUAAUCAACUGGAUGCAAAGGAACAUGCAUAACAACGGUACUCGGGACAGACUAUAGUCAUGCACCGAAGACCAUCACCAACAUGUACUAUUACCAAGCAUGGCCACUAUAAUACUAGCAUAAAGAACAAAAUAACAGAGUGCAAGAAAACAUAGCAUCACGGUAAACACCGAUCCAUAAGCAUAGCCGAAAUAACGGCAACAAUAGCAAAACAAUCAAACAGUUAUUAAAGAUUCAAGUUGGAAACCAAUGCUUCUGCAUGGCUAUCAUGUAAAUGGUGGUUGUGGCUUCCUGGGGAUGGAGAAGGCUCCGGGGAGAAGUGUGGGGAAGCCGCGGAAAGAAUCGCCGGAAAGGGUUCACUCUCGGAGGGGGCUGAUUAGGGGCAAGGGAAAAAUGGUCAUUUUCAGAAUGUUAAAACAUAGUGAAAAUGGUGGUAACAGAACGGGCUCGACGAGACGAAGACGUGGGCAUUGGAUUCACCUCGAUCAGAGCUACGGUUGAAAAGUUGUGAACGGUUGAAGUUCAGGGACUAUUCUGCAAAAAUAUCACCACAAAUAGGUCCCUGAGUGGAUAAGGCAGAAACGGAUUUUAAAAAAUACGCUUUUCGGAGAAGAAACACAUUUAUGCGCAAAGAACAACCAGAAUACGCUUUCGGGAAACGGAAACGUAUGACCUUGAAUACGCUUCCACUUACGUGACUAGUCAGAGGCGGGGUCAAAGCGCGGUCGCUGACGGGUGGGUCCCAUUGGGCGGGGCCCGUCAGUUAUCCGCGUGGGCAGCCGGGUCAAUGCGGGGCCGGCUCUGGUGUGGCUAAUUGGUGGGGCCCGCGCACCUCUCUCUCUCUCUCUCUCUCUCUCUCUCCUGUCCUCCUCCUUCAACCUCCCGACGAGACGAUAGUGGAGGCCUGACCGAGCGCGGCCGGCGUUGGCCCCGGCGCUCCUGGCCAUCUCCAGCCCAGGGGAAGGCGCCUACGGGGUCAGGGAGGAGCGUCGCGCCCGUCUCACGCAUCAGCAGCACCGGGGAGGGGCUGAGAUGGUGGCGACGUGCGGAGGUAGAGAACCACAGUGGCGGCUGGCUAUGGGACUCGCGGCCACGAGCACUCCGGCGCCGAGCUGCGGGGUGGGGGAGGGACGCCGGACUACGGGGAACCUACUGGUGGAGGAAGGGAAUGGGGAGGGGUGCUGCCGUGCUCGAAUUUGAGCGGAGCAUCGCAGCGGCCAUGGCGGCAAUGGGGGGCAAUGGGAGCUCCUCGAGCUCGGGGAAGAGGCUAGGCGGGGUACUAGGAGGUGGUAAAGAUGAGUGGUGAGCUCGUACGAGGCUGGGGUGGGCUUAUAUAGCCGUGGCAAGGCGGUUCGAGCUCGGUUGCCACCGUGGACGCGUGUGCUCGUGCAUGGGCUCGAAGGUAGAUGACAUAGGGGAACAGGGGAGAGGCUCACGGGGGCAGAGGCAUCCAAGGGAGCACGGGGAGGAAGCGGCCGAGGCACGGACGGAGCCGGUCAGCUACAUCGCUCCCAUGGGCGCUCACUGUUCGGUGACGGGGCGGGUCGCCAGGGAAUCAGACGGAGGGGGAAAUGGCUCCAGGAGCAUAGCUACGACGCGUGCUAGCCGUUAGACACGCUCACGCGCGCGAAGACGACGAGAGGAGGAGGGGCCCGAAGCAAACGACGCUCAGCUCGCGUCCAUUGCUGCCAGAGCGCGUGCAAACGACGCGGUCACCACUAUGACCGGCAAGGAGGGGACGCGAGAGGCUGCAUCAUGAUUUCUAGUGAUGAAUCCUUGCAUACUAGAGGCCGAGGGAGGUGAUGGAUCACGCAGAAGUACCAAAGAGAGAUGUGAGCGAUCGCCUGAAGUUUGUUGUAUCAGUUUUGGCUGAGUACUGCUAAUCAACAGGAACUUGAUUGGGUCAAAUGAAGUUGUCUGGGGUGAUUAGAUAAGGAAAGACUACAAUCCUGAAAAGUUUGGAUGGAAAUGGACCAAUAUUUAAUACACUUGCUUUGCAAUUGCAUAAACUGGUCCAGAAAUAAGAUCAUGAUGGUGCACUCAAAUGGAGAAGCCACUCAGGGGUGGAGCCAGGAUUUGAACAUAGGGGGGGGGGGUCGAAGAGGAUCGCGCAUAAAACCUAGCACAAGUAUAAGUCAAAUCUUGAAUAACAGCAUAUGCUUUUCCAACUAAAGCAAGCCAUAAUUUUGUCUAUUUAAAUGGAACUCAGCAUCCACCAAGCUAAUCUAAUAAGUCAACUGUCUUAGCGACCAUGAAUUUUACAGUUUUUUCUUCCCAAUAUAGGCAAUCAUUGUCGAAGAACUUUAAUUUGAAAAUGUGCAUUGCAAGUUGUUAAGAUAAAAUGAAAUUUAUUGGCAGGUACCUUCUUUUGAAAGCAUGUUUGAUAAUCUCAUCAAUGGUGAAUCAUAGAAAAAUUAGAAAAUAAAUAAAUUAGACUUCCAACAGAUACUCUCUUACCUUAUGUCCUUAUAAUCCAUGCUUGCAUUGCAAAUUCCAUUCUCAUCUCGAGAUUUAGAUGUGACGGCAUAACCACACAUCAACGACAGGUCAUCACCCCACUAGCGAUUCAGCUUAGUACUGCACGAAAUAAAGAUCAGAUCAGGUUUGGACUUGCAUUACCUAGCUAUAUGAGAAUCACCAGAUCAAGUUUGGACUCACGCUUGACGUGGGAGAAUUGCAGCAAGAAAAUAGAUGGUUGGAUUGAUCGGCCUCAGAUUUGGCGGGCAACCGAUAGGCGCGAAGCACCCCGGCUUGGCAGCCGCACCUUUGCCAGCUCCUGACGGCGAUGCUCGAUGGAACCCUAACAUGGGCGAGGCGAUAGCCAAAUUGACUCGUCAAUGUGGAUAAAUCAAUGCAUCAAUUGUGGGCUGGGCUACUUUUGGGCUUGGACCGUUCAGCAAUCAGCAUGUUUGAUAGUUAGAGGUUAUCCUAUUUCAUCGCUAUAAUUUCCGAUCGAGUAGAUUCAGAUCUAUAACACCAAAAAGUACCGUAGUCCCCGCUCGUNNNNNNNNNNNNNNNNNNNNNNNNNNNNNNNNNNNNNNNNNNNNNNNNNNNNNNNNNNNNNNNNNNNNNNNNNNNNNNNNNNNNNNNNNNNNNNNNNNNNNNNNNNNNNNNNNNNNNNNNNNNNNNNNNNNNNNNNNNNNNNNNNNNNNNNNNNNNNNNNNNNNNNNNNNNNNNNNNNNNNNNNNNNNNNNNNNNNNNNNNNNNNNNNNNNNNNNNNNNNNNNNNNNNNNNNNNNNNNNNNNNNNNNNNNNNNNNNNNNNNNNNNNNNNNNNNNNNNNNNNNNNNNNNNNNNNNNNNNNNNNNNNNNNNNNNNNNNNNUCCGCCCCUGAAGCCACUUGAGCUCAAAUUUGGCAAGACAGGGUUAUUUGGCCAUAUGAAGAUGCUGUAAAGGUUUCAUACCAAUUGGAUAAAUCAAAAUGGUACUUCCUUCGCAAACAUUUCCACUGACCAAAAACUAGAAAUAAUUUUGAUGAUCAAAUGACUUAAUCAAAUGAUCCCAAAUUUGGUGGAGACAUGUUAUAUGGGUAGUAUCAUGAUCUGGUAAUUUAUCAGGAUUAAUUUAGCAAUAUAAAAUAUACUUGCUUCACAACCUGAAAAUAUUGCCAGAAAAAAAGAUUUGGUCAUGUGCUCACAUAGAUAAUAGGAUAGGGCUCAAAAUUGGAGGAGGGCAAUUAUAUGAGCACAUGAAGGACUGUGCAAAAUUUUAACUUAUUUGGAUAACCCUAGCUAGCACUUCCUUCACAAAGGCUUCCCUCAGACAGGAACUUUGAAAAAAUCACUAAGGAAGCUUGGCUAGGCAAAUAAAGUUGAAUUUUGUCACAUGCCAAUUAUUUGGACAUGAAAAGGUGUCCAAGAAGUUUGAGGUCAAUUGGGCAAAGGAAAAUAACACUUGCUUCACAAUGUGCCAUUUAGGGCAGAAUAGGAAAUGAAUUAUUUGAGCAUGAUGAUAAACAUGGCAAAUAAAAUAAUUUGCCAUAUUUGAGAAAGAUAUGACCCAGACAAUUUAUGAGAAUUAUUUGGGAAUUUUAGGAGUGAUGGAAAUAUAGGUUGCUUCACAACAUAGGGCAAAUUGAGUUAUUCCUUUAAUAGAAAAGGAAUAUCCCCAAUAAAAAGAAUAUUGGGAUUUGAGCUAGGAUGAAAAUGAGAAGGUCUAGGGAAGUAUUUGAGGUUGACAAGCCACCCUGGAAGCAAAGAAGAGGUCAUCUUCUUUAGUUUCCAGACCACAAAGCCACGGAGAAAGAAAACUCAAGCAAAAAUCUCAUAAAAACAAAUGAAAAAGAAAGGGCCAAAAAUCAGGCUGUGAAAAUUUGUAUAAGAUACGCCUUGACGUAUCCAUCCAGUUAUAGUGAAAAUGGUUUGCGGCCCAGUUUCUGUGGUUUUCGCUUCUUACUUCAUUUUUCGAUUUGCUUAUCGACCGCAUCCGUACACUUUGGUAUGUUUCAUAUUCGCCAGGGGCUUCCCAUCGUCCCAUAGUACGGCAGCAAAGUCCGAACAGUUCUUAUAGACAAGUUCGGCACCCCGAAUUUAGCAUUAUAUGCAUUGGCUCCGAAUCAUGUCUUUGGUCAAUAGUUGGGUUGCCCGGCUCCUGUGCUUGCUACCCUAUGUUCCGCUACAUCGGCUAGGGUAGUAAAGGGAGAACUAAUGCGAUUGUGCCCUGGUCUAAACCGGAUGAGCACCUCAGUAGAGAAAGCCGAAAACUGACUAUCAUGAUACGGCGAGAGCCGGUCAGCUGUUCGGAGGUCACAAAUCGUUGGAGAUUUUUUCCGCAUUCCGUCAAGGAUCGGUACUUCCCGAUCAGGUGCUGAAAGCACUCUGGUUCGUAUACCAGGGGAUGCACCCAUGUUUUAUUAUAAAAAUCCUAUGCCUAAGUGAGGGCGUUUAAGCCGCAUAGUCUGAUUUUCUGGUUCGUUGCGCUAAACAACUACUUCAGGGACCAUAUAAUUGGAUAAUAGAUUCCACCCCGAACACCUCCGUACUACCUACGUGAGGGCAGAAGCCGACGACUGGACAACCCUCAGAUUUCAUACAACACGGCCGCACAGGAGGAAACAAUUAAAACAUAAUGAGCAUUAUAUUACAAACUGGCUUUUGUUUUUUAUCAUACAAGGCAUGGACAAGACACGAGUGUAUUCAUUCGAAAACAAUGUCCUGCCCGCACUGCGCUGCUCCAAGUCGAGACCCUUCUAGGACAUCAGCAAAAUAUCGCUCGGGUUUCCGGUGCUCCUUGCCCUCUGGCGGCCCCUUGGCCACCUCGACCGCGUCCAUCUUUGCCCACCACAUCUUGCAACGGGCGAAGGCCAUGCGGGCACCUUCGAUGCAAACUGAUCGCUUGACGAUGUCUAUCUAAGGACAGGCCUCCACUACCCACUGCACGAGGCCAAAAUAACUGUUGCGUAUCGCCUUGGCUGGCAACAACCGGAUUAUUAAGUCCUUCAUGGCCAGUUCGGCCACUCUAUGCAGCUCGACCAGCUGUUUCAGCUGAUCGGUAAAGGGCACCGGAUAUUCUGGCACAACGUACUGUGCCCAGAACAGCUUCUCCGUGGAGCUCCCUUCUUUCACUCAGAAGAACUCCACCACAUCAGCCGUGCUGUGUGGCAGAUCUGCAAAAGCCCCUGGGUAACUCUGAAUCUGGGUUAGUAAAAGGUACUUCCUCUCUGCAUACUUGCUUUGCAUGUUAAAUUCCUUACCCGCCAUGAUCUUCUUGGCCUCCUGCAACUCUUGGAGAGUGUCCCGUGCCUCAUCCCGUGCAGUCUCCACGCUUUGGCGAGCCUUGGUAAGUUCGGUCUCUUGAACCGACGCCUUGCGCUCCAAGGCUUCGCACUUCUUCACCGCGUCCUGGAGCUCCUGCUGGACCUCACUUACCCGGGCCUUGAGCUUCUUACGGGCGGCUUGCUGCUGGACAACCUUACCCUCGGCUUCGGCCAGGGCAUUUUUCAGGGCCUCGACCUCGGUCGCCGCCCCUACACAUAUUAUGACACUCCGGUCAAUACUUGCCACUUAUGCUCUCCGAAUAACACAGCAAGUCGUCACUUACCUUGCUUCUCCUGGAGUCGAAUCCUCACCUCGCCGAGCUCGUUCUCGGCCUGCUCCAACCUCUACUUCAGCCCAGAGACUUCGGCAGUAUGCGAGGUCGCGGCCAACAGCGACGCCUGCUCAUUCAUAAAUAUUAAGUCAGUCUCCUACAAAGGGUUGAUCCUCUGUCUGGCCUUUCUUCCCGAACACCGGACAGUGUCUCAGGGGAUACUGUGAGCAUGGAGUGUUCCUUUUCUAUGUAACUUACCUCAAAACCUGUCAACAGAUUGUUGCAGGCCUCAUUUAGUCCGCUCUUAACAAAUUGAACUUUCUCGAUCACCGUACCCAUAAGGACAUGAUGCUCGCCCGCAAUGGAGGCACUUUGUAGCGCCUCCAUCAGGUUAUCCGGUGCACCUGGUUGGACAGGGGCUAUCGGUGGAAUUGGUGCACCCCCCUCCUUUGAAGGAGGGUGCUCGCCGGAUUCUGGGGCCGUAUUGGUCUCCGGAAUAGUAUUCGGCUAAGGGCCGAACUGAAUGAAGGAAAUAUGCCCUAGAGGCAAUAAUAAAGUUAUUAUUUAUUUCCUCAUAUCAUGAUAAAUGUUUAUUAUUCAUGCUAGAAUUGUAUUAACCGGAAACAUAAUACAUGUGUGAAUACAUAGGCCAACAUAACGUCACUAGUAUGCCUCUACUUGACUAGCUCAUUAAUCAAAGAUGGUUAUGUUUCCUAACCAUAGACAUGUGUUUUCAUUUGAUUAACGGGAUCACAUCAUUAGGAGAAUGAUGUGAUUGACAUGACCCAUUCCGUUAGCCUAGCACUUGAUCGUUUAGUAUGUUGCUAUUGCUUUCUUCAUGACUUAUACAUGUUCCUGUAACUAUGAGAUUGUGCAACUCCCGUUUACCGGAGGAACACUUUGUGUGCUACCAAACGUCACAACAUAACUGGGUGAUUGUAAAGGAGCUCUACAGGUGUCUCCAAAGGUACAUGUUGGGUUGGCGUAUUUCGAGAUUAGGUUUUGUCACUCCGAUUGUCGGAGAGGUAUCUCUGGGCCCUCUCGGUAAUGCACAUCACUAUAAGCCUUGCAAGCAAUGUAGCUAAUGAGUUAGUUACAGAAUGAUGCAUUAUGUAACAAGUAAAGAGACUUGCCGGUAACAAGAUUGAACUAGGUAUCGGGUACCGACGAUCGAAUCUCGGGCAAGUAACAUACCGAUGACAAAGGGAACAACGUAUGUUGUUAUGCGGUUUGACCGAUAAAGAUCUUUGUAGAAUAUGUAGGAGCCAAUAUGAGCAUCCAGGUUCCGCUAUUGGUUAUUGACCGAGAAUAAUUCUAGGUCAUGUCCACAUAGUUCUCGAACCCGUAGGGUCCGCAUGCUUAACGUUCCAAUGACAAUUUUAUUACGAGUUUAUAAGUUUUGAUGUACCGAAGAUUGUUCGGAGUCCCGGAUGUGAUCACGGACAUGACGAGGAGUAUCGAGAUGGUCGAGACAUAAAGAUUGAUAUAUUGGAAGCCUAUGUUUGGACAUCGGAAGUGUUCCGGGUGAAAUCGACAUUUUACCGGAGUACCGGGAGGUUACCGGAACGCCCCGGUAACCUAAUGGGCCUUAUUGGGCCUAGUGGAGGAAGAGGAGAGGAGGCCUAGGGGCUACCGCGCGCCCCUCCCCCCAAGUCCAAAUUGGACAAGGAGGGGGGGGGCGCCCCCCCUUUCCUUUCCCUCCUCUCUUCCUUCCCCCCAAGUCCUAAUCCAACUAGGGAAAGGGGGGAGUCCUACUCCCGGGGGGAGUAGGACUCCUCCGGCGCGCCUCCUCCUAGGGCCGGCCGCACCCCCCUUGCUCCUUUAUAUACGGGGGCAGGGUCACCCUAGAACACACAAGUUGAUCUUCGUGAUUGUUCCUUAGCCGUGUGCGGUGCCCCCCUCCACCAUAUUCCACCUCGGUCAUAUCGUUGCGGUGCUUAGGCGAAGCCCUGCGUUGGUAGAGCGUCAUCAUCGUCACCACGCCGUCGUGCUGACGGAACUCAUCCCCGACACUUUGCUGGAUCAGAGUCCGGGGAUCGUCAUCGAGCUGAACAUGUGCUGAACUCGGAGGUGCCGUACGUUCGGUACUUGGAUCGGUAGGAUCGUGAAGACGUACGACUACAUCAACCACGUUGUCAUAACGCCUCCGCUUUCGGUCUACGAGGGUACGUGGACAAUACUGUCCCCUCUCGUUGCUAUGCAUCACCAUGAUCUUGCGUGUGCGUAGGAUUUUUUUUGAAAUUACUAUCUUCCCCAACAGUGGCAUCUGAGCCUGGUUUUAUGCGUAGAUGUCAUAUGCACGAGUAGAACACAAGUGAGUUGUGGGCGAUACAAGUCAUACUGCUUACCAGCAUGUCAUACUUUGGUUCAGCGGUAUUGUGAGAUGAAGCGGCCCGGACCGACAUUACGCGUACGCUUACGCGAGACUGGUUUCACCAUUACGAGCACUCGUGCUAAAAGGUGGCUGGCGGGUGUCUGUCUCUCUCACUUUAGUUGAACCAAGUGUGGCUACGCCCGGUCCUUGCGAAGGUUAAAACAACACUAACUUGACGAACUAUCGUUGUGGUUUUGAUGCGUAGGUAAGAACGGUUCUUGCUAAGCCCGUAGCAGCCACGUAAAAUUUGCAACAACAAAGUAGAGGACAUCUAACUUGUUUUUGCAGGGCAUGUUGUGAUGUGAUAUGGUCAAGACGUGAUACUAUAUUUUAUUGUAUGAGAUGAUCAUGUUUUGUAACCAAAGUUAUCGGCAACUGGCAGGAGCCAUAUGGUUGUCGCUUUAUUGUAUGAAAUGCAAACGCCCUAUAAUUGCUUUACUUUAUCACUAAGUGGUAGCGAUAGUCAAGCAAUAGAUGGUGUAACGACAACGAUGCUACGAUGGAGAUCAAGGUGUCGCGCCGGUGACAAAGGUGAUCACGAUGGUGCUUCGGAGAUGGAGAUCACAAGCACAAGAUGAUGAUGGCCAUAUCAUAUCACUUAUAUUGAUUGCAUGUGAUGUUUAUCCUUUAUGCAUCUUAUCUUGAUUUGAUUGACGGUAGCAUUUUAAGAUGAUCUCUCACUAAAAUUAUCAAGAAGUGUUCUCCCUGAGUAUGCACCGUCGUGAAAGUUCUUCGUGCUGAGACACCACGUGAUGAUCGGGUGUGAUAGGCUCUACGUUCAAAUACAACGGGUGCAAAACAGUUGCACACGCGGAAUACUCAGGUUAAACUUGACGAGCCUAGCAUAUAACAGAUAUGGCCUCAGAACACGGAGAGCGAAAGGUCGAGCGUGAAUCAUAUAGUAGAUAUGAUCAACAUAUUGAUGUUCACCGUUGAAACUACUCCAUCUCACGUGACGAUCGGACAUGGUGUAGUUGAUAUGGAUCACGUAAUCACUUAGAGGACUAGAGGGAUGUCUAUCUAAGUGGGAGUUCUUUAGUAAUAUGAUUAAUUGAACUUAAAUUUAUCAUGAACUUAGUACCUGAUAGUAUUUUGCUUGUCAAUGUUUGUUGUAGAUAGAUGGCUGGUGCUGUUGUUCUGUUGAAUUUUAAUGCGUUCCUUGAGAAAGCAAAGUUGAAAGAUGAUGGUAGCAAUUACACGGACUGGGUCCGUAACCUGAGGAUUAUCCUCAUUGCUGCACAGAAGAAUUACGUCCCGGAAGCACCAUUGGGUGCUAGGCCUGCUGCUGAUGCAACUGACAACGUUAAGAACGUCUUGCAGAGCAAAGCUGAUGACUACUCGAUAGUUCAGUGUGCCAUGCUUUACGGCUUAGAACUGGGUCUUCAACGACGUUUUGAACGUCAUGGAGCAUAUGAGAUGUUCCAGGAGUUGAAGUUAAUAUUUCAAGCAAAUGCCCGGAUUGAGAGAUAUGAAGUCUCCAAUAAGUUCUAUAGCUGCAAGAUGGAGGAGAAUAGUUCUGUCAGUGAACAUAUACUCAAAAUGUCUGGGUAUAAUAAUCACUUGAUUUAACUGGGAGUUAAUCUUCCUGAUGAUAGUGUCAUUGACAGAAUUCUUCAAUCACUGCCACCAAGCUACAAGAGAUUCGUGAUGAACUAUAAUAUGCAAGGGAUGGACAAGACUAUUCCCGAGCUCUUCGCAAUGCUAAAAGCCGCGGAGGUAGAAAUCAAGAAGGAGCAUCAAGUGUUGAUGGUCAACAAGACCACCAGUUUCAAGAAAAAGGGCAAAGGGAAGAAGAAGGGGAACUUCAAGAAGAACAACAAACAAGUUGCUGCUCAAGAGAAGAAACCUAAGUCUGGACCUAAGCCUGAAACUGAGUGCUUCUACUGCAAGGAGACUGGACACUGGAAGCGGAACUGCCCCAAGUAUUUGGCGGAUAAGAAGGAUGGCAAAGUGAACAAAGGUAUAUGUGAUAUACAUGUUAUUGAUGUGUACCUUACUAAUGCUCGCAGUAGUACCUGGGUAUUUGAUACUGGUUCUGUUGCUAAUAUUUGCAACUCGAAACAGGGACUACGGAUUAAGCGAAGAUUGGCUAAGGACGAGGUGACGAUGCGCGUGGGAAAUGGUUCCAAAGUCGAUGUGAUCGCGGUCGGCACGCUACCUCUACAUCUACCAUCGGGAUUAGUUUUAGACCUAAAUAAUUGUUAUUUGGUGCCAGCGUUGAGCAUGAACAUUAUAUCUGGAUCUUGUUUGAUGCGAGACGGUUAUUCAUUUAAGUCAGAGAAUAAUGGUUGUUCUAUUUAUAUGAGGAAUAUCUUUUAUGUUCAUGCACCCUUAAAGAGUGGUCUAUUUUUAUUGAAUCUCGAUAGUAGUGAUACACAUAUUCAUAGUGUUGAAGCCAAAAGAAGCAGAGUUGAUAAUGAUAGUGCAACUUAUUUGUGGCACUUCCGUUUAGGUCAUAUCGGUAUAAAGCGCAUGAAGAAACUCCAUACUGAUAGACUUUUGGAAUCACUUGAUUAUGAAUCACUUGGUACUUGCGAACCGUGCCUCAUGGGCAAGAUGACUAAAACGCCGUUCUCCGGAACUAUGGAGCGAGCAACUAAUUUGUUGGAAAUCAUACAUACUGAUGUUUGUGGUCCAAUGAAUGUUGAGGCUCGCGGCGGGUAUCGUUAUUUUCUCACCUUCACAGAUGAUUUGAGCAGAUAUGGGUAUAUCUACUUAAUGAAACACAAGUCCGAAACAUUUGAAAAGUUCAAAUAAUUUCACAGUGAAGUGGAAAAUCAUCGUAACAAGAAAAUAAAAUUUCUACGAUCUGAUCAUGGAGGAGAAUAUUUGAGUUACGAGUUUGGUUUACAUUUGAAGCAAUGCGGAAUAGUUUCGCAACUCACGCCACCUGGAACACCACAAUGAAAUGGUGUGUCCGAACGUCGUAAUCGUACUUUACUAGAUAUGGUGCGAUCUAUGAUGUCUCUUACUGAUUUACCGCUAUCAUUUUGGGGUUAUGCUUUAGAGAUGGCCGCAUUCACGUUAAAUAGGGCACCAUCAAAAUCCGUUGAGACGACGCCUCAUGAACUGUGGUUUGGCAAGAAACCAAAGUUGUCGUUUCUUAAAGUUUGGGGCUGUGAUGCUUAUGUGAAGAAACUUCAACCAGAUAAGCUCGAACCCAAAUCGGAGAAAUGUGUCUUCAUAGGAUACCCAAAAGAAACUGUUGGGUACACCUUCUAUCACAGAUCUGAGGGCAAGAUUUUCGUUGCUAAAUUUGGAUCCCUUCUAGAGAAGGAGUUUCUCUUGAAAGAAGUGAGUGGGAGGAAAGUAGAACUUGAUGAGGUAACUGUACCUGCUCCCUUAUUGGAAAGUAGUUCAUCACAAGAACCGGUUCCUGUGACAACUACACCAAUUAGUGAGGAAGCUAAUGAUAUUGAUCAUGAAACUUCGGAUCAAGUUUCUACUGAACCUCGUAGGUCUACCGGAGUAAGAUUCACACCAGAGUGGUACAGUAAUCCUAUUCUGGAGGUCAUGUUACUUGACCAUGACGAACCUAUGAACUAUGAGGAAGCGAUGAUGAGCCCAGAUUCCGCAAAAUGGCUAGAAGCCAUGAAAUCUGAGAUGGGAUCCAUGUAUGAGAACAAAGUAUGGACUUUGGUUGACUUGCCCGAUGAUCGGCAAGCCAUUGAGAAUAAAUGAAUUUUUAAGAAGAAGACUGACGCUGAUGGUAAUGUAACUGUCUAUAAAGCUCGACUUGUUGCGAAAGGUUUUCGACAAGUGCAAGGGGUUGACUACGAUGAGACUUUCUCAACCGUAGCGAUGCUUAAGUCUGUCCGAAUCAUGUUAGCAAUUGUUGCAUUUUAUGAUUAUGAAAUUUGGCAAAUGGAUGUCCAAACUGCAUUCUUGAAUGGAUUUCUGGAAGAAGAGUUGUAUAUGAUGCAACCAGAAGGUUUUGUUGAUCCAAAAGGUGCUAACAAAGUGUGCAAGCUCCAGCGAUCCAUUUAUGGACUGGUGCAAGCAUCUCGGAGUUGGAAUAAACGCUUUGAUAGUGUGAUCAAAGCAUAUGGUUUUAUACAGACUUUUGGAGAAGCAUGUAUUUACAAGAAAGUGAGUGGGAGCUCUGUAGCAUUUCUGAUAUUAUAUGUAGAUGACAUAUUAUUAAUUGGAAAUGAUAUAGAAUUUCUGGAUAGCAUAAAGGGAUACUUGAAUAAAAGUUUUUCUAUGAAAGACCUCGGUGAAGCUGCUUACAUAUUGGGCAUCAAGAUUUAUAGAGAUAGAUCAAGACGCUUAAUAGGACUUUCACAAAGCACAUACCUUGAUAAAGUUUUGAAAAAGUUCAAAAUGGAUCGGGCAAAGAAAGGGUUCUUGCCCGUACUACAAGGUGUGAAGUUGAGUCAGACUCAAUGCCCGACCACAGCAGAAGAUAGAGAGAAAAUGAAAGAUGUUCCCUAUUCUUCAGCCAUAGGCUCUAUCAUGUAUGCAAUGCUGUGUACCAGACCUGACGUGUGCUUAGCAAUAAGCUUGGCAGGAAGAUACCAAAGUAAUCCAGGAGUGGAUCACUGGACAAUGGUCAAGAACAUCCUGAGGACUAAGGAUAUGUUUCUCGUAUAUGGAGGUGACAAAGAGCUAGUCGUAAAUGGUUACGUCGAUGCAAGCUUUGACACUGAUCCGGACGAUUCUAAAUCGCAAACCGGAUACGUGUUUUUAUUAAACGGUGGAGCUGUAAGUUGGUGCAGUUCUAAACAAAGCGUCGUGGCGGGAUCUACAUGUGAAGCGGAGUACAUAGCUGCUUCAGACGCAGCAAAUGAAGGAGACUGGAUGAAGGAGUUCAUUUCCGAUCUAGGUGUCAUACCUAAUGCAUCGGGGCCAAUGAAGAUCUUCUGUGACAAUACUGGUGCAAUUGCCUUGGCAAAGGAAUCCAGAUUUCACAAGAGGACCAAGCACAUCAAGAGACGCUUCAAUUCCAUCCGGGACCAAGUCCAGGUGGGAGACAUAGAGAUUUGCAAGAUACAUACGGAUCUGAAUAUUGCACACCUGUUGACUAAGCCUCUUCCACGAGCAAAACAUGAUCAGCACCAAAACUCCAUGGGUGUCAGAAUCAUUACUGUGUAAUCUAGACUAUUGACUCUAGUGCAAGUGGGAGACUGAAGGAAAUAUGCCCUAGAGGCAAUAAUAAAGUUAUUAUUUAUUUCCUCAUAUCAUGAUAAAUGUUUAUUAUUCUUGCUAGAGUUGUAUUAACCGGAAACAUAAUACAUGUGUGAAUACAUAGACCAACAUAACGUCACUAGUAUGCCUCUACUUGACUAGCUCAUUAAUCAAAGAUGGUUAUGUUUCCUAACCAUAGACACGUGUUGUCAUUUGAUUAAUGGGAUCACAUCAUUAGGAGAAUGAUGUGAUUGACAUGACCCAUUCCGUUAGCCUAGCACUUGAUCGUUUAGUAUGUUGCUAUUGCUUUCUUCCUGACUUAUACAUGUUCCUGUAACUAUGAGAUUAUGCAACUCCCGUUUACCGGAGGAACACUUUGUGUGCUACCAAACGUCACAACUUAACUGGGUGAUUAUAAAGGAGCUCUACAGGUGGCUCCAAAGGUACAUGUUGGGUUGGCGUAUUUCGAGAUUAGGUUUUGUCACUCCGAUUGUCGGAGAGGUAUCUCUGGGCCCUCUCGGUAAUGCACAUCACUAUAAGCCUUGCAAGCAAUGUAGCUAAUGAGUUAGUUACGGAAUGAUGCAUUACGUAAUGAGUAAAGAGACUUGCCGGUAACGAGAUUGAACUAGGUAUUGGGUACCGAUGAUUGAAUCUUGGGCAAGUAACAUACCGAUGACAAAGGGAACAACGUAUGUUGUUAUGCGGUUUGACCGAUAAAGAUCCUUGUAGAAUAUGUAGGAGCCAAUAUGAGCAUCCAGGUUCCGCUAUUGGUUAUUGACCGAGAAUAGUUCUAGGUCAUGUCUACAUAGUUCUCGAACCCGUAGGGUCCGCACGCUUAACGUUACGAUGACAAUUUUAUUAUGAGUUUAUAAGUUUUGAUGUACCGAAGAUUGUUUGGAGUCCCGGAUGUGAUCACGGACAUGACGAGGAGUCUUGAAAUGGUCGAGACAUAAAGAUUGAUAUAUUGGAAGCCUAUGUUUGGACAUGGAAGUGUUCCGGGUGAAAUCGGCAUUUUACCGGAGUACCGGGAGGUUACCGGAACCCCCCGGUAACCUAAUGGGCCUUAUUGGGCCUAGUGGAGGAAGAGGAGAGGAGGCCUAGGGGCUGCCGCGCGCCCCUCCCCCCAAGUCCGAAUUGGACAAGGAGGGGGGCGGCGCCCCCCUUUCCUUUCCCCCCUCUCUUCCUUCCCCCCAAGUCCUAAUCCAACUAGGGAAAGGGGGGGAGUCCUACUCCCGGUGGGAGUAGGACUCCUCCGGCGUGCCUCCUCCUAGGGCCGGCCGCACCCCCCUUGCUCCUUUAUAUACGGGGGCAGGGGGCACCCUAGAACACACAAGUUGAUCUUCGUGAUCGUUCCUUAGCCGUGUGCGGUGCCCCCCUCCACCAUAUUCCACCUCGGUCAUAUCGUUGCGAUGCUUAGGUGAAGCCCUGCGUCGGUAGAGCAUCAUCAUCAUCACCACGCCGUCGUGCUGACAGAACUCAUCCCCGACACUUUGCUGGAUCGCAGUCCGGGGAUCGUCAUCAAGCUGAACGUGUGCUGAACUCGGAGGUGCCGUAUGUUCGGUACUUGGAUCGGUCGGAUCGUGAAGACGUACGACUACAUCAACCACGUUGUUAUAACGCUUCUGCUUUUGGUCUAUGAGGGUACGUGGACAAUACUGUCCCCUCUUGUUGCUAUGCAUCACCAUGAUCUUGCGUGUGCGUAGGAAUUUUUUUGAAAUUACUACGUUCCCCAACACUGAACACGCCCGUUGUCGGUGUCAAAACCGGCGGAUCUCGGGUAGGGGUCCCGAACUGUGCGUCUAGGCGGAUGGUAACAGGAGAUAAGGGACAUGAUGUUUUUACCCAGGUUUGGGCCCUCUCGAUGGAGGUAAAACCCUACGUCCUGCUUGAUUAAUAUUGAUGAUGUGUAUUACAAGAGUGGAUCUACCACGAGAUCAAGGAGGCUAAACCCUAGAAGCUAGCCUAUGGUAUGAUUGUUGUAAUGGUUGUGUUGUCCUACGGACUAAAACCCUCCGGUUUAUAUAGACACCGGGAAGGGCUAGGGUUACACAGAGUCGGUUACAAUGGUAGGAGAUCUACAUAUCCGUAUCGCCAAGCUUGCCUUCCACGCCAAGGAAAGCCCCAUCCGGACACGGGGCGAAGUCUUCAAUCUUGUAUCUUCAUAGUCUUGGAGUCCGGCUGACGAUAAUAGUCUGGCUGUUCGGACACCCCCUAGUCCAGGACUCCCUCAGUAGCCCCUGAACCAGGCUUCAAUGACGAUGAGUCCGGCGCGCAUAUUGUUCGGCAUUGCAAGGCGAGUUCCUCCUCCAAAUAAUUCAUAGAAGAUUGUGAACACCAGGAUAGUGUCCGGCUCUGCAAAAUAAAUUCCACAUUCCACCAUAGAGAGAAUAGUAUGUACACAAGUUCAAUCCGCUGACAUGUUUUGUGGCAUGACGUCACACCACUACUAAGCCUUUACUUGAAUCGUUUUUUAUUAUACCACCUCAGCGAGUUUAGCGAAGCGGUUUCCUUGGCACGUCUUGUCGAAGCAGAGAUCGUGUUCCCCUUAUUCCGGGAUUCUCAUCAAUACGGUCGUGGGUAACCCAACCGCGCCCGUCGCCACGCCCCCUCUAUCGAAGGCGAGUCCCGAACGGUCACGGAGACGGCUCUCGAUAUUCUCCCUCUUUAUAAUGGGACCAAGGCUCGUUUCUUUUCUUCAAUCCUCCAUCGAAUCUUCUCCUUGCUCCAAGUUCCAACACCCGGAGCCCCAGAUUCGAGCGCUUUGGACCUUCAACAAUGUCCGGCUCCGACCUUCAGGGCCGGUGGAUGCCCUCCUCCGUCACGGAGGAGGACGUGCUAAAGCUGCGAGAGGCCAAGUACCUGUCUUGCGAGAUUUCGCACAGGUUGCCCGCCGAAGGGCAGGCCAUCCCCACCCCCGAGCCUGGCGAGUACGUCGUUUUCGUAUCAGACCUCCAUCGGGGUUUAGGCUUCCCGAUGGAUCCUUUUGUGAGAGGGCUCAUGUUUUACUAUGGGUUGGAGUUCCACGACUUGGCUCCGGAGUCCAUCCUCCAUAUUUCCGCAUUUAUCGUCGUCUGCGAAGCCUUCCUCUGCGUCAUCCCCCACUUUGGCCUGUGGCUGAAGACCUUCAAUGUGGAGCCGAAGAUGAUCGAGGGGCGUCAAGCAGAGUGCGGCGGGGCGGCCGUAAGCAGGAGGGCCGAUGCCCCGUGGCCCGAGGGCUCCUUCCAAGAGGAGCUCGGCUUGUGGCAGCAGGAGUGGUUCUAUAUUACCGCUCCGAAGGGUAGCAGGCAGAAGCCGCCGCCCUUAUUCCGCUCGGGACCUCCACGACGGUUGAUGUCGUGGGUCAACCAAGGGCUCAACUGGGGGCCGUCAAAAGACGUGCCCCUACUGCAGGGCCGGAUUCGAGACCUCCAAGCGAGGGAGAUCGAUCUGGUUGUGGUAAUGCAGGUCAUGCUGAUUAGGCGUCUCCUGCCCUGCAAACGUCGCCCUCUCCGGCUGUGGGAGUUUAAUCCGGAGGGGCCACAGAUUCUUCAACACUUCAUGGGUUCGACACCCAUGGAGAUGUACAAAUUAUUCUUCGGAUCACGAGAGGCGUGUCCGGAGUUGACCGAGGAUGCUGGCCUAAGCUGCUAUCGCCCGGAUUCACAAGUAAGUAGCUCCGAGUCCGAACAUACCGUUUGUUUGCCUUUCUAUGAUUCGCCUUUUGACCGAUUUCCUUCUAAACAGGAGUGGAUAGCGCAAGCAAAACUGAUACGGUGUCCGGCCCCCCUCCCAGAGAUCGCGUCGGAUCCCAUGCUGGUCAGGAUGCUGGAGGUUGCGCCUUCAGAGGAAGGCAAAGGGGAAAAUAGAGGAGCUACCGCCUCGUCCGAGGAGGCUCUUGAAAAAGGGGGGAUCGAGAAUCCCUCCCUCCAAGGGGAGAAGAGGACCGCCUCCGAGGACCCGGGGGCCAAAGCCCCUAAGAGGGGGAAAAAAUCUUCACCAGAGGGUCCUGCGUCCGGGGAGGCCCCGGCCGCACAGUCUCCCUUAAAGAAUCAGCCCUCCAGCGAGCCGUAAGUAGAAAAGAAGGAGUUUUAUAAUAAGGGAUACCCCUAUUUGUGCUUCUGAGGAUAACCCAAGUUUUUACCUUGUAGUUCGGAUCUCCGUCCUUCGCAAAUGAGCUUGUCUUCGGGGGAUCUUCGUCCGGAGAUGGUGGAGAGCGAGACGCCUCUGUCUGCUGCGCUGUCGGAUAGGGCGGACGAGCCUGAAGUGUCAUCACGGAGGGUAUCCCUAAGCCCGGCGGAGCCGAAGAGUUCGGCGCCGAAUAGAGUUCGGCCGGGGGAGCUGAAGGCUCUACUUGAGAGGGCGUCCAUCUCAGAAGAUCACCAUGCAUUGAUGAGUAUGGUGAUUGGAAGGAUUUCAACCGCCGAGAGCGGAUUGCAUAAUGGAGUUUGCUGGCAGGGUUUGAGGUAUGCAAAAAUGACACACCUUUUGACAGUUUUGCACAUAAAGUGCGCCCUGUAUAGAUAGUAGCCCCUGAGACUCAGUAGGUUGUCGAAAGCGACAACGUGCCGAGGAUCAAAAUCGCAGGUUUCAAUUUUCGCCGUUCCUAUGCAGGUGGCAGAUCGUCCGGGGGCCAGCCGAACUGAUGGAGUUGCUGAACUAAAGCGGCAACUCGACGUUGCGGAUGCGUACAUCGCGCUAGUCAACAGGCGACUUGAUGAGUCGCAAGGUAAGUGUUUCUUUGCGGUCACUUAGUAAGGGAGCAGAAGCCCAGUCCUUACAACAUGUGCGUGAACUGCAGAUGGUGCCACUGCUGUGGAGAGCCUUCAGGCCGAACUUGCUCAAGCCAAGGAGCAAGCCAGAAGGAGUAAUGUGGCGGCCUCGAGGGCGGCCGAGGAGUUAGAAGCCGAAAGGGCUGCACACUGUCGAAGCAGGGAAGAGAUGGUCGAAAUGGCCGUGAAGUUAAAAGAUGCUACCGACCGCAAUGAGGCUCUUGAAAAGGAGCGCCUAGCGGGGCGAGAAGACCUGGGGAAGGCCACCUCCGAAGCCAAGGAUGCCCGUUCUGCAAUGCGGGCUAUAAAGGAAGAGCUGCGCCAGGCUGGAGACAUUGUGGCUGGUAAGCCUUUUCUGCUGCGCCGAAGGUUUACGGAUCCAAAGUAUGCUCAACUUGGCCAGCUGUGGGGUCCGGAGGAUCCUUAUAUGGACUUAGCAGCGAGUGCGGCGGAUGCCAUUGUGCACUUCCGAAGCUAGGAGGAUCACAAGACGGAAGAGCUGUUUUGGUCUCAAUUCCAUAGUCCGGAGCGUUCACUUCCGCUGACCGACCGGUUGGCCGAGUGGGCUGAGCUGAAUAGGUUGUCCGGGCUUGCCAUGACGGAUAUCGUGACUCAUGUCUGGCCGGAUAGGCCCAAGCUGAAGAGCUAUUUUGGCUUAUUGCAGCAAUUUCUUGGGGCGGUGCCGCAUAUCAAGGCGAUGAAGCAGUCGGCCUGCAUAGAGGGUGCACGGAUGGCACUCGCCCGUGUGAAGACACAUUGGACAGAGAUGGAUGCCACCGCUGUUGCGACCCAGGGUUCGGACGAGAGCCGGUUACCCGCCGAGCACUAUUUUGGGGAAGUUCUGCGCAGUGCUCCAAAAAUGUCACGUUCAAAUGAACGUUUUAUUUUGUAAAACAAUGUUUAUGAUUUAGGCGCUUUUUAUACUUGUGCGUUCAAGUUUUGAAAUAUCUCCUAUGCGGCCGUUUAUGUAUACGUGUGUAUAACCUGAAAGAUGGCAGUCGUCGGCUUCAGCCCCCACGCACAAGGUGCGGGGGUGUUCGCAAAAAUAGCGCAUUUGCACACUUAAUCCGACGUCUCGGUCCUGUGAAGGAGGUGGUAGCGUAGCAAACGAGGCAACCGGACUAUAAUGCUUUAUCACUUUCACUUAGCCAUGGGAGUUCAAGGGUGGGGCUAUGAUAUAGCCCCUGGGGGCACCGCGCUCUCCGAAUUCGGGGCGCGUAUGUGCCUGACCGGGAAACGGUCCUUCGUCAAAGCGGAGGAAUUCUAAACAUUCCAUUGGUCGAUCGAGUGGUUGACCAGUCUCUCGCUGUAUCAUGACAGUCAGUUUUCGGCUUUCUCUACUGAGGUGCUCGCCCAGCCGAACUGGGGCACAAUCGCAGUACUUCUCCUGGUGCCGCGUUAGCCGAUGAUACGGAAUGUAAGGCAGCAAAACACAGGAGCCAGGCAAACCCAACAUUUGACCAAAGACAUGAUUCGGAGCUGAUGCAUAUAAGGCCUAACUCGAGACGCCGAACACUCCCGAAGGUGUUCGGUCUUUAUAAUAACGGGCAGAACAAUGCCCUAAGCCCCUAGUGUCCAGGUACGGGCGAGGUCCUCUGACAUGGCCGAUGCCAAAAUGCCAGUCUCCUCUCUGGUUAUAAUGAGAAUCCAGGGGAUUAUAGCAACAAGAGACAGUAAGAAAGGUUUACGCAGGGUCUUAAUCUGAAAAGAAUCCUUGAAAUGGGUCCCUACUGCACGUCUGCGCCUGUGUCUCCGUUGUGCCGUAUCCUGGACGGGUGUGCAUGUUGUUCAUCUGUAAAAAGAGAGGAACUUAGUUUGAAAACAAAUCGUGCGAAAAGUGCAUAAAGAAGUGAAAUAUUAAUAAAUUAAUAAAGCUGAGACUAUAUGAGCUCAUUAUUGCUUAUAUGCACAGCCCCUUGUGAAGGGGUGUGCGGCUAGGGAGCCCCUAGCUUAUUUGUGCCGGACUCGUCUAGCCGUGUCCGGGGUCUUUGAAUGACCCUUUAAUGAGAUGAUGCCACGUGGACCGGGCAUUUUAAGUGUAAGAGACGCGUAAUGUGGUAUUGCGUUAAAGCGGACAAAAGCUUCACGUCCCAAUAGUGCUUGAUAGCCACUUUUAAAUGGGGCGACAUGAAAGAUUAGCUUUGCGCAUCGGAAGUUGUCGGGUGACCCGAACACAACUUCUAGUAGUAAGGAGCCUGUGCACUUGGCGUAAGGGCCUGGCGCCACUCCUUUGAAGGAAGUGCGGCUAUGUCGAAUUUUAGUAAGAUCUAUCCCCAACUUGCGGAUUGUGUUCGGAUAUAGCAGGUUUAAAUCGCUGCCUCCGUCCAUCAGGACUUGUGUAAAUUGCAGUCCAUCGAUUAUAGGAUUCAAUAUCAGAGCAGUCCAUCCUGCGUUUCGAAUACUUCUGGAAUAAUCCAGGUGGUCAAAAGUGAUUGGUUUUGACAUCCAAUCUUGAAGUUCCGCUGGGGUGGACCGUGCGACACCUAUCUUAGCGGCUGACGCAUUGUUUUUCCGUACUAUCACAUGAAGUGAGUUUACUGCUUCGACUUCUUGAGGGAAAGUCUUUUGUUUUCCGGUGCUCUGCUGGUGGGGUUCAUCAUCGUCCUUGCUUGGCGCGUUGAGCCCCUUGUGUUCGGCGUUGAGUCUGCCGGACUAUUUAAAAACCCAACGAUCUCGGUGGGUGUGGUUUGCAGGCCUUCCGGAGGUACUGUGGAUUUGACAUAUCCGAUCCAAGAUGUUGUUUAAGUUGGAUAGCUCAUCACUGUUGUCCUUAAGAGGCAUCGUUUUAUUGUUUGGCCGCGAGCUUUUGAAUCCGGCGUUGACCGCCGUGUUCUUUGGGCUUUUUUCUUUAUUCCGGUGUUGAUCCUUUCUGCGUCGUGAUUUUCCGUUUCCAUCUCUGAUCUCGGAUGUACUCGGGUCGCCGGAGCUGCAUCUUGCUAGCCAGCUGUCUUCCCCCGCGCAAAAGCGGGUCAUGAGGCUUGUUAGCGCGGCCAUUGUCCUUGGCUUCUCUUGGCCGAGGUGUCUGGCGAUCCAUUCAUCUCGGACGUUGUGUUUAAAAGCUGCUAAGGCUUCGGCGUCCGGACAGUCGACUAUUUGGUUCUUUUUAGUAAGGAACCUGUUCCAGAAUUUGCGCGCUGACUCUCCGGGCUGUUGAGUUAUAUGACUUAGAUCGUCUGCAGCCGGAGGGCGGACAUAAGUCCCUUGAAAAUUUGCUCUAAACGCGUCCUCAAGCUCUUCCCAACUUCCAACAGUGUUUUCUGGGAGGCUUUUGAGCCAAUGCCGAGCUGGCCCUUUGAGCUUGAGGGGUAGAUAUCUUAUGGCGUGGAGAUCAUCUCCUCUAGCCAUGUGUACGUGUAGUAUGUAAUCUUCUAUCCAGACUCCAGGGUCUGUUGUUCCGUUGUAUGCCUCUAUGUUUAUGGGUUUGAAUCCUGCUGGAAAUUCAUGGUCCAGCACCUCAUCGGUGAAGCAUAGUGGGUGUGCGGCGCCCCUGUAUUUGGGUGUGCCGCUGUCUUCGAACACUUGGCGUGUUGUGUUGCUUCCUGGGCCCCUCUUUUUUGGCCCGUAAAUGGACCUGGCUGGGCCAUCUGUUUUCCCCGGAUCAUGAGUCGGCUUGUGUGCGGCGCCGCUUAUCGCUUUUGGCCUGUCGUUUGGCCGUCAAUCCGGCCAGCGGCCUCUUUGUUCUAUGACUGUGGGGGCUCUAUGGCUUCCUCGUCAAAUUCUGGCAGCAUCUUGCGCUUCGGGUAGCUCUUUGUUUGGUGGCCAUUGCCAUAUUUGUCUGCGGUCUUGAGUACUUUGCUCCACCUCAUUCUGAGUAUGUCUUCCGCUAUUUUGAGCUUCCGUUUUUCCUUCUUCAGACUUCUUGCAGUGGCGACGAGUCUUUUGUGAAGGUUCUUAUGCUCCGGUGUUGUGUCCGGCGUGAGGUCGUCCGGACUGUUGGUUUCGCCGGGCAUGGAUUGAUUAUCCGGUUCGUCCUGUUCGGACGGUUGCUUGGUUGCAUGUUCGUCGUCCACUGGUUUGCCCUGCUCUAUUGCUGGGUCAUUAGGAAUGAUGUUUAUGUCGAGGCGGGACUUAGGGCGGCGUCUGCGUCGCCGUUUUGGUUGUUUGUCGGCGGGAUUAUCCUUUGCCGCGCCCCGUUGUUCCUCGUCAUCGCUUCCUUUUGGGGUGUCCACCAUAUAUAUGUCGUAUGACGAGGUGGUCUUCCAGUGCCCUGUAGGCGCUGGUUCUUGAUCGUCUCCGGCAUCGUCAUCCAUACCGUCGAUGUCUUCAGAGUCGUAGUCUAGCAUGUCGGUUAGAUCGUCGACAGUGGCUACAAAGUGGGUGGUGGGUGGGCUUUGAAUUUCUUCGUCGUCCGCAUCCCAACCAUCCUGGCCGUAGUCCAGCGAGGGCUCUCCGGAUAGCGAGAGAUGCUUAGCAAAUUUAGGAUGUCGCCAAAGGGUGAGUGCUGAAAGAUGUCCGCAGCGGUGAACUCCAUAAUCGGCGCCCAAUCAGAUUCGAUUGGCAGGGGCGCAGGAGGUUCGGAGUCCGGCAGGGAGUCCGGCGGGGAGUCCGGCACCUUGGAGUCACGGGCUUUAUAAGGGACGAGGUUAGUGUUCGGCUCCAUUGCCGUGGAAGUUGUAGCUCCCGAGGCGGUGUCCAACCACCCGUCCUCGAUCUGCGCGAUCGGCUCCGGACUAUGGGUUGGAGCGGAUUUGUGUGCAGCCUCCAAGGUACUGUCCGGCGGCAGAGUUAGGUCAUGCCCAUCGAGACAGUGCGGCACGCUCGGCUGCGGCUUGGAUCCAUCGAAGAUCAAGUCUCCGCGGAUAUCCGCCGUGAAGUUUAGGCUUCCAAAUCUGACCUGAUGGCCAGGGGCGUAGCUUUCGAUCUGCUCCAGAUGGCCAAGCGAAUUGGCCCGCAGUCUGAAGCCGCCGAAUAUGAAGAUCUGUCCGGGGAGAAAAGUCUCACCCUGGACGGCGUUGUUGUUGAUUGAAGAAGCCAUCAAGCCUAUCGGUGAUGACACAGAGGAACUCUCAAUGAAAGCACCAAUGUCGGUGUCAAAACCGGCGGAUCUCGGGUAGGGGGUCCCGAACUGUGCGUCUAGGCGGAUGGUAACAUGAGACAAGGGACACGAUUUUUUACCCAGGUUCGGGCCCUCUCGAUGGAGGUAAAACCCUACGUCCUGCUUGAUUAAUAUUGAUGAUGUGUAUUACAAGAGUGGAUCUACCACGAGAUCAAGGAGGCUAAACCCUAGAAGCUAGCCUAUGGUAUGAUUGUUGUAAUGGUUGUGUUGUCCUACGGACUAAAACCCUCCGGUUUAUAUAGACACCGGGAAGGGCUAGGGUUACACAGAGUCGGUUACAAUGGUAGGAGAUCUACAUAUCCGUAUCGCCAAGCUUGCCUUCCACGCCAAGGAAAGCCCCAUCCGGACACAGGGUGAAGUCUUCAAUCUUGUAUCUUCAUAGUCUUGGAGUCCGGCUGACGACAAUAGUCCGGCUGUCCGGACACCCCCUAGUCCAGGACUCCCUCACCCGUCCUCGCCAAUCUCCAUGGGGAUCUGCUCCCCCAUGUGUCCGACAGCGGAGGUCUCGCCUUGCGGCGCCUCUUGGACAGCGUCCUGGGCCCCUCCCUGGCCCGGAACAGUCCUCCAGGACAACACUUCGGUGUCAUCCUUGGCCUCGGGAGAAUAAGCGGGCGGCGGCGACAUGCUGGCCAUUUCCGCCGGAUCCAACAAACCCCCAGAUGAGGAUUGCUGGAUGCUGUCACGGGCCAGACUGCAAUACCACAAUUAACCACAUCAAAACAAUAAAAGGAGAGGCUGGGUACACUUGUAUGCGUAAGCUAUAGUACUUACGAUGCGGCCUGAGGCUUAGUGCGGAGGCGUCGCUCCGGACUGCUAUCAACGUCCCACACGGUGUUGACCGCAGGGGCACCCUUCCCCUUCUUGGGCAUUCCCGCCUCCAAAUUUGUGGAGGCCCCCCUCUUCUUCUUUCCCUCCUCAGGGGGAGGAUUCUUCUCCUCCUCCUCCUCUUCCUCGUCAUCGUCCUCAGGGACGGAGGAAUGAGUUUCUUCAUCUUCGAAUGUCACGUCCGAGGCGCCCUUGCGACGGGGCCACUUUUGCCCCCUAGCCUUCUUCUCCAGUGGCUUAUACCGUGGCGGCACCAGCAUCUUCGCUAGACGCAGGAUGGCUGGUUCUUUAGGUAGCGGAGCCGGACACUAGAUCCGCUUCGCCCUCUCCGUCCAAUCCUGAAAUAGCAAUGGUAAAAGCUCAAACAUCAUCCUCGAAGCAAACAAGUAGGGGAUACGUUAAGUAUAGCAUACCUCGCUGGCGGGGUGUUUAAUGUCGUGCCCGCGGUCUGAAUCUGUGGCCGGCGGUUUCUCGUUGCCCUUAAAGAGCAACCUCCAGGCACCUUCGUGAGUGGUUUCGAAGAGCCUCAACAGGGUUUGGUGCUUCUUCGGAUUGAACUCCCACAGAGGGCGACUUCUGCGCUGGCACGGGAGUAUCCGGCGAACCAGCAUCACCUGAAUUACAUCGACAAGCUUGACGUUCUUGGCUAUCAUGCUUUGAAUACGCGUCUGCAGCGCAAUCAGCUCAUCGGGCGAACACCAAUUCAGACUCUUCUCCACCUAGGAGGUGAGUCGCAUGGGAGCACCGGAGCGGAAGUCGGCAGUUGCGGCCCAGGUGGUGCCGCGGGGUUCCGUGAUGUAGAGCCACUGUUUCUGCCACUCCUUUACUGUAUCCACAAAAGUGCCUUUCGGCCAGGAGACAUUGGAUAGCUUACUCACCAUGGCUCCUCCGCACUCCGCAUGCUGGCCAUCCACCACCUUCAGCUUCAUGUUGAAAACUUUGAGCCAUAGCCCGAAGUGAGGUUGGGUGCGGAGGAAGGCCUCACUCACGACGAUAAACGCCGAAAUGUUAAGGAAUGAGUUCGGGGACAGAUCAUGGAAAUCUAUCCCGUAGUAAUACAUCAGCCCGCGGACGAAUGGGUGGAGAGGGAACCCGAGUCCGCGGAAGAAAUGAGGUAUGAAUACCACCCUCUCGUUGGGCUCCGGCGUGGGGACGACUUGUCUCUCGGCCGGUAGACGGUGGGCGAUUUCCUUCGCCAAGUAUCCGGCCGCCCGAAGCUCAGUAAUGUCCUCCUCCUUGACGGAGGAGACUGAGGGAGUCCUAGACUAGGGGGUGUCCGGAUAGCCGGACUAUCAUCGUCGGCCGGACUCCAAGAUUAUGAAGAUACAAGAUUGAAGACUUCGUCCCGUGUCCGGAUGGGACUUUCCUUGGCGUGGAAGGCAAGCUUGGCGAUACGGAUAUGUAGAUCUCCUACCAUUGUAACCGACUCUGUGUAACCCUAGCCCUCUCCGGUGUCUAUAUAAACCGGAGGGUUUUAGUCCGUAGGACGAACAACCAUUACAACAAUCAUACCAUAGGCUAGUUUCUAGGGUUUAGCCUCCUUAAUCUCGUGGUAGAUCCACUCUUGUAAUACACAUCAUCAAUAUUAAUCAAGCAGGGCGUAGGGUUUUACCUCCAUCAAGAGGGCCCGAACCUGGGUAAAAACAUCGUGUCCCUCGUCUCCUGUUACCAUCCGCCUAGACGCACAGUUCGGGACCCCCUACCCGAGAUCCGCCGGUUUUGACACCGACAUUGGUGCUUUCAUUGAGAGUUCCUCUGUGUCGUCACCGAUAGGCUUGAUGGCUUCUUCAAUCAACAACAACGCCGUCCAGGGUGAGACUUUUCUCCCCGGACAGAUCUUCGUAUUCGGCGGCUUCGCACUGCGGGCCAAUUCGCUUGGCCAUCUGGAGCAGAUCGAAAGCUAUGCCCCUGGCCAUCAGGUCAGAUUUGGAAGCCUAAACUUCACGGCCGACAUCCGUGGGGACUUGAUCUUCGACGGAUUCGAGCCAUAGCCGAGCGUGCCGCGCUGUCAUGAUGGGCAUGAUUUAGCUCUGCCGCCGGGCAGUGCCCUGGUGGCCGCACACGAAUCCGCUCCAACCCAUAGUCCGGAGCCGAUCGCGCAGAUCGAGGACGGGUGGCUGGACACCGCCUCGGGAGCUGCAACUUCCACGGCGAUGGAGCCGAACACUGACCUUGUCCCUUACAAAGCUCGUGACUCCGAGGUGCCGGACUCCCUGCCGGACUCCGAACCUCCCGUGCCCUUGCCAAUCAAAUCCGAUUGGGCGCCGAUCAUGGAGUUCACCGCUGCGGACAUCUUUUAACACUCACCCUUUGGCGACAUCCUAAAUUCGCUAAAGCAUCUCUCGCUAUCCAGAGAGCCCUGGCCGGACUACGGCCAGGAUGGUUGGGAUGCGGACGACGAAGAAAUUCGAAACCCACCCACCACCCACUUUGUAGCCACUGUCGACGAUCUAACCGACAUGCUAGACUAUGACUCCGAAGACAUCGACGGUAUGGACGACGAUACCGGAGACGAUCAAGAACCAGCGCCUACAGGGCACUGGAAGACCACCCCAACACAUGACGUAUAUAUGGUGGACACCCCAAAAGGAAGCGAUGACGAGGAACAAUGGGGCCCGACAAAGGAUAAUCCCGCCGACAAGCAACCAAAACAGCGACGCAGACGCCGCCCUCAGUCCCGCCUCGACAAAAAAAGCGUUCCUAAUAACCCAGCAAUAGAGCAGGGCAAACCAGUGGAUGACGAACAUGCAACCAAGCAACGGUCCGAACAGGACGAAUUGGAUAAUCAAUCCAUGCCCAGCGAAACCAACAGUCCAGACGACCUCACACCGGACACACAUCCAGAGCAUAAGAGCCUUCACAAAAGACUCGUCGCCACUGCAAGAAGUCUGAAGAAGGAAAAAUGGAAGCUCAAAACAGCGGAAGAAAUACUCAGAAUGAGAUGGAGCAAAGUACUCAAGACCGCUGAGAAAUAUGGCAACGGCCACCAAACAAAGAGCUACCCGAAGCGCAAGCUGCUGCCAGAAUUUGACGAGGAAGCCAUAGAGCCCCCACAGUCAAAAAACAAAGAGGCCGCCUGGCCGGAUAGACAGCCAGAUGACAGGCCAAAAGCAACAAGCGGCACCGCACACAAGCCGACCCAUGAUCCUGGGAAAACAGAUGGCCCAGCCAGGUCCAUUUACGGGCCAAAAAAGAGGGCCCCAGGAAGCAACACAACAUGCCAAGUAUUCGAAGACAGCGGCACACCCAAAUACAGGGGCGCUGCACACCCACUAUGUUUCACCGAUGAGGUGCUGGAUCAUGAAUUUCCAGUAGGGUUCAAACCCAUAAACAUAGAGGCAUACGACGGAACAAUAGACCCUGGAGUCUGGAUAGAGGAUUACAUACUACACAUACACAUGGCUAGAGGAGAUGAUCUCCACACCAUAAAAUAUCUACCCCUCAAGCUCAAAGGGCCAGCUCGGCAUUGGCUCAAAAGCCUCCCAGAAAACACUGUUGGAAGUUGGGAAGAGCUUGAGGAUGCAUUUAGAGCAAAUUUUCAAGGGACUUAUGUCCGCCCGCCGGAUGCAGACGAUCUAAGUCAUAUAACUCAACAGCCCGAAGAGUCAGCGCGCAAAUUCUGGAACAGGUUCCUUACUAAAAAGAACCAAAUAGUCGACUGUCUGGACGCUGAAGCCUUAUCAGCUUUUAAACACAACGUCCGAGACGAAUGGCUCGACAGACACCUUGGCCAAGAGAAGCCAAGAACAAUGGCCGCGCUAACAAGCCUCAUGACCCGCUUUUGCGCGGGGGAAGACAGCUGGCUAGCAAGAUGCAGCACCAGCGACCCGAAUACAUCUGAGAUCAGAGAUGGAAACGGAAAAUCACGGCGCAGAAAGGAUCAACGCCGGAAUAAAGGAAAAAGCCCAAAGAACACAACAGUCAACGCCGGAUUCAAAAGCUCGCGGUCGAACAAUAAAACACUGCCUCUUAAGGACAACAGUGACGAGCUAUCCAACUUAAACAAAAUUUUGGAUCGGAUAUGUCAAAUCCACAGUACCUCCGGAAGGCCUGCAAACCACACCCACCGAGAUUGUUGGGUUUUUAAACAGUCCGGCAGACUCAACGCCGAACACAAGGGGCUCGACGCACCAAGCGAGGAUGAUGACGAACCCCACCAGCAGAGCACCGGAAAACAAAAGACUUUCCCUCAAGAAGUCAAAGAAGUAAACUCACCUCAGGUGAUAGUACGGAAAAACAAUGCGGCACCCGCUAAGAUAGGUGUCGCACGGUCCACCCCAGCGGAACCUCGAGAUUGGAUGUCAAAACCAAUCACUUUCGACCACCUGGAUUAUUCCAGAAGUAUUCGAAAGGCAGGAUGGACUGCUCUGAUAUUGAAUCCUAUAAGCGACAGACUGCAAUUUACACAAGUCCUGAUGGACGGCGGCAGCGAUUUAAACCUGCUAUAUCCGGACACAAUCCGCAAGUUGGGGAUAGACCUUACUAAAAUUCGGCGUAGCCGCACUUCCUUCAAAGGAGUGGCGACAGGCCCUUACGCCAAGUGCACGGGCUCUUUACUACUAGAAGUUGUGUUCAGGUCACCCGACAACUUCCGACGCACAAAGCUAAUCUUUCAUGUCCCCUCAUUUAAAAGUAGCUAUCAAGCACUAUUGGGACGUGAAGCUUUCGUCCGCUUUAACGCAAUACCACAUUACGCGUCUCUUACACUUAAAAUGCCCGGUCCACGCGGCAUCAUUUCAUUAAAAGGUCAUCUAUGACCCCGGACACGGCUGGACGAGUCCGGAAUAAAUAAGCUAGGGGCUCCCUAGCCGCACACCCCUUCACAAGGGGCUGAGCAUAUAAGCAAUAAUGAGCCAAUAUAGGCUCAGCUUUAUUAAUUUAUAUUUCAAAUUUUUAUGCAAUUUCUCGCACGAUUUCUUUCAAACUAAGUUCCUCUCUUUUUACAGAUGAGCAACAUGCACACCCAUCCAGGAUACGGCACAACAGAGACACAGGCGCAAAGGUGCAGCAGGGACCCGUUUCAAGGAUUCUUUUCAGAUUAAGACCCUGCGUAAACCUUUCUUACUUUCUCUUGUUGCUAUAAUCCCCUAGUUUCUCAUUAUAAUCAGAGAGGAGACUGGCGUUUUGGCAUCGGCUGUGUCAGAGGACCUCGCCAGUACCUGGACACUAGGGGCUUAGGGCAUUGUUCUACCUGUUAUUAUAAAGACUGAAUACCUUAGGGAGUGUUUGGCGUCUCGAGUUAGGCCUUAUAUGCAUCAGCUCUGAAUCAUGUCUUUGAUCAAAUGUUGGGUUUGCCCGGCUCCUGUGUUUUGCUGCCUUACGUUCCGUAUCAUCGGCUAACGCGGCACCAGGAGAACUACUGCGAUUGUGCCCCAGUUCGGCUGGGCGAGCACCUCAGUAGAGAAAGCCGAAAACUGACUGUCAUGAUACAUCGAGAGACUGGUCAACCACUCGAUCGACCACAGGAAUGUUUAGAAUUCCUCCGCUUUGAUGAAGGACUGUUUCCCGGUCAGGCACAUACACGCCCCGAAUUCGGAUAGCGCGGUGCCCCCAAGGGCUAUAUCGUAGCCCCACCCUCGAACUCCCAUGGCUAAGUGAAAGUGAUAAAGCAUUAUAGUCCGGUUGCCUCGUUCGCUACGCUACCACCUCCUUCACAGGACCGAGACGUCGGAUUAAGUGUGAAAACGCGCUAUUUUUGCGAACAUCCCGGCACCUUGUGCGUGGGGGCUGAAGCCGACGACUGCCAUCUUUCAGGUUAUACACACGUAUACAUAAACGGCCGCAUAGGAGAUAUUUCAAUACUUGAACGCACAAGUAUAAAAAGUGCCUACAUCAUAAACAUUGUUUUUUCAAAAUAAAAUGUUCAUUUGAACGUGACAUUUUUUGAGCACUGCGACUCUAUUACAUGAGCACCACACAGAACUUCCCCAAAAUAGUGCUCGGCGGGUAACCGGCUCUCGUCCGAACCCUGGGUAGCAACAGCGAUGGCAUCCAUCUCUGUCCAAUGUGUCUUCACACGGGCGAGUGCCAUCCGUGCACCCUCUAUGCAGGCCGACCGCUUCAUCGCCUUUAUAUGCGGCACCGCCCCAAGAAAUUGCUGCAAUAAGCCAAAAUAGCUCUUCGGCUUGGGCCUAUCCGGCCAGACAUGAGUCACGAUAUCUGUCAUGGCAAGUCCGGACAACCUAUUCAGCUCAGCCCACUCGGCCAACCGGUCGGUCAGCGGAAGUGAACGCUCCGGACUAUGGAAUUGAGACCAAAACAGUCUUCCGUCUUGUGAUCCUCCUGGCUUCGGAAGUGCACAACGGCAUCCGCCGCACUCGCUGCUAAGUCCAUAUAAGGAUCCUCCGGACCCCACAGCUGGCCAAGUGGAGCAUACUUAGGGCCCGUAAACUUUCGGCGUAGCAGAAAAGGCUGGCCAGCGACAAUGUCUCCGGCCUGGCGCAACUCUUCCUUCAUAGCCCGCAUUGCAGAACGGGCAUCCUUGGCUUCGGCGGUGGCCUUCCCCAGGUCUUCUCGCCCCGCUAGGCGCUCCUUUUCAAGAGCCUCAUUGUGAUCAGUAGCAUCUUUUAACUUCACGUCCAUUCCGGCCAUCUCUUCCCUGCUUCGGCAGUGUGCAGCCCUUUCAGCUUCUAACUCCUCGGCCGCCCUCGAGGCCGCCGCAUCACUCCUUCUGGCUUGCUCCUUGGCUUGAGCAAGUUCGGCCCGAAGGCUCUCCACAGCAGCGGCACCAUCUGCAUUUCACGCACAUGUUGUAAGGACUAGGGCUUCUGCUCCCUUACUAAGUGACCACAAAGAAACACUUACCUUGCGACUCAGCAAGUCGCCUGUUGACUAGCGCGAUGUCCGCAUGCGCAACGUCGAUUUGCCGCUUUAGUUCAGCAACUCCAUCAGUCCGGCUGGCCCCCGGACGAUCCGCCACCUGCAUAGGAACGGCGAAAAUUGAAACCUGCGAUUUUGAUCCUCGGCACGCUGUCGCUUUCGACAACCUACUGAGUCUCAGGGGCUGCUAUCUAUAUAGGGCACACUUCUAUGUGCAACACUGUCAAAAAGGUGUGUCAUUUUUACAUACCUCAAACCCCGCCAGCAAACUCCUGACGGCAUUAUGUAAUCCACUCUCGGCGGAUGAAAUCCUUCCAAUCACCAUACUCAUCAAUGCAUGGUGAUCUUCUGAGAUGGACGCCCUCUCAAGUAGAACCUUCAGCUCCCCCGGCCGAACUCUAUUCGGCACUGAGCUCCUCGGCUCUGCCGGGCUGGGGGAUACCCUCCGUGACGACACUUCGGGCUCGUCCGCCCUAUCCGACGGCGCAGCAGACGGAGGCGUCUCGCUCUCCAUCAUCUCCGGGCAAAGAUCCCCCGAAGACGAGCUCAUUUGCGAAGGACGGAGAUCCGAACUACAAGGUAAAAACUUGAGUUAGCCUCAGAAGCUCAAAUAGGGGUGUCCUUUAUUAUAAAACUCCCCUUUUUCUACUUACAGCUCGCUGGAGGGCUGAUUCUUUAAGGGAGACUGUGCGGCCGGGGACUCCCCGGACGCAGGACCCUCUGGUGAAGAUUUUUUCCCCCGCUUAGGGGCUUUGGCCCCCAGGUCCUCGAAGGCGGUCCUCUUCCCCCCUUGGAGGGAGGGAUUCUCGGUCCCCCCUCUUUGAAGAGCCUCCUUGGGCGAGGCGGUAGCUCCUCUAUUUUCCCCUUUGCCUUCCUCUGAAGGCGCAACCUCCAGCAUCCUGACCAGCACGGGAUCCGGCGCGGUCUCUGGGAGGGGGGCCAGACACCGUAUGAGUUUUGCUUGCGCUAUCCACUCCUGUUUAGAGAGAAAUUGGUCAAAAGGCGGAUCAUAGAAAGGCAAACAAAUGGUAUGUCCGGACUCGGAGCUACUUACUUGUGUAUCCGGGUGAUUGCAGCUUAGGCCAGCAUCCUCGGUCAAUUCCGGACACGCCUCUCGUGAUCCGAAGAAUAAUUUGUACAUCUCCACAGGUGUCAUACCCAUGAAGUGUUGAAGAAUCCGUGGUCCCUCCGGAUUAAACUCCCACAGCCGGAGAGGGCGGCGUUUGCAGGGCAGGAGACGCCUAAUCAGCAUAACCUGCACUACCACAACCAGAUCGAUCUCAGUUGCUUGGAGGUCUCAAAUCCGGCCCUGCAGUAGGGGCACGUCCUUUGACGACCCCCAGUUGAGCCCUUGGUUGACCCACGACAUCAACCGGCGUGGAGGUCCCGAGCGGAAUAAGGGCGGCAGCUUCUGCCUGUUGCCCUUCGGAGCGGUAAUAUAGAACCACUCCUGCUGCCACAAUCUGAGCUCCUCUUGGAAGGAGCCCUCAGGCCACGGGGCAUCGGCCCUCCUGCUCAUGGCCGCCCCGCCGCACUCUGCUUGACGCCCCUCAACCAUCUUCGGCUCCACAUUGAAAGUCUUCAGCCACAGGCCGAAGUGAGGGGUGACGCGGAGGAAGGCUUCGCGGACGACAAUAAAUGCGGAAAUAUGGAGGAUGGACUCCGGGGCCAAGUCGUGGAACUCCAACCCAUAGUAAAACAUUAGCCCUCUCACAAAAGGAUCCAUCGGGAAGCCUAAAUGCCGACGGAGGUGGGAUACGAAAACGACGUGCUCGCCGGGCUCGGGGGUGGGGAUGGCCUGCCCUUCGGCGGGCAACCUGUGCGAAAUCUCGUAAGACAGGUACUUGGCUUCUCGCAGCUUUAGCACGUCCUCCUCUGUGACGGAGGAGGGCAUCCACUGGCCCUGAAGGUCGGAGCCGGACAUUGUUGAAGGUCUGAAGCGCUCGAAUCUGGGGCUCUGGGUGUUGGAACUUGGAGCAAGGAGAAGAUUCGAUGGAGGAUUGAAGAAAAGAAACGAUCCUUGGUCCUAUUAUAAAGAGGGAGAAUACCAAGAGCCAUCUCCGUGACCGUUCGGGACUCGCCUUCGAUAGAGGGGGCGUGGCGACGGGCGUGGUUGGGUUACCCAUGUCUAUAUUGAUGAGGAUCCCGGAAUAAGGGGAAACACGAUCUCUGCUUUGACAAGACGUGCCAAGGAAACCGCUUCGCUAAAUGCGCUGAGGUGGUAUAAUAAAAAACGAUUCAAGUAAAGGCUUGGUAGUGGUGUGAUGUCAUGCCACAAAAUACGUCAGCAGAUUGAACUUGUGCACAUAUUAUUCUCUCUACGGUGGAAUGUGGAAUUUAUUUUUGCAGAGCCGAACACUAUCCUGGUGUUCACAAUCUUCUAUGAAUUAUUCGGAGGAGGAACCCGCCUUGCAAUGCCGAACAAUAUGCGCGCCGGACUCAUCGUCAUUGAAGCCUGGUUCAGGGGCUACUGAGGGAGUCCUGGACUAGGGGGUGUCCGGACAGCCGGACUAUCAUCGUCGGCCGGACUCCAAGAUUAUGAAGAUACAAGAUUGAAGACUUCAUCCCAUGUCCGGAUGGGACUUUCCUUGGCGUGGAAGGCAAGCUUGGCGAUACGGAUAUGUAGAUCUCCUACCAUUGUAACCGACUCUGUGUAACCCUAGCCCUCUCCGGUGUCUAUAUAAACCGGAGGGUUUUAGUCCGUAGGACGAACAACCAUUACAACAAUCAUACCAUAGGCUAGCUUCUAGGGUUUAGCCUCCUUGAUCUCGUGGUAGAUCCACUCUUGUAAUACACAUCAUCAAUAUUAAUCAAGCAGGACGUAGGGUUUUACCUCCAUCAAGAGGGCCUGAACCUGGGUAAAAACAUCGUGUCCCUUGUCUCCUGUUACCAUCCGCCUAGAUGCACAGUUCGGGACCCCCUACCCGAGAUCCACCGGUUUUGACACCGACAGAGACCAUCCACUUGCCCUGACCUCCAGAUCUGGACAUGGUUGAGUGUUAGAUCGAGUGGAAAGGAGAUGAGAACUUGGGCUCUGGAGCUCGAGAUUGGAAGGGGGGAUAUAGAGAAGGCGUGGGGGAGGAAGAGGGAGUCCUUAUCCCCUUAUAAAGGCAGUAAAUAUUGAGCGCCUACCCACUCGCCUUAGAAUUCACCUAUUCCCAAGGCCUGUGUAAAUGGCACGGUUGGGUUACCCAUGCCCGCAUUGAUGAGAAUCCUAUGAUAAGGGGACACGAUCUCUGCUUUGACAGGACGUGCCAAUGGCAACCGCGUCUCGGGAUGUGGAGCGUCGGGCAUGCAACAGUCCAGAAUUAUGACCAUCGGACGUGAUGUCAUGCUACAAAAAUUUGUCAGCGGAUUAGACUCGUGUAAAAUUAUAUUCUCUCUGUGGUUGUGUAUGGUGUGUGUGACAGGUCCGGAUACUAUCAUCGUGUCCGAAGACUAUCUUGGUGUACGGAAAAAGGGAACCCACCUUGCAAUGCCAAAGACAAUCUGCGCACCGUACUCCUCGUCAUUGAAGCCAGGUUCAGGGGCUGCUAAGGGAGUCCUGCACUAAGGGGUCCUCGGGCGUCCGGCCUAUUAUCAACGGGCCGGAUUGAUGGGCUGUGAAGACAUGAAGGCCGAAGACUGCACCCGUGUCCGGAUUGGACUCUCCUUGGCGUGGAAGUCAAGCUUCGCGACCAACUAUGAAGAUUCCUUCUUAUGUAACCGACUCUAUGUAAUCCUAGAUCCCCCCGUGUCUAUAUAAACCGGAGGGUAUAGUCCGGAAAGGAUACUCAUUACCAUAUUCAUACAUGCUAGACUUCUAGGGUUUAGCCAUUACGAUCUCGUGGUAGAUCAACUCUUGUAAUACUCAUAUUCAUCAAGAUCAAUCAAGCAGGAAGUAGGGUAUUACCUCCAUAGAGAGGGUCCAAACCUGGGUAAACAUUGUGUCCCCCAUCUCCUGUAACCAUCGACCUUAGACACAUAGUUCGGAACCCCCUACCUGAGAUCCGCCGGUUUUGACACCAACAGCCGCCGGGCAGGCGGGACCGCGUGGAGUCAUCGCCACGCAUUGCUCCAAGUAGGGGGCGCAGGGUCGGCGUCGGAGCCGAAGGUACCUGAAAAAAGGGAACACCGUCUCGACAAAAUACAUGUGCCUCGAGGUGUACACAUGAUGAGUGACAGGAUCAUAGCACCGCUAACCUUUGGUGCAAGAGGGAUAGCCGAGGAAGACGCAUGGGAGUGAACGUGGUGCGAGUUUGUGUGGAGUGGUGGACGCGGUGCUAGGAUAGCAAAGACAUCCAAAAUGCGAAGACCGUCAUAGGACAGCGGUGUACCGAAGAGAAGGUGGUGGGGGCGUAGUUCCACCGAGGACGACACAGACGGAUGUUAACUAUAGGGUGGCAGUGGCGAGGGCAUCAGGCCAAAACAAAGCAGCCACGUUCGAGUGAAAGAGUAACAUGCGAACACAGUCAUUAAGAGUGCGAAGAAUACACUCAGCUCAGCCGUUCUGUUGUGAGGUGUAUGGGCAAGUUAGACGGAAGAUCGUGUCAUGAGAGGCGAGAAGGGUGCGGAGAGCGACGUUGUCAAACUCUUUUCCGUUAUCGGUUUGGAGUGCAAGAAUGGGGCGACCGAACUGAAGGAAAUAUGCCCUAGAGGCAACAAUAAAGUUAUUAUUUAUUUCCUUAUAUCAUGAUAAAUGUUUAUUAUUCAUGCUAAAAUUGUAUUAACCGGAAACUUAGUACAUGUGUGAAUACAUAGACAAACAGAGUAUCCCUAGUAUGCCUCUACUUGACUAGCUCGUUAACCAAAGAUGGUUAAGUUUCCUAGCCAUAGACAUGAGUUGUCAUUUGAUGAACUGUAUCACAUCAUUAGAGAAUGAUGUGAUGGACAAGACCCAUCCGUUAGCUUAGCACUAUGAUCGUUUAGUUUAUUGCUAUUGCUUUCUUCAUGACUUAUACAUGUUCUUAUGACUAUGAGAUUAUGCAACUCCCGAAUACCGGAGGAACAUUUAGUGUGCUAUCAAACGUCACAAUGUAACUGGGUGAUUAUAAAGAUGCUCUACAGGUGUCUCCGAUGGUGUUUGUUGAGUUGGCAUUGAUCGAUCGAGAUUGGGAUUUGUCACUCCGUGUAUCGGAGAGGUAUCUCUGGGCCCUCUCGGUAAUGCACAUCACUAUAAGCCUUGCAAGCAAUGUGACUAAUGAGUUAGUUGCAGGAUGGUGCAUUACGGAACGAGUAAAGAGACUUGCUGAAAGUGCAACUAUCCCUAGGUGGUUUUGGUAAUUCAUAACAACAUAUAGCUCAUUGAGCUAAUGCUAUUCCAAGACAAAUAUUUUAGGAAAGCUCAAUGAAUGGCAUGGCAUGGAUGAUGAAAGUGGAUCCCUCAAAAUACGAAGGACAAAGGAUUGGCUCAAGCUCAAAAGCUCAAGACUCUUCAUUUUACUUUUUAGUGAUCCAAGAUCACAUUGAGUCUAUAGGAAAAGCCAAUACUAUCAAGGAGGUAUGAGGUGUUGCUUAAUGAGCCUCUUGCUUCAUGUGCUUAGUGAUAUGCUCCAAAUACCCUCAACUACUUUCUCACAUCCACAUAUGACCUAAACCCAAAGUCAAAAUCGGUCCCACCGAUUCUUUCUACCCGGCGCCACCGAGUUCAAAUGUCAUAGCCACUGCCACAAACCCUAGGCAAAUCGGACUUACCGAUAGGGAUCUCGGUCUCACCGAGAUGGGGUUGUGAUCUCUCUGUUUCCCUUCGUAACGUUUCGGUCUAACCGAAGUGAGUGAUCGGUCCCACCGAGAUUGCAAUGUAAACUCUCUAUUUCCUUUUCGUAACAUUUCAGUCUCACCGAAAUGAGCAAAUCGGUCCCACUGAGUUUACCUGACCAAAUCUCUGGAAAGCUUAUUACCAAAAUCGGUCUCACCGAGUUUGUGUAAUCGGUCUUUCCAAGAUUACGUUAUGCCCUAACCCUAACCAUAUCGGUCCUACCGAGUUGCAUGUCAGUCCCACCGAAAACCCUAACGGUCACUAGGUUUACUAAAUCGGUCCGACCAAGUCUGUUGAAUUGGUCCCACCGAGUUUGGUAAAUUGUGUGUAAUGGUUAGAUUUUGUGUGGAGGCUAUAUAUACCCCUCCACCUUCUCUUCAUUCGUGGAGAGAGACAUCAGAACAAACCUACACUUCCAACUUACCAUUUUUGAGAGAGAACCACCUACUCAUGUGUUGAGGCCAAGAUAUUCCAUUCCUAUCAUAUGAAUCUUGAUCUCUAGCCUUCCCUAAGUUGCUUUCCACUCAAACCUUCUUUCCACCAGAUCCAAAUCCUAUGAGAGAGAGUUGAGUGUUGGGGAGACUAUCAUUUGAAGCACAAGAGCAAGGAGUUCAUCAUCAACGCACCAUUUGUUACUUCUUGGAGAGUGGUGUCUCCUAGAUUGGCUAUGUGUCACUUGGGAGCCUCUGACAAGAUUGUGGAGUUGAACCAAGGAGUUUGUAAGGGCAAGAAGAUCGCCUACUUCGUGAAGAUCUACCGCUAGUGAGGCAAGUCCUUCGUGGGCGAUGGCCAUGGUGGGAUAGACAAGGUUGCUUCUUCGUGGACCCUUCGUGGGUGGAGUCCUCCGUGGACUCGCGCAACUGUUACCCUUCGUGGGUUGAAGUCUCCAUCAACGUGGAUGCACGAUAGCACCACCUAUCGGAAGCACGCCAAAAACAUUCGUGUCUCCAAUUGCGUUUGAAUCCUCCAAACCCUUCACUUUACUUUCUUGCAAGUUGCAUGCUUUAAUUUCCGCUGCUCAUAUACUCUUUGCAUGCUUGCUUGAAUUGUGUGAUGAUUGCUUGACUUGUCCAAAGAUAGCUAAAAUCUGCCAAACUCUAAAAUUGGGAAAAGGUUAAGUUUUUAAUUGGUCAAGUAGUCUAAUCACCCCCCUCUAGACAUACUUCAAGGUCCUACAAGUGGUAUCAGAGCUUCUGUCUCCAUUUGCUUUGAUUUCCAUAGCUUUUGGUGGUUAUAGUCUUGGUUUCACAACAUAGGAGAGUAUGGCAUCUAGUGAGGGAAAUUAUCACCGUAGAGGUCCUUACUUUGAUGGUACUAAUUUUGCUAGUUGGAAGCAUAAGAUGAAAAUGCAUAUUCUUGGACAUAACGCCGCCGUUUGGGCUAUUGUGUGUAUUGGCUUGCAAGGUCAAUUCUUUGAUGGGAGAGAGCCAAACCGUGAAGCUAGCGCGGAAGAAUUGAAGAUGCUGCAAUACAACGCUCAAGCUUGUGAUAUCCUCUUCAACGGAUUGUGCCCCGAGGAAUUCAAAAAAAUCAGCCGUCUUGAGAAUGCAAAGGAAAUUUGGGAUACGUUGAUUGAUAUGCAUGAAGGUACCGACUCCGUCAAGGAAUCCAAGUUGGAUGUGCUCCAAAGUCAGCUUGACAAGUUCAAAAUGAAGGAUGGUGAAGGUGUCGCUGAAAUGUACUCUAGGCUUGCUCUUGUCACAAAUGAGAUUGCCGGCUUAGGAAGUGAAGAGAUGACCGACAGAUUUAUCAUCAAGAAGAUCCUAAGAGCAUUGGAUGGAAAGUAUGAUACCGUGUGCACAUUGAUCCAAAUGAUGCCAAACUACAAAGAUCUCAAGCCAACAGAAGUCAUUGGAAGAAUUGUUGCUCAUGAGAUGUCACUCAAGGAUAAGGAGGAACUUCACAACAAGUCAAGUGGUGCUUACAAAGCCUCAUGUGAAGCCCCUACAUCAUCAAGUAAGAAACAAACCUUCAAUGAAGAAUUGAGCUUAAUGGUGAAGAACUUCAACAAAUGACAAAAGAUCUUCUAGUCAAGAGCGCAAUUGCUACAAUUGUGGGAGACCGGGACACUACUCCAAUGAGUGUACGACACCCUACAAAAUAAGAGAAGAUUCUCCAAGAAGAAGAAGCAAAAGAGAAGAAUCACCACCAAGAGAGAGGAGGAGUAGAGAUGAUCGUUAUGAACGAAGACCCUAACGGAGAAGCAAGGAUUUGGAAAGGAAGGACAAGUCAUCAAGGAGCUACACAAAACGAAGACAUCAAGCUCAUGCUGGUGAAUGGGUAUCCGGCUCCGACUCUGAUAAUCACUCUGAGAGAAGCUAUCACUCCGACUCCGAAUAUACUCAAGAUGAAGGUGUUGUCGGUCUAGCACUUGUGUCAACCAACUCCUAUGACAUAUUUGACUCACCAAAUGAAGGAAUUGGAAGAUGCUUCAUGGCCAAAGGUCCAAAGGUAACACAUCCCGAGUAUGUUGAUUUCAAUAGUGAUGAAGAUGACUUGCUAGGUGAUGACGAUUUACUUGUUGACAACUCUAGUGAUGAAUACUAUGAUGAAACGUCAAUUAAUCAUGCUAAUGAAGAUAAAACGAAUGACAAUGAUAAGGAGAAGAUUGAGCUUCUAACUAAAGAACUAAACACUCUUAAGUUAGCUCAUGAAACUAUCUUCGAAGAUCAUCGAGAACUUUUAAGAGCUCAUGAGAAGUUACGCUUUGAAAAGCUCAAUCUUGAGCAAGAGCAUGAGUUCUUAAAAGCAAUCAAUGAUGAUCUCCGUAAGAAAAGUUCUUCUUACAUUGCCAAGCGUUUACUCUUAUCCACUUACAUGCCUCAACUCAAGUCUAGUAACAAGUACAAGAAAGAUCCUUCCUCUAGUAGUAACAAUAAUAAUGCCAAAUCCAAUAUUGUUGCUUCUAGUAGUUCUCUUGAUUUCACUAAUGAUUCUCUUAGCCAAGUUACACUUGAGCAAGAAAAUAGCUUAUUGAAGGGAAUUAUAGAGAAAGGUGUUUACAAGAGCCUUGCCGGGAGUAAGCAAUUUGAGGAAAUUGUACGUAAGCAAGGAAGGCACCGGAAGAAUCAAGGUGUUGGUUUUGAACGAAAGUUCAAUGCCAAUGGAGUUGAGUGGGAAGAAGAUCAAUACCCCAAGACGAAGUUUGUUCCUCAACAAGAGAAGUAUGAUCCUACUUCCUUCAAGGGAACAAAAGCACAAGAUGAUCUUCCACCACAAGACCACAAGAACAAAGGCAAGGACAAGCUUCAAGAGGAGAUUGAUGCAUUUGAAGAAGCACCUAAGGCCUCGGUCAAGUGGGUUCCCAAGACUACGUCAAGUUCUACUUCAUCAAGUACAACUACAACUCCAAGGAUUCCCAUCAAGAUGAUGUGGAUCCCGAAGAAGAAGAACUAGAGAGUUCUUGAGGGUGACUCCGCCAACAUUCUUCACUCAUAUCAUUAUGGCAAGGACAAGUGAAAUCAACUUCCACAUCUUGCACUAGUUCAAGGAGUCACAAACCCUCAUGUUGGUAAGGCAAGGGACAAGGUAACCUAAUGAUUUCAUGGACAUCAUCUUGUGUGUGCAUCACUCUAUGUCUAUGGAUAUUCUUGUUUGUUCCUUGUGGGACUAACCCAUGUAGGUAUGUUGAAAAUGCAACUCACUCCAAAGGAUUGCUCCAAAUGAUUUACAUCAACAUUGAGCACCCACAUCUUCAACACCUACAUGAAGUCAUCAUCGACAAAACCCAAGGUUAGUUCAUCCCUCUAAAAGGGGAUCUCACAUCUAGGGGGAGCUUAACUCUAAGAAUUGAGUCAAAGCAACUCUAAUGGUGUGAACACAUUAAUGCAUUAUGUAAAAGUGGUAACCCCAUUUGAGCUUAAACGAUUAGUAUGACCUAUGAUCAAAUGUUCUCAUUUGAUUCCUAAGUCAAUAUACUCAUAUAUAGAUGACCUAGUCAUCGCCAAUUGUUUGAUAGAUGCUAGUAUUGGUUGUGCAUGCUUUGCCACAUAUUUCAUUUGCCAUCUUAUUGUGUGAGCAUGUUGGUUGCAUAUUUUACUCAUUCGAGGACAUCCACUUGUUGCUUUGAUUGUUUGGGUUCUUUUUCUUUUUGCCAAGUGGAUGGACAAGAAUGCCUAAGAACCUUCUCUAGCUAUCUAUGCUUUUCUCGUCUCAAACUCUAUUCAUGCUACAUCACAAAAUUUGAUCAAGUCAGAUUCGAACCACUCUGUGUGAGGAGCACUCGGAGUCCCCGAUUCGUCAUAGACUUAAGCUUCCAAAACCUCUUUGUGAUUCUCGGUCUGACCGAUUCCUCCAUUUUGGUCCUACCGAGAUCACUAAGUCGAUCUAGGUUUUCAAUCUCGGUGCAACCAAUUUGAACUUUUCGGUCACACUGAGUUGCAGUAACUGUAUACAGUUAUGCAUCUCGAUGCCAUCGAGUUGUUCCACUCGGUCACACCAACAGGGUCGGGCUAUAUAUACUCACGGGCAAAAAUUUGGAAAUUUCUCCGAACCUCUUUGCCCGCGCAAUAGCUCGCUCUGCCUCUAGGGUCUCCAGAUCAUCUCCUCGUCGCCAGCCGCCUCCUGUCGCUAGUCUCCGCCGCCGUCAACGGAUUUUGCCCCCGUCGUUGCCGUCGUAGCGAGUUCAUCGCCAAGCUAGGGUAUGGACUCGAUCACAGUGCUAUCCUCGUCCAAUUCCUAGCACAUUGUGUUCAUCAUGAUUCUUGCCACGAUUGAGACAUUCCUAUCCAGUCAAUACAAUCCUUAGAUUAGAUGGGAUUUGAAAAUUUAGGGUUAGGUUUCCGCCGAAACCAUCUCGGACCCACCGAGUUGAAAGACUCGGUCCCACCGAUUUGGCUAACGCCAUUGCACUAGUAACUCUCAGUCUGACCGAGAAAUGCUAAUCGGUGUGACCGAUUUGAAGACUUUGUGAAACCCUAGCAGUCUUGGUGCCACCGAACUGUGACUCGGUCCGACCGAGUUCACCAGUUUAGGUUCCAAAACUGCUUCAGUAUCACCGAGUUUGAAAAUCGGUUGAUCCGAAAUGCUUUCCGUGGAAAAAUAAAACUGAAUUUUUGAAUCAUUCUUUUGCAAAAAUCUCUGCAUUUUGUGAUGCUCAUCCAUUCUAUCUCAUCUAUAACUAUUCACAGGGUCAGCAGUCAGUGAUUUUCAGCAUGUCAGACCAAAGUGAUAGUCAGAACAUGUCAGAAGAGCACAAUCACAUGAGUGAGGGCACUAGUCCCUCUAGCACCUCAGAUGAUGGCAGCAGAAGCACCCCAAGCAAUCUGCCUAAAGCUGCCACUAGGACAAGGAAGAAGAGAACUUCAGAAUCUAAAGAUGAGGAUUACUUGGCAGAAGAAGAUGAGGCUACCUCCAAGAAGGUAGUGCUCAAAAAGGAAUAUGCCUCAGCAAAGAACACAAAGCCUGGACUUAAUAGGAAGCUUCCUGCCAAGAGGACACCUAUGCUGAAGGUCAGAGGAUCAACUCAAGUGCCUGAAAAGUCUGAACCCAAAGAGGCACCUGCAAGAAGAGUCACAACCUCCAAACCCAAGAAAGUUCCCACUAGAGAAACCAUGAAGUUUACCAUAGAAUCAGAAGAUGAAGCUGCUGGACAAGAUAAGAAGAAGAAGAGAGCCAAAACCACUACUGCCCAAGUUCUUGGAAAUCCCUCUAUGAGGAGAGACUCUGAAGAGGAAGAAGAGGCUGCUGCACCAGCACCCAAGGCACAAAAGCUAAUGGGUGAUGCUAUUAAGUAGGGGCUGCAACAUCAAAGCCCAAGGAAGCACCCAAAGCUGCCCUAGACCAAAGAUUGCACCAAAGAGGAAUACUAGGAGUAUUCCAGCUGCUGAGAAGAACAAGGCCCCAGUGCCUGAAGUUGCUGAUGAGGCAGAUGAAGAAGGACAAGUCCUGAGGAAGCUCAAACCCAAUAUUCUAGACAACAAUGAUGCUCAUCCUGUGGCUGAGAACAUGAAAAUCAAGAGAGAUUCAGGGUUGAGGCUAUGGAGAGAGUCUGAUCCAUAUGCUACCGGGAGAAGAACUGCUGUUGAUUACAGGUUCCACACUAAGGAACAGCAGGACUUCUAUGAGACAGUGCUGUUGGACAAGAAGUCCAUAGUUUGUGAUAUGAGGUGGGUCGACUGGACCUACAUGAAGGACAAUGAGGAACACUAUCCAGGAGUGCAAGACAGUUUUGUUGCUUGUGGAGUUGCAGACUUUGUUGGGCAGAAGCUCACAAAGUGGAAUGAUGAGAUCAUUAUGCAAUUCUACUCCACAACACACUUCUAUCCAAAUGGCAGGAUAGUUUGGAUGUCUGAAGGUACAAGGUACCAGUCAACAAUUGAGGAAUGGGCUAGUCUGAUCAAUGCCCCAAAGGAAAGUGAAGAUGACUUGGAUGUUUAUGCCAAGAAGAAAAUGGACCACAAUUCCAUGGCUCACAUGUACAAGGAGAUCCCAAACAAAGCUCUUGAGACUUUCAAGUUUGGGUCAGUCCACUUUCUUCUGUCAGGGCUGCCAACAAUCAACUGGAUCCUAAGGCACACUUUGUUGCCCAAGUCAGGUGACCACAACAUGAUUAGAGGGCAUGCUAUCAACUUGCUGCACUUGUUUGAUGUGCCACAAAAAUUCAAGGUCAUGAGCCUUAUUGUUGAGACCAUUAAGAGGACAGCAGCAGAUCAGAAGAGGAGUUGUGGGUAUGCCCCACAGAUUCAGGAGUUGAUUAACUCAAAGAUGGGCACAGGAACUUACUUGCUGGAUAAGGAACAUUUUGCUAUCUAUCCAGACUUUGAGGACAAUCAGGUUGUCAUGAAUGAGAAUGAACCUUCAUCAGUGCAAGCUCAAGAGGAGAAGGAGAAGGCAAAGAGAGAGAAGGCUGCCAAGAUGCCAACUCAAGAGGAGGCAUCUGAAUACUUCUUGAAGAAUAAGCAGGAACAACUUGGUUACUUGAUAGCAUCCACACUAAGGAUUAAGAAGGGGUUGGACACCCUAACUCAAAACCAGGAGAGCCUGGAAAGGAUCAUGGAACAAAAAUUCUAUGAUCUAGAUAUCAAAGUAACUGAGAUUCAGUCAGUUGUGGAGCAGCUUCAGGAUGACAUGCAGAAGAGGAAGGGCAAGACAACCACUGAUGCAUUUGCCAGAGUGCCUAGAGCUCAUAGGUCAGCUGCAGUGCCUGUGACAGACUCCAGAGCCACAUCAUCUGCACCAGCUACAGCUCCUACAGCUCCAGUGCAACCAACUCCAGCACCAACUCCUUCAACUCCAUCCACUUCAACUGAAGCCUUCGUCUAAGGAGCCAUCUCUACACCACCACCUGAAGAUCAAGCCUGAGAGUCGAUCUAGUACUAUGCAUUUUCUAUGAACUUUUUGGUAACUUGUUGCCAAAGGGGGAGAAAAAUGUAUAGAUCAUAGGAUUUGAGACAGAGUGUGUUGCUUUUGUUCUCUCUUGCUUUGGUGGUUAAACUUUGUUUGCUUUUGAUUGCUUGAGAUACUAUGCUAUUAUCUGUGAGACAUUGAUGAUCAUGUGUUUGAUCAUAAGCUACACUUAUGCAUGUUUGAUGAUAUUAUCUUACCUAUCCUUAUGUGAUCAUUCACUUUGCUUGGUGAUGAGUGCAUGUAUUCUAUCUUUAUCAUUUUGAGCGCUCCACCAAGAUGUAUGUGACAUGAAAGAGUAACCCAUGAGCCUAAUUCCUUGUGCAUUUGCAGUCCAAAGCAAAUUUUAAACUAUGCACAAAUUUAGGGGGAGCUCUUGCUUAUCACAUACUUCUCAAAGCGACGAUGUUGUUCAAUCUUAUUAUCAUUUGUCGAAGCUUUGAUCUAUAUGUUGUCAUCAAUUACCAAAAAGGGGGAGAUUGAAAGUGCAACUAUCCCUAGGUGGUUUUGGUAAUUCAUAACAACAUAUAGCUCAUUGAGAUAAUGCUAUUCCAAGACUAUUAUUUCAGGAAAGCUCAAUUAAUGGCAUGUCAUGGAUGAUGAAAGUGGAUCCCUCAAAAUACUAAGGACAAAGGAUUGGCUCAAGCUCAAAAUCUCAAGACUCUUCAUUUUAUAUUUUAGUGAUCCAAGAUCACAUUGAGUCUAUAGGAAAAGCCAAUACUAUCAAGAAGGGAUGAGGUGUUGCUUAAUGAGCAUCUUGCUUCAUGUGCUUAGUGAGAUGCUCCAAAUACCCUCAACUACUUUCCCACAUCCACAUAUGACCUAAACCAAAAGUCAAACUCGGCCCCACCGAUUCUUUCUAUCCGGCGCCACCAAGUUCAAAUGUCAUAGCCACUACCACAAACCCUAGGCAAAUCGGUCUUAACGAUAGGGAUCUCGAUCUCACCGAGAUGGGAUUGUAAUCUCUCUGUUUCCCUUUGUAACGUUUCGGUCAAACCGAAGUGACCGGUCGGUCCCACCGAGAUUGCAAUGUAAACUCCCUGUUCCCUUUCAUAACAUUUCGGUCUCACCAAAAUGAGCGAAUCGGUCCCACCGAGUUUACCUGACCAACUCUCUGGAAAGCUUAUUACCAAAAUCGGUCUCACCGAGUUUGUGUAAUUGGUCUUACCGAGAUUACGUUAUGCCCUAACCCUAACCAUAUCGGUCCUACCGAGUUGCAUGUCAGUCCCACCGAAAAGCCUAACGGUCACUAGGUUUACUAAAUCGGUCUGACCGAUUUUGUUGAUUCGGUCCCACUGAGUUUGGUAAAUUUUGUGUAAUGGUUAGAUUUUGUGUGGAGGAUAUAUAUACCCCUCCACCUCCUCUUCAUUCGUGGAGAGAGCCAUCAUAACAAACCUACACUUCCAACUUACCAUUUUUGAGAGAGAACCACCUACUCAUGUGUUGAGGCCAAGAUAUUCCAUUCCUACCAUAUGAAUCUUGAUCUCUAGCCUUCCCCAGGUUGCUUUCCACUCAAAUCUUCUUUCCACCAGAUCCAAAUCCUAUGAGAGAGAGUUGAGUGUUGGGGAGACUAUCAUUUGAAGCACAAGAGUAAGGAGUUCAUCAUCAAUGCACCAUUUGUUACUUCUUGGAGAGUGGUGUCUCCUAGAUUGGCUAGGUGUCACUUGGGAGCCUCAGACAAGAUUGUGGAGUUGAACCAAAGAGUUUGUAAGGGCAAGGAGAUCGCCUACUUCAUGAAGAUCUACCGCUAGUGAGGCAAGUCCUUCAUGGGCGAUGACCAUGGUGGGAUAGAUAAGGUUGCUUCUUCGUGGACCCUUCGUGGGUGGAGCCCUCCAUGGACUCGCGCAACCGUUACCCUUCGUGGGUUGAAGUCUCCAUCAACGUGGAUGUACGAUAGCACCACCUAUCGGAACCACGACAAAAACAUCCGUGUCUCCAAUUGCGUUUGAAUCCUCGAAACCCUUCCCUUUACUUUCUUGCAAGUUGCAUGCUUUAAUUUCCGCUGCUCAUAUACUCUUUGCAUGAUUGCUUGACUUGUCCAAAGAUAGCUAAAAUCUACCAAACUCUAAAAUUGGGAAAAGGUUAAGUUUUUAAUUGGUUAAGUAACCUACUUCAAGGUCCUACAACUGCACAAAUCACUUUUUUCUUAAGAGUGUUUUGUGCAGUUGUACUAAAAUGUCACACGGGCAACGUCUCUACAUUUAAGUGCGACUGCACAAAGGGAGAUUGGUUUCGCUCUAUCCUCCUCAUCCAACUCCGAGCCUAAUCUUCUGCAACUAGUUAGUCUUAAGAGAGACUGCAAAGGUGACCGGCUUCUAUUUGUAUGUUUAUUGUUUCAUCAGCAGUCCUCUAUUAUCGUAAUCACACUUAAUAUCUUUGGAACAGGGACGCUCAGCUCUUUUUUAGUGGAACUGCACAAAAUGAUCAGAAUGUUGCAUGCUCCAGACAACUACUUUUUUUCCCAACAUGCCUUGUUGAUUUAGACAGAGCUGGGGGGACGUUGCUGCCAAUGAAAGCAUGGAUCAAUUUUAAUUUAACACCUUCUCACAACUCUGUCUUCAGUUGUGAUGUAAUUAUUAGCUCUGAUCUGCUAAUAAUUGACAUGCAUUAGCAAGGAAGUUAGUUUUUUAUUGUUUCUGAAAGAGCAUCGAUGGCAAGACAAGCGAAACAAAAGCUGAAAGCUCACACCAUUGUACAAUUUCAUGUCGCUGGAAAAUUAUUUGUAUAGUACGUCAGUUAUGUAAACAAAUGAUGGAAGCUUGAUAGCAUUGCCAGAAGCCUCUUCAUCAUCCGGGUCCAUGUGCCAUGCACAAAAUUAUACUCCUUUGUUCCUAAAUAUUUGUCUUUUUACAAAUUUCAAAUGAGCAUAUUUUAGAGUGUAGAUUCACUCGUUUUGCUUCGUAUGUGUACUCCCUCCGUUCCUAAAUAUUAUAUUCGUCUUUCUAGAGAUUUCAGCAAGUGACUACAUACGGAGCAAAAUGAGUGAAUCUACACUCUAAAAUAUGUCUAUAUACAUCCGUAUGUGUCAGUCCAUUUGAAAUCUCUAAAAAGACAAAUAUUUGAGUAGUCACUCGUUGAAAUCUCUAGAAAGACAAAUACUCCGGAGUAUAUUUAAGAACCGAGGGGGUAGUGCACAACCGCAUGGGAGACUCAGCCCGGUCGUUGCGCCGCAUUAAUAGUGAGUAAUGAGCAGUCAAAUCAUAAGCCCCACCUUUUCCACUGUAAGUUGCUCUGAAGAAGCAACCAUGAAUACGCUCUUCUUUGAAUCUGCUCAUACUACUCCAUCCGUCACUGUUUAUACAACGCGCUUCAGAAAAAAGAAAAAAAAUCUGUGGGACCAAGGCGACUAGCGAUCGGCCUGAAAAAUAGCAUUGGUAGUUAUAGCACGGCGUCUAUUACUAGAGGGAAUAAUGCGUACACACAUGCAUGCAGUGCUUCCACCCCGGGUACACACAUGCAUGCACUUACUCCACUCCGUAGUAGUAAUACAGUACAUGGAGAGACAAUUGUGGACUUGAUUGCGGUUACCACGCCUUAAUUAAUUGAGCAUUAAACCAAACGCGUCUAAAGUCUCUCUGGUGGUGGAAAUGCAUUGAGAGAAAUGCAUCAUAAUGAAGCGCGCCCUGUAAACUGUGAUGGAGGGAGGAGUAGUAUGAAGGUGCAAAACCAAGUACGUGUAUGGCCAGUCGGUCCAUGCACCUCCUCUUGGCAUAUCACUGACAUGUGGGAUAGGAGUGUGAGCAAACCGAUCUCAAUUGACGGCAAAGAGCCAACCCGCCGUUCCUUGAGAGAGACGAGGAGCGAGAACACACAGACGGGCUCGCACGGAGGCCAAGAUAUAUUCGAGCAUGGUUGGUUGAUCGAUAUCAUUCAUUACAUGUUGGGCUGCCAUUUUCCGCCCUUCUUCGGAAUAAACGUGUACUUUAUCAGAGAUAAAAAAAUAAGAGUACAUACGCUCCACCAUGCGGUUCUAGUAGUAGUACUACUUGUACUACUGCGCUUGGAUCUUCGCCUCUUCGUGAAGUCGAACAAUGAUGGUACUACGCAUGUUGGGUACAAAAGUGUAUGCCUCUGACAAUCUGACACCGAAUGGACUGAUGCAUGUCCACCGAGGGUAGGUUGCAUUAGUCAAAAGGCGUAAGCGAGCUUCACCUUGUCCUGCAAGCUUCUCCUCGUUCUGCGAGUUGACGGGACACACCAAAAAGUAGUGCUAGUCCAUACUCCCUCCUUUCCGGUUAAUAUGGCUUAAUCUUUUUUGUGGGUAAAUGAGAGAGCUUUAUUCAUAUAUAAGCAUUCUUAGGAUGAUCAGCCAAGACACUAGUCACUAGAAAGCGAGGUACCCCGCAAAAAAAUAAGUAGGAAGUGAGGUGUUUCAUCAAGCCAGCUCUCGACCACAUUCAAAGUGCAGCAAGCACGGUUCGCACGAAGAUGCGCCGCAAGGUUUGCUAACCUAUUUACAUGCUGAAUAACAAAAAAAGAGGAAAUAUUACCGAGCGCUACUAUUUGUAACAGGAUAUGAGCCAGAAUUAAGCAAGAAUUGUGGCGAGUGUUCCAUGCAAUCAACUUCCAUUAUCACAUGCGAGAACCCUCGAAGAGAACCAAAUGUGUUGAAGAUUGCUUUAUCACAUUUUAAAAUUAUAAUAAAAGUGCAGACGCUCCUCCAUCCAGUUCCUAGUACUAGUAUAGUACGUACCUUUAUAGACUAUAGUAGUAGUACUAGUAAACUUUGCGCUUGGCUGUUCGCCUAUUCAGGAAGUCGAACAAUAAUAGCACUAGUAGUAUAGUGUAUGCUUCUGGCAAUCUGACAGCGGAUUAACUGUUGCACGUCCACCGCCUGAGCGAGGGAGAGCUUGCCUUAGUCAAAAGUUUCUCCUUGUCCUGCGAGCCACCACGCGCAAGCUUCUCCCGUCCUGCAACCUUCUCCUCGUUCGGCAAGUUGACGGGACACAGCAAAGUAAUGCUAGUCCAUACUGCCUCCUCUCCGGUUAAUAUGGCUUAAUUUCAAACGAGAUAAAUACACUGUCUGUCACUGUAUAUUUGUAAAAAUAUGGUCAGUGGACUUUAUAAUACGCUCAUUGCACUCAAUAUAUAUAUUUUCCGGUGUUUAUACGGUCACUAGCUCACUCUGACUGAGUAUGUGUGUGCAUGCACGUGUAGGUUGAGCACUUGAGUGUGACCGUGUGUGUUCUGUCGUGUGCUCGGACAUGCAUGCAUUAGGGCGUUGCGCGCGUUUUUGUGUCCAUGUGUACGUGUGACUGUUGCAUACACGUAGGGGGAGUACGUGUAGGGGCCACUAAGGAGCAGUCAAAUCCCACAGUAAGUUAGUCGGAAGAAGCAACCAUCAUUUCACUCUUGAAUGACACGUACGCAAUAUAAAAUGGUUGAUAUUGAGAGAAAAAGAAAACCACUAUAUAUACACUAGUAGGAGCCUAAGCUACAAGCCUCCUUGCUUAGGUUGCUCUCUUCACAAGCAUAGAACGACGGGCCUGAUCCCGCAGCUGGGGGAAGGGAACAAUGUUCUGCAUAGACGCGGUCGACAUUGGCGAGGGAGAAAACACACAGUUGGUGCGUCCCAAUCGGGGGUCACCGUGGUAUGGGCCGAUGCCGCGUCCCAACCGCCCUUCUAGCUAUAGCCCGAUGUCCCAGGUAGUCCAUCUUCCUUUUGGAGCCAGCAUGCUCCACUGCCGUAGCUCCAUCUCCAUGUCGAUCUUCCUCUACUUCUACCGGCUUCUACUUGUGAUGAGUUUAUGUCUCAUGAACUAGUGCCAGUACUAUUAUUCUAAUCACACUUCUUCAAUAUCUUUGCCAUCAGGGAUGCUCAGGUCGAUUUUAGUGGAACUGCACAAAAGCAUCGUAUGAUCUGAGGGUGCCAGCCAUCUUUCCUUCGACAGGUUCUACCUGGCCAGGAAAUUAGAUCAUGUUUAGGGUUCAGGGUUUAAGUCGUAGUGACCCCAUAAGUAGUUUUUCUUUCGUACACGCUCUCACAACUUUUUUCUUUAGUUGUGAAGUAAAUAUUGGCUAUGAUCUGUGAAUCAUUGAAAUGCAUCAGCAUGCGUGUUAGUUUUCCUUUGUAUUUGAUGGAAUGUUGUAACGGGGCAACCUUGGAAUAGGAAUGAAAAUGGAGUGGAAAGUUUCUGUUUUUCCGGAGAAAAAAUGGAAACGGAGAGAAACCAAUGUUUCGUUUAGUUGGAUCGCGCCAUCGAGCAAAACCAACGUUUAAAUCACGUCUGUCGUGUUCGUGUCUCACCCUCCUCCACGGCUCGACCCCACAUGGUCGCUCAGCAUGCCACUCACCGCAAACCGAGUAUACGAUAACUUUCCCGCCUGCUUGUCGAUGGAUCGCGCCAUGGAGUACUAGCACUACUGGAAGAGAUUGACAAGUUGGGGGAGGACAGCUAGUUGUAGCACGGACUCCCAAGAACUUUUUACAUGCAUGUUUUAGCCGGCUAUUGCGACCUUUGGACGCGGAGCAGCCGCGUGCACCUAGAAGCGGCACGGGCGACGCUCUCUCGACCGGUGUACCGCUUCAAUGCCGGCGCCAGUGAGAGGUCGCGUCCGCUCUGGCCGGGCAUGAAUGCGGCACUGACCGUUUUGGGCGGGAAGCACGAGUGGGUGAUGAAGAGGGUUUGGGUUGGUCAGGACCGGCCGUGGCAGCGGUCCGGACGUGCGCAAACAAGAGAUGAUGUAUGUUAAUAUUGCUUCGUAUAUAAUUAACAAUGUAAAUAAUGUGCUAGUUGGACAAAUAUGAUUGGAGAUGGAGAUGGAAAUGGAAUUUUACGUAAACACGGAUAUGCAUGUCUAUGUCUAUGUGUGUGUGCGCGACGACUCUCGCGACCUGGAAGCGGGGGCGUGUUUUUGAUCGAGUUUUCUUUCUUGGUACGUUAGAAAAUCAGUUUGUCUAAUUCACAUCUAGAUGUUAUUUAAGGAUAUCACAUCUAAGCUCCCACAAGUAUAUAAUGUAGCAACAAGAAACAAAAAAAACUAGGAAAAAAAUAGACCACAAAUAGAGUGGACAUCAACUUAGAUGUGACAUAACUAUGUCACAUCUAGAUGUGUCCUAGACAGACCCUUAAAAAAUUGUCCGUCAGUUUUCAUUUCUUUUUUCCGGGAACGCGCGUAUUCUAUUUAAAACCACUGCUAUGGAGAGAUUUUUUUACUCCAUUAUAGCCUCUUGUUUGAUAGAGUUUCUCGCGUCUCGCACUCUCACCCUCUCCAUAUCAAAACAAGAUGAUAGUGUCCACUCUAUCUCUCUCAUCACCGGUGGUCACAGAUCCGGCCGAGUCCCGUCCGCUGCAGGAGGUGAGGAGGUGCAGCGUUGACGUUGUCGCCGUCGGCGACGGAGGAAGCCGAUGCGCACCAUCCUCUCGGAGACGGCGCUAGCGCGGAUGAAGAUCGUCCGCGCCCUUGUUCGCUGCCGUCGUGUGGGCAGAUCCCGCCCGCCAGCCUAAACGACAUCUCGCCCACCUAAGGUAUAACUUCUUGUACUGGUCCAGCUUCCCAGGUCAUUGCGUGUGGGUUUUCUUCUAUGCGACUACUCCCCACCUCCCCAUGCAUAGUAGCUAGGGUUCGUCGGCUGGUCCAACAUCACCUACUGGUACUAUUAUAGAGUAAAUGCCACUCGAAAAGUUGUCCUGAUUUAUGCCUCGAUGGAGGUAUACAUGUUGUUUCGACAAAAAGUACAUGGUGGUUGUACGGUCAUUGUCCAUAUGGUGGUAGUACUAUCACUGGUUAAAUGAAGAAAUGCUUUUUUUCUCGGGUAUCCUGGUUUAGUUCCCAUCAAGAUAAUUAUGAUGCUUCUGUUUGUUGGUGUACUUUUCAUUAAUUCUUAUUGACAAUUGAGAUGUCGUUGCUAACCCUUUUUUAUAUUUUUGGAAACAGCGAUGCGUGUCUCCAUACCCGGGCAUGUCUUCCUCAAUUUUAGUGGAACUGCACAAAAUUGGAUGGCCAUUGUUGUUCUGCCUCACUGUCCUCUGCCACGUGGUUCUUCCUUCCUCGAGCUUGAUUACUGAGAAGAAACAGACCAUAGUGACGAUUUGUCGAACUUCAUAGGUGCCUCACCCAAACUUGAUGCCAAAUGGAUGAUGCAUCACCGCGAUGACCUAUCGAUGCUCAUGGUUGCGCCUCAUGGUUGCGUCGGCUGGUGAAGCUGAUCGAUUUUCAAUGAAAAACAAGUUGUCUUCCAUCAGUGCUCUUUGCUUGUUACGCACAAAGAUGAUAUCCUUCGUCAGUUCACCUUGGUUGCAUUGGAGACGCAGUCGUCUUUCGCGUUGGUGCAAUUUUAUCACACAAUUGGCUAUGAACCAAAUGUUUCCUCGAAGAAGGAUCGACGUUGGUACUAAGAGCACAAGUUUUGUAUUGAUUUCUAAGCCUUCUCACAACUUUGUCUCCAGCUCCCCUGUAAUUUUAUUUGUCCAGCUAUUAACUUUGAUUUAGAAAAUGGUGUGGACUAAAAACCCGGAUGGACAUAGUAGCCCUCCAUUUUUAUUUACUCCGCAUAUUAGAUUUGACUGAAGUCAAACUUUGUAAUAUUUUCAAACCUUUCCGAUAAUUGAAAUUAAAAUUCUUUAUUUGUACACACUCUCACACGUUUCCGAUAAUUUGGCGCAUGUGUGGUUGUUCACUUAAGGGAGGAUAGUGUACCACACGUGAAGGACAUGAAGUGCGACCAGGACGCGUGGGCGUGGAUCGUUAGUUCAUAGGAAGUAGUACUAGUUUUCUUCACUGUACAUUAAAUAAAGAGUUUCGUUUCGUACUUACACAAUUUAAAACGAUUGUUAUGGAGAGAAUAAGAAAACCACUCCACUAUAUAUUAGUCGUAUACACGAGAGUACUAUAUGGAUGCGGCUUCAUUGACUUAGUGCACCUGCCUUUGGAUUUAUGAUAGGUGGGCCCAAAAUGUGGCUGGCUCACUUGUCAUAAAGCCAAAAGCAGGUGCAGUGAAGGCACCGGAGCUCAGUCCGUACUACAGUAGUAUAUAUAUAAGCAGGAGCCUCAGCACUUGUUUGCUAGGGUUUGCACUCUCCACACGCUCGCUGCACUACAUAUAUGUUACACGCUGGAGGCUCGACGUUCAUUUGCUAGGGUUUGCUAUAUUCAUAGUCUCUCACCCUCUCUUCACCAGAUCUAAACAAGACUGCGUUGGCCUCUUGUCUCUCUCUCCCCCCUCACAGCUAGUGAAGGAGGCGUCUGUAUCCCGUCGCACCGGGAAGGGGAGGAGGUGCAGCGUUCACUCUAUCGCCUUCGGCGAGGGAGGCAAUCCACUGCCGGUUGCGUUGUUCUCUUUCACCCAGCGCCUGUGCGGGAGGGCCACCGACCCCUUCUUCCUCACUGUCGUACGUAGUGUGGGCAGAUCCGGCCUCCCAUCGCACGCCUUGCCACAUCCCAACGACCCUAAGGUAUAAGUUUCUUUGAAACCGUCGUUGCUCUAGCUGCAUGUGGAUCUUUUUCGAUCUGUAGUCGAAUCUAGGUCUUGGUUCAAAGAGGAAAGAAGGGUGCGGUGGGCUGGAGCAAGAAUCUAGGACGUGAUUCAAUGAGGAAAGGAGGGGCGGAAAGUAGUAUAGACUGGCUAUCCAGCCGCUUUGUAGGUCGAAAAGGGAAAAAGGGCGUAACCUAGUACACACAUCUGUAAGGAACCGAUCUCUUUGUUGAAAAGGGAAAGAAACUGGGGGGCCAGGUAGUUUGUGCAGGACUAUAUUUGCUGCCCUCACAUAGGAAGAAUGUUCAAAGAGAACAAAUAUGGGACCAGCGCAUAUAUGCUGCUUGGCAACAUACUCUGCAUCACCCAUUUAUAUGUGUGGACGCACAUGGUGCUGGCAUGUCCCAUACAACUAUUUUGCUAUUGUUAAUCUAAGAAUGCCGCCGGAAAAUUGAAGCAAUGCCACUAUUAAAAGUAAAUUACAUUUUUUAACGAAUGUUGUUUCAAGAGAAUGUCUCUGUUAAUAUGAAUCAAUGCAACCGUUUUAGAAAUGCUACUGUCCUACUUUGUUUUCCAUCCAAGAUAAGUUAGAUGCUUCUUUCUGUCACCGUUUGUUUCAUCCUCCUUUAUCGGCAAGUAAUUGUUUCUUUUUUGCCUCUGUUAAAACAGGGGUAUCGAUUCAACUUGUUGCUAUUGUGACAUUUUGCUUCGCUACUCGAAACACUUAUGUUUUAGGAGUGUUUUGUGCAGUUGAACUUGAAUGUCACACCGGUGACUUUGCUUAAUUUUGGUGGAACUGCACAAAAGGAGAUCGAGAUUUGUUUCCAGUCUUCGUGGCGAGUUGUUUCAAAUCUUGGUCUCAACCACAUGAUGUGCGGUGUGCUUUGAGAUGUUGUGCUACUUGUUUUGGUACUGUUUUAAAUAAAUGUUGAAUUGAAGCUAUUGUAUUGCUGUCUUUUCCCAUUAAGUAGUGAAAAAAAUGGGACCAACCCAGACAUGAUGCUUGUUGCUUUGUUACAACAAAUUCAGCAUCACCCCCUUUAUAAGCCAGUAAUUGAUGCCACUCUCAGAAUUAACUACUGAAUCUUAUUUCAAAACUGCAACACUUGUUAGGGAUUGGCGGGAUUGCCAUUUUUGUGGCCGCAUGUUUCAUCCUCCUUUAUUAGCCAGUAAUUGAUUCCUUUUUUGCCUCUGUUUAAACAUGGAUAUCUAUUCAACUUGUUGCUAUUGCGACAUUUUGCUUCACUACGCGAAACACUUUGCUUGAUUUCAGUGCAACUGCACAAAAUGAGAUUGGAUUUCCUAUUCGUGUUGGCAGAUUCGUAUGUGAUCUUGUGUGCGUCAUGACAGGUUGGUACUUGCCAUCAUCCACAUGAUCGUGCAAUGUGUUUUGAGAUCUUGUGCUACUUGUAUUGGUACUGUUUUAAGUAAAUGUUGAAUUGAAGCUAUUGUAUUGCUGUCUUUUCCCAUUAAGUAGUGAACAAAAAUGGUACCAACCCAGACAUUCUGCUUGUUGCUUUGUUACAACAAACUCUGCAUCACCCCCUUUAUAAGUAGAUGGAAGCGCAUACUGUUGUUGCACCCACUCUCCCCUGGAACUGUUUAUGCUUUUCGUUAAUCUAAUGCCGCUGGUAAAGUUAAGCAAUGCCACUCUCAGAAUUAAUUAACUACUGAAUAUUAGUUCAAAACUGCAACACUUGUUAGGAAUGGUACUAUCCUUCUUUGUAGUUCUUUCUACAUGUUUAACCAAGGUAUUGUUAAGAUAAUGUCUCUGUUAAAAUGAAUCCGUUGCAUUGUUUUACGAAUGGUACUUUUCUGCUUUGUCGUUCUUUAUACAUGUUGAAACAAGGCAUUGUUAAGAUAAUGUCUCGGUCAAUAUGAAUGAAUCACAUUGAUGGAGAAUUGCUACUCUCCUGCUUUGUUUCCCAUUAAGAUAAAGUAGAUCAGUAGAUGCUUUUCUUCUGGGAGUACAAGUCAUCAACCGUUAUUUCUCAGUAAUUGUUUCCCUUAUACCUAUUGUUGCUUACAUGGAUAUCAAAAUUAAAGCUCGGUUUUAUUCCGACUUUGAUUUUAGUUGAACUGCACAAAAGGAGCCAAUGUGUCCAAGGCAAACUGUUGCAUUACUGGGUCCAGUUGGUCGUUCCACUUUGCAGAAAGAAGCAGUCACUGUUUGCGCUACAUUACAGAAGGAAUGACCGAGAAGCUUUACAGAGUAUUAUUAGACACCGGUGACAUGACUAGUCUGCAGAGACCAUUGGCAAUUUAACAACACGUGGAGUGCCCUGGGCAAAAAGUGCCCAAACAAGUACAAGCUACGACAGGACUCCAUGAUCAUAGGCAUUACAUAUUUUGAAUGGGAAAAGCUUGUCAAAGUUUAAUCAUUGAUGUUAGUAAGAAGACGUUAGUUUAAUAUAUUGGAAUUGGAAAACCUUGUCAAAAUUUGCUCAUUGAUGUUAGCCAGAAGACAUGCAUUUGAUAUUUUUGAGUGGGACGCCCUUGCUGUGAGCAGCGUCGAGUGUUUUUUCCUAUUCCUGUGUUCAGUUUAGAAGUAAAUAGUUACUCUGCUGAGGUAUUCCUGUGUUAAGAGUUUGUUCUGAAUAUUGUCUAUGUAAUGCCAGGCCUUGUGUUUGAUUGCAAAGUUGAGCUUGGAAUGUUGUGGCAUGCGGCAUCACGAGCUGUUCACUGUGCCUCCUGAGAAUAAUGCUUCGUAUUGUUUUGCAUGUCGAUCUAAUGCCAGUGAUUUGCUUGUUAAGAAGAUCAUCCUCUUCUGUUGUUUCCGUGCUUAAGAAGUUCAUCAUCUGAUGUUUCAUUCAUAGCCUAUAUGACAAGUCGGGUAGGUUAGACGUGAAACCAUAUGAUCUUCCGACCAACUCAUGAUAUUAGGUCAUGAUUGGAUUGUCGUUUUCCAACCAAAACUGCUUGUAAAACUGAUGCUUGUAAAUUAAAACAGAUGGUCUCGGGCGAAGGCACUUGGUUGGUCGAUUUCGACUAGUAAAAUAUCGGAAGUACUUCACACACGAUAAAAAUGUUGAACGACACUCGUUACAAUUGCUAAUACAGCCGUUAGCUGCUGUUUCAGCCUUGCCCAUGGAUGGCAUGAUACGCACGUCGUGCAUGUAUCGUCUGGUAAUGUCGUCCAUAUAGCUAUGCUCAUAAAAUAUACACUGGUCUCUCAAAUUACACGUGUAACCCGCCGGUUUUACUUACAGACCUCGGGCCCUUAGUUUCAUUACGCCUGUAUUUUACGCGUGGUUUCCGAUGACGAGUAAAUUACACUUGUAUGUUAAUACAGGUUUGAAAUAAACCAGAGCUCCCAAGCGCGGCCUUACCGUUUCAUGUCGUCUCAGUUUCUCGAAGGUGCUCAUAGGUGUCCGAUGAUCCUGGCUUCCUGAAUGAGUAGCGGGCGCUAUAUUAGACCAUCCGUAGGGCCCGCGAGGCCCUCUCCGUUGUCCUUCGAGUUGUUGCACUCGCCGUGGCGCCGAGCAUUGUUAACAUCGUCAACGAACAUGAGGAUUCAGGAGAUGACUUUAUUUUGACUGGAUGACACUAGGGACCCACUAGGGCCAUAGCCGUACAUACGCAAGUGCCUCCUUAUUAUGUAUAAAUAUUUUUUUUUUGCUUUCUCCUAGUUUCCUGACAUCACGGUCCCACACCAUUGUCAACCUAUGUAGUCAAUAUAAACAAGAGAAUUGCACAAGGUGUGGCCGACAGCUAGGACCAAGCAGCUCGAGCAGUAUUUGUGUUUUUGAGGCGUGAGCACUGCAGAGUUUUUCUUGGCGGUGAUUUCGUUGUUGUUCAGAGGAGAGCAGGGUAUUAACUGGGCGGGCUGUGGCCCGUCUAGCCCAGGCCAGAUAUCCAGCCUAGAUACUAAUUUUUUCAAGAUGAAAAUGGCUAGCCCAACUAUACGUCUUUUUGAGGAAUACCCAGGCAAGGUCAACUUGUUAUUCUCCACCCCGCUGGGCUGCAAAUCUUUCCUAGGAGGGAUGCAUUAGGCUUAACAGGAAAAUGGGCUUUAAAAAUUAAUAAAUGGGAUGUAAUUAUAAAAAAUGGGCAGUAACUAUAAAAAAUGCACCAAACACGAAAUUAGUUAUAAAAUAUUAUUUAUGGAUUUUGAAAAUCUUAAAUUUUCAUUAUUGCGCGCACAAUGUUUCGUUGGAUUUUUACGUAAUACAAAUUUAUAUUUAAUCCGACUAGAAAUUUCGGGAUAAAAAUAUUUCGGAUCCCAUCAAAAUGUGGGAAAUUUUAUUGAAUUCUGUCUUGAACGGUUGGUUGAAAUUAUUAAUCGUUGUCCUAGCUAGAAAAUGGGUUGUACUUUUAACAAACUGUAAAUGGGCUGUUGUAAAUUCCAUUAGAAUUCAAAAAUGGGCUGUACAUUCUUACAAAACGCAAAUGGGCUAUAAGUUCUCUGCCACACACUUGUGGGCCUACUAAGUGACGUGUCCCCUAAAAAAAUAAGUUGACGCGUAUUCAAGGCUUUGUCAACUUAUUAUAGUCAACACACGGUUCUAGCAGCAGUGGCCGUUGGAUGUCUAUCCAACGGAUGUCGUGCUUCUUCUUCAAUCUCGGAUAUUCUUAGCUUCGGCCGCCCAAAAAAUGAUUCCUCCCCCUGACAUCUGGGGCGCACCGUUUUGGAGGCUGAACUGUGGGCCUACUAAGUUGGAGCGUACCAAGGGCUUUGUCAACUUAGUCAAUAUAAACGAUUCUAGCUUCAGUGACCGUACGAUGUCCAUCCAACGGUCGUAGUGCUUCUUCAACCUCUGGUCUUCUUGGUCCAGCCGCCCAAAGCAGCGCUGGUCGUGUCGCCUGCUCCUGCCUCCCGUGGCUGGCUGUGCUGCCGCGGAGGCCUCAUUGCCCCCAUACAACUCCCACUGCUGGACAGGCCAUCCCUCCACUCACCCACACCCCUUGUUAUUCUGUGGCGAUGGCAGCCAAACCAGUGAACCCUCGUACUCCUCUCCAUGCGGGCUUCCACUGCUGCGUCUUCCCCGGCUCUGCGUCAUCCCCUUCCUAGGCCUCGCCGUCGUCCACCACCCUGGUGCUCUCGGCUUGGCGUGGUGAACGUGGUCAAUGACCGACUUCCAUCGGAAGAGUACCGUACGUGGAGAGGCUGACAGCUUGGUCCACGGCGGCCGCAAGGAAGUGCCUCCUUAUUACGCGCAAAAUAAUUAUUCCUCCACCUGACAGUGGGGACCCACCGGACGGGCCACCUUAUUUUGUGAAAAAAACAUUUCCCCCCUGACUGUUGGGACCCACCGGACGGGCCACCGUAUUCUGCAAAAAAACAUUCCCCCCGCUGUCAGCUCGAACCCACCGGAAGUGCCUCCUUAUUACGCACAAAAAAAUGAAUACUCCCCCUGCUAGCUAGGACCCACCUUGGUGGGAGGCUGACUUGUGGGCCUACUAAGUUGACGGGGCCGGAGGGCUUUGUCAACUUAGUCAAUAUGAACGAUUCUAGCUCCAGUGACCGUACGAUGUCCAUCCAACGGUCGUAGUGCUUCUUCAACCUCUGGUCUUCUUGCUCCAGCCGCCCAAAGCAGCAUCGGUUGUGCCGCCUGCUCCUGCCUCUCGUGGCCGGCUGUGCCGCCGUACAGGCCUCACCGCCCCCUACUAUUCACACCGCUGGCCAGGCCCUACGGUGACGGCAGCCUCACACCGCAGCCGAAUGAGUGAACCCUCAUACUCCUCUUCGCGUGGGCAUCCACUGCCGCAUCUUCACCGGCUCCACGUCGUCCCCUUCCUAGGCCUCGCCGUCGUCCACUGCCCUGGCGCUCUCGGCGCGGCAUGGUCAACGUGGUCAAGGAACGACUUCCAUAGGACGUGGACUGUACGUGGAGAGGCUGACAGCUGGGUCCACGGCAGCAGCAAGGAAGUGCCUCCUUAUUACACGGAAAAUAAUGAUUCCUCCACCUGACAGCAGGGACCCACCGGACGGGCCAUCGUAUUUCACGAAAAAAAUGUUUCCCCCCUGACUACUGGGACCCACCAGCUACACCUUCACACGCAAGGAAGUGCAUCCGGGCAAAAAAACGAUUCGCCCCCCUGACUGCUGGGACCCACCAGCUACAUCUUCGCACACAAGGAAGUGCGUCCGGGCAAAAAAAACAAAACGAUUCGCCUCCCUGACUGUUGGGACCCACCAGCUACAUCUUCGCAGGCAAGGAAGUGCCUGACAGUCGGGACCCACCUGGUCGAAGCGUACGUAGCGUUGUCAUUCUGGUCGCGAACGUGUACGUACAUAUAUACUGGUCGAUGUAGAGGCGCGCACGUGUCGUAGUAGAGGCGCAUACGUGUCAUAGUAGAGGCGCGCACGUACAGCGUCCAGGGUGCAAGAAAGAAAAUACGGCCACGUAUGUGUACAUACGGGUGGGGUCUCAAACGCCUACUCGCGCAUACGUACGGCCAGGGCUCGUGUACAUGUCUGGGUCGGAACGGAGAAACAGCGUCGUCGUCAUGUUCAUGGGGAGGCAACGGAAUGUGUCAUGUUCAUGGGGAGGCAACGGAAUACGUCGUGUUCAUCGGGAGGCAACGGAAUGCGUGGGAGCCAACCGGCUGGGUCGGAACGGAAUGCAUGGUCGUGUUCAUCGGGAGGGCUUGGACGGAACAGGUGAUGGAAACGAGGCCUGGCGUACCGCAGAAUGGUGGAAAUGACCUUCUGUUCGACCGGCCACGUUCCAAACGGGAUCCUGUUCAUUGGGAGGGGUCUGGCGUACCGCAAAACGGAGGAAACGGACCUCUUACGGUCAAAACGAGGGUCCUGUUGAUCGGGAGGGGUGUGGCGUACCGCAAAACGGACGAAAUGGACCUCCUACGGUCGAAACGAGGGUCCUGUUGAUCGGGAGGGGUGUGGCGUACCGCAAAACGGACGAAACGGACCUUCUACGGUCGAAACGGGGGUCCUGUUCAUCGGGAGGGGUGUGGCGUACUGCAAAACGGGACUCCACGGGAUACUGUUCAUCUCCACUAUCGACCUCCUCUAGCCUCCACGGGCAACCGUCGACCUCCUCCAGCCUCCACGGGCUACCAUCGACCUCCUCCAGCCUCCACGGGCUCCUGUUCAUCCAGCCUCCACCACGCGNNNNNNNNNNNNNNNNNNNNNNNNNNNNNNNNNNNNNNNNNNNNNNNNNNNNNNNNNNNNNNNNNNNNNNNNNNNNNNNNNNNNNNNNNNNNNNNNNNNNNNNNNNNNNNNNNNNNNNNNNNNNNNNNNNNNNNNNNNNNNNNNNNNNNNNNNNNNNNNNNNNNNNNNNNNNNNNNNNNNNNNNNNNNNNNNNNNNNNNNNNNNNNNNNNNNNNNNNNNNNNNNNNNNNNNNNNNNNNNNNNNNNNNNNNNNNNNNNNNNNNNNNNNNNNNNNNNNNNNNNNNNNNNNNNNNNNNNNNNNNNNNNNNNNNNNNNNNNNNNNNNNNNNNNNNNNNNNNNNNNNNNNNNNNNNNNNNNNNNNNNNNNNNNNNNNNNNNNNNNNNNNNNNNNNNNNNNNNNNNNNNNNNNNNNNNNNNNNNNNNNNNNNNNNNNNNNNNNNNNNNNNNNNNNNCGCGCAAUGCUCACUGUUCAUCCCAGAGGCAGAUCGGCUUUAGUUAGCAGCAGUAGCAAAGGAAUCGCUCGAUCGGGUUCAGUUAACAGCCAUUGAUCGAUCGCUCGGGUUCAGUAACGCGUAGCCUGUAGUGCAAUCGCUCGGGUUCAGUUAGAGCCCAACGCCUCGCUCGGGUUCAGUUAGAGCCAACGCCUCGCACACACACGCGUACGUGUAUGAGAGAAACGCGCAUCGCUCGGCCCCCGACCUCCCACCGUAACCGGGAACUCCCCGAAAUUUUCAUCCCCCUCGCUUCUACCAUGGUUUUUUCCAUCAUGGACGGCCCAAAGAAUGUCAUCCAGCUGCGUCUCCGGCCCGCCCAGGACGAAAAGCCCAUUUUCUGUCAUGAUUUUUUGUCAUAGAAGUAGGAGCCCACCACAUCUAUGAUGAUACCGGGUUUUGUCACAAUUAUCAUCAUAGAAGUGUCAUAUGUAUGACAGAAAAAAAAUUCGUUCGGCCUAAAAUGUCACAGAUGUGUCUUUUUUUUAGUGUUCCCCCACAAGUCGGGAUAGACUCCGGCCGGAAAAAAGAGAGGCCAAAGAAGCCCAAAAAAAAGAGGAGGCCAUUAAAAAAUAGAGAAGGCCCAAUAAAAAACAUGAGAGAAAAAGAGAGAAGGGGCAAUGUUACUAUCCUUUUUGCACACUUGUGCUUCAAAGUAGCACCAUAAUCUUCAUGAUAGAGAGUCUCUUAUUUUGUCACUUUCAUAUACUAGUGGGAAUUUUUCAUUAUAGAACUUCAUGUCGGCGUCCUGGAUUUGGGGGUAUCAAGUCAUGCCUGCCUGCGGCCCACCACGUGGCUCCAUCGAUGGCCUGGUACGGCCCAACUUCGACAACAACACAGCAAAACCCUCACGAGGGGCCAAGCCUCGCGAGGCGGACGAUGCCAAGACCCCCGGAGGAGUUGGCAUCCUCAGGAGGGCUCCUAAGGGGUGGAGAGAUCUAUGCAGCUCCCUCAUGAGGCUCAGCUGACAUGAGCCAUGACAACCAAGGCCAGACAGGCGCCAGGUGGGCGCAGAGCGCAAGUUUCUUCUUCGGUGCAAGGGAGGCAAGCCACAGGCGUGGAGUCCCGAGGAAGCAGCCAAAGGUUUCCAUUUCGGUGCAACAAGACCAAGACCGCCAGGACGGCAGGAUGGUGGUCAUCACCGAGCCCGCCGUAGCGUCACGGCCAGGGGCUUCUCGCAGGCGAAGACUACUUUUGUCAGGAUAGACUAUACUACUUGUCCCCUUUCAAAUCCCGCCGUUGUGAAUCCCUUCCUGCUCAUAUUUGGGAGGAGGACCAAGGCACUAUAUAUAGGACUUAGCCACCACCAUAGAAAGGGACCGAAAACCAGAACAAGUAGAGCACCACACCAGCUCAAGAACACCUCACCUCCUGAGGCUUGUUCAUCCUUGUACUAGUUCAUCCAUAGCCCCUCGAGGCAAUCCACCACACCACACUAGAGUAGGGUAUUACACCACAACGGUGGCCCAAACUAGUAUAAAUCUCUGUGUCUUUGUGUCUUUGUGAGCUUGACGCGCUAGGUUAAGGAGGAUCGCGAGUAGGUCGGCUAGGCAGGUUGAGAUCUCUACACGCACCCCAGUGUUCGAACCUCUCACGGGUAUCUGGAUCCCGAAAUCCGACAUUUGGCGCGCCAGGUAGGGGUGCAUCGGAUCUCCUCUUCCGCCGACCAGUCCUCCUCCGCUCCACCGAUGCCCCGAGAGCCCACGUCAACCACUGGGUUGUCCAGACCUCCUCGGCAGCACCCACCGGCGAAGAAGACCUCCACUCUGCCCUGCUCGUGGCCCGCGUUCCACCGGGGGCGACCGGCCGCGGGGGGCGUGCAGCACAGUCUUCUCUGGCGCCACGCCGCAGCCGUGCAGCUGCGUGAUCUACGAACUACACUGCAACAACUGCUCCACACUCGCGCAGGGAACAAGCGAACAUGCGGGCGGCAGUCAUCGCGGCCCGUGAGCUUAUGCGGUGCAGGAUGCUUGAGAGCGGCCGCGACGCCCUGCUGGAGCGGGUCGCUGAGCUGCUAGAUGCGGCGUGCAGGGGGGCGGUGCCGUUCUGCACCCUUCCCACAUUGCAGGCGAUGGUGGGGCGCGCGCUCAUCCUCGACAUAGCCGCGCGCCCUCUCCCAGGGGACAUGGAGAGCCUCUCGACGCCAACCAUCCUCAUGGAGCAGCCCGCGCCGCCCCAAACAUGCCCCCUCGGCACGGGGCUACUUCGGACGACACCACCAGGGGCCGCGUUGGAGUGUCGGCCCCUGGCCAGCAAGACCAGAGGAUGACAGAAGGGGGCGGGAGCGUUAGGCGGUCGGGUGGCGCCCCUGGUACGAGCAUCCCGGAAGCCUACGUUCCCGUCGUGAUGGAUCCAAGGCACGCGCUACGAGAGGGCCCCAGCCGAUCCCCCACGCCAGGCUGGGCGCUGGACAUACACGAGGCCGAGCUCUCCUUCAAAGCACCACCAAGCCCUGCCGGCGUCCCCAACAACGGUAGCCUCUGGGUACAGUUAACGCCACAGGGGCACGCUUACACUGACCAUGGAUCGCAGGUGAACCAAGACGCAGCGACCACCAGGACCCUCAAGACGGCGGACUCCCCUUAGGAGCGCGAAGCACGUUGGGAGCAGCACGGGGGGAGCCCAGUGGCGGGGCCCUCCUCGCGCUGUGCAGAGCAGGAUCCAGCCUGGAGGUAGGUUCCCUGUCGGGGAAGGCGCCGGCGAGCCCUUCCACUCGGCAAGGGGCCUAUGGUCGCCGAGGACGCCGUCAGUGUCCCCUUGGCCCCUUGGUCUUCUCCUGGUUUCCAGUCUCCCCAACGGUGGCCAGGGCGGCGCACGACGGGGUCCUCGUCGGGCGACAUGAAGCAAGGCUCCGGCCUGUGAAGGUCUCCGCUCGUGACACUCUCACGUAAUAAUGAGUGGGGCUGUACACGCCCCGGAGUCUCCUGAGUGCCGCUCUGGGGCCUCACGGGGGCUCCCACCCACGUCCUAGUGGAAGCACUUAGCUCCGCGCUGGUGAGAAGACCAAAGACUGAAGACUGAAGACCAGUUAGGCACCGGACGCGGCCGCCUACUUUUUGCCUCUCUUUUUGUACUCGCUUGCCAACUUUUUGAAGCAGUGUGUUUUCUGUGCGUUUAUAAAACGGGGGGAGUUUUCUGUUUCUUGUGUCGCUCUCUUGCCUUCAGUUCUUGUGUUCUUUUCUUAGAGCUCGUGACCGCUACCCUACCCUCUAGCACCUCGCGAGCGGGGGCUGGGUACGGUGUACGCGCUGGCGCUGAUCGCUCCCCUCGGGGGCUCGAAGGUGCGGCCGCUCCGCGUGCCCACCUUGCCACAAUCUGGCGGUUGGCUCCUCACGAGGCACUCCACGGCAGGCCAGCAGGCCCCUCAAGAGGCACAGGGCCUCACGAGCCAGCGGCAAGCUCGCCUCAAGAGAAGGGGCGCUGCCAUGGCACCAGGUCUCACUCAGGACCCACGAAACCCAAGAUAAGUCAAAACAACUAUCUUGUUCAUCGGCAUGCAGCCUUGCUGGGCCCCCCUCCAGGUGUUACUUCAAAAAGCAUUUAGCAAUCUCAUAUAUCAUAAGGGGUACCCCCUUUUCAAAAUGCUCUCACAAGGAUGCGCUUGAGUUUUCAUACAGGUCAAAGCAAAAGAAAUACAGGCCUAAGUGGACGCGCCUUGUUCGUCACUCCCGUCCGCGCUGCUUGUGCUGAAGCUGCCACCCUCCUCGUCAUCUCCACCCGCGCCAGCCCCUUCGGCUGCGAGCAUGGCUAUGUCGUCCUUAGGAGUCAGCUCCUUCGCCAGAGCAUCCACAUGAUCGUCCACCCACUUGUGGCAAGCUUGUCUUGGGUGGCCGCAGGCAUGGGGGCUAGCAUGCUGCUGAUGUCGAAGUGGGAGUCAAGGUUCAGGAGGUUGCUGAAGAUGCGCGAGAGCGCGCGCCAAGGAGGCCCCAGCUCCUCUCCUCAAUGAGUUGGCGGGCUUUUGCGGCCUGGUCCUCCAGGCGGGUCACGAUAUCAGUGAAGAAGCGGAGAUGGCUGGCAUAGUCGCUCUUGCGUGGGUGAGGAGCACUCUCGUUGCAAAUGGCACCCAAGGCAUUGUUGGCUCUGACACACAGACCCUGGAGCAUGGGGUUGUGCUCACGCUCCAGCGUCAGGCGGCGGCACUUUUCACUCAAAGCCUUCUCUAAGAGGGAGGCGAUGUCCUCGGCCUGUUUCCGGAGAGAGGAUAUCUCGGCGUGAGCAGAACCCAGGGCGGAUUCAGAAGAAGUCAGGGCCUCCCGGGCAGCGCCCUCGCGCUGCUCCACCGCCUGCAGCUCGGUCUUCAGGAUGGAGGUCCGGCCCUCAAACUCAGCUUUGAGCAGCUCCAGGUCCAGGCGGUGCCCCAUCGGCUAGCUCAGCACGUGCCUUCGCCACCUUCUCGUCCACCUCCACCUGGACCUGAGCUUCUCAGGCGGCGACAGCAUCCUCAGCCGCGGCGGCCUGUCGCUCCCUCACCUCCAGCCUUUCCAGCGCCAAGCUAUGAUCCAUGGCCUCCAGUGUCAAUUCCUCAUGGCGCCUCAGGAGCUCCGCCUUAGCAAGGGCCACCUCACCUGGCGAAGAGGCCAGCGGGGCACGACGCUCCUUGAUUUCGUGCAGCAGGGUGGCACUCGAAGACAGAAGAUCUCGCUCCCGCUCCCCGGCCACCUCGCGACGGCGUUUGGCUGCCUCGACCCCUUCCAUGGCGUGAGCGCAAGCUUCUCGAGAAGCCGCGAGCGAGGCCUCCGCGCGCGCUUUGGCCUCGUCUCGCUGAAGCGUCCCAAGGUUGAUGGCCAUCUUCAGCCGCUGCCAUUCAUCCUUCAAGCGGCGGUUCUCUGCUUCCAGCCUAGUGUCGACAUUGGCGAGCUCCCCGCCAAGAUGGACCAUCGCGCGCAUCGCUUCACCAAAGAACCCGAAGCGCACCGCGUUGCGUGCACGAGCAAGCGUGAGCUCGUCGCCAAGGUCCCCACCGGCUCCGGAGGUCGCCCGGGAAGCGUUGGGGGCUCCGCCAGUCGCCGGCUGGGGGCUGGCUUGUGGGGCCUCGCAACUUCAAGAUGAGGGAUGCCCGGAGGACGCCCCCUGCCGGCAAGGACAAGAGGGAGGAUCACCUGCGCACCCUUCACCUCGCGUACAAAGUCGAGGGGGGGAACAUGGGGCUCGGUUCCGCUGCACCCUUGCGGUGUCGAGCUGGAGGGAGCCAGACUCCUACCCUGCGCAGGCUCAGGGUGCUGGGGGCUACACGCCCGUGCCACGCUGGGGCUAUUGGGGGUCUUCGCCUCUUGAGGUUCGUUCUUCAUGAAUAUCCUGCAAAACCCCAGCCAUGAGAAAACGCAAUGCACUUGGAGAUCAGGAGCAAAGGUACUCACUCGUCGGCGACCACAUAUCUCCUCGGCUUCAGCGGCGGAUGGGUACCAUCGUCGCGGCACGGGGACCUCUUCCUCUUCAGGAGCAACUCAAGGCACAAGCGGCGCUGACCCGGCCCCGACGGGCGAUCCUCAGGAGGGGGAGCGUCCGGCGUGUUAUCUGGAGCAGAGGUCCCGUGGGAAGGGGCGCCCGGUGUGGCUUCCUGGCUCAUAGCUCCGGGGCCAUUGGUGGGUUCCUCGUCGCCAGCAACAGCUCCAGAGCCACCAUGCCCGGCGUUAGAGGCUCCCGCCUCCGGAGCCUGGUGGUGCGCAGGCUCUGCGGCAGCCCCUGCCGAAACCUCAGAAGCUUGAGGCUCCUGAGCCUCUAAUAAGGCUGAGCCUCCGGAGGAGGUCUCAACAGCUGACGGAGGCGUGCGUCCCCCUGCCUCCACACUUGGGGCACACGCUGCAGGAUCGAUUAGGAGAGGAGCCACGAAGACUGGAUUCUCACGGGGCCCCUCAAUGCCCUCGGGAAGCAACCCCCACUCAUCAAACAGGGGCAUCUGUCCCGCAAAGGCCUCCUUGUUUGAGCAUAGAUAAAGAAGGCAGCCGUCCCCUGGGAGGUCGGCAGGCUCAGGCUCGCCAGUCAGGUGCUUAAGCACCACGCUCAAGGUAUCGGCAGCAAGCAAGGGCUUUUGCAGCCUCAUCGGGUCUCCGGCGCCGGUGAAAUCCCACAUCGGGCGAGAAUGGUGUUGGAGGGGAGCAAGGCGCUGCUUCACGAAUUCCUUCACCACCAUUGGCGCCGUCACCCCCCAGUUCCUAGAGCCUCGCCAACCUCUUCCAGACAAAAGCAAGGUGCCGGUCAGUGAGUGAUACGUCUCCAACGUAUCUAUAAUUUUUGAUUGCUCCAUGCUAUAUUAUCUACUGUUUUGGACUAUAUUGGGCUUUAUUUUCCACUUUUAUAUUAUUUUUGGGACUAACCUAUUAACCAGAGGCCCAGCCCAGAAUUGCUGUUUUUUGCCUAUUUCUGUGUUUCGAAGAAACGGAAUAUCAAACGGAGUCCAAACAGAAUGAAACCUUCGGGAACGUGAUUUUCUCACCGAACGUGAUCCAGGAGACUUGGACCCUACUCCAAGGAAGCAAAGAGGCGGUCACGAGGGUGGGGGGCGCCCCCCCCUAGGGCGCGCCCCUGCCUCGUGGGCCCCUCAGAGCUCCACCGACGUACUCCUUCCUCCUACAUAUACCUACGUACCCCGAAACUAUCAGAUACAGAGCCAAAAACCUAAUUCCACCACCGCAACUUUCUGUAUCCGCGAGAUCCCAUCUUGGGGCCUGUUCCGGAGCUCCGCCGGAGAGGGCCGUCAUCAUGGAGGGCUUCUACAUCAUCAUAGCCUCUCCGAUGAAGUGUGAGUAGUUUACCUCAGACCUUCGGGUCCAUAGUUAUUAGCUAGAUGGCUUCUUCUCUCUUUUUGGAUCUCAAUACAAUGUUCUCCCCCUCUCUCGUGGAGAUCUAUUCGAUGUAAUCUUCUUUUUGCGGUGUGUUUGUUGAGAUCGAUGAAUUGUGGGUUUAUGAUCAAGUCUAUCUAUGAAUAAUAUUUGAAUCUUCUCUGAAUUCUUUUAUGUAUGAUUGGUUAUCUUUGCAAGUCUCUUCGAAUUAUCCAUUUGGUUUGGCCAACUAGAUUGGUAGUUCUUGCAAUGGGAGAAGUGCUUAGCUUUGGGUUCGAUCUUGUGGUGUCCUUUCCCAGUGAUAGAAGGGGCAGCAAGGCACGUAUUGUAUCGUUGCCAUCGAGGAUAACAAGAUGGGGUUUAUAUCAUAUUGCAUGAAUUUAUCUCUCUACAUCAUGUCAUCUUGCUUAAGGUGUUACUCUGUUUUUAACUUAAUACUCUAGAUGCAUGCUGGAUAGCGGUCGAUGAGUGGAGUAAUAGAAGUAGAUGCAGGCAGGAGUCGUUCUACUUGUCUCGGACGUGAUGCCUAUAUACAUGAUCAUACCUAUAUAUUCUCAUAACUAUGCUCAAUUCUAUCAAUUGCUCAACAGUAAUUUGUUCACCCACCAUAGAAAUACUUAUGCUCUUGAGAGAAGCCACUAGUGAAACCUAUGGCCCCCGGGUCUAUUCUCAUCAUAUAAAUCUCCAUCACUUUAUUAUUGUUUUGCUUUUUUACUUUGCCUUUUAUUUUACUUUGCAUCUUUAUACCAAAAAUACCAAACAUAUUAUCUAUCAUAUCUCACUUGCCGAGAAGGGAUUGACAACCCCUAAUCGCGUUGGUUGCGUUGAGCUAUUGUUUUGUGUAGGUACGAGGGACUUGCGCGAAGCCUCCUACUGGAUUGGUACCUUGGUUCUCAAAAACUGAGGGAAAUACUUACGCUACUGUGCUGCAUCAUCCUCUCCUCUUCGGGGAAAUCCAACGCAAGCUCAAGAGGUAGCAAGAAGAAUUUCUGGCACCGUUGCCAAGGAGGUCUUCGCAAAAGUCAAUAUACCAAGUACCCAUCACAAUCCCUAUCUCUCGCAUUACAUUAUUUGCCAUUUGCCUCACAUUUUCCUCUCCCCCACUUCACCCUUGCUGUUUUAUUCGCCCUCUCUUUUCCGUUUGCCUUUUUCUCGCUUGCCUUUUGUUUGCUCGUGUGUUGGAUUUCUUGUUUGUCGCGAUGGCUCAAGAUAAUACCAAAUUGUGUGACUUUACCAAUACCAACAAUAAGGAUUUCCUUAGCACUCAUGUUGCUCCUCUUGCCAAUUUGAAUCUUGUGAAAUCAAUACUGCUUUGUUGAUCUUGUUAUGAAAGAUCAAUUCACCGGCCUUCCUAGUGAAGAUGCCGCUACUCAUCUGAAUAGCUUCGUUGAUUUAUGUGAUAUGCAAAAGAAAAGGGAUGUUGACAAUGAUGUUGUUAAAUUGAAGCUAUUUCCUUUUUCGCUUAGAGAUCGUGCUAAAGCUUGGUUUUCAUCUUUGCCUAGAAAUAGUAUUGAUUCUUGGAACAAGUGCAAAGAUGCUUUUAUCUCUAAGUAUUUUCCUCCCGCUAAAAUCAUCUCUCUUAGAAACGAUAUUAUGAAUUUUAAGCAACUUAAUCAUGAACAUGUUGCACAAGCUUGGGAGAGAAUGAAAUUAAUGAUACGUAAUUACCCUACUCAUGGUUUGAACUUGUGGAUGAUUAUAUAAAAAAAUUAUGCCGGAUUGAAUUUUGCUUCUAGAAAUCUUUUAGAUUCGGCCGCGGGAGGAACUUUUAUGGAAAUCACUUUAGGAGAUGCUACUAAACUCCUAGAUAAUAUUAUGGUUACUUAUUCUCAAUGGCACACUGAAAGGUCUACUAAUAAAAAAGUGCAUGUGAUAGAAGAAAUUAAUGUUUUGAGUGGAAAGAUGGAUGAACUUAUGAAAUUAUUUGCUACUAAGAGUGUUUCUUCUAAUCCUAAUGAUAUGCCUUUGUCUACCUUGAUUGAGAAUAAUAAUGAAUCUAUGGAUGUGAAUUUUGUUGGUAGGAAUAAUUUUGGUAACAAUGCUUAUAGAGGGAAUUUUAAUCCUAGGCCUUAUCCUAGUAAUCCUUCUAAUAAUUAUGGAAGUUCCUACAACAAUUCUUAUGGAAAUUUUAAUAAGAUUCCCUCUUAAUUUGAGAAUAGUGUUAAAGAGUUUAUGAAUUCGCAAAAGAAUUUUAAUGCUUUGCUUGAAGAGAAAUUGCUUAAAGUUGAUGAUUUGGCUAGGAACGUUGAUAAAAUUUCUCUUGAGGUUGAUUCUUUAAAGCUUAGAUCUAUUCCUCCUAAGCAUGAUAUCAAUGAGUCUCCCAAAGCCAUGAGAAUUUCCAUUAAUGAGUGCAAGGAAAGAACCGCUAGGAUGCGUGCUACAAAAGAUGCCUUUAUUAAAGCGUGUUCUUCCAAUUUCUAUGAAAAUCAAGAUGAAGAUCUAAAAGUAGUUGAUGUGUCCCCUAUUAAAUCUUUGUUUUGCAAUAUGAAUCUUGAUGAAACUGAAUAUGAUCUUCCUUUACCUAGAAGGCGUUCCAAAAAUUCGGAGUAUUUAGAUCUUUAUGAUGAAAUUGAUGAAAGUGGGAUUGAAAGAAAUAAAACCCUAGAUGUUGCUAAACCAACUAUAUUGGAUUUCAAAGAAUUUAAUUAUGAAAGUUGCUCUUUAAUUGAUUGUAUUUCCUUGUUGCAAUCCGUGCUAAAUUCUCCUCAUGCUUAUAUUCAAAAUAAAGCCUUUACCGAACAUAUCGUUGAUGCCUUGAUGCAAUCUUAUGAAGAAAAACUUGAGUUGAAAGUUGCUAUCCCUAGAAAACUCUAUGAUGAGUGGGAACCUACUAUUAAAAUUAAAAUUAAAGAUCAUGAAUUUAAUGCUUUGUGUGAUUUGGGUGCUAGUGUCUCUACUAUCCCCAAAACUUUGUGCGAUUUGCUAGAUUUUCGUGAUUUCGAUGAUUGCUCUCUAAACUUGCAUCUUGCGGAUUCCACUAUUAAGAAACCUAUGGAAAGAAUUAAUGAUGUUCUUAUUGUUGCAAAUAGGAAUUAUGUGCCCGUGUAUUUUAUCGUUCUUGAUAUAGAUUGCAAUCCUUCUUGUCCUAUUAUUCUUGGUAGACCUUUCCUUAGAACGAUUGGUGUGAUUAUUGAUAUGAAGGAAUGGAACAUUAGAUUCCAAUUUCCAUUAAAAAAGGGCAUGGAACACUUCCCUAGAAAGAAAAAAUUACCAUAUGAAUCUAUCAUGAGAGCCGCUUAUGGUUUGCCUACCAAAGAUGGCAAUACCUAGAUCUAUCCUUGCUUUUAUGCCUAGCUAAGGGCGUUAAACGAUAGCGCUAGUUGGGAGGCAACCCAAUUUUAUUUUAGUUGUUUGCUUUUUGCUUCUGUUUAGGAAUAAAUAUUUGUUCUAGCCUUUAUUUUUGUGUUUUAAUUAGUGUUUGUGCCAAGUAAAACCGUUAGGAUAACCUACGGUAGUAGUUAUUUGAUUCUGUUGCAGAAAACAGAAACUUUGCGCGCACAAAAAUAAUUUUCAUAAAUAACAGGAACGUGAUUUUUAGUUGAUUCUUUUUGCUGUAGAUCAAUAAAAAAAUUAUCUAGAACUUCCUAAUUUUGCUUAAUUUUUCAUGUUCCAGAAGUUUGCGUUAGUUACAGAUUACUAUAGACUGUUCUGUUUUUGACAGAUUCUGUUUUUCGCGUGUUGUUUGCUUAUUUUGAUGAAUCUAUGGCUAGUAAAAUAGUUUAUAAUCCAUAGAGAAGUUGGAAUACAGUAGGUUUAACACCCAUAUAAAUAAAGAAUGAGUUCAUUACAGUACCUUGAAGUGGUCUUUUGUUUUCUUUCGCUAACGGAGCUCAUGAGAUUUCUGUUGAGUUUUGUGUUGUGAAGUUUUCAAGUUUUGAGUGAAAUCUUUUGAUGGAUUAUGGAACAAGGAGUGGCAAGAGCCUAAGCUUGGGGAUGCCCAUGGCACCCCCAAGAUAAUCCAAGGACACCAAAAAUUCAAAGCUUGGGGAUGCCCUGGAAGGCAUCCCCUCUUUCGUCUACUUCCAUCGGUAAUUUUACUUGGAGCUAUAUUUUUAUUCACCACAUGAUAUGUGUUUUGCUUGGAGCGUCUUGUAUGAUUUGAGUCUUUGUUUUUUAGUGUGCCACAAUCAUCCUUGCUGUAGACACCUUUUUAGAGAGCCAUACAUGAAUUGAAAUUUGUUAGAAUACUCUAUGUGCUUCACUUAUAUCUUUUGAGCUAUGUAGUUUUUGCUCUAGUGGUUCACUUAUAUCUUUUAGAGCACGAUGGUGGAAUUGUUUUAAAGAAACUAUUGAUCUCUCAUGCUUCACUUAGAUUAUUUUGAGAGUCUUAAUAGCAUGGUAAUUUGCUUAAAAUCUUAAUAUGCUUGGUAUUCAAGAUUUGUAAAACUUUCUUUUGAGUGCGUUGAAUGCUAAGAAAAGUUUGAUGCUUGAUAAUUGUUUUGAGAUAUGGAGGUAGUAAUAUUAGAGUCAUGCUAGUUGAGUAGUCGUGAAUUUGAGAAAUACUUGUGUUAAAGUUUGUGAUUCUCGUAGCAUGCACGUAUAGUGAACCAUUAUGUGAUGAAGUUGGAGCACAAUAUAUUUAUUGAUUGUCCUCCUUAUGUGUGGAGGUCAGGAUCGUGCGAUGGUUAACUCCUACCAACCCUUCCCCUAGGAGCAUGCGCGUAAUACUUUGCUUUGAUGACUUCUAGAUUUUUGCAAUAAGUAUAUGAGUUCUUUAUGACUAAUGUUGAGUCCAUGGAUUAUACACACUUUUCUUUCUUCCACCAUUGCUAGCCUCUCUAAUACCGCGCACCUUUUGCCGGUAUCAUACACCCACCAUAUACCUUCCUCAAAACAGCCACCAUACCUACCUAUCAUGGUAUUUCCAUAGCCAUUCCGAGAUAUAUUGCCAUGCAACUUUCCACCGUUCCGUUUAUUAUGACACGCUCCAUCAUUGUCAUAUUGCUAGCAUGAUCAUGUAGUUGACAUCGUAUUUGUGGCAAAGCCAUCAUUCAUAAUUCUUUCAUACAUGUCACUCUUGAAUCAUUGCAUAUCCCGGUACACCACCGGAGGCAUACACAUAGAGACAUAUUUUGUUCUAAGUAUUGAGUUGUAAUUGUUGAGUUGUAAAGUAAAUAGAAGUGUGAUGAUCUUCAUUUUUAGAGCAUUGUUCCAAGUGAGGAAAGGAUGACGUGGACUAUGAUUCCCCCACAAGUCGGGAUGAGACUCCGGACGAAAAAUAAAAAGAAUUAAAAAAAGAGGCCAUAAAAAGAAAAUAAAAAGGCCCAAAUAAAAAAAUAAAAAAAGGAGAGAAAAAGAGAGAAGGGACAAUGUUACUAUCCUUUUACCACACUUGUGCCUCAAAGUAGAACCAUGAUCUUCAUGAUAGAGAGUCUCUCAUUUUGUCACUUUCAUAUACUAGUGGGAAUUUUUCAUUAUAGAACUUGGCUUGUAUAUUCCAAUGAUGGGCUUCCUCAAAUUGCCCUAGGUCUUCGUGAGCAAGCAAGUUGGAUGCACACCCACUUAGUUUCUUUUGUUGAGCUUUCAUAUACUUAUAGCUCUAGUGCAUCCGUUGCAUGGCAAUCCCUACUCCUCACAUUGAUAUCUAUUGAUGGGCAUCUCCAUAGCCCGUUGAUAUGCCUAGUUGAUGUGAGACUAUCUUCUCCCUUUUUGUAUUCUCCACAACCACCAUAUUCUAUUCCACAUAUAGUGUUAUGUCCAUGGCUCACGCUCAUGUAUUGCGUGAAGAUUGAAAAAGUUUGAAAAUUCUAAAGUGUGAAACAAUUGCUUGGCUGAAACCUGGGUUGUGCAUGAUUUAAGUAUUUUGUGUGAUGAAGAUAGAGCAUAGCCAGACUAUAUGAUUUUGUAGGGAUAGCUUUCUUUGGCCAUGUUAUUUUCAGAAGACAUAAUUGCCUUGUUAGUAUGCUUGAAGUAUUAUUAUUUUUAUGUCAAUACGAACUUUUUUCUUGAAUCUUUCUAAUCAGAAUAUUCAUACCACAAUUAAGAAGAUUUACAUUGAAAUUAUGCUAAGUAGCACUCCGCAUCAAAAAUUAUCUUUUUUUAUCAUUUACCUACUCGAGGACGAGCAGGAAUUAAGCUUGGGGAUGCCUGAUACGUCUCCAACGUAUCUAUAAUUUUUUAUUGCUCCAUGCUAUAUUAUCUACUGUUUUGGACUAUAUUGGGCUUUAUUUUCCACUUUUAUAUUAUUUUUGGGACUAACCUAUUAACCGGAGGCCCAACCCAGAAUUGCUAUUGUUUGCCUAUUUUAGUGUUUCGAAGAAACGAAAUAUCAAACAGAGAUCAAACAGAAUGAAACCUUCGGGAACGUGAUUUUCUCACCGAACGUGAUCCAGGAGAGUUGGACCCUACUCCAAGGAAGCAAAGAGGCAGUCACGAGGGUGGGGAGCGCCCCCCCUAGGGCGCGCCCCUGCCUCGUGGGCCCCUCGGAGCUCCACCGACGUACUCCUUCAUCCUACAUAUACCUACGUACCCUGAAACUAUCAGAUACGGAGCCAAAAACCUAAUUCCACCGAUGCAACUUUCUGUAUCCGCGAGAUCCCAUCUUGGGGCCUGUUCCAGAGCUCCGCCGAAGAGGGCCGUCAUCACGGAGGGCUUCUACCUCAUCAUAGCCUCUCCGAUGAAGUGUGAGUAGUUUACCUCAGACCUUCGGGUCCAUAGUUAUUAGCUAGAUGGCUUCUUCUCUCUUUUUGCAUCUCAAUACAAUGUUCUUCCCCUCUCUCGUGGAGAUCUAUUUGAUGUAAUCUUCUUUUUGCGGUGUGUUUGUUGAGAUCGAUGAAUUGUGGGUUUAUGAUCAAGUCUAUCUAUGAAUAAUAUUUGAAUCUUCUCUGAAUUCUUUUAUGUAUGAUUGGUUAUCUUUGGAAGUCUUUUCGAAUUAUCCGUUUGGUUUGGCCAACUAGAUUGGUAGUUCUUGCAAUGGGAGAAGUGCUUAGCUUUGGGUUCGAUCUUGUGGUGUCCUUUCCCAGUGACAGAAGGGGCAGCAAGGCACGUAUUGUAUCAUUGCCAUCGAGGAUAACAAGAUGGGGUUUAUAUCAUAUUGCAUGAAUUUAUCUCUCUACAUCAUGUCAUCUUGCUUAAGGCGUUACUCUGUUUUUACCUUAAUACUCUAGAUGCAUGCUGGAUAGCGGUCGAUGAGUGGAGUAAUAGUAGUAGAUGCAGGCAGGAGUUGGUCUACUUGUCUCGGACGUGAUGCCUAUAUACAUGAUCAUACCUAGAUAUUCUCAUAACUAUGCUCAAUUCUGUCAAUUGCUCAACAGUAAUUUGUUCACCCACCAUAGAAAUACUUAUGCUCUUGAGAGAAGCCACUAGUGAAACCUAUGGCCCCCGGGUCUAUUCUCAUCAUAUCAAUCUCCAUCAGUUUAUUAUUGUUUUGCUUUUUUACUUUGCCUUUUAUUUUACUUUGCAUCUUUAUACCAAAAAUACCAAAAAUAUUAUCUAUCAUAUCUCACUUGCCGAGAAGGGAUUGACAACCCCUAAUCGCAUUGGUUGCGUUGAGCUAUUGUUUUGUGUAGGUACAAGGGACUUGCGUGAAGCAUCCUACUGGAUUGAUACCUUGGUUCUCAAAAACUAAGGGAAAUACUUACGCUACUCUGCUGCAUCAUCCUCUCCUCUUCAGGGAAAUCCAACGCAAGCUCAAGAGGUAGCAGUGAGCUUCACAUGGUACCAGCCAGAGCUUGGCGAAGCCGGCAAACCAGGAAUCGUGAGCAAGGAGCUGAACAUGCGGGCGUCCAUCAGAAGCCACUGCUUCCGGAAUCCCUUCACGACGGGCGAGAGCUUGAAGUCGAUCCUCGAGCUAGCAGUCGCGGCCAUGGCUUCGGAGGUCACGCACCCGGAGCGUUGACUAGCGUCCACCAGCCGGAGCACGAAGAAAUGCCGAAACAAGGCCACAGAGGGAGUGACACCCACCAUGGCCUCGCAAAGGAAGGCGAAGACGGCAAGGAGGAUGACGGAGCGGGGAUCCAGGUGCAACAGAUGGAUCUGGUAAUGCGACGGCACAACAUUGAAGAAGGGGGGGGGAUGGAGGAAUCAACCCAGCAAGAAGAGCAUGAAGAUGGAUGGGAAUCUCAGUGGCGCUCAUCUCUCUGGUCCGCCAAGACGCAGGGCGGGCAGCCGUCGCCCCUCCCUCGUUGGAGCUGGCAGCGAGCGCAUGGCGAACCUUGUCCGACCCUUCCUUAUUGAUCACCGUCAACUGCUCAAGGGCCGGCUCCAAGGCCGGCGGAGGACCUACCGGCGCGCGCGGCUUCACCUUCUUCCUCCUUGGCUUGAGAGCCAUGGUGAAUACCAGGAGAAAGCAAGGCGCCAGCACCAGAUCUACAGAUGCGGUGGCACGAUUGGGGAGGAAGAAACAAGAGUUGGGCACGGUGCGUCACGAAGGGCAAGUUGCGCUGACAACGGGCGGCUACUGGGUCUACCGGAUAUCAAGGCGGCAUGGGGAAGUGGAUACGCCCACGUCCCAUCAACCGCCACGUGUCUCCAGGGCCGCGGGCUGUUAGGGCCCGCCAUGUACACCCACUUAGUUUCUUUUGUUGAGCUUUCAUAUAUUUAUAGCUCUAGUGCAUCCGUUGCAUGGCAAUCCCUACUCCCCGCAUUGACAUCAAUUGAUGGGCAUCUCCAUAGCUCGUUGAUUAGUCGCGUCAAUGUGAGACUUUCUCCCUUUUUGUCUUCUCCAUACAACCUCCAUCAUCAUACUUUAUUCCACCCAUAGUGCUAUGUCCAUGGCUCGCGCUCAUAUAUUGCAUGAAAGUUGAAAAGGUUUGAAAAGGCUAAGUAUGAAACAAUUGCUUGGCUUGUCAUCGGGGUUGUGCAUGAUGGGAGCAUUUUGUGUGACGAAAAUGAAGCAUGGCCAAACUAUAUGAUUUUGUAGGGAUAAGCUUUCUUUGGCUAUGUUAUUUUGAUAAGACAUAAUUGCUUGGUUAGCAUGCUUGAAGUAUUAGUAUUAUUUUUAUGUCAAUAUUAAAAUUUUGUCUUGAAUCUUUUGGAUCUAAACAUUCAUGCCACAAUAAAGAGAAUUACAUUGAAAAUUAUGCUAGGUAGCAUUCCACAUCAAAAAUUCUGUUUUUAUCAUUUACCUACUCGAGGACGAGCAGGAAUUAAGCUUGGGGAUGCUUGAUACGUCUCCAACGUAUCUAUAAUUUUUGAUUGUUCCAUGCUAUUAUAUUAUCCGUUUUGGAUGUUUAAUGGGUUUUAAUAUACUCCUUUAUAUUAUUAUUUUGGCACUAACCUAUUAACUGAAAGCCCAGUGCAAAUUGCUGUUUUUUUGCCUAUUUCAGUGUUUUGCAGAAAAGGAAUAUCAAAUGGAAUCCAAAUGGAACGAAACCUUCGGGGGGAUUUUUCUUGGAACAAACGCAAUCCAGGAGACUUGGAGUGGAAGUCAGAGACGCAACGAGGCGGCCACGAGGCAGGAGGGAGCGCCCGGGGGGGUAGGCACGCCCCCACCCUCGUGGGCCCCUUGUAGCUCCACCGACCCACUUCUUUCGCCUAUAUAUACUCUUAUACCCUGAAAACAUUCAACGGAGCCACGAAACGACUUUUCCACCAUCGCAACCUUCUGUACCCGUGAGAUCCCAUCUUGGGGCCUUUUCCGGUGAUCUGCCGGAGGGGGAUUCGAUCAUGGAGGACUUCUACAUCAACACCAUAGCCUCUCCGAUGAUGUGUGAGUAGUUUACCACAGACCUUCGGGUCCAUAGUUAUUAGCUAGAUGGCUUCUUCUCUCUCUUUGAUUCUCAAUACAAAGUUCUCCUCGGUGUUCUUGGAGAUCUAUCCGAUGUAAUACUCUUUUGCGGUGUGUUUGCCGAGAUUCAAUGAAUUGUGGGUUUAUGAACUUGAUUAUCUACGAAUAUUAUUUGGUUCUUCUCUGAAUUCUUAUAUGCAUGAUUUGAUAUCUUUGGAAGUCUCUUCGAAUUAUCGGUUUAGUUUGGCCUACUAGAUUGAUCUUUUUUGCAAUGGGAGAAGUGCUUAGCUUUGGGUUCAAUCUUGUGGUGAUCGAUCCCACUGACAGAAAGGGAACCGACACGUAUUGUAUUGUUGCCAUCAAGGAUAAAAAGAUGGGGUUCAUAUCAUAUUGCUUGAGCUUAUCCCUCUACAUCAUGUCAUCUUUCUUAAACUGUUACUUCGUUCUUAUGAACUUAAUACUCUAGAUGCAUGCUCAAUAGCGGUCGAUGUGUGGAGUAAUAGUAGUAGAUGCAGAAUCGUUUCGGUCUACUUGACACGGGCGUGAUGCCUAUAUUCAUGAGGAUUGCCUUAGAUAUCAUCAUAACUAUGCGCUUUUCUAUCAAUUGAUCGGCAGUAAUUUGUUCACCCAUCGUAAUACAUGCUAUCUUGAGAGAAGCAACUAGUGAAACCUUUGGCCCCUGGUCUACUUUACAUCAUAUACGUUUCCAAUCUACAAUUCUAGUUUACUAUUUACUUUGCAAUCUUUAUUUUCCAAUCCAUACAACAAAAUGCCAAAAAUAUUUAUCUUAUUAUCUUUAUCAGAUCUCACUUUUGCAAGUGGCCGUGAAGGGAUUGACAACCCCUUUAUCGCGUUGGUUGCAAGGUUCUUGAUUGUUUGUGUAGGUACUAGGUGACUCGUGUGUAGUCUCCUACUGGAUUGAUACGUUGGUUCUCAGAAACUAAGGUAAAUACUUACGCUACUUUGCUGCAUCACCCUUUCCUCUUCAAGGGAAAACCAACGCAUGCUCAAGAGGUAGCAUGUGCUAUCAAACAUCACAAUGUAACUGGGUGGUUAUAAAGAUGCUCUACAGGUGUCUCUGAUGGUGUUUGUUGAGUUGGCAUAUAUCAAGAUUAGGAUUUGUCACUCCGUGUAUCAGAGAGGUAUCUCUGGGCCCUCUCGGUAAUGCUCAUCACUAUAAGCCUUGCAAGCAAUGUGACUAAUGAGUUAGUUGCAGGAUGAUGCAUUACGGAACGAGUAAAGAGACUUGCUAGUAACGAGAUUGAACUAGGUAUGAUGAUACCGACGAUCGAAUCUCGGGUAAGUAACAUACUGAUGACAAAGGGAACAACGUAUGUUGUUAUGCGGUUUGACCGAUAAUCUUCGUAGAAUAUGUAGGAGCCAAUAUGAGCAUCCAGGUUCCGGUAUUGGUUAUUGACCAGCGAUGUGUCUCGGUCAUGUCUACAUAGUUCUCGAACCCGUAGGGUCCGCACGCUUAACGUUCGAUGACAAUUUGUAUUAUGAGUUAUGUGAUUUGAUGACCGAAGUUUGUUCGGAGUCCCGGAUGAGAUCACGAACAUGACGAGGAGUCUCGAAAUGGUCGAGAGAUAAAGAUUGAUAUAUUGGAAGGCAGUAUUCGGACACUAGAAGGGUUCCGGAGUGUAUCAGGUACAUAUCGGAGUACCGGAGGGGUUACCGAAACCCCCCGGGGAAAGAUAUGGGCCUUAUGGGCCAGAGCAGGGAGGCUAAACAGCCCACAAGGGGCUGGUGCGCCCCCCACAAGGGAGGAGGCCGAAUUGGACUUGGGAAGGGGGCGCCACCCCCUUUCCUUCUCCUACUCCCUCUCCUUCCCCUUUUCCCCCUCUGGUAGAAGGAAAAAAGGGUGGGGCCGAAUCCUACUAGGACUGGAGUCCUAGUAGGACUCCCCUAUCCCUGGCGUGCCCCUUGUUGGCCGGCCUCCUCCUCCCCUCCUUUAUAUACGGGGGCAGGGGGCACCCCAGAGGCACAAUAGACAAUCUCUUAGCCGUGUGCGGUGCCCGCCUCCAUAGUUCAACACCUCGGCCAUAUUGUCGUAGUGCUUAGGAGAAGCCCUGCGCUCGUAACUUCAUCAUCACCGUCGCCGCGCCGUCGUGCUGAUGAAACUCUCCCUCGGCCUCAACUAGAUCAAGAGUACGAGGGACAUCAUCGAGCUUGAUGUGUGCUGAACACGGAGGUGCCGUACGUUCGGUGCUAGGAUCGGUCGGAUCGUGAAGACGUACGACUACAUCAACCGCGUUGAUAAAACUCUUCCGCUUUCGGUCUACGAGGGUACGUGGACACACUCUCCCCGCUCGUUGCUAUGCUUCUCCUAGAUAGAUCUUGCGUGAUCAUAGGAUUUUUUUUUGCAAUACUACGUUCCCCAACAGUGGCAUCUGAGCCAGGUCUAUGCGUAGAUGUUAUAUGCACUAGUAGAACACAAAGAGUUUUGGGCCGUAAUAGUCAUACUGCUUACCAGCAUGUCAUACUUUGAUUCGGCGGUAUUGUUGGAUGAAGCAUCCCAGACCGACAUUACAUGACCGCGUUCAUGAGACUAUUUCUACCGCCGUGCUUCGCACACAGGUGGCUAGUGGGUGUCUGUUUCUCCAACUUUAUUUGAAUCAAGUUUGACUAUGCUCGGUCCUUGUUGAAGGUUAAAACAGCAAACUUGCCGAAAAAUUAUUGUGGUUUUGAUGCGUAGGUUAGAACGGUUCUUGCUAAGCCCAUAGCACCCACGUAAAACUUGCAACAACAAAGUAGAUGAUGUCUAGCUUGUUUUUGCAGGCAUGUUGUGAUGUGAUAUGGUCAAGACAUGAUGAUAUAUAAAUUGUUGUAUGAGAUGAUCAUGUUUUGUAACAGUUAUCGGCAACUGGCAGGAGCCAUAUGGUUGUCGCUUUAUUGUAUGAAAUGCAAUCGCCAUGUAAUUGCUUUACUUUAUCACUAAGAGGUAGCGAUAGUCGUAGAAGCAAUAGUUGGCGAGACGACAACGAUGCUUCGAUGGAGAUCAAGGUGUCAAGCCAGUGAUGAUGGUGAUCAUGACGGUGCUUUGGAGAUGGAGAUCAAAGGCACAAGAUGAUGAUGGCCAUAUCAUAUCACUUAUAUUAAUUGCGUGUGAUGUUUAUCCUUUAUGCAUCUUAUUUUGCUUAGUAUGGCGGUAGCAUUAUAAGAUGAUCUCUCACUAAAUUUCAAGGUAUAAGUGUUCUCCCUAAGUAUGCAUCGUUGCUAUAGUUCUUCGUGCCAAUACACCACGUGAUGAUCGGGUGUGAUAAGCUCUACGUUCACAUACAACGGGUGCAAGCCAGUUUUGCACACGCAGAAUACUCGGGUUAAACUUGACGAGCCUAGCAUAUGCAGAUAUGACCGCGGGACACUGAGACCGAAAACAUAGUGAUGUUCACCAUUGAAAACUACUCCAUCUCACGUGAUGAUCGGACAUGGUUUAGUUGAUUUGGAUCACGUGAUCAUUUAGAUGACUAGAGGGAUGCCUAUCUAAGUGGGAGUUCUUAAGUAAUAUGAUUAUUUGAACUUUAAUUUAUCAUGAACUUAGUAUUGAUAGUAUUUGCAUAUCUAUGUUGUAGAUCAAUAGCUCACGUUUAGCUCCCCUAUUUUAUUUUUGAUAUGUUCCUAGAGAAAACUAAGUUGAAAGAUGAUAGUAGCAAUGAUGCGGACUGGGUCCGUGAUCUGAGGAUUAUCCUCAUUGCUGCACAGAAAAUUAUGUCCUUGAUGCACCACUAGGUGACAGACCUAUUGCAGGAGCAUAUGCAGACGUUAUGAACGUUUGACAAUGCUCGGUAUGAUGACUACUUGAUAGUUUAGUGCACCGUGCUUUACGGCUUAGAACCGGGACUUCAAAAACGUUUUGAACGCCACGGAGCAUAUGAGAUGUUCCAAGAGCUGAAAUUGCUAUUUCAGACUCAUGACCAUGUUAAUAGGUAUGAGACCUCUGACAAAGCACUUUGCCUACAAGAUGGAGGAGAAUAGCUCAGCUAGUGAGCAUGUGCUCAGAAUGUCUGACUACUACAAUCACUUGAAUCAAGUGGGAGUUAGUCUUCCAGAUAAGAUAGUGAUUGACAGAGUUCUCUAGUCACUAUCACCAAGUUAGUAGAACUAUGUGAUGAACUAUAAUAUGCAAGGGAUAACGGAAAAGAUUCCCAAGCUCUUCGCGAUGCUGAAAUCGACGAAGGUAGAAAUCAAGAAAAAACAUCAAGUGUUGAUGGUUGACAAGACCACUAGUUUCAAGUAAAAGGGCAAGGGAAAGAAAGGGAACUUCAAGAAGAAUGGCAAGCAAGUUGCCACUCCCGUGAAGAAGCCCAAAGCUAGACCCAAGCCUGGAACUGAGUGCUUCUACUGCAAAUGAAAUGGUCGUUGGAAGCGGAACUACCCCAAAUACUUGGCGGAUAAGAACGAUGGCAAAGUGAACAAAAGUAUAUAUGAUAUACAUGUUAUUGAUGUGUACUUUACUAGUGUUCAUAGUAGCCCCUAGGUACUUGAUACUGGUUUAGUUGCUAUGAUUAGCAACUUGAAACAGGAGUUACAAAAUGAACAGAGACUAGUUAAGGGCGAAGUGACGAUGUGUGUUGGAAUGAUUCCAAGGUUGAUAAGAUCACCAUCGCAUACUCCCUCUACCUUCAGGAUUAGUAUUGGAACUAAUUAAAUGUUAUUUGGCGUUUGCGUUGAGCAUAAAUAUGAUUUGAUCAUGUUUAUUGCGAUAUGGUUAUUCAUGUAAGUCAAAGAAUAAUUGUUGUUCUGUUUACGUGAAUAAAACCUUCUAUGGUCUUACAUCCAAUGUAAAUGGUUUACUGAAUCUCGAUCACAGUGAUACACAUAAUAUUGAUGCCAAAAGAUGCAAAGUUAAUAAUGAUAGUGCAAUUUAUUUACGGCACUACCGUUUAGGUCAUAUUGGUGUAAAUCACAUGAAGAAACUCCAUGCUGAUGGGCUUUUGGAAUCACUUGAUUAUGAAUCACUUGAUGCUUGCGAACCAUGCCUCAUGGGAAAGAUGACUAAGAUUCCUUUCUUCGAAACAAUGGAGCAAGCCAUUGACUUAUUGGAAAUAAUACAUACUGAUGUAUGCAGUCCGAUGAGUGUUGAGGCUCGCGGCAGGUAUCGUUAUUUUCUGACGUUCACAGAGGAUUUGAGCAGAUAUGAGUAUAUCUACUUAAUGAAACACAAGUCUGAAACGCUUGAAAAGUUCAAAGAAUUUCAGAGUGAAGUGGAGAAUCAUCGUAACAAGAAAAUAAAAUUUCUAUGAUCUGAUCGCAGAGGUGAAUAUUUGAGUUACGAGUUUGGCCUUCAUUUAAAACAAUGUGGAAUAGUUUCACAACUCACACCACCUGGAACACCACAUUGUAAUGGUGUGUCCGAACAUCUUGACCGUACUUUAUUAGAUAUAGUGCGAUCUAUGAUGUCUCUUACCGAUUUGCCACUAUCGUUUCAGGGUUAUGCAUUAGAAACAGCUGCAUUCACGUUAAAUAGGGCACCAUCUAAUCCGUUGAGACGACACCGUAUGAAAUGUGGUUUGGCAAGAAACCUAAGCUGUUGUUUCUUAAAGUUUGGGACUGUGAUGCUUAUGUGAAAAAGCUUCAAACCUGAUAAGCUCGAAUCCAAAUCGGAGAAGUGCGUCUUCAUAGGAUACCCAAAAGAAAUUGUUGGGUACACCUUCUAUCACAGAUCUGAAGGCAAGAUCUUUGUUGCUAAGAAUGGAUCCUUUCUAGAGAAGGAGUUUCUCUCGAAAGAAGUGAGUGGGAGGAAAGUAAACUUGUUGAGGUAGUUGUACCUUCUCCCGAAUUGGAAAGUACUUCAUCAAAGAAAUCAAUUCCAGUGAUUCCUACACCAAUUAGUGAGGAAGCUAAUGAUGAUGAUCAUGAAACUUCAGAUCAAGUUACUACCGAACCUCGUAGGUCAACCAGAGUACGGUCCGCACCAGAGUGGUACGAUAAUCCUUUCUGGAAGUCAUGUUACUAGACCAUGACGAACCUACGAACUAUGAGGAAGCGAUGAUGAGCCCAGAUUCCGUGAAAUGGCUUGAGGCCAUGAAAUCUGAGAUGGGAUCCAUGUAUGAGAACAAAGUAUGGACUUUGAUUGACUUGCCUGAUGAUUGGCGAGCCAUUGAGAUUAAAUGGAUCUUCAAGAGGAAGACGGACGCUGAUAGUAGUGUUACUAUCUACAAAGCUCGAAUUGUCACAAAGUGUUUUCGACAACUUCAAGGUGUUGACUACGAUGAGAGUUUCUCACUCGUAGCGAUGCUUAAGUCUGUCUGAAUCAUGUUAGCAAUUGCUGCAUUUUAUGAAAUCUGGCAAAUGGAUGUCAAAACUACAUUCCGUAAUGGAUUUAUUAAAGAAGAGUUGUAUAUGAUGCAACCAGAAGGUUUUGUCAAUCCUAAAGGUGCUAACAAAAUGAGCAAGCUCCAGCGAUCCAUCUAUGGACUGGUGCAAGCAUCUCGGAGUUGGAAUAUAUGCCUUGAUGAGUUGAUCAAAGCAUAUAGCUUUAUAUAGACUUGCGAUGAAGCCUGUAUUUACAAGAAAGUGAGUGGGAGCACUACAGCCUUUCUGAUAAGUAUAUGUGAAUGGCAUAUUGUUGAUCGGAAAUGAUGUAGAAUUUUCAAGAAAGCAUAAUGGAGUAUUUGAAAGGAGUUUUUCAAAGAAAGACCUCAGUGAAGCUGCUUACAUAUUGAGCAUCAAGAUCUAUAGAGAUAGAUCAAAACGCUUGAUAAAUUUUUCAAUGAGUGCAUACCUUGACAAGAUUUUGAAGUAGUUCAAAAUGGAACAGUCAAAGAAGGAGCUCUUGCAUGUGCUGCAAGUUGUGAAGUUGAGUAAAGACUCAAAACCCGACCACGGCAGAAAAUAGAAAGAGAAUGGUCAUUCCCUAUACCUCAGUCAUAGGUUCUAUAAAGUAUGCUAUGCUGUGUACCAGAUCUAUUGUGUACCUCACCAUGAGUUUGGCAAGAGGGUACAAUAGUGAUCCAGGAGUGGAUCACUGGACAACAGUCAAAAUUAUCCUUAGUGGAAAAAGGAAAUAUUUCUCGGUUAUGGAGGUGAUAAAGAGUUCGUCAUAAAGAGUUACGUCGAUGCAAGCUUUGACACCGGUCUAGAUGACUCUUAGUCUUGAUCUAGAUACAUAUUGAAAGUGGGAGCAAUUAGCUAGACUAGCUCCAUGCAGAGUAUUGUAGACAUAGAAAAUUUGCAAAAUACAUACGGCUCUGAAUGUGGAUCUAUCAUAGGGGAUCUACCGUAGUCCUUUCGAUAAGUAAGAGGUCGAACCCAACGAGGAGCAGAAGGAAAUGACAAGCGGUUUUCAGUAAGGUAUUCUCUGCAAGCACUGAAAUUAUCGGUAACAGAUAGUUUUGUGAUAAGGUAAUUUGUAACGGGUAACAAGCAAUGAAAGUAAAUAAGGUGCAGCAAGGUGGCCCAAUCUUUUUUGUAGCAAAGGGCAAGCCUGGACAAGUUCUUAUAUAGAGAAAAGCGCUCCCGAGGACACAUGGGAAUUAUCGUCAAGCUAGUUUUCAUCACGCUCAUAUGAUUCGCAUUCGUUACUUUGAUAAUUUGAUAUGUGGGUGGACCGGUGCCUGGGUACUACCCUUUCUUGGACAAGCAUCCCACUUAUGAUUAACCCCUAUUGCAAGCAUCCUCAACUACAGAAGAAGUAUUAAGGUAAACCUAACCAUAGCUUGAAACAUGUGGAUCCAAAUCAGCCCCUUACGAAGCAACGCAUAAACUAGGGUUUAAGCUUCUGUCACUCUAGCAACCCAUCAUCUACUUAUUACUUCCCAAUGCCUUCCUCUAGGCCCAAACAAUGGUGAAGUGUCAUGUAGCCGACGUUCACAUAACACCACUAGAGGAGAGACAACAUACAUCUCAUCAAAAUAUCGAACGAAUACCAAAUUCACAUGAAUACUAAUAGCAAGACUUCACCCAUGUCCUUAGGAACAAACGUAACUACUCACAAAUCAUAUUCAUGUUCAUAAUCAAAGGGGUAUUAAUAUGCAUUAAGGAUCUGAACAUAUGAUCUUCCACCAAAUAAACCAACUAGCAUCAACUACAAGGAUUAAUCAACACUACUAGCAACCCACAUGUACCAAUCUAAGGUUUUGGUACAAAGAUUGGAUACAAGAGAUGAACUACGGUUUGAGAGGAGAUGGUGCUGGUGAAGAUGUUGAUGGAGAUUGACCCCCUCCCGAUGAGAGGAUCGUUGGUGAUGAUGAUGGUGAUGAUUUCCCCCUCCCAGAGGGAAGUUUCCCCGGCAGAACAGCUCCGCCGGAACCCUAGAUUGGUUCCGCCAAGGUUCCGCCUCGUGGCGGCGGAGUUUCGUCCCGUAAGCUUGCUUAUGAUUUUUUUUUCAGGGUAAAAGACUUCAUAUAGCAGAAUAUGGCCACCAGAGGGCAGCCAGGGGGCCCACUAGGUAGGGGGCGUGCCCAGGGGGUAGAGCGCGCCCCCCACCCUCGUGGAUGGUGGGUGGCCCCCCUCAGGUAUUUCUUCCGCUCAAUAUUUUUUAAUAAUUCCCAAAAUGACUUUCGUGGAGUUUCAGGAAUUUUGGAGCUGUGCAGAAUAGGUCUCUAAUAUUUUCUCCUUUUCCAGCCCAGAAUCCCAGCUGUCGGCAUUCUCCCUUUGAUACCGAAGCGACGAGUGCCUUUCAUUGGAGAGACGCGGAGGUAGACAUGGUCUUCGAUUUCAAAAGCCAAAUCACGGUGCUUGCUAUCAUAGUAACUCUUCUGACGCGAUUGUGCGGCUUUGAGAUUCUCACGAAUGACUUUGCACAUUUCUUCGGCUUCUGUGAUCAAGUCGUUGCCAAGAAGUUGGCGUUCACCUAUCUCAGACCAGUUGAGAGGAGUACGGCACUUUCUGCCAUAGAGAAUUUCGAAUGGGGCCUUACCCGAACUCGCUUGGAAGAUGUUAUUGUAGGAGAACUCAGCAUAAGGAAGACAAUCUUCCCACUUCAUGCCAAAGGAGAUGACACAAGCCCUGAGCAUAUCUUCAAGGAUUUGAUUGACUCGCUCGACUUGGCCACUUGUUUGAGAAUGGAAAGCUGUGCUGAAACGAAUGUUGGUGCCCAUGGCCGUCUAAAAGGAGUCCCAGAACUUAGAAGUGAAGAUGCUUCCACGAUCUGAAGAUAUCAAUUGUGGAAUGCCGUGCAAGGAGACAAUUCUGGAGGUGUAUAACUCUGCCAGCUGAGCUGUUGUGAUAGAUUCUUUGAUAGGAAGAAAAUGAGCCACUUUGGUAAGCUUGUCAAUGACAACGAAGAUAGCAUCAUUUCCACGCUUGGACUUAGGAAACCCAGUCACGAAGUCCAUCUCGAUGUGAUCAAACUUCCAUUCCGGAAUAGCAAGAGGUUGAAGGAGACCAGCUGGUCUUUGGUGUUCUGCUUUCACCCUUCUGCAGACAUCACAUUCAUUCACGAAUUGAGCAAUUUCUCGCUUCAUUCGAGUCCACCAAUAUGACUGCUUGAGGUCAUGGUACAUCUUCAUACUUCCAGGAUGAAUGGAUAGGAGGGAAUUGUGUGCCUCAUUCAUGAUGACUUUUCUCAGAUCGCCUUUAGGAACCACAAUUCGAUCCUCGAAGAAAAGAGUAUCUUUGUCAUCCAAGCGAUAGCACUUGUAUUUGGAAAUGCCCUUGUCAAUACCACGUUUCACCUUCUUCACCAUGGUAUCCAGGAGUUGUGCCUCACGAAUUUGAUCUUCCAAAGUAGGAGUGACUAUGAGGUUGGCAAGAAAGCCUUGAGGAACAACUUGAAGAUUCAGCUUGCGGAAAGCUUCACAAAGAUCCGGUUGAAAUGGCUUGAGAAUUAGACUGUUGCAAUAAGCCUUUCUUCUCAGAGCAUCUGCAAUCACAUUCGCCUUGCCAGGAGUAUAUUCAAUACUUGGAUUGUACUCUUGAAUCAUUUCGACCCAUCGAGUUUGCCUGAGGUUGAGGUUUGGUUGAGUGAAGAUAUACUUGAGGCUCUUGUGAUCAGUGAAAAUGUCCACUUGCCUUCCCAAUAAGAGAUGUCUCCAUGUUAUCAAUGCGUGGACAACUGCCGCCAACUCAAGAUCGUGAGUGGGGUAGUUCUUUUCGUUGGGCUUCAACUGACGAGAGGUAUAAGCCACAACUUUCUUCUCUUGCAUUAACACAGCACCGAGACCUUGAAGAGAAGCAUCGCAGAACACUUCGAAUGGCUUGGAUUCAUCAGGAGGAGUUAAGACAGGAGCUGUGACUAGCUUCUCUUUGAGGGUGUUGAAAGCAAUGUCACACUCAGGCGUCCAGACAUACUUGACAUGCUUCUGGAGGAGGUUGGAAAGAGGCUUUGCAAUCUUUGAGAAGUUCUCAACGAAUCUUUGGCAAUAGCUUGCAAGACCAAGAAAGCUGCGAAGCUGUUUGACAUUCUGAGGAGGUUCCCAAUUCAGAACAGCAGAAACCUUCGCCGGAUUAACAGCAAUUCCCUUGGCGGAGAUGAUAUGACCAAGAUAAAGAACUUCAUCAAGCCAGAACUCACAUUUGGAAAACUUCACAUAGAAUUGAUGCUCUCUGAGCUUGUCGAGCACCAAUCGCAAAUGUUUGGCAUGAUCCGACUUAUUCUUGGAGAAGACCAAAAUAUCAUCGAGAUACACCAAGACGAAUUCAUUUGUGUAGGGGUUGAAGAUAAAGUUCAUCAUGCGAGAGAAAGUUGGAGGAGCAUUGACAAGGCCGAAAGACAUGACAGUAUAUUCAUAAGAACCAUAGCUUGUUCUGAAUGCUGUCUUGGGGAUAUCUUGUUCACGAAUGCGAAUCUGAUGACAACCCAUACGAAGGUCAAGCUUGGAGAAAACUUUAGCACCUUUGAGUUGCUCGAAAAGAUCAUUGAUGUUGGGAAGUGGAUACUUGUUCUUGAUUGUCUUCUUGUUCAAUGGACGGUAAUCGACGCAAUGUCAGUCCGUGCCAUCCUUCUUCUGGACAAAAAGAACUCCACAACCCCAUGGAGAUGAACUCGGUCUGAUCAAACCCAGACGCUCUUGUUGAUCGAGCUAUUUCUUCAAUUCCUUCAGCUCCUUGGGUCCAAGCUUGUAAGGACGCUUGCAAACAGGUUCAGUUCCAGGCUCAAGAUCGAUAACGAAUUCGACUGGCCGAUGAGGAGGCAUACCCGGAAGCUCUUCUGGAAAGACAUCUUGGUACUCACAAACGACUGGAAUUUGAGAAAUAGCAUCCAACUCGCCCUUCUCAUUGAGAGAGAAUAACCGAAUGGUUUCAUCACGAGCGGCAUAGAUGAUAACAUCCUCAGAAGGGUGUGUCAAUUGAAUUUCCCUGGCAGCACAAUCAAGCUGAGCCUUGUGCUUAGAAAGCCAGUCCAUCCCAAGAAUUAGAUCAAUAUCAGAGUCACCAAGGACAACUGGAGAAGACAGAAAUCUAUAGUCGCCCAUCUUGAUAGAGACAUCCCGAACCAUGGAGCUAGCAUUCAUGAAUUUACCCGGAGAGACAACUGAUAAUAGUCUAGGCAAAUCUUGAAAAACCAUCUCAUGCUUAGAUGUAAAAGGUCUUGAGAUGAAACUAUGCGAUGCACCAAUAUCAAAUAAGACUUUUGCAGGAAUAUCAUUAACUGAGAGAUUACCCAUUAUCACAUCUGAAGAAUCCUCUGCCUGAGCUGCAUUCAUCAUGUUCACCUUUGCAAACUUUGGAUUAUGCUUGACCACUGCAUUGCUUGAAGAUCUCAUAGGAGGAGGAGGAGGAAGGCGCCUUUGAUUGAAGCAUUUGUUCGCAUAGUGACCUUUCUGCUGGCACUUGUUGCAAGUCACUUCUGAGAGCGGACGGUGAUAAGGAGCAUUUGACCUUGGAGCUUGAGGCCGAUACUUGUUCUGAUGGCUUGGGUAGGGUGGGUGGGAAGAUCCACGACCACCUGAGUUCUCCUGUUGGUAAGGCUGACGAAACGGAGGAGGAGGAAGGUAGAACUUUUGCUGCUUAGCUGCCACUUGAGAGGAAGAAGAAGACUGAACUGCAUCCCUGAUUCUCUUCUUAGAUGCCUCACACUUGAGCUGAGCACCUUCUUGCUUGAGUGCCAUAUUGUAGAAUUGAUCAAACUGAGUAGGCUCAACAAGAACAAGAGCUAACUGCAGAUCCUCUCUAAGGCCACCUCUGAAUUGAUAGAUCAUACUCUUUUCAUCAGGAACGUCUUGUUUAGUGAAGCGAGCAAGUUUGUGAAACUGCUUGUUGUAUUCGUACACUGACAUGUUGCCUUGCUUGAGAUUGCGGAACUCCUCACGCUUGCUCUCAACAACACUGGAAGGAAUAUGGUGAGCUUUAAAGUCCUGACAGAAAUCAGUCCAAGUAAUCACUCGACCACCUCUGGAAUCCUUGUAUUGCUGGAACCAAUCAGCUGCUUGAUCCUUGAGAUGAAAAGAAGCGAACUUGACAUAGUCCUCAGGCCUGACAUUGCUGCAUUCAAAAUGCUUGUUGAAAUCCACGAGCCAAUCGUCGGCGUCUGUGGCCUCGGCACAGUAGCUGAAAGACUUCGGCUGAUUUGCAAGGAAUUGAUUGAGGUAGGAAACUGAGGCUGAUGAUUGAACUGCCCUUGACCUUAAUUCCCUUGGUUGCCUUGGCCUUGGUUGCGCUCUUGCAUGAGCUGAAUCAUCAUCUGGGCAUGGGCGUUAGAGGCUGCCAUCAAAGCUUGCCAUGCCUCCGGAGGCGGAGGUGGAGGUGGAGGGUUCGCCUGACUGUCAUCAUUGCGUUCCAGAUUCUGACGCGUUGGCGGAGCCAUCCUGAAGAGGGUGACAUCCGUUAGCAUCUUGAUAGACAGAUAGACAAGUUGAAUCAACGGAUAGAAAUUGCAACAUAUAGUCUUCACAAUAAACAUUCGGACAAGGAUGAACGAAUGAAUUCCAAAGUAAACAUCACGUCCAUUAAGGUGAGAAGCCACUUGAUAAGAUAUUGAUGAUAGAAAAAUAAAAGCAAGGUACGGAUGGAACAAAUAAGUGGUAAGGAUUACCCAAUCACAAACCAAAUAUCUGCGGGAAGAAAUGCUAGAGCUACUUGAAUCCCACCUAUAAACUCCCGAAACUUUCCGGUUAUGCAAUCAGGUGUUGGGGAUACAGGGGAAGCAAUAUAUCUCACCCAAACUAACAAUCCCUGCAUCCAGUUGUAUCCAUCCUUCAACACAUAACCAAGAAACCUUCGGAAAUUGUGUACCUCAACCUUCGAAAAGCAUCUGUUAUACGAGUCAUGGCAAUACUCCCGAGCUCGCCCCAGUACUGGGUUAUCGGGGUUAUCUCACCAACAACUGUACAAAAGAGAUUUUCGAUGUCGGCAAAUCUCAGGUAUUCCAGAACUGUAACGAUAAAAUUGUGACGAGAACACCUCGGAGCUCAACUCCCCUGGACACUGCCACAACCCCUAAAUGUCAGGAGGCACCAAGAACAAUGUUCUCGUCACAAAACCAUCGGAACGACUCCAAGAUACCCGCGUGAUCCUAAAAAAUUUAGUGAAAUUUGAGAAGAGGAAAGUCAAAACAUCUACGUCAGGAGACCUCACCAGAGCGACGAAGGGACUGAGGAGUAAAAAGAAAUCCUACUCUCCGAUAUAUAUAUAAUCCUAAGACUCAAAACAUUUUUGUUCUAGACUCAACAUCGCCAGCAAACAAUCAAGCAGGGGGCUUCUAAGUCGGGGAUGGCUCUGAUUACCAACUUGUAACGCCCUCGAUGCGGCUAUAUCUCCCACGUGUCGAAGCACGACUUAGAGGCAUAACCGCAUUGAAAGCAAUGUCGCAAGUGAGGUAAUCUUCGCACAACCCAUGUAAUACAUAAGGGAAAGAGAUACAUAGUUGGCUUACAGUCGCCACUUCACACAAUACAUAAAUAAACAUCCAUCAUCCAGAUUACACUCAAGGUCCGACUACGGAACCAAAAUAAAAGAAGACUACCCCAAAUGCUACACAGAUCCCCCGAUCGUCCCGACUGGGCACCUCUACUGAUCAUCUGGAAACGAAACAUAGUAACGACCAAGGGCCUCAUCAAAUUCCCACUUGAGCUCGGUUGCGCCAUCUGCGCCAGUAUCCUCGGCACCUGCAUCUGUUUUGGUAGAAACUGUGAGUCACAAGGACUCAGCAACCUCACACCCGCGAGAUCAAGACUAUUUAAUCUCAAAGGUAGGAAAGGGCAAUAUGGUGGAGCUGCGGCAAGCACUAAGCAUAUAUGGUGGCUAACAUACGCAAGUGAGAGCGAGAAGAGAAGCAACGCAUUGGUCGAGAAGCUAGAAGUGAUCAAGAAGUGAUCCUGAAACUACUUACGUCAAGCAUAACUCAAACUGUGUUCACUUCCCGGACUCCGCCGAGAAGAGACCAUCACGGCUACACACGCGGUUGAUGCAUUUUAAUGAAGUCAAGUGUCAAGUUAUCUACAACCAGACAUUAAAAAAUUCCCAUCUGCCUCAUAACCGCGGGCACGGCUUUCGAAAGAUUAUAUACCCUGCAUGGGUGUCCCAACUUAGCCCAUCAUAAGCUCUCACGGUCAACGAAGGAUAAACCUUCUCCCGGGAAGACCCGAUCAGUCUCGGAAUCCCAGUUCGCAAGACAUUUCGACAAUGGUAAAACAAGACCAGCAAAGCCGCCCGAUGUGCCGACAAAUCCCGAUAGGAGCUGCACAUAUCUCGUUCUCAGGGCACACCGGAUGAGACAUCCUACGAGUAAAACCAGACCUCGAGUUUCCUCGAGGGGGCCCCGCAGUCUACUCAGUUCGGACCAACACUCGAAGGAGCACUGGCCCGGGGGGGUUAAAAUAAAGAUGACCCUCGGGCUCACGAAAACCCAAGGGAAAAAGGGUAAUAGGUGGCAAAUGGUAAAACCAAGGUUGGGCCUUGCUGGAGGAGUUUUAUUCAAAGCGAACUGUCAAGGGGGUCCCAUAAAUCACCCAACCGCGUAAGGAACGCAAAAUCAAGGAACAUAACACCAGUAUGACGGAAACUAGGACGGCAAGAGUGGAACAAGUCACCAGGCAUAAGGCCGAGCCUUCCACCCUUUACCAAAUAUAUAAGGUGCAUCAAUUAAACAGGAGAUAUUGUGAUAUCCCAAAAUAUCCAUGUUCCGACCAGGAACAAACUUCAUCUUCACCUGCAACUAGCAACGCUAUAAGAGGGGCUGAGCAAAAGCGGUGAAAUAGCCAAACAACGGUUUGCUAGGACAGGGUGGUUAGAGGGUUGACAUGGCAAUAGGAAGGCAUGAUAAACAAAGGCAGGUAGGACUAACAUAGCGAAAGAGCGAACAGCUAGCAAAGCAAAGAUAGAAGUGAUAUCGAAGGUAUGGUCAUCUUGCCUGCAAAGUUCUCAGAGUUGUCGAAGGCUUGAUCCUCGUAAGCGUUAUCAACAGGUUCCUCAUUCACGUACUCAUCUCCCGGCUCUACCCAAAGCAAGAACACAAGCAAAGGAACCACAAUAAAUCACGGUGCAAUGCACAAGCAACAAGAUGCAAUGCGUGCCAUGAUAUGCGAGAUGUGCUAUGCAAUGCAUAUGCGUGCUUCGGGAGGAAAAUGAUGAACAAGGCAUCAACUUGGCAAACCAAGUAUGCCGCUGGAAAGAUGAGAUGAUUUCGGUUGAAAUCGAUAUGAAGAUCAUCGGAAACGGAUGCACGGUUUGCAAAUGGCAAGCAAAACAAUAAGGGCACAAAUCUGCGAUUAACAGCACGAUGCUACUUAGCAUGCAACAAGAAACUAUGCUACAGCACCCCAACAUAAAAACAAAGCAUAUGGCAAAGAUCUACAGGAGAUGCUUUACAAAAGAGGAACACUGAGCUACGGCUAAAUCACAUCAUAACAGGUCCAAACAAGCAUGGUGAAAGUGCAAAAAAUAUCAGGCUGGACAUGGCACAAACAGCAUCAGGAAGCAAUGUUCAGAGCAAGUUAUCAACAAGCUACAGGAACUUAUAAUAGCAAAACAAGACAUGGCAUGAAUCUACUCAAAGUAUAGAUCAAAAGUCCCUUACUGACCAUAAGCCAAAAAGGACCAGAAGAAAUAAUGGCAUGCAUGUAAACAUAGCAAGUUUCGUUAACAGAUUCAGCAAACAAAGCAUGGCAUUGACAGAAUUACGAAGGCACCUUCGUGAGCUUGAUGCACUCACUAUAGAGCACCUCAUGAUAAACUAAGCAUACCCACAUCAAGAAGACAUGGCAUAGAAGCUAUACAUGGCAAGAACAACAUCAUAGCAUACACGGAUCAACUACAACAACCUCGUUAAAAUUGAAUAUCAUGCAAACAAUCUGCCAGGAAACAUUUUGUAGCAAAAGUAGAGCAUGAAAAUGACAUGCUAGACUAAUCCAUAAUUCCAAACAAGGACAUGAAUGGAUAGAGCAUAACCAUAUGUUCAAAACACCCUUACUGAAGUAUCUCUAAAUAUGCAUGGAUCUCUCUGUAGCAACAUGUUUACAUGGCAUCACAAUAACAGCAGAACAGGGACUAAAAUCAGCAAUAUCACGAAGCCUAGUUUGCAUGCUUGUGCUAGUCACCACAUAGAUCACAAAAAUACAUGGCAUACACCCCUGUAAAGCUGGCAUGGCAUAGAUCAAAACAUAUGUAGGGCUCAAGUUCAUAAGAUGCACACAUUAAUCAUGGCAAAAAUGACAAAAGUGCAAGUUCUGUUAAGAAACAGAAACUAACAUCACAUAGCCCUCUUCCAACAGCAUUUCGGGCAUCAAGAUCAGCUCAAAUGUAAAUGAUGCAAUGGAAUGAAAUGAUGUACUCUUCGAGGCGAACAAUGUGACAUAUUACACGCAUGAAACGGAGCUACGGGUGCGAAGAUGUGAUGCGAUGAACAUGCUACAAUUUUAACAGCAGUUAACAGGACAGUGAAAAACGGGGGGGGAGAACUGAGGUCAACCCUAGAUCGACCGGAUCUGGACCGGCUGCGCGCGGAUGCCGAGGUCGCCGGAGUUGGGGAGCUUGCCGGAGUCGGAGGCGGCCGAGGCGGCUGCUGGAGGCGNNNNNNNNNNNNNNNNNNNNNNNNNNNNNNNNNNNNNNNNNNNNNNNNNNNNNNNNNNNNNNNNNNNNNNNNNNNNNNNNNNNNNNNNNNNNNNNNNNNNNNNNNNNNNNNNNNNNNNNNNNNNNNNNNNNNNNNNNNNNNNNNNNNNNNNNNNNNNNNNNNNNNNNNNNNNNNNNNNNNNNNNNNNNNNNNNNNNNNNNNNNNNNNNNNNNNNNNNNNNNNNNNNNNNNNNNNNNNNNNNNNNNNNNNNNNNNNNNNNNNNNNNNNNNNNNNNNNNNNNNNNNNNNNNNNNNNNNNNNNNNNNNNNNNNNNNNNNNNNNNNNNNNNNNNNNNNNNNNNNNNNNNNNNNNNNNNNNNNNNNNNNNNNNNNNNNNNNNNNNNNNNNNNNNNNNNNNNNNNNNNNGCGCGGGGAGCGGGCGGCGGCGGACGGGCCUUGCGGGCCCGCUGCGGGCUCGCGGGCCGGCGGCGGCGGACGGUGGCGCUGCACCACGUGGCAAGCCGCGGUUGGCCGAGCGUGGCGGGCGGACGUGUCCGGCUCGCCCGGACGUGUCCGGCGGCGUGGAGAGGGGAGAUUUUUAGGGUUUCGUCCGUGAAUUCGGGGGAGGGAUCUAUAUAUAGAGGUAGAGGGAGCUAGGAGUGUCCAAAUGAGGUGCGGUUUUUGCCCACACGAUCUUGAUUGAACGACCGAGAGCAUGGAGGGGUGUUAGAUGGGUUUUGGGCCACUUUGGAAGGGGUGUUGGGCUGCAACUUAAAAGAGGCCUUUGCGAGAGUGCGGUUAACCGUUGGAGUACCAAAUGAGCUCCAAAUGACCCGAAACUUGACAGGUGGUCUACCGGUGGUGUACCAAGGCCACUUGGCAAGGCUUGGUCCAUUCCGAGAAUGUUCAACACCCGCACACGAAAAGAGACAAGAGGGGUGCGCCGGUGCAUGUGGGAGUGUCGGAUUGCAAAACGGACAACGGGGAAAAUGCUCAGAUGCAUGAGACGAACACGUAUGCAAAAUGAAAUGCACAUGAUGACAUGAUAUGAUAUGCAUGACAUGAAUAAAAUGCAAAACAAAAGACAAAACCCAACCACGGAGGGAAUAUCAUAGCGCAUAGCCGAAAAUGGCAAGAGUUGGAGUUACAAAGAUGGAAAGUUACCUCCGGGGUGUUACAACACUCCACCACUACAAGAGGAUCUCGUACCGAGAUCUAGGACUGAAAGAACUCCGAAUAUUCGGAACGGAGGUGAUCCUCGCGCUCCCAGGUGGCUUCUCGGUCGGAAUGGUGUGACCACUUCACUUUCAGGAAUUUUAUUGACUUGUUGCGAGUCUUGCGCUCGGUUUCUUCAAGAAUAGCAACGGGGUGCUCAUGAUAAGAGAGGUCUUCUUGGAGGUCAAUUUCUUCAAAGUUGAUAGUGCACUCAGGAGUCUUGAAGCACUUGCAGAGUUGUGACACGUGAAACACAUCAUGCACGUUUGCAAAGUUGGAUGGAAGCUCAAGUUGAUAGGCGAGAUAGCCUCUUUUUCCAAUGAUCUUGAAAGGACCCACGUAUCUAGGGGCAAGCUUCCCUUUGAUACUGAAGCGACGAGUGCCUUUCAUUGGAGAGACGCGGAGGUAGACAUGGUCUUCGAUUUCAAAAGCCAAAUCACGGUGCUUGCUAUCAUAGUAACUCUUCCGACGCGAUUGUGUGGCUUUGAGAUUCUCAUGAAUGACUUUGCACAUUUCUUCGGCUUCUGUGAUCAAGUCGUUGCCAAGAAGUUGGCGUUCACAUGUCUCAGACCAGUUGAGAGGAGUACGGCACUUUCUGCCAUAGAGAAUUUUGAAUGGGGCCUUGCCCGAACUCGCUUGGAAGCUGUUAUUGUAGGAGAACUUGGCAUAAGGAAGACAAUCUUCCCACUUCAUGCCAAAGGAGAUGACACAAGCCCUGAGCAUAUCUUCAAGGAUUUGAUUGACUCGCUCGACUUGGCCACUUGUUUGAGGAUGGAAAGCUGUGCUGAAACGAAUGUUGGUGCCCAUGGCCGUCUGAAAGGAGUCCCAGAACUUAGAAGUGAAGAUGCUUCCAUGAUCUGAAGAUAUCAAUUGUGGAAUGUCGUGCAAGGAGACAAUUCUGGAGGUGUAUAACUCUGCCAGCUGAGCUGCUGUGAUAGAUUCUUUGAUAGGAAGAAAAUGAGCCACUUUCGUAAGCUUGUCAAUGACAACAAAGAUAGCAUCAUUUCCACGCUUGGACUUAGGAAAACCAGUCACGAAGUCCAUCUCGAUGUGAUCAAACUUCCAUUCCGGAAUAGUAAGAGGUUGAAGGAGACCAACUGGUCUUUGGUGUUCUGCUUUCACCCUUCUGCAGACAUCACAUUCAUUCACGAAUUGAGCAAUUUCUCGCUUCAUUCGAGUCCACCAAUAUGACUGCUUGAGGUCAUGGUACAUCUUCGUACUUCCAAGAUGAAUGGAUAGGAGGGAAUUGUGUGCCUCAUUCAUGAUGACUUUUCUCAGAUCGCCUUUAGGAACCACAAUUCGAUCCUCGAAGAAAAGAGUAUCUUUGUCAUCCAAGCGAUAGCACUUGUAUUUGGAAAUGCCCUUGUCAAUACCAUGUUUCACCUUCUUCACCAUGGUAUCCAGGAGUUGUGCCUCACAAAUUUGAUCUUCCAAAGUAGGAGUGACUAUGAGGUUGGCAAGAAAGCCUUGAGGAACAACUUGAAGAUUCAGCUUGCGGAAAGCUUCACAAAGAUCCGGUUGAAAUGGCUUGAGAAUUAGACUGUUGCAAUAAGCCUUUCUGCUUAGAGCAUCUGCAAUCACAUUCGCCUUGCCAGGAGUAUAUUCAAUACUUGGAUUGUACUCUUGAAUCAUUUCGACCCAUCGAGUUUGCCUGAGGUUGAGGUUUGGUUGAGUGAAGAUAUACUUGAGGCUCUUGUGAUCGGUGAAAAUGUCCACUUGCCUUCCCAAUAAGAGAUGUCUCCAUGUUAUCAAUGCGUGGACAACUGCUGCCAACUCAAGAUCGUGAGUGGGGUAGUUCUUUUCGUUGGGCUUCAACUGAUGAGAGGUAUAAGCCACAACUUUCUUCUCUUGCAUUAACACAGCACCGAGACCUUGAAGAGAAGCAUCGCAGAACACUUCGAAUGGCUUGGAUUCAUCAGGAGGAGUUAAGACAGGAGCUGUGACUAGCUUCUCUUUGAGGGUGUUGAAAGCAACGUCACACUCAGGCGUCCAGACAUACUUGACAUGCUUCUGGAGGAGGUUGGAAAGAGGCUUUGCAAUCUUUGAGAAGUUCUCAACGAAUCUUCGGCAAUAGCUUGCAAGACCAAGAAAGCUGCGAAGCUGUUUGACAUUCUGAGGAGGUUCCCAAUUCAGAACAGUAGAAACCUUCGCCAGAUUAACAGCAAUUCCCUUGGCGGAGAUGAUAUGACCAAGAUAAAGAACUUCAUCAAGCCAGAACUCACAUUUGGAAAACUUCGCAUAGAAUUGAUGCUCUCUGAGCUUGUCGAGCACCAAUCGCAAAUGUUUGGCAUGAUCCGACUUAUUCUUGGAGAAGACCAAAAUAUCAUCGAGAUACACCAAGACGAAUUCAUUUGUGUAGGGGUUGAAGAUAAAGUUCAUCAUGCGAGAGAAAGUUGGAGGAGCAUUGACAAGGCCGAAAGACAUGACAGUAUAUUCAUAAGAACCAUAGCUUGUUCUGAAUGCUGUCUUGGGGAUAUCUUGUUCACGAAUGCGAAUCUGAUGACAACCCAUACAAAGGUCAAGCUUGGAGAAAACUUUAGCACCUUUGAGUUGCUCGAAAAGAUCAUUGAUGUUGGGAAGUGGAUACUUGUUCUUGAUUGUCUUCUUGUUCAAUGGACGGUAAUCGACGCAAUGUCGGUCCGUGCCAUCCUUCUUCUGGACAAAAAGAACUCCACAACCCCAUGGAGAUGAACUCGGUCUGAUCAAACCCAGACGCUCUUGUUGAUCGAGCUAUUUCUUCAAUUCCUUCAGCUCCUUGGGUCCAAGCUUGUAAGGACGCUUGCAAACAGGUUCAGUUCCAGGCUCAAGAUCGAUAACGAAUUCGACUGGCCGAUGAGGAGGCAUACCCGGAAGCUCUUCUGGAAAGACAUCUUGGUACUCACAAACGACUGGAAUUUGAGAAAUAGCAUCCAACUCGCCCUUCUCAUUGAGAGAGAAUAACCGAAUGGUUUCAUCACGAGCGGCAUAGAUGAUAACAUCCUCAGAAGGGUGUGUCAAUUGAAUUUCCCUGGCAGCACAAUCAAGCUGAGCCUUGUGCUUAGAAAGCCAGUCCAUCCCAAGAAUUAGAUCAAUAUCAGAGUCACCAAGGACAACUGGAGAAGACAGAAAUCUAUAGUCGCCCAUCUUGAUAGAGACAUCCCGAACCAUGGAGCUAGCAUUCAUGAAUUUACCCGGAGAGACAACUGAUAAUAGUCUAGGCAAAUCUUGAAAAACCAUCUCAUGCUUAGAUGUAAAAGGUCUUGAGAUGAAACUAUGCGAUGCACCAAUAUCAAAUAAGACUUUUGCAGGAAUAUCAUUAACUGAGAGAUUACCCAUUAUCACAUCUGAAGAAUCCUCUGCCUGAGCUGCAUUCAUCAUGUUCACCUUUGCAAACUUUGGAUUAUGCUUGACCACUGCAUUGCUUGAAGAUCUCACAGGAGGAGGAGGAGGAAGGCGCCUUUGAUUGAAGCAUUUGUUCGCAUAGUGACCUUUCUGCUGGCACUUGUUGCAAGUCACUUCUGAGAGCGGAAGGUGAUAAGGAGCAUUUGACCUUGGAGCUUGAGGCUGAGACUUGUUCUGAUGGCUUGGGUUGGGUGGGUGGGAAGAUCCACGACCACCUGAGUUCUUCUGUUGGUAAGGCUGACGAAACGGAGGAGGAGGAAGGUAGAACUUUUGCUGCUUAGCUGCCACUUGAGAGGAAGAAGAAGACUGAACUGCAUCCCUGAUUCUCUUCUUAGAUGCCUCACACUUGAGCUGAGCACCUUCUUGCUUGAGUGCCAUAUUGUAGAAUUGAUCAAACUGAGUAGGCUCAACAAGAACAAGAGCUAACUGCAGAUCCUCUCUAAGGCCACCUCUGAAUUGAUAGAUCAUACUCUUUUCAUCAGGAACGUCUUGUUUAGCGAAGCGAGCAAGUUUGUGAAACUGCUUGUUGUAUUCGUACACUGACAUGUUGCCUUGCUUGAGAUUGCGGAACUCCUCACGCUUGCUCUCAACAACACUGGUAGGAAUAUGGUGAGCUUUAAAGUCCUGAUAGAAAUCAGUCCAAGUAAUCACUCGACCACCUCUGGAAUCCUUGUAUUGCUGGAACCAAUCAGCUGCUUGAUCCUUGAGCUGAAAAGAAGCGAACUUGACAUAGUCCUCAGGCCUGACAUUGCUGCAUUCAAAAUGCUUGUUGAAAUCCACGAGCCAAUCAUCGGCGUCUGUGGCCUCGACACAGUAGCUGAAAGACUUCGGCUGAUUUGCAAGGAAUUGAUUGAGGGUAGGAAACUGAGGCUGAUGAUUGAACUGCCCUUGACCUUGAUUCCCUUGGUUGCCUUGGCCUUGGUUGCGCUCUUGCAUGAGCUGAAUCAUCAUCUGGGCAUGGGCGUUAGAGGCUGCCAUCAAAGCUUGCCAUGCCUCCGGAGGCGGAGGUGGAGGUGGAGGGUUCGCCUGACUGUCAUCAUUGCGUUCCAGAUUCUGAUGCGUUGGCGGAGCCAUCAUGAAGAGGGUGACAUCCGUUAGCAUCUUGAUAGACAGAUAGACAAGUUGAAUCAACGGAUAGAAAUUGCAACAUAUAGUCUUCACAAUAAACAUUCGGACAAGGAUGAACGAAUGAAUUCCAAAGUAAACAUCACGUCCAUUAAGGUGAGAAGCCACUUGAUAAGAUAUUGAUGAUAGAAAAAUAAAAGCAAGGUACGGAUGGAACAAAUAAGUGGUAAGGAUUACCCAAUCACAAACCAAAUAUCUGCGGGAAGAAAUGCUAGAGCUACUUGAAUCCCACCUAUAAACUCCCGAAACUUUCCGGUUAUGCAAUCAGGUGUUGGGGAUACAGGGGAAGCAAUAUAUCUCACCCAAACUAACAAUCCCUGCAUCCAGUUGUAUCCAUCCUUCAACACAUAACCAAGAAACCUUCAGAAAUCGUGUACCUCAACCUUCGAAAAGCAUCUGUUAUACGAGUCAUGGCAAUACUCCCGAGCUCGCCCCAGUACUGGGUUAUCGGGGUUAUCUCACCAACAACUGUACAAAAGAGAUUUUCGAUGUCGACAAAUCUCAGGUAUUCCAGAACUGUAACGAUAAAAUUGUGACGACAACACCUCGGAGCUCAACUCCCUGGGACACUGUCACAACCCCUAAAUGUCAGGAGGCACCAAGAACAAUGUUCUCGUCACGAAACCAUCGGAACGACUCCAAGAUACCCGCGUGAUCUUAAAAAAAAUUAGUGAAAUUUGAGAAGAGGAAAGUCAAAACAUCUACGUCAGGAGACCUCACCAGAGCGACGAAGGGACUGAGGAGUAAAAAGAAAUCCUACUCUCCGAUAUAUAUAUAAUCCUAAGACUCAAAACAUUUUUGUUCUAGACUCAACAUCGCCAGCAAACAAUCAAGCAGGGGGCUUCUAAGUCGGGGAUGGCUCUGAUUACCAACUUGUAACGCCCUCGAUGCGGCUAUAUCUCCCACGUGUCGAAGCACGACUUAGAGGCAUAACCGCAUUGAAAGCAAUGUCGCAAGUGAGGUAAUCUUCGCACAACCCAUGUAAUACAUAAGGGAAAGAGAUACAUAGUUGGCUUACAGUCGCCACUUCACACAAUACAUAAAUAAACAUCCAUCAUCCAGAUUACACUCAAGGUCUGACUACGGAACCAAAAUAAAAGAAGACUACCCCAAAUGCUACACAGAUCCCCCGAUCGUCCCGACUGGGCACCUCUACUGAUCAUCUAGAAACGAAACAUAGUAACGACCAAGGGCCUCAUCAAAUUCCCACUUGAGCUCGGUUGCGCCAUCUGCGCCACUAUCCUCGGCACCUGCAUCUAUUUUGGUAGAAACUGUGAGUCACGAGGACUCAGCAACCUCACACCCGCGAGAUCAAGACUAUUUAAGCUCAAAGGUAGGAAAGGGCAAUAUGGUGGAGCUGCGGCAAGCACUAAGCAUAUAUGGUGGCUAACAUACGCAAGUGAGAGCGAGAAGAGAAGCAACGCAUCGGUCGAGAAGCUAGAAGUGAUCAAGAAGUGAUCCUGAAACUACUUACGUCAAGCAUAACUCAAACCGUGUUCACUUCCCGGACUCCGCUCAGAAGAGACCAUCACGGCUACACACGCGGUUGAUGCAUUUUAAUGAAGUCAAGUGUCAAGUUAUCUACAACCGGACAUUAACAAAUUCCCAUCUGCCUCAUAACCGCGGGCACGGCUUUUGAAAGAUUAUAUACCCUGCAUGGGUGUCCCAACUUAGCCCAUCAUAAGCUCUCACGGUCAACGAAGGAUAAACCUUCUCCCGGGAAGACCCGAUCAGUCUCGGAAUCCCGGUUCGCAAGACAUUUUGACAAUGGUAAAACAAGACCAGCAAAGCCGCCCGAUGUGCCGACAAAUCCCGAUAGGAGCUGCACAUAUCUCGUUCUCAGGGCACACCGGAUGAGACAUCCUACGAGUAACACCAGACCUCGAGUUUCCCCGAGGGGGCCCCGCAGUCUACUCAGUUCGGACCAACACUCGAAGGAGCACUGGCCCGGGGGGGUUAAAAUAAAGAUGACCCUCGGGCUCGCGAAAACCCAAGGGAAAAAGGGUAAUAGGUGGCAAAUGGUAAAACCAAGGAUGGGCCUUGCUGGAGGAGUUUUAUUCAAAGUGAACUGUCAAGGGGGUCCCAUAAAUCACCCAACCGCGUAAGGAACGCAAAAUCAAGGAACAUAACACCAGUAUGACGGAAACUAGGACGGCAAGAGUGGAACAGGUCACCAGGCAUAAGGCCGAGCCUUCCACCCUUUACCAAAUAUAUAAGGUGCAUUAAUUAAACAAGAGAUAUUGUGAUAUCCCAAAAUAUCCAUGUUCCGACCAGGAACAAACUUCAUCUUCACCUGCAACUAGCAACGCUAUAAGAGGGGCUAAGCAAAAGCGGUGACAUAGCCAAACAACGGUUUGCUAGGAUAGGGUGGUUAGAGGGUUGACAUGGCAAUAGGAAGGCAUGAUAAACAAAGGCAGGUAGGACUAACAUAGAGAAAGAGCGAACAGCUAGCAAAGCAAAGAUAGAAGUGAUAUCGAAGGUAUGGUCAUCUUGCCUGCAAAGUUCUCAGAGUUGUCGAAGGCUUGAUCCUCGUAAGCAUUAUCAACAGGUUCCUCGUUCACAUACUCAUCUCCCGACUCUACCCAAAGCAAGAAUACAAGCAAAGGAACCACAAUAAAUCACGGUGCAAUGCACAAGCAACAAGAUGCAAUGCGUGCCAUGAUAUGCGAGAUGUGCUAUGCAAUGCAUAUGCGUGCUUCGGGAGGAAAAUGAUGAACAAGGCAUCAAAUUGGCAAACCAAGUAUGCCGCUGGAAAGAUGAGAUGAUUUCGGUUGAAAUCGAUAUGAAGAUCAUCGGAAACGGAUGCACGGUUUGCAAAUGGCAAGCAAAACAAUAAGGGCACAAAUUUGCGAUUAACAGCACGAUGCUACUUAGCAUGCAACAAGAAACUAUGCUACAGCACCCCAACAUAAAAACAAAGCAUAUGGCAAAGAUCUACAGGAGAUGCUUUACAAAAGAGGAACACUGAGCUACGGCUAAAUCACAUCAUAACAGGUCCAAACAAGCAUGGUGAAAGUGCAAAAAAUAUCAGGCUGGACAUGGCAUAAACAGCAUCAGGAAGCAAUGUUCAGAGCAAGUUAUCAACAAGCUACAGGAAUUUAUAAUAGCAAAACAAGACAUGGCAUGAAUCUACUCAAAGCAUAGAUCAAAAGUCCCUUACUGACCAUAAGCCAAAAAGGACCAGAAGAAAUAAUGGCAUGCAUGUAAACAUAGCAAGUUUCGUUAACAGAUUCAGCAAACAAAGCAUGGCAUUGACAGAAUUACGAAGGCACCUUCGUGAGCUCGAUGCACUCACUACAGAGCACCUCAUGAUAAACUAAGCAUACCCACAUCAAUAAGACAUGGCAUAGAAGCUAUACAUGGCAAGAACAACAUCAUAGCAUACAUGGAUCAACUACAACAACCUCGUUAAAAUUGAAUAUCAUGCAAACAAUCUGCCAGGAAACAUUUUGUAGCAAAAGUAGAGCAUGAAAAUGACAUGCUAGACUACUCCAUAAUUCCAAACAAGGACAUGAAUGGAUAGAGCAUAACCAUAUGUUCAAAACACCCUUACUGAAGUAUCUCUAAAUAUGCAUGGAUCUCUCUGUAGCAACAUGUUUACAUGGCAUCACAAUAACAGCAGAACAGGGACUAAAAUCAGCAAUAUCACGAAGCCUAGUUUGCAUGCUUGUGCUAGUCACCACAUAGAUCACAAAAAUACAUGGCAUACACCCCUGUAAAGCUGGCAUGGCAUAGAUCAAAACAUAUGUAGGGCUCAAGUUCAUAAGAUGCACACAUUAAUCAUGGCAAAAAUGACAAAAGUGCAAGUUCUGUUAAGAAACAGAAACUAACAUCACAUAGCCCUCUUCCAAUAGCAUUUCCGGCAUCAAGAUGAGCUCAAAUGUAAAUGAUGCAAUGGAGUGAAAUGAUGUACUCUUCGAGACGAACAAUUUGACAUAUUACACAGAUGAAACGGAGCUAUGGGUGCGAAGAUGUGAUGUGAUGAACAUGCUACAAUUUUAACAACAGUUAACAGGACUUGGUGAAAAACAGGGGGGGGGAGAACGAGGUCAACCCUAGAUCGACCGGAUCUGGACCGGCUGCGCGCGGAUGCCGAGGUCGCCGGAGUCGGGGAGCUCGCCGGAGUCGGAGGCGGCCGGGGCGGCUGCUGGAGGCGAUGAAGGGGCCGGCGACGGNNNNNNNNNNNNNNNNNNNNNNNNNNNNNNNNNNNNNNNNNNNNNNNNNNNNNNNNNNNNNNNNNNNNNNNNNNNNNNNNNNNNNNNNNNNNNNNNNNNNNNNNNNNNNNNNNNNNNNNNNNNNNNNNNNNNNNNNNNNNNNNNNNNNNNNNNNNNNNNNNNNNNNNNNNNNNNNNNNNNNNNNNNNNNNNNNNNNNNNNNNNNNNNNNNNNNNNNNNNNNNNNNNNNNNNNNNNNNNNNNNNNNNNNNNNNNNNNNNNNNNNNNNNNNNNNNNNNNNNNNNNNNNNNNNNNNNNNNNNNNNNNNNNNNNNNNNNNNNNNNNNNNNNNNNNNNNNNNNNNNNNNNNNNNNNNNNNNNNNNNNNNNNNNNNNNNNNNNNNNNNNNNNNNNNNNNNNNNNNNNNNNNNNNNNNNNNNNNNNNNNNNNNNNNNNNNNNNNNNNNNNNNNNNNNNNNNNNNNNNNNNNNNNNNNNNNNNNNNNNNNNNNNNNNNNNNNNNNNNNNNNNNNNNNNNNNNNNNNNNNNNNNNNNNNNNNNNNNNNNNNNNNNNNNNNNNNNNNNNNNNNNNNNNNNNNNNNNNNNNNNNNNNNNNNNNNNNNNNNNNNNNNNNNNNNNNNNNNNNNNNNNNNNNNNNNNNCGGCGGCGGCGGACGGUGGUGCUGCGCCACGUGGCAAGCCACGGUUGGCCGGACGCGGCGGGCGGACGUGUCCGGCUCGCCCGAACGUGUCCGGCGGCGCGGAGAGGGGAGAUUUUUAGGGUUUCGUCCGUGAAUUCGGGGGAGGGAUCUAUAUAUAGAGGUAGAGGGAGCUAGGAGUGUCCAAAUGAGGUGCGGUUUUCGCCCACACGAUCGUGAUCGAACGACCGAGAGCAUGGAGGGGAGUUAGAUGGGUUUUGGGCCACUUUGGAAGGGGUGUUGGUCUGCAACUUAAAAGAGGCCUUUGCAAGAGUGCGGUUAACCGUUGGAGUACCAAACGAGCUCCAAAUGACCCGAAACUUGACAGGUGGUCUAUCGGUGGUGUACCAAGGCCACUUGGCAAGGCUCGGUCCAUUCCGAGAACGUUCAAUACCCGCACACGAAAAGAGACAAGAGGGGUGCGCCGGUGCAUGUGGGAGUGUCGGAUUGCGAAACGGACAACGGGGAAAAUGCUCGGAUGCAUGAGACGAACACGUAUGCAAAAUGAAAUGCACAUGAUGACAUGAUAUGAUAUGCAUGACAUGAAUAAAAUGCAAAACAAAAGACAAAACCCAACCACGGAGGGAAUAUGAUAGCGCAUAGCCGAAAAUGGCAAGAGUUGGAGUUACAAAGCUGGAAAGUUACAUCCGGGGUGUUACAGGGCUCGUGUUUUACUAUGGGUUGGAAUUCCACGACUUGGCUCUGGAGUCCAUCCUCCAUAUUUCUUCAUUCAUCGUCGUCUGCGAAGCCUUCCUCCGCAUUACCCCUCACUUCGUCUUGUGGCUUAAGACCUUCGACGUGGAGCUGAAGAUGAUCGAGGGGCGUCAAGCAGAGUGCGGCGGGGCGGUUGUAAGCAGAAGGGCCGACGCUCCAUGGCCCGAGGGCUCUUUCCAGGAGGAGCUCGGCUUGUGGCAGCAGGAGUGGUUCUACAUAACCGCUCCCAGGGGCAGCAGGCAGAAGCCGCCGCCCAUCUUCUGCUCGGGCCCUCCACAGCGGCUGAUGUCAUGGGUCAGCCAAGGGCUCAACUGGGGGCCGUCAAAGGAUGUACCCCUAUUGCAGGGCCAGAUUCAAGACCUCCAGGAGAGGGAGAUCAAUCUGGUCGUAGUGAUGCAGGUUAUGCUGAUUCGACGUCUCCUGCCCUGCAAGCGUCGCCCCCUCCGUCUGUGGGAGUUCAAUCCCGAGGGGCCGCGAGCUCUCCAACACUUCAUGGGUAUGACACCCGUGGAGAUGUAUAAAUUGUUCUUCGGAUCACAAGAGAUGUGUCCGGAAUUGACCGAGGAUUCCGGCCUAAGUUGCAAUCGCCCGGAUACUCAGGUAAGUGGCCCUGCGUAUGAACACACCGUUUGUUUACGCCUUCUUGAAUUUGCCUUUUAACCCAACGUCUCUUGAAUAGGAGUGGAUAGCGCAAGCGAAACUGAUACGGUGUUCGGCCCCCCUCCCGAAGACUGUGCCGGAUCCCGUGCUGGUCAGGAUGCUGAAGGUUGCGCCUUCAGAGGAAGGCGAAGGGGAGAACAGGGACACCACCACCUCUACCAAGGAGGCUUUGGAGAAAGGGGGAGUCGAGAAUCCCUCCUUCCAAGGGGAGAAGAGGACCGCCUCCGAAAACCCAGAGGCCAAGGCCUCGAAGCGGGGGAAGAGAUCUUCACUAGAGGGUCCUGCGUCCGGGGAGGCCCCGGCCGCACUAUCUCCCCUAAGGAAUCAGCCCUCCAGCGAGCCGUAAGUAUAAAAAGGGGGGGGUCUAUAAUAAGAGACACCCCUAUGUUUGCUUCGAAGUUUUUACCUUGUAGUUCAGAUCUCCGUCCUUCUCAGAUGAGCUCGUCUUCGGGGGACCUUCGUUCGGAGAUGGUGAAGAGCGAGACGCCUCCAUCCGCUGCACCAUCAGGCGGGGCGGACGAACCUGAGGUGUCAUCGUGGAGGGUAUCCCCGAGUCCGGCGGGGCCGGAGAGUUCGGCACCGGCUGGUGUGCGGCCAGGGGAGCUGAAGGAUCUGCUUGGGAGGGCGUCUAUCUCAGAAGGUCACCGUACGUUGAUGAGUAUGGUGAUUGGAAGAAUUUCGUCCGCCGAAGGCGGGUUGCAUGAUGCCGUCAGAAGCUUGCUGGCGGGGUUUAAGGUACGUAAAAAUGACAUACCUUUUGACAGUUUUGCACAUAAAGUGCGCCCUGUAUAGAUAGUAGCCCCUGGGACUCGGUAGGUUGUCGAGAGCGACAGCGUGCCGAGGAUCAAAAUCGCAGGUAUUGAUUUUCGCCUUUCCUAUGCAGGUGGCGGAUAGUCCAGUGGCCAGCCGGACUGAUGGAGUUGCCGAACUAAAGCGGCAACUUGACGUUGCGGAUGCGGACAUCACGCUGGUCAAUAAGCGACUUGACGAGUCACAAGGUAGGUUUUUCUCCGUGUUCACCUACUAAGGGAGCCGAAGCCUACUCCUUACAACAUGUGUGCUCAAUGCAGAUGGUGCCGCUGCUAUGGAGAGCCUUCGGGCAGAACUUGCUCGAACCAAGGAGCAGGCCAGAAGGAGUGAUGCGGCUGCCUCGAGGGCGGCCGAAGAGCUAGAAGCCGAAAAGGCUGCUCACUGCCGAAGCAGGGAGGAGCUGGCCGAAAUGGCCGUGAAGUUGAAAGAUGUUACCGACCGCUAUGAGGUUCUUGAAAAAGAACGCCGAGCAGAGCAAGAAGGCCUGAAGAAGGCCACCGCCGAAGCCAAGGAUGCUCGUUCUGCAAUGAGGGCUAUAAAGGAGGAGCUGCGCCAGGCCGGAGAUAUUGUGGCUGGCAAGCCCUUUCUGCUGCGCAGGAGGUUUACAGAUCCGAAGUACGCUCAGCUUGGCCAGUUGUGGGGUCCGGAGGAUCCUUAUAUGGACUUAGCAGCGAGUGCGGCAGAUGCUGUUGUGCACUUCCGAAGUCAAAAGGAUCACGAGACGGAAGAGCUUUUUUGGUCUCAAUUCCAUAGUCCGGAGCGUUCACUUCCGCUGACCGAUCGGUUGGCUGAGUGGGCUGAGCUGAAUAGAUUGUCCGGACUUUCCAUGACGGAUAUCAUGGCUCAUGUCUGGCCGGAUAGGCCCAAGCCGAAGAGUUAUUUUGGCUUAUUGCAGCAAUUCCUUGGGGCGGUGCCGCAUAUCAAGGCGAUGAAGCGGUCGGCCUGCAUAGAGGGUGCACGGAUGGCCCUCGCCCAUGUGAAGACAUACUGGACGGAGAUGGAUGCCACCGCUGUUGCGACCCAGGGUUCGGACGAGAGUCGGUUACCCACCGAGCACUAUUUUGGGGAAGUUCUGCGUGGUGCUCGUGUAAUAGAGUCGCAGUGUUCGAAAAAUGUCAUGUUCAAAUGAACUUUAUGGUUUGUAAAACGAUGUUUAUAAUCUAAGCGAUUUUUGUACUUGUGCGUUCAAGUAUUGAAAUAUCUCCUGUACGGCCGUUUAAUGUAUACUUGUGUAUAACCUGAAAGAUGGCAGUCUUCGGCUUUAGCCCCCACGCACAUGGUGUGGGGGUGUUUGCGAAAUAGCGCAUUUUCACACUUAAUCCAACGUCUUGGUCCUGUGAAGGAGGUGAUAGCGUAGCAAACGAGGCAACCGGACUAUAAUGCUUUAUCACUUUCACUUAGCCAUAGGAGUUCGAAGGUGGGGCUACGAUAUAGCCCCUAGGGGCACCGCGCUCUCCGAAUUCGGGGCGCGUAUGUGCCUGACCAGGAAACGGUCCUUCGUCAAAGCGAAGGAAUUCUAAACAUUCCGGUAGUCGAUCGAGUGGUUGACCAGUCUCUCGCUAUAUCAUGAUAGUCAGUUUUUGGCUUUCUCUACUGAAGUGCUCGCCCGGCCGAACCGGGGCACAAUCGCAGUAGUUCUCCUCGUGCCGCGUUAGCCGAUGAUACGGAACGUAAGGCAGCAAAACACAGGAGCCGGGCAAACCCAACAUUUGACCAAAGACAUGACUCGGAGCUGAUGCAUAUAAGGCCUAACUCGAGACGUCGAACACUCCCUAAGGUAUUCGGUCAUUAUGAUAACGGGCAGAACAAUGCCCUAAGCCCCUAGUGUCCAGGUACAUGCGAGAAUUUCUGGCGCGGCCGAUGCCAAAACGCCAGCCUCCUCGUUGGUUAUGGUGAAAAACUGUGGGAUAUGAAUCAAGAAAAGACAGUAAGAAAGGUUUACGCAGGGGCUUAAUCUGAAAAGAAUCCUUGCGACGGGUCCCUGCUGCACGUCUGCGCCUGUGUCUCCAUUGUGCCGUAUCCUGGACGGGUGUGCACGUUGUUCAUCUGUAAAAAGAGAGGAACUUAGCUUGAAAGGAAAUCGUGCAAAAAAUGUAUUAAAAAUCGAAAUAUGAAUGAAUAAAUAAAGCUGAGCUUUUAUUAGCUCUUUAUUGCUCAUAUGCACAGCCCCUUGUAAAGUGGUGCUGUGCGGCUAGGGAGCCCCUAGCUUAUUUAUGCCGGACUCAUCUAGCCGUGUCCGGGGUCUUGAACGACCUUUUAAUGAGAUGAUGCCACGUGGACCGGGCAUUUUAAGUGUAAGAGACACGUAGUGUGGUAUUGCGUUAAAGCGGACAAAAGCUUCACGUCCCAAUAGUGCUUGAUGGCUACUUUUGAAUGGGGCGACAUGAAAGAUUAGCUUUUCGCGUCGGAAGUUGCCGGGUGACCCGAACACAACUUCUAGUAGUAAGGAGCCCGUGCACUUGGCAUAAGGGCUUGGCGUCACUCCUUUGAAGGAAGUGCGGCUAUGGCGAAUUUUAGUACGGUCUAUCCCCAACUUGCGGAUUGUGUCUGGAUAUAGCAGGUUUAAAUCACUGCCACCAUCCAUUAGGACUUGUGUAAAUUGUAGUCCGUCGAUUAUAGGAUCCAAUAUUAGAGCAGUCCAUCCUGCAUUUCGAAUACUUUUGGAAUAGUCCAGGUGGUCGAAAGUAAUUGGUUUUGACAUCCAAUCUCGAGGUUCCGCUGGGGUGGACCGUGCGACACCUACUUUGGCGGGUGCCGCACUGUUGUUCCGUAUUAUCACAUGAAGUGAGUUUACUGUUUUGACUUCUUGUGGGAAAGUCUUUUGUUUUCCGGCGCUCUGCUGGUGGGGUUCGUCAUCAUCCUUGCUUGGCACGUCGAGCCCCUUGUGUUCGGCGUUGAGUCGGCCGGACUGUUUGAAAACCCAACAAUCCCGGUGGGUGUGGUUUGCAGGCUUCCCGGAAGUACUGUGGAUUUGACAUAUCCAAUCCAAAAUUUUGUUGAGGUUGGAUAGCUCGUCGCUACUGUCCUUAAGAGGCAGUGUUUUAUUGUUCGGCCACGAGCUUUUGAAUCCGGCGUUGACUGCCGUGUUCUUUGGGCUUUUUUCUUUAUUUCGGCGCUGGUCCUUUCUGCGCUGUGAUUUUCCGUUUCCAUCUCUUAUCUCGGAUGUACUCGGGUCGCUGGUGCUGCAUCUUGCUAGCCAGCUGUCUUCCCCCGCGCAAAAGCAGGUCAUGAGGCUUGUUAGCGCGGCCAUUGUUCUUGGCUUCUCUUGGCCGAGGUGUCUGGUGAGCCAUUCGUCUCGGACGUUAUGUUUAAAAGCUGCUAAAGCUUUGGCGUCCGGACAAUCAACUAUUUGGUUCUUUUUGGUAAGGAACCUGUUCCAGAAUUUGCGCGCUGACUCUCCGGGCUGUUGAGUUAUGUGACUUAAAUCGUCUGCAUCCGGAGGGCGGACAUAAGUCCCCUGAAAAUUUGCUCUAAACGCGUCCUCGAGCUCUUCCCAACUUCCUAUGGUAUUUUCUGGGAGGCUUUUGAGCCAAUGCCGAGCUGGCCCUUUGAGCUUGAGGGGUAGAUAUUUUAUGGCGUGGAGAUCAUCUCCUCUUGCCAUGUGUAUGUGCAGGAUGUAAUCCUCAAUCCACACUCCGGGGUCUGUUGUUCCGUCGUAUGCCUCUAUGUUUACGGGCUUGAACCCCGCUGGGAAUUCGUGAUCCAGCACCUCAUCGGUGAAACAUAGUGGGUGUGCGGCGCCCCUGUAUUUAGGUGUGCCGCUAUCUUCGAACACUCGGCAUGUUGUGUUACUUCCUGGGGCCCUCUUCUUUGGCCCAGAAAUGGAUCUGACUGGGCCAUCCGUUUUGCGAGGGUCUUUAUGCGUGUCAGGUGCCGGCUUAUGUGCGGCGCCGCUUGUCGCUCUUGGCCUGUCAUCUGGUCGCCUAUCUGGCCAGGCGGCCUCUUUGCUUUUUGGUUGUUGGGGCUCUACGGCCUCCUCGUCGAAUUCUGGCAGCAGCUUGCGCUUCGGGUAGCUCUUUGUUUGGUGGCUAUUGCCAUAUUUGUCCGCGGUCUUGAGUACUUUGCUCCACCUCAUUCUGAGUAUGUCUUCCGCUGUUUUGAGCUUCCGUUUCUCCUUCUUCAAACUUCUUGCAGUGGCGACAAGCCUUUUUCGAAGGUUCUUGUGCUCCGGUGGUGUGUCCGGCGUGAGAUCGUCUGGACUGUUGUUUUCGCCGGGGAUGGAUUGAUUAUCCGAUUCAUCCUGCUCGGAUGGUUGCUUGGUUUCAUGUUCGUCACCCACUGGUUUGCCCUGCUCUAUGGCUGGGUCAUUAUGGGUGCUGUUGUUAUCGAGGCAGGACUUGCGGCGGCGCUUGCGUCGCCGUUUUGGUUGUUUUUCGGGGGAAUUAUCCUUCGCCGUGUCCCGUUGCUCCUCGUUAUCGCUCCCUUUUGGGGUGUCCGCCAUAUAUACAUCAUGAGUUGAGGUGGGCUUCCAGCGCUCGGUAGGCGCUGGUUCUUGAUCGUCUCCGGCAUCGUCAUCCAUACCGCCGAUGUCUUCGGAGUCGUAGUUUAGCAUGUCGGUUAGAUCGUCGACAGUGGCUACAAAGUGGGUGGUGGGUGGGCUUUGAAUUUCUUCAUCGUCCACGUCCCAACCAUCCUGACCGCGGUCCGGCCAGGGCUCUCCUGAUAACGAGAGAUACUUUAGCGAAUUCAGGAUGUCGCCAAAGGGUGAGUGCUGAAAGAUGUCCGCAGCGGUGAACUCCAUGGUCGGCGCCCAAUCGGAUUCGAUUGGCAGGGGCGCCGGAGGUUCGGAGUCCGGCAAGGAGUCCGGCACCUCGGAGUCACAAGCUUUGCAAGGGACAAGGUCAGUAUUCGGCUCCAUCGUCGUAGAAGUUGCAGCCCCCGAGGCGGUGUCCAGCCACCUGUCCUCAAUCUGUGCAGUCGGCUCCGAGCUACGGGUCAGAGCGGACUCGUGUGCGGCCUCCAGGGUACUGUCCGGCGGUAGAGCUAAGUCAUGCCCAUCGUGACAGUGCGGCACGCUCGGCUGUGGCUUGAAUCCAUCGAAGAUCAAGUCUCCACGGAUGUCAGCCGUGAAGGUUAGGCUUCCAAGCCUGACCUGAUGGCUAGGGGCGUAGCUUUCGAUCUGCUCCAGAUGGCCAAGUGAAUUGGCCCGUAGUGCAUGUUGGGGAACGUUGCAGAAAAUUAAAAUUUUUCCUACGGUUUCACCAAGAUCCAUCUAUGAGUUCAUCUAAGCAACGAGUCAAGGGAGAGAGUUAGCAUCUACAUACCACUUGUAGAUCGCGUGCGGAAGCUUGCAAGGUGAUGAUGGAGUCGUACUCGAUGUGAUUCGAAUCUGCGAUGACCAAGUGCUGAACGGACAGCACCUCCGCGUUCAACACACGUACGGGACGGGAGAUGUCUCCUCCUUCUUGAUCCAGCAAGGGGGAAGGAGAGGUUGAGGAAGACAGCUCCACCGGCAGCACGACGGCGUGGUGAUGGUGGAGAGGCAGUACUCCGACAGGGCUUCGCCAAGCACACAACGGAGGAGGAGAGGUGUUGGGGAGGGGAGGGCUGCACCUUGGAGGGUGGUGCGGCUGCCCUCCCCUCACCCCUNNNNNNNNNNACGGAGGAGGAGAGGUGUUGGGGAGGGGAGGGCUGCGCCUUGGAGGGUGGUGCGGCUGCCCUCCCCUCACCCCUCUAUUUAUAGGGGGAAGGGAGAAGGGGGCCGGCCCCCUAGAACCCAUCUAGGGGGGGUGCGGCGGCCAAGGGGAGAGGGGGAGAGGGUGGCUUGCCCCCCAAGCCAAGGGGGGCGCCCCCUCUAGGGUUCCCCCCUCAACCCUAGGCGCAUGGGCCCAAGGGAGGGGGUGCGGCCAGCCCACCAGGGGCUGGCUCCCUGCCCCACGCAGCCCAUGUGGCCCCCCGGGAGGGGUGGCCCCUCCCGGUGGACCCCCGGAACUCUUCCGGUGGCCCCGGUACAAUACCGGUAUGACCCCGAAACUUCCCGGUGUCCGUUUGACAACUUCCCAUAUAUAAAUCUUUACCUCCGGACCCUUCCGGAGCUCCUCGUGACGUCCAGGAUCCCAUCCGGGACUCCAAACAACAUUCGGUAGUCACAUACUAGUCUUCCUAAUAACCCUAGCGUCACCGAUCCUUAAGUGUGUAGACCCUACGGGUUCGGGAGACAUGCAGACAUGACCUAGACGCUCUCAGGUCAAUAACCAACAGCGGGAUCUGGAUACCCAUGAUGGCUCCCACAUGCUCCUCGAUGUUGUCAUCGGAUGAACCACGAUGUCGAGGAUUCGAUCAAACCCUGUAUGCAAUUCCCUUUGUCAAUCGGUACGUUACUUGCCCGAGACUCGAUCGUCGGUAUCCCAAUACCUUGUUCAGUCUCGUUACCGGCAAGUCACUUUACUCGUACCGUAAUGCAUGAUCCCGUGUCCAACACCUUGGUCACAUUGAGCUCAUUAUGAUGAUGCAUUACCGAGUGGGCCCAGAGAUACCUCUCCGUCAUACGGAGUGACAAAUCCCAGUCUCGAUCCGUGUCAACCCAACAGAUACUUUCAGAGAUACCUGUAAUGCACCUUUAUAGUCACCCAGUUACGUUGUGACGUUUGAUACACCCAAGGCACUCUUACGGUAUCCGGGAGUUACACGAUCUCAUGGUCGAAGGAAGAGAUACUUGACAUUGGCAAAGCUCUAGCAAAACGAACUACACGAUCUUUUAUGCUAUGCUUAGGAUUGGGUCUUGUCCAUCACAUCAUUCUCCUAAUGAUGUGAUCCCGUUAUCAACGACAUCCAAUGUCCAUAGUCAGGAAACCAUGACUAUCUGUUGAUCACAACGAGCUAGUCAACUAGAGGCUCACCAGGGACAUAUUGUGGUCUAAGUAUUCACACGUGUAUUACGAUUUCCGGAUAAUACAGUUAUAGCAUGAAUAAAAGACAUUUAUCAUGAACAUUGAAAUAUAAUAAUACUUUUAUUAUUGCCUCUAGGGCAUAUUUCCAACAGUCUCCCACUUGCACUAGAGUCACCAAUCUAGUUACAUUGUGAUGAAACGAACACCCAUAGAGUUCUGGUGUUGAUCAUGUUUUGCACGCGAGAGAGGUUUAGUCAGCGGAUCUGCGACAUUCAGAUCCGUGUGCACUUUGCAAAUCUCUAUGUCUCCAUCUUGAACAUUUUCACGGAUGGAGUUGAAACGACACUUGAUGUGCCUGGUCUUCUUGUGAAACCUGGGCUCCUUGGCGAGGGCAAUAGCUCCAGUGUUGUCACAGAAGAGUUUGAUCGGCCCCGACGCAUUGGGUAUGACUCCUAGGUCGGUGAUGAACUCCUUCACCAAAAUCGCUUCAUGCGCUGCCUCCGAGGCUGCCAUGUACUCCGCUUCACACGUAGAUCCCGCCACGACGCUCUGCCUGCAGCUCCACCAGCUUACUGCUCCACCAUUCAACAUAUACACGUAUCCGGUUUGUGACUUAGAGUCAUCCAGAUCUGAGUCGAAGCUAGCGUCGACGUAACCCUUUACGACGAGCUCUUCGUCUCCUCCAUAAACGAGAAACAUGUCCUUCGUCCUUUUCAGGUACUUCAGGAUAUUCUUGACCGCUGUCCAGUGUUCCUUGCCGGGAUUACUUUGGUAUCUUGCUACCAAACUUACGGCAAGGUUUACAUCGGGUCUGGUACACAGCAUGGCAUACAUAAUAGAUCCUAUGGCUGAAGCAUAGGGGAUGACACUCAUCUCUUCUUUAUCUUUUGCCGUGGUCGGUGACUGAGCCGUGCUCAGUCUCACACCUUGUAACAUAGGCAAGAACCCCUUCUUGGACUGAUCCAUUUUGAACCUCUUCAAAAUCUUAUCAAGGUAUGUGCUUUGUGAAAGACCUAUGAGGCAUCUCGAUCUAUCUCUAUAGAUCUUGAUGCCUAAUAUAUAAGCAGCUUCUCCAAGGUCCUUCAUUGAAAAACACUUAUUCAAGUAGGCCUUAAUGCUGUCCAGAAAUUCUAUAUUAUUUCCCAUCAAGAGUAUGUCAUCUACAUAUAAUAUGAGAAAUGCUACAGAGCUCCCACUCACUUUCUUGUAAACGCAGGCUUCUCCAUAAGUCUGCAUAAACCCAAACGCUUUGAUCAUCUCAUCAAAGCGAAUGUUCCAACUCCGAGAUGCUUGCACCAGUCCAUAAAUGGAUCGCUGGAGCUUGCAUACUUUGUUAGCAUUCCGAGGAUCGACAAAACCUUCCGGCUGCAUCAUAUACAGUUCUUCCUUAAGAUGCCCGUUAAGGAAUGCCGUUUUGACGUCCAUUUGCCAUAUCUCAUAAUCAUAGUAUGCGGCAAUUGCUAACAUGAUUCGGACGGACUUCAGCUUCGCUACGGGAGAGAAAGUCUCGUCGUAGUCAAUCCCUUGAACUUGUCGAUAACCCUUAGCGACAAGUCGAGCCUUAUAGAUUGUAACAUUACCAUCCGCGUCCGUCUUCUUCUUAAAGAUCCAUUUGUUUUCUAUUGCUCGCCGAUCAUCGGGCAAGUCUGUCAAAGUCCAUACUUUGUUUUCAUACAUGGAUUCUAUCUCGGAUUUCAUGGCUUCAAGCCAUUUGUUGGAAUCCGGGCCCGCCAUCGCUUCUUCAUAUGUCGAAGGUUCAUUGUUGUCUAACAACAUGAUUUCCAGGACAGGGUUGCCGUACCACUCUGGUGCGGAACGUGUCCUAGUGGACCUACGAAGUUCAGCAGUAACUUGAUCCGAAGUACCUUGAUCAUCAUCAUUGUUUUCCUCUUCAGUUGGUGUGGGCAUCACAGGAACGGUUUCCCGCGCUGCGCCACUUUCCCGCUCAAGAGGUAGUACUUCAUCGAGUUCUACUUUCCUCCCACUUACUUCUUUCGAGAGAAACUCUUUUUCCAGAAAGCAUCCGUUCUUGGCAACAAAGAUCUUGCCUUCGGAUCUUAAGUAGAAGGUAUACCCGACAGUUUCCUUAGGGUAUCCUAUGAAUACGCAUUUUUCCGACUUGGGUUCGAGCUUUUCAGGUUGAAGUUUCUUGACAUAAGCAUCGCAUCCCCAAACUUUUAGAAACGACAGCUUAGGUUUCUUUCCAAACCAUAAUUCAUACGGUGUCGUCUCAACGGAUUUAGACGGUGCCCUAUUUAAAGUGAAUGUAGUUGUCUCUAGAGCGUAUCCCCAAAAUGAUAGCGGUAAAUCGGUAAGAGACAUCAUAGACCGCACCAUAUCCAAUAGGGUGCGAUUACGACGUUCGGACACACCGUUUCGCUGAGGUGUUCCAGGCGGCGUGAGCUGUGAAACGAUUCCACAUUUCCUUAAGUGUGUACCAAAUUCGUGACUUAAGUAUUCUCCUCCACGAUCUGAUCGUAAGAAUUUUAUCUUUCGGUCACGUUGAUUCUCUACCUCAUUCUGAAAUUCCUUGAACUUUUCAAAGGUCUCAGACUUGUGUUUCAUUAAGUAGACAUACCCAUAUCUACUCAAGUCAUCUGUUAGAGUGAGAAUAUAACGAUAUCCUCCGCGAGCCUCAACGCUCAUUGGACCGCACACAUCGGUAUGUAUGAUUUCCAACAAGUUGGUUGCUCGCUCCAUUGUUCCGGAGAAUGGAGUCUUGGUCAUUUUGCCCAAGAGGCAUGGUUCGCACGUGUCAAACGAUUCAUAAUCAAGAGACUCUAAAAGUCCAUCGGCAUGGAGCUUCUUCAUGCGCUUGACACCAAUGUGACCAAGGCGGCAGUGCCACAAGUAUGUGGGACUAUUGUUAUCAAUUUUAAAUCUUUUGGCAUCUACAUUAUGAACAUGUGUAAUAUUACGCUCGAGAUUCAUUAAGAAUAAAUCAUUGACCAUCGGAGCAUGACCAUAAAACAUAUCUCUCAUAUAAAUCGAACAACCAUUAUUCUCAGACUUAAAUGAGUAGCCAUCUCGUAUUAAACGAGAUCCAGAUACAAUGUUCAUGCUCAAACUUGGCACUAAAUAACAAUUAUUAAGGUUCAAUACUAAUCCCGUAGGUAAAUGUAGAGGCAGCGUGCCGACGGCGAUCACAUCGACUCUGGAACCAUUCCCGACGCGCAUCGUCACCUCGUCCUUCGCCAGUCUCCGUUUAUUCCGCAGCUCCUGCUGUGAGUUACAAAUAUGAGCAACGGCACCGGUAUCAAAUACCCAGGAGUUACUACGAGUACUGGUAAGGUACACAUCAAUCACAUGUAUAUCAAAUAUACCUUUGGUGUUGCCGGCCUUCUUAUCCGCUAAGUAUUUGGGGCAGUUCCGCUUCCAGUGACCCUUCCCCUUGCAAUAAAAGCACUCAGUCUCAGGCUUGGGUCCAUUCUUUGACUUCUUCCCGGUAACUGGCUUACCAGGCGCGGCAACAUCUUUGCCGUCCUUCUUGAAGUUCUUCUUACCCUUGCCCUUCUUGAACUUAGUGGUCUUAUUGACCAUCAACACUUGAUGUUCUUUCUUGAUUUCAGCCUCUGCUGACUUCAGCAUCGAGAACACUUCAGGAAUGGUCUUUUCCAUCCCCUGCAUGUUGUAGUUCAUUACAAAGCUCUUGUAGCUUGGUGGGAGCGACUGGAGGAUUCUAUCAAUGACCGCCUCAUCUGGGAGGUUAAUGUUCAGCUGGGUCAUACGGUUGUGCAACCCAGACAUCUUCAGGAUGUGCUCACUGACAGAACUGUUUUCCUCCAUCUUACAACUAUAGAACUUGUCGGAGACAUCAUAUCUCUCGACCCGGGCAUGAGCUUGAAAAACUAGUUUCAGCUCUUCGAACAUCUCAUAUGCUCCGUGGUGCUCAAAACGCUUUUGGAGCCCCGGUUCUAAGCUGUAAAGCAUGCCGCACUGAACGAGGGAGUAAUCAUCAGCACGAGACUGCCAAGCAUUCAUAAUGUCUUGGUUCUCUGGGACGGGAGCGUCACCUAGCGGUCCUUCUAGGACAUAUUGUUUCCUGGCAGCUAUGAGGAUGAUCCUCAGGUUCCGGACCCAGUCCGUAUAGUUGCUGCCAUCAUCUUUCAGCUUGGUUUUCUCUAGGAACGCGUUGAAGUUCAUGUUGACAUUAGCGUUGGCCAUUGAUCUACAAGACAUAUUUGCAAAGGUUUUAGACUAAGUUCAUGAUAAUAAAGUUCUAAUCAAAUUAUGAACUCCCACUCAGAUUAGACAUCCCUUUAGUCAUCUAAGUGUUACACGAUCCGAGUCGACUAGGCCGUGUCCGAUCAUCACGUGAGACGGACUAGUCAUCGUCGGUGAGCAUUCUCAUGUUGAUCGUAUCUUCCAUACGACUCGUGUUCGACCUUUCGGUCUCCGUGUUCCGAGGCCAUGUCUGCACAUGCUAGGCUCGUCAAGUUAACCCUAAGUGUUUUCGCUGUGUAAAACUGUCUUACACCCGUUGUAUGUGAACGUAAGAAUCCAUCACACCCGAUCAUCACGUGGUGCUUAGAAGCGACGAACUAUAGCAACGGUGCACAUUUAGGGGAGAACACUUCUUGAAAUUUUAUAAGGGAUCAUCUUAUUUACUAUCGUCGUCCUAAGUAAACAAGAUGCAUAAACAUAAUAAACAUCACAUGCAAUUAUAUAGUUGUGACAUGAUAUGGCCAAUAUCAUAUAGCUCCAUUGAUCUUCAUCUUCGGGGCUCCAUGAUCAUCUUGUCACCGGCUUGACACCAUGAUCUCCAUCAUCAUGAUCUCCAUCAUCGUGUCUUCAUGAAGUUGUCACGCCAACGACUACUUCUACUUCUAUGACUAACGUUUAGCAAUAAAGUAAAGUAGUUUACAUGGCGUUAUUCAAUGACACGCAGGUCAUACAAAAAAUAAAGACAACUCCUAUGGCUCCUGCCGGUUGUCAUACUCAUCGACAUGCAAGUCGUGAAUCCUAUUACAAAGAACAUGAUCUCAUACAUCACAAUUCAUCAUUCAUCACAACUUCUGGCCAUAUCAUAUCACAUGAUCAAUUGCUGCAAAAACAAGUUAGACGUCCUCUAAUUGUUGUUGCAUCUUUUAUGUGGCUGCAAUUGGGUUCUAGCAAGAACGUUUUCUUACCUACGAAUCACCACAACGUGAUUUUGUCAACUUCUAUUUACCCUUCAUAAGGGCCCUGUUCAUCGAUUCCGCUCCAACUAAAGUGGGAGAGACAGACACCCGCCAGCCACCUUAUGCAACUAGUGCAUGUCAGUCGGUGGAACCGGUCUCACGUAAGCGUACGUGUAAGGUUGGUCCGGGCCGCUUCAUCCCACAAUACCGUUGAGCAAGAAAAGACUAGUAGAGGCAAGUAAGAUGACAAAAUCCACGCCCACAACAAAAUUGUGUUCUACUCGUGCAAAGAGAACUACGCAUAGACCUAGCUCAUGAUGCCACUGUUGGGGAACGUUGCAGAAAAUUAAAAAUUUUCCUACGGUUUCACCAUGAUCCAUCUAUGAGUUCAUCUAAGCAACGAGCCAAGGGAGAGAGUUAGCAUCUACAUACCACUUGUAGAUCGCGUGCGGAAGCUUGCAAGGUGAUGAUGGAGUCGUACUCGACGUGAUUCGAAUCACCGAUGACCAAGUGCUGAACGGACAGCACCUCCGCGUUCAACACACGUACGGGACGGGAGACGUCUCCUCCUUCUUGAUCCAGCAAGGGGGAAGGAGAGGUUGAGGAAGACAGCUCCACCGGCAGCACGACGGCGUGGUGAUGGUGGAGAGGCAGUACUCCGACAGGGCUUCGCCAAGCACACAACGGAGGAGGAGAGGUGUUGGGGAGGGGAGGGCUGCGCCUUGGAGGGUGGUGCGGCUGCCCUCCCCUCACCCCUCUAUUUAUAGGGGGAAGGGAGAAGGGGGCCGGCCCCCUAGAACCCAUCUAGGGGGGGUGCGGCGGCCAAGGGGAGAGGGCGAGAGGGUGGCUUGCCCCCCAAGCCAAGGGGGGCGCCCCCUCUAGGGUUCCCCCCUCAACCCUAGGCGCAUGGGCCCAAGGGAGGGGGUGCGGCCAGCCCACCAGGGGCUGGCUCCCUGCCCCAUGCAGCCCAUGUGGCCCCCCAGGAGGGGUGGCCCCUCCCGGUGGACCCCCGGAACUCUUCCGGUGGCCCCGGUACAAUACCGGUAUGACCCCGAAACUUCCCGGUGUCCGUUUGACAACUUCCCAUAUAUAAAUCUUUACCUCCGGACCCUUCCGGAGCUCCUCGUGACGUCCAGGAUCCCAUCCGGGACUCCGAACAACAUUCGGUAGUCACAUACUAGUCUUCCUAAUAACCCUAGCGUCACCGAACCUUAAGUGUGUAGACCCUACGGGUUCGGGAGACAUGCAGACAUGACCUAGACGCUCUCAGGUCAAUAACCAACAGCGGGAUCUGGAUACCCAUGAUGGCUCCCACAUUCUCCUCGAUGUUGUCAUCGGAUGAACCACGAUGUCGAGGAUUCGAUCAAACCCUGUAUGCAAUUCCCUUUGUCAAUCGGUACGUUACUUGCCCGAGACUCGAUCGUCGGUAUCCCAAUACCUUAUUCAGUCUCGUUACCGGCAAGUCACUUUACUCGUACCGUAAUGCAUGAUCCCGUGUCCAACACCUUGGUCACAUUGAGCUCAUUAUGAUGAUGCAUUACCGAGUGGGCCCAGAGAUACCUCUCCGUCAUACGGAGUGACAAAUCCCAGUCUCGAUCCGUGUCAACCCAACAGAUACUUUCGGAGAUACCUGUAAUGCACCUUUAUAGUCACCCAGUUAUGUUGUGACGUUUGAUACACCCAAGGCACUCUUACGGUAUCCGGGAGUUACACGAUCUCAUGGUCGAAGGAAGAGAUACUUGACAUUGGCAAAGCUCUAGCAAAACGAACUACACGAUCUUUUAUGCUAUGCUUAGGAUUGGGUCUUGUCCAUCACAUCAUUCUCCUAAUGAUGUGAUCCCGUUAUCAACGACAUCCAAUGUCCAUAGUCAGGAAACCAUGACUAUCUGUUGAUCACAACGAGCUAGUCAACUAGAGGCUCACCAGGGACAUAUUGUGGUCUAAGUAUUCACAUGUGUAUUACGAUUUCCGGAUAAUACAGUUAUAGCAUGAAUAAAAGACAUUUAUCAUGAACAUUGAAAUAUAAUAAUACUUUUAUUAUUGCCUCUAGGGCAUAUUUCCAAUAGUGCAAAGCCGCCGAACACGAAGAUCUGUCUGGGGAGAAAAGUCUCACCCUGGACGGCGUUGUUGUUGAUUGAAGAAGCCAUCAAGCCUAUCGGUGACGACACAGAGGAACUCUCAAUGAAAGCACCAAUGUCGGUGUCAAAACCGGCGGAUCUCGGGUAGGGGGUCCCGAACUGUGCGUCUAGGCGGAUGGUAACAGGAGACAAGGGACAUGAUGUUUUUAUCCAGGUUCGGGCCCUCUCGAUGGAGGUAAAAUCCUACUCCUGCUUGAUUGAUAUUGAUGAUUUGGGUAGUACAAGAGUGGAUCUACCACGAGAUCAAGGAGGCUAAACCCUAGAAGCUAGCCUAUGGUAUGAUUGUUGUAAUGGUUGUUCGUCCUACGGACUAAAACCCUCCAGUUUAUAUAGACACCAGAGAGGGCUAGGGUUACACAGAGUCGGUUACAAUGGUAGGAGAUCUACAUAUCCGUAUCGCCAAGCUUGCCUUCCACGCCAAGGAAAGUCCCAUCCGGACACGGGACGGAGUCUUCAAUCUUGUAUCUUCAUAGUCUUGGAGUCCGGCCGAUGAUGAUAGUCCGGCUAUCCGGACACCCCCUAGUCCAGGACUCCCUCACCCCCUAUCACCCACACUCACUAGGCGACAGUUCAAAAUGUCGUCUUGGAAAGGGGUUAAAAACCAUUUGUAUAGCAGCUCGUUGUACCAGUGAAAGCUCCGGGCUUACGUCGGGGUCUCCAAUUAGGUUGUGGUGAUUGCCCCGAGCAAUUUGUAUGGGUUCCGGUGACCGCCCCCCAAGGGUUGCCAAAGCGUAUGUUCGGUGAUCGCCCCCAAGGGUUGCCAAUUGUACGGGUUCGGUGACCGCCCUCAAGGGUCCCUUAGUGGAAUCACAACAUAUUGCAUUGUGCGAGGGCGUGAGGAGAUUAUGGUGGCCCUAGUGGCUUCUUGGGGAGCAUUGUGCCUCCACACCGCUCCAAACGAGGAUUAGCAUCUGCAGGGGUGUGAACUUCGGGAUACAUUGUCGUCUUCGUGUGCCUCGGUUAUCUCUUACCCGAGCCCUUUACUUUUGCUCUUUACUUUGUGAUAGCCAUAGUGUUUCAUGAUAUAUAUUUUGCUAUCACUUAGUUGUUUAUCUUGUUUAGCAUAAGUUGUUGGUGCACAUAGGUGAGCCUAGUUGUUUUAGGUUUUGUGCUUGACAAAUUAAACACUAGUUUUAUUCCUCAUUUGUUCAAGCCUAAACCGUAAUUAUUUGAAAGCACCUAUUCACCCCCUCUAGGCGACAUCCACGAUCUUUCAAAGAUGAUGAUGAGUCUAGUGAGCAGGAAUUCCAAAAGGCAACGGAAGCCAUGGGCAUUAACGGGGUUGCUGUCGGUGUCAAAACCGGCUGGUCUUGGGUAUGGGGUCCCGAACUAUGCGUCUGAAGAUCGAGGGUAACAAGGGACAAGUGGGACACAAUGUUUACCCAGGUUCGGGCCCUCUUAAUGGAGGUAAAACCCUACGUCCUGCUUGUUUGUAUUUGAUGAGUAUAGGGGUUACAAGAGUUGAUCUACCUCAAGAUCAUAGUGGCUAAACCCUAACUAUCUAGCCUAUGAGAAUUCUGAUAGCCUCUACGGACUAAACCCUCCGGUUUAUAUACACAUCGGAGGGACCUAGGGUUGUACAGAGUCAGUUUGCGGGGAAGGAAAUAUCAUAUCCGGACACUAAUCUUGCCAUCCACGCAUAGGGGAGUCCUACCCGGACACGGGGGAAAAGUCUUCCGCUUAUAUCUUCUCGGCCCAUCAGUCCGGCCCGUAUCAAUAGCCCGGACACCCGAGGACCCCUUAAUACAGGACUUCCUCCGUAGCCUGUGAACUAGUCUUCGAUGACGAUGUGUUCGGCACGCGGAUUGUCUUCGGUAUUGCAAGGCGGGUUCUUCCUCCUGAGCACUUUAAAACAAUUCCCUGAACAAAGAAACUGUAUCUGGCACUGUAUAAUUGUCACAACCCUUAGCCACGAAGGCAAUGAUAUCAAACAAAACAAUGUCUUCCUACUAACAACUUUUUCGGUCAAAUGUCAUGUCUGGCUUAACAUGAACCGUUUUCAUGCCUCCCGCUUCGUGUUUCGAGGCACAACCCCCAUUGGCACGUCUUGUCGAAACAGAGAUCGUGCCCGCCCAUUACGGGAUCCUCAUCAAUAUGGUUUUGGGUAAUCCAACCGUGCCAUUUGCAUGACCCCUUGGAAACAGGUGAGUUUUAAGGCUUGGGGGGCGUUUGGUAUUCACAGCCUAUAUAAGAAGGUAAAGUUUCCUCUUUUUUUCUCACGCCUUCCUCUCGCUCUUGCCUUCCCAUCUUCAAGCUCCAACACCCAAACUUUAGUUUUUCCACCACCAGCAACCUCUCCGGCCAUGUCUGGAUCCGGAUCUAAGGGCAAGUGGGAGGCCUCCUGUGUCACGGAGAAGGACAUUAAGGAACUCCGAGGUGCGAGCUACUUGCCCACAGAUGUUGCGCACCGGCUUCCUAACAAGAACCAGAUCAUCCCUACUCGGGAGCCCGGCGAGAGCGUAGUAUUCAUCCCCCAUUUUCUCCGAGGUCUAGGGUUUCCCCUUCACCCCUUUGUCCGGGGCCUCAUGUUCUACUACGGGCUAGAUUUCCAUGAUCUAGCCCCAAAUUCCUUCCUUCACAUCUUGGCGUUCAUCGUCGUGUGUGAGGCUCUACUCCACAUCCCCCACACUUCAGCUUAUGGCUCAAAGUUUUCAAUGUGAAGCCGAAGGUGGUCGAUGGGAAGCACGCGGGCUGCGAGGGGGGCAUGGUGAGCAAGCUUCCCAACGCCGUCUGGCCCAAAGGGGCGUCCGUGGAGACUGUCAAGGUGUGGCAGCAGGAGUGGUUCUACAUCACUGAACCCCGCAACGCUAAGUGGGCGGCCACUCUUGACUUCAGAUCCGGACCCCCUACGAGGCUUACCUCGUGGACCGCCAAGGGCCUAGAUUGGGGAUCCACAACGGAGGUGCAGAUGCUGCAAAAACGCAUCACCAACAUGAUGGCCAAAAACACCGGUCUCACAAACGUGAUUUGGGUGAUGCUCUUCCGCCGGACUCUCCCUUGCCAACUUCGGGUCUCUCACAUGUGGGAGUUCAAUUCAGAGGAGCCACGGACCCUGAAGUGCUUCUUCGGCACUACACACGAAGACAUUUGGAAGCAGCUCUUCAAGGCCCAAAAAACAUGGCCGAAGAAGACUGAAGACAUCGGUCUUGACCUCGAGAAUCUGGCCACACCAGUAAGCAUGACUUUUCUGAAUACCUAUUUGGUAGAAUAAGUUGGAUAUAAUAUAUUGUCCGACUUUCAUGUAGGGCUGGAUGGAAAAGGCAGAGCGGAUCAAGUGCCCGACACCACUACCCGAAGAUCCAUCCACACCCUAGCUGACAAAGAUGCCGGUCCCGGCGCCGUAUCAGGCGCCGGAGAAGAAAGCCAAGAAGAAGGGCAAGGAGACCAAGAGCGGUCCCCGCCAAAAGGGUCAUGCGGACGCUAUGUCCGGAGAGACCGAAGCCCUCUCCUCCCAUGAGAGAGACGACGAAGAAGAAGAGGAGGAGGUGGCGGAAAGCGACCCCCCCCCCCCCGCAAGGGGAGGAAAAAGAAGAGGGCGGCCUCCGAAGACCCAAAGGGGGAGGCGGUCAAGAGGGGGAAGAUGGCCCUCCAGGAUAGUCCGGACUCAGAUGCCGAACUGGCCCCCAAAAAACCUCCCAGGGCGAAGCCCCUGGCUGAAUCGUGAGUGUUUAGAUACUUACUUUUUAUCUUUGGUUUUCCAAUUUUCAUUAUAUAAGUUACCAUGUUAUGCAUUUUUUUCAGCCCUCCCCGUGACCUCCCGAACCCCUCUCUAUCGGAGGGGAGUUCUCUGCCACCUGACAUGGCAGAGAGCGAGAUGCCGCCGCGUGCCCCCUCGGCCCUCAUCGCUGAUGACACCGAGGUGUUAUCUCAAAGGACCUCUCCUGGCCGCGGAGGGGCGGGCGAGGCUAUCGAAAAGGCACCCGAGGGCAACACCUCAGUCGCCGAAGACAUGGGGGAGGUCACCCCAAUGGUAACUGACGGUAGGGACCAUCAACCAUCCGGGCCACAACCGGACACUCUUCUGGAGACCAAUGUGGCUCCGGGAUCGAGUGAGCAGCCCCCUGAUACGUCAAUGUUGCAUCAUGUUUUCUUACUAUUAUUUAUGAUGUUUUUAUGCAUAAUAAUGCUUUUUGGAGUAAUUCUAAUGCCUUUUCUCUCAUAAUUUGCAAGGUACACACAAAGAGGGAGAAUUCUGGCAGCUGGAAAUCUGGACCUGAAAAAGCUACGUCAGGCUACCUAUUCUGCACAACUCCAAACAAUCUGAAACUUCAUGGAGAAUUUUUAUGGAAUAUUUGAUGAAUAUUGGAGCAAAUAAGUACCAGAGGAGGCCCACCAUGUGGGCACGACCCACCUGGGCGUGCCAGGGAGCCCAGGCGCGCCCUGGUGGGUUGUGCUCACCCAGACCCACCUCCGGUGCACAUCUUCUGGUAUAUAAGUCAUUUUGACCUAGAAAAAAAUAAGGAGAGGACUUUCGAGACGGAGCGCCGCCCUCUCGAGGCGGAACUUGGGCAGGAGCACUUUUGCCCUCUGGCGGAGCGAUUCCACCGGGGGAACUUCCCUCCUGGAGGGGGGAAUCAUCAUCAUCAUCAUCACCAACAACUCUCCCAUCUUGGGAAGGGCUAUCUCCAUCAACAUCUUCAAUAGCACCAUCUCAUCUCAAACCCUAGUUCAUCUCUUGUGUUCAAUCUUGUUACCAGAACUAUAGAUUGGUGCUUGUGGGUGACUAGUAGUGUUGAUUACAUCUUGUAGUUGAUUACUAUAUGGUUUAUUUGGUGGAAGAUUAUAUGUUUAGAUCCAUUAUGCUAUUUAAUACCACUCUGAUCUUGAGCACGGUUAUCAUUUGUGAGUAGUUACUUUUGUUAUUGAGGUCACUGGAGAAAUCAUGUUGCAAGUAAUCAUGUGAACUUGAUAUAUGUUCGAUAUUUUGAUAGUAUGUAUGUUGUGAUUCCCUUAGUGGUGUCAUGUGAACGUCGACUACAUGACACUUCACCAUAUUUGGGCCUAAGGGGAUGCAGUGUGGAGUAGCAAUUAGAUGAUGGGUUGCGAGAGUGACAGAAGCUUAAACCCCAGUUUGUGCGCUAUUCCCUAAGGGACCGAUUGGAUCCAAAACUUUAAUGCUAUGGUUAGAAUUUAUUCUUAAUACCUUUCCCGUAGUUGCGGAUGCUUGCGAGAGGGUUAAUCAUAAGUAGCAGGUUUGUUCAAGUAAGAACAUCACCUAAGCACCGGUCCACCCACAUAUCAAAUUAUCAAAGUAGCGAACAUGAAUCGAAUCAACAUGAUGAAAGUGACUAGAUGAAAUUCCCGUGUACCCUCAAGAACGCUUUGCUUAUUAUAAGAGACCGUUUUGGCCUGUCCUUUGCCUCAAAAGGAUUGGGCUACCUUGAUUCACUUUUGUUACUACUAUCGUUACUUGCUCGUUACAAAAUAUCUUGCUAUCAAACUACUAUGUUACUUACGAUUUCAGCACUUGCAGACAUUACCUUACUGAGAACCACUUGGCAUUUCCUUCUGCUGCUCGUUGGGUUUGUCACUCUUAGUUAUCUAAAAGAGCUAUAAUUGAUCCCCUAUACUUGUGGGUCAUGAAGGCUAUUUUCUGGCGCCAUUUCCGAGGAGUGAAGCGCCUUUGGUAAAUGGAAUUUGGUAAGGAAACAUUUAUAUAGUGUUCUGAAAUUUAUUGUCACUUGUUACUAUGGAAAACAAUCCUUUGAGGGGUUUGUUUGGGGUAUCUUCACCUCGAUUGGAAUCACAAUUAGCUACCCCUCAACCUACUGCACCUACUGAAAAUAUUGAAUAUGAAAUUCCUUCGGGUGUGAUAGAACAACUGCUAGCUAAUCCUUAUGCAGGAGAUGGAACCAAACAUCCUGAUAUGCACUUGAUAUAUGUGGAACAAAUUUAUGGAUUGUUUAAGUUUGCAGUUUUACCCAGAGAUGAAGUUAUGAAGAAGGUUUUCCCUUUAUCUUUGAAGGGAAAAGCAUUGGCAUAGUAUAGGAUAUGCGAUGAUAUUGGAUCUUGGAAUUGGAAUCGGUUGAAAUUGGAGUUCCACCAAAAAAAUAUCCUAUUCACCUAGUUCAUCGUGAUCGGAAUUACAUAUAUAAUUUUUGGCCUCGUGAAGGAGAAAGUAUUUCUAUAGCUUGGGGGAGGCUUAAGUCAAUGUUAUAUUCAUGCCCCAAUCAUGAGGUCUCAAGAGAAAUUAUUAUUCAGUAUUUUUAUGCUCGGCUUUCUCGUGAUGAUCAAUCCAUACUUGAUACAUCUUGUACUGGUUCCUUCAUGAAGAAAACUAUUGAAUUCCGGUGGGAUCUUUUGGAAAGAAAUUAACGCAAUUAUGAAGAUUGGGAACUCGACGAAGAUAAAGAGUCACAUAUUAAGCUUAAGUAUGAUUGUGUUAAAUCUUUUAUGAAUACUGAUGCUUUUCAAAAGUUUAGCACCAAAUAUGGACUUGACUCUGAGAUAGUAGCCUCCUUUUGUGAAUCAUUUGCUACUCUUGUUGAUCUCCCUAAAGAGAAGUGGUUUAAAUAUCACCCACCUAUUAAGAAGAAAUUAAAGAACCAGUGCUAGCUAAAGAAGAAACUAUACUUUAUAAUGUGGAUCCACUUGUUCCUACUGCUUAUAUUGAGAACCCACAUUUCCCUGUUAGGAUAAAGGAACAUGCUAAAGUUUCAACUAUGGUCAACAAAAGUUAUAUUAGAACACCUAAACCAGAUGAACAAAUUAAAGUAGAACCUAGUAUUGUUAUGGUUAAGGAUCUCUUGGAAGAAAACUAGUAGAUUUGCACGUGCAAUGCAUGUCUAGUCAUCUAGAAUGACAUCAAAUAAUUAUUAAAAUACUAAGGUGCUUCUUUAAUCAAACGAGAAAUUUGCAGUUUAUUUUGUAUGUCCACUCGAUCCUUGAACGGUUACCUUUAUUACAUGCAUAUAAAGUAGUUGUUUAGCUACCAAGACAACACAAGAGAAUAAUAUUAUAGCAAAGAAAGGCAAAGAUUUCCCAAUGUUAUCGACUAUGGGGGUGGUAGACGUCUGUCACAUUAUAUGAAACAUAUGUAAGUAGUUCCCAAGAAAUGUGGUAUGUGCUCAUCUCAAAAGUAAGUAAAUGCAAAUACGGUUUGUUAAUGAAUAAGGAUUAUCUGAGAUGAUAAGUACAAACAAAUUCAAAAUAUUCCUAGGAUAACAAAUUGAUUAGUUGAAGUACAUUAUAUGACUAUUUUACGCAAAAAUUAAGAACUGAAUUGAACAGUGGGCAAAAAUGGAUCUUCAUCAAUAUUAAACAAGGUGUUUGAGCCGGCCAAAAAAAAUUCAUAAACUAUGAUAACAACAUCCAUGAUAAAAAAACAGAAAAUACAUGGAUACCUAUGACAUGUUUGCUCUUCAUAUGAAGUCUCAUCUACUCCCCGGUUCAUUUAGUCGAUUCUUAUUUGGCUUUUUUGAGCAUAGUUUAAACAACAAUAGUGCAUGAAAGAAACCAAAACUGACAAGGAACUCCUUUCAGAAAAUCAAUUCUUAACUCUCGAGGACAACUGGACUCCCUUCAAUUUUUUUUGAGGUUCAACAUGUUUCCUAUUUAUUCAUAGAAGGCAGGAAUUUCUGCCGCAAUAACGUCGAGGAUACAAUCAGGUGGCUGAUGCAGCCAUACCUUACACAAAUUAUUCAUAACCUCUUCCACAUUAGCUGAUCUCCUAACCCAGCUCACCUUCCAGCCUUGGCGUGCCUCCAGUAGAUGCUUGACGUCCUGAACCAAAGGCCCUUGCGAAGAUAGGUCCCUUUUAGUGUUUUGAAGCUUCCCAACUAUCUCCUUGCAAUCCAUCUCAAUAUGUCAUCCGCCACCUGGGCCGCCCUUUUGCACGCCAGUAGCUCCAUCUUCGCUGGCUCCACCCCCUGCGAGAAAUAGUGACAUGGUUGCUUUGGUUUCUUGAAAAUUGUGAAACCAAUGAUGGGUACACAAAAUAUGCCUUAAUAGAACUCAGAGUUGUGAAGUAAAAUCAGAAUACAUCUCCAGUAAGACAUCUUUAAUGAAAACACAAUUUACUACACAAAUCUCAUAUGCUUCUUUAAUUCUGGAUGAUUGAUUUUAAUCAAGAUUUCCGUGAUGAAAAUAACAACCACUCUCACAUCCGCACUUAAAUAUUAUAAAUAUAGUAUUGCAAUCUCAAACACAAUAUUGCAACAGCAAUUUCGUUGACAUAGCUAUAUUAUUGCUAGUUCGACACAACUGAAGGAUAUACACCAGCGAGAAACAUGUACCAAAGGAAAGUGCCUUCUUACUGUAGGUUAGAAUUUGUAGUGCAGCAAGGCUGGUGCUUUUUUUAGCAUUGGCCAACCAUUUUUUUUAUUAGAGAUAGUAAGUAUCAAUUGAAAGGUGAUCUUAGAAUAUAGAGGCGAUGCAUUAGCAGUACCUUCUAUGGGCAGCCAAUCCACGUAAAUUGGAUAAAAAUUGGUUCAUUCUGGACUUGAAUUAAGGAUAGACUUCUACAUCUUUCUAGUAAAAACACAAUGCAAGCCUGUUAAUAGUAGACUCAAGGAAGCAUCAAUACAUAUAAUUUGUUAGAUUUUUUGUAUGAUGGUGGUAAUUUUUUUAAAAAAACAAAGGGAUUUCCCCCGCUCCAUUUUAUUGAUGAAGUAGAUAGAAACCAACAAGCCAACUCCAGGCAAAAGCCCUUACAAACCGAACACUACUCCUACCCAGAAGCAGACCAAAACCUACUCCACCUGAGCACUACCAGCACACAUGCUAUGAUAAAAGUUCAGACUGCAGUAUUAGUAGUUCGAUAACUCUUACUUUUAUUACAACACCCCUACUGAAUAGCAAAAAAAAACAAGUAUUUGCUGCACGUCUUAACUAAUACAAAUACACCUAAAAUACAUAAUACCCUAGCAGAAAUCUGAGCCUAAGAAACAUACUAUUUGCCGACUUUUGGUAUGUUUCAGACUUUGAUUUAGGACAUUCCUAAACAUACCCAUUCAUCUACAAAAUUGCAUAAAAUUGACAAGCAUGCAUGGAUACAUGAACCUUCAUUUUGACAGUCUUGAUGGUCUUGUGAAUGCCUCAGCAUGAGAACUAAAUCACUCUAGCAGAUUAGUGCCAAACCUACCACGCUUGUCCGUAGGCACAGGCCAACAAGCAGAUCACAAUGAUAGUUAGAUAGUGGUAGGUGGGCAGAGAGAAGAUCAGAUCGACCCACCCAAGGAAGCAAAGCCAGCUAAUCCAUGGCGAAAGCGGAGGUGCACGUGCUGGAGCGGACUCGUGUGGCGCCGGCGCUAGGGACGCUGUGUCUAGAGCUCCACAUCACCUACUUCGACGACGUGGGCUGGCUCUUCACAGACCCUGUCGAGCGCCUCUUCUUCUACCGCCAGGUCGACCCGGCCGCUGCGUUCCCGCUGCCCGUUCCCUUCCCUCCGAACACGCUCGCCCGCUUCCUCCCGCUCGCCGGCGCCCUCACGGCCGUGUCGGCUGGCUCUUCACGACCGAGCCCGUCGUGUCCCACACGGCGGCCUCCACUGUAUGGAGGAGAGGGACCCCUCCGCCGACGACACAGGCAGAUCGGGUUGAGUCCCGCUCAGCCGCCGCUUCUCGACGGAGGAGAGGAACCCCGCUGCCGACGUAGGCCAAGCCCCCUGCGUCUCGCGCCGCCGCCACUGCCGCCGCUGCCUCUGCUCGACGAAGGAGAGGAUACAGGCCGCCGACAAAGGCUGAGCCCGCUGUAUCUCACGUCGUAGCCACUGCUUGAGGGAGGAGAGGGACCCCGGCGGCGGCUAGGAGGGGAGAGGAGGGAGGGAUGGGUACGAUGGAGGCGGGGCAGGACGAAAGGCGGGCUCUCCUUUUUUUUGACGGGCGGAUGUCAGAGUUUUGGUCCGCCGGAAAAAUUGCUAAGCGUAUUUUCGGUGAGGUGAGUUGUUAUGAUAACGAUUAGAUCUAAAUGAGUGGGUUUGAUCAUGAGGCUCUAAUUGAUUUAAGGUGUUGUGUGUACAUUAGAUGGGGUGUGUUUAGGGAAUAAAAUGUUCUCUUGUUUAAUAGUAGUAUAGAUGUAGACAGGCAUGUUAUUUACUUCUGGGAAGAAGCUGCUAGAAUUGCCAAACCUAAUAAAAAGGAUAAACACAGAUCUGUUGUUGGCAUGCCCGUUGUCUCAGUUAAAAUAGGGAUCACUGUUAUCAUGGUUUAUGUGACAUAGAUGCUAGCGUGAGUGCUAUUCCCUACUCCUUAUAUCAAGAAAUUAUGAAUGACAUAGCACCCGUAGAGCUAGAGACACAGAUGUUACUAUUAUACUUGCUAAUAGAGAUAUUAUAUCACCAAUUGGAAUUGUUAGAGAUGUUGAAGUCUUGUGUGGGAAAAUAAAAUACCCUACCAAUUUUCUUGUUCUUAGUUCCCCACAAGAUGACUUUUGUCCAAUUAUCUUUGGUAGACCUUUCUUGAACAUCGUUAAUGCUCGAAUAGAAUGUGAGAAACAAACUGUCGGUGUUAGUUUUGGUGAUGAGUCUCAUGAGUUUAAUUUUUCCAAAUUUAAUAGCAAGCUUCGUGAAAAAGAAUUACCUAGUAAGGAUAAAAUAAUUGGUCUUGCUUCUAUUGUUGUGCCUCCUAAUGCUCCACUAGAACAAUAUUUUCUAGUCAGCAUGUAAUUGUGUGUAACUCUUUGUAUAUUUAGCAUUAUUGCUAAAAAGUAUAAGGACGUGGCUCGCGGGCGCACAGGCGCCCGAUCGCAGCCCCGAGCGCUCUCCCAAAAAAGGAAGGAGCCACCCGCGCGCGCGACCAGACAGCUAGAAACGUAAAGCAGGCCCCCGCGCGUGAAACCGACCAACCCAAGCCCGCGCGAAUCACGUGCGCGCCCCGAUCACACUUGGUCCCCCCUGGCCCCCGCUUCCUUGCACCCGCCGUCCCCAGGCUUUAGUCCCCACCCCCUCCCUGCACCCCCGCCCAUGCUCCCCCUUGCGGACGCCUCACGCAACCCCCUCCUCCUUUUCCUUGAAGGAAAAGCCCACGGACGGGUCCCCUUCUUCCUCCUUGCUCCUGCCUUUCCUCCUCUAAACAAGAUCUGCCCCAUCUAUGGCAUCUUGAAGAACAAAGCCGAUGCAGGAACACCUCCUUCCUCCUCCUUGCUCCAAAAAUCAGAUCUGGAGAGAAAAAACCAGACCUACCUGCCCCUAAAAAGGUAAGCACCACCUCCACCCGACUCCUCUCUCUUCCCUACUCAACCACCCCUGCCCUUCCCUGCUUGAAUGUCAACUAGUCCAGUUUUAGUUUGUUCUUUUGUUCUCGUGAAAAAAGCAACUAUAGUGGGAACACCAGUACGCAUCUUGAGCAACUAUUAUGAUACAAAAAAGCAACACCAGUACAAAAAUAGAGCAACUCUAGUGGGAAAGAAAAUGCAGGACCAUUGCGUUUGUGCAGGUGCAUUGCAACACGAAACCUACUUGGCUUUCUUUCCUAUCCUAUUAUAAGGUGCUUGGGAUUCAUGAGCAACCCUGAUCAAGAAAAGUAACCUGACAACUCGAACAAUUAACUGAAGCAACUAUGUUCAUUUUUGAAGCAACUCUGGUAAAAAAAAGAGCUGUGCAACCGUAGCUGUUCAGAAAUUCUAGAGUUGCCUCUACCAGAUGUAAGAACAUGUCAACUCUAGUACUAAAACACAUGCAACUUCCCUGUGCAUUAAAGCAUGAACUAUCAAGAACAUAAAAACUCAAGUUAUAGACAGAGGUAGAAAGUAUUAACUUGCAUGUGUUAACGCGCAGCUUUUGCUAUAUCAGUAUGGUUCUCGCUAAAAAGAAGACACAAACGACAAACGCACAAAACAAAGGUUGCGUCAUAAAAACAGAUUCAAACAAUCCCACACUAUAAUUUGCUACAUUCCAUAUGGUCUCACUAAAAAAAUAAAAAAUACAUAAACUACACCAAAUGAUAGGCCUCCUGCUCCUGGUAAGCUCUCUGUCAGAUAUGCACAUUGGUUGUUUCUUUCCCAUUGCUACCUCUUCAGCACUGCGUUGGAUUUCCCCGAAGAGGAGAGGAUGAUGCAGCAAAGUAGCGUAAGUAUUUCCCUCAGUUUUUGAGAACCAAGGUAUCAAUCCAGUAGGAGACCACGCACAAGUCCCUCGUACCUACACAAAACGAUAGCAACUCGCAACCAACGGUUAGGGGUUGUCAAUCCCUUCACGGUCACUUACGAGAGUGAGAUCUGAUAGAGAUAAUAUUUUUGGUAUUUUUGAUAGAUAGAUGCAAAGUAAAAAGUAAAAGGCAAAGUAAAAACAAAGCAAGUAAAUAAAGUGAUAGAGAUUGAUAUGAUGAGAAUAGACCCAGGGGCCAUAGGUUUCACUAGUGGCUUCUCUCAAGAGCAUAAGUAUUCUACGGUGGGUGAACAAAUUACUGUUGAGCAAUUGACAGAAUUGAGCAUAGUUAUGAGUAUAUCUAGGAAAUGAUCAUGUAUAUAGGCAUCAUGUCCAAACAAGUAGAUCGAAACGAUUCUGCAUCUAAUACUAUUACUCCACUCAUUGACCGCUAUCCAGCAUGCAUCUAGAGUAUUAAGUUAAAACAGAGUAACGUCGUAAGCAAGAUGACAUGAUGUAGAGGGAUAAACGCAUGCAAUAUGAUAAAAAAACCAUCUUGUUAUCCUCGAUGGCAACAAUACAAUACGUGCCUUGCUGCCCCUUCUGUCACUGGGUCAGGACACCGCAAGAUUGAACCCAAAGCUAAGCACUUCUCCCAUUGCAAGAACUACCAAUCUAGUUGGCCAAACCAAAAAGGAUAAUUCGAAGAGACUUGCAAAGAUAACUCAAUCAUACAUAAAAGAAUUCAAAGAAGAAUCAAAUAUUUUCCAUAGAUAAUACUGGAUCAUAAACCCACAAUUCAUCAAUCUCAACAAACACACCGCAAAAAGAAGAUUACAUCGAAUAGAUCUCCACGAGAGAGGGGGAGAACAUUGUAUUGAGAUCCAAAAAGAGAGAAGUCAUCUAGCUACUAGCUAUGGACCCGAAGGUCUGAAGUAAACUACUCACACUUCAUCAGAGGGGCUAUGGUGAUGAUGUAGAAGCCCUCCAUGGUGGAUGCCCCCUCCGGCGGAGCUCCGGAACAGGCCCCAAGAUGGGAUCUCGUGGAUACAGAAGGUUGUGGCGGUGGAAUUAGGUUUUUGGCUCCUGUUUUGAUCGUUCGGGGAUACGUAGGUAUAUAUAGGAGGAAGGAGUACGUCGGUGGAGCUCCGAGGGGCCCACGAGGUAGGGGGGCGCGCCCAAGGGGGGCGCCCUCCACCCUCGUGACCUCCUCGGAGACUUCUUGGAGUAGGGUCCAAGUCUCCUGGAUCACGUUCGGUUGGAAAAUCACGAUCCCGAAGGUUUCAUUCCGUUUGGACUCCGUUUGAUAUUCUCUUUCUUCGAAAUACUGAAAAAGGCAAAAAACAGUAAUUCUGGGCUGGGCCUCCGGUUAAUAGGUUAGUCCCAAAAGUAAUAUAAAAGUGGAAAAUAAAGCCCAAUAUAGUCCAAAAUAGUAGAUAAAGUGGCAUGGAGCAAUCAAAAAUUAUAGAUACGUUGGAGACGUAUCAGGCAUCCCCAAGCUUAAUUCCUGCUCGUCCUCGAGUAGGUAAAUGAUAAAAAAAGAAUUUUUGAUGCAGAGUGAUACUUUGGCAUAAUUUCAAUGUAAAUCUUCUUAAUUGUGAUAUGAAUAUUUAGAUCUGAAAGAUUCAAGACAAAAGUUCAUAUCGACACAAAAAUAAUAAUACUUCAAGCAUACUAAUCAAAGCAAUCAUGUCUUCUCAAAAUAACAUGGCAAAAGAAAGUUCAUCCCUACAAAAUCAUAUAGUUAGGCUAUGCUUCAUUUUCGUCACACAAAGAUGUUCCCAACUUCUAUACCCCCGAUGACAAGCCAAGCAAUUGUUUUAGACUCCAAUAAUCUCAAACUUUUUCAACCUUCACGCAAUACAUGAGCGUGAGCCAUGGAUAUAGCAAUAUGGGUGGAAUAGAAUAUGAUGAUGGGAAUUGUGUGGAGAAGACAAAAAAGGAGAAAGUCUCACAUCAACUAGGCGUAUCAACGGGCUAUGGAGAUGCCCAUCAAUAGAUAUCGAUGUGAGUGAGUAGGGAUUGCCAUGCAACGGAUGCACUAGAGCUAUGAAUGCUCAACAAAAGAAAACUAGUGGGUGUGCAUCCAACUUGCUUGCUCACGAAGACCUAGGGCAUUUGAGGAAGCCCAUCGUAGGAAUAUACAAGCCAAGUUCUAUAAUGAAAAAUUCCCACUAGUAUAAAAAGACAACUUAUGAGACUCACCACAUGAGGAACAAGGUGCUACUUUGAAUCACAAUAUAUGAGACUCACUACAUAAAGAACUAGGUGCUACUUUGAAGCACAAGUGUGGAAAAAGAGAUAGUAGCAUUGCCCUUUUUUAUUUUCUUUUUUUCUUUUUUUUAUUUUCUUUUUUUUUGGGCCUUUUUUUGGCCUUUCUCUUUUUUUUAUUUGGGCAAUGCUCUAAUAAUGAUGAUCAUCACACUUCUAUUGAUUACAACACAAGGAUUACAACUCGAAACUUAGAACAAGAUAUGACUCUAUAUGAAUGCCUCCAGCGGUGUACCGGGAUGGUGCAAUGAAUCAAGAGUGACAUGUAUGGAAAAUAAUGCAUGGUGGCUUUGCCACAAAUACGAUGUCAACUACAAGAUCAUGCAAUGGCAAUAUGACAAAAGUAAUAUAUGUCAUGAUGAUGAUGGUGGAAGUUGCAUGGCAUUAUAUCUCGGAAUGGCUAUGGAAAUGCCAUGAUAGGUAGGUAUGGUGGAUGUUUUGAGGAAGAUAUAAGGAGGUUUAUGUGUGAUAGAGUAUAUCGUAUCACGGGGUUUGGAUGCACCGGCGAAGUUUGCACCAACUCUCAAGGUGAGAAAGGGCAAUGCACGGUACCGAAGAGGCUAGCAAAGGUGGAAAGGUGAGAGUGUGUAUAAUCCAUGGACUCAACAUUAGUCAAAAGAACUCAUAUACUUAUUGCAAAAAUUUAGAAGUCAUCAAAAAAAUUCAAGUACUACGCGCAUGCUCCUAGGGGGAUAGAUUGGUAGGAAAAGACCAUCGCUCGUCCCCGACCGCCACUCAUAAGGAUGCACAAGCCAGGUACACUUCAUGUUUCAAAUUUGUUACACAACUUUAACCAUACGUGCAUGCUACGGGACUUGCAAACUUCAACACAAGUAUUUCUUAAAUUCAUAAUCACCCAACUAGCACGACUUUGAUAUUAUCACCUCCACAUCUCAAAACAAUUAUCAAGCAUCAAACUUAUCUUAGUAUUCAACGCACUCAAAAGAAAGUUUCACAUAUCUUGAACACCAAGUAUAUUAACAUUAGGCAAUUUACCAUGCUAUUAAAGACUCUCAAAAUAAUCUAAGUGAAGCAUGGGAGAUCAAUAGUUUCUUUAAAACAAAUCCACCACCAUGCUCUAAAAGAUCUGAGUGAAGUACUAGAGCAAAAACUAUCACGCUCAAAAGAUAUAAGUGAAGCACUAUGAGCAAAACUAUCAAGCUCAAAAAAUAUAAGUGAAGCACUAUGAGCAUUCUAACAAAAUCCAAUUCAUGUAUGGCUCUCUCAAAAUAUGUGUACAGAAAGGAUGAUUGUGGUAGACUAACAAGCAAAGACACAAAUAAUACAAGACGCUCCAAGCAAAACACAUAUCAUGUUGGUGAAUAAAAAUAUAGCUCCAAGUAAAUUACCGAUGGAAGUGGACGAAAGAGGGGAUGCCUUCCGGGGCAUCCCCAAGCUUUGACUUUUUGGUGUCCUUGGAUUAUCUUGGGGGUGCCAUGGGUAUCCCCAAGCUUAGUCUCUUGCCACUCCUUGUUCCAUAAUCCAUCAAAAGAAUUCACCCAAAACUUGAAAACUUCACAACACAAAACUCAACAGAAAUCUCGUGAGCUCUGUUAGAGAAAGAAAACAAAAGACUACUUCAAGGUACUGUAAUUAACUCAUUAUUUAUUUAUAUUGAUGUUAAACCUACUUUAUUCCAACUUCUCUAUGGUUUAUAAACUAUUUUACUAGCCAUAGAUUCAUCAAAAUAAGCAAACAACACACGAAAAACAGAAUCUGUCAAAAAUAGAACAGUCUGUAGCAAUCUGUAACUAACGCAAACUUCUGAAACUCUAAAAAUUCUACAAAAAUAGGAAGUCCUGGACAAUUUGUUUAUUGAUCAGCAGUAGAAAGAAUCAACGCAAAAGCAAGUUCCUGUGAUUUAUCAUAACUAAAUUCGUGCGUGCAAAGUUUCUGUUUUUCAGCAGAAUCAAAUCAACUAUCAUCGUAGGUUAGCCUAUAGGUUCUACUUGGCACAAACACUAAUUAAAACAUAAAACCUCAUCCAAACAGAAGGUAGAUGGAUUAUUUAUUCCUAAACAGAAGCAAAAACAAAAAACACAAAACACAAAAUAAAAUUGGGUUGCCUCCCAACAAGCGCUAUCGUUUAACUCCCCUAGCUAGGCAUAAAAUCAAGGAUAGAUCUAGGUAUUGCCAUCUUUGGUAGGCAAUCCAUAAGUGGCUCUCAUGAUAGAUUCAUAUGGUAAUUUUAUUUUCUUUCUAGGGAAGUGUUCCAUACCCUUAUUUAAGGGUAAUUGGAAUCUAAUAUUCCCUUCCUUCAUAUCAAUAAUUGCACCAAUCGUUCUAAGGAAAGGUCUACCAAGAAUAAUAGGACAUGAAGGAUUGCAAUCUAUAUCAAGAACGAUAAAAUCUACGGGCACAUAAUUCCUAUUUGCAACAAUAAGAAGAUCAUUAAUUCUUCCCAUAGGUUUUUUAAUAGUAGAAUCCGCAAGAUGCAAGUUUAGAGAGCAAUCAUCAAAAUCACGGAAAUCUAGCAAAUCACAUAAAGUUUUGGGAAUAGUAGAGACACUAGCACCCAAAUCACACAAAGCAUGAAAAUCAAAAUCUUUAAUUUUAAUUUUAAUAGUAGGUUCCCAUUCAUCAUAGAGUUUUCUAGGGAUAGAAACUUUCAACUCAAGUUUUUCUUCAUAAGAUUGCAUCAAAGCAUCAACAAUAUGUUCAGUAAAGGCCUUAUUUUGACUAUAAGCAUGAGGAGAAUCUAGCACGGAUUGCAACAAGGAAAUACAACCAAUAAAAGAGCAAUUUUCAUAAUUAAAUUCCUUGAGAUCCAAAAUAGUGGGUUUAGCAACAUCACUAUUUUUAUUUAUUUCAAUCCCACUUUCAUCAAUUUCAUCAUCAGGAUCUAGAAACUCCGAAUUCUUAGAACGCCUUCUAGGUAAAGGAAGAUAAUCUUCAGAUUCAUCAAGAUUCAUAUUGCAAAACAAAGAUUUAAUGGGGGACACUUCAAUAACUUUUAGAUCUUCAUCUUGAUUUUCAUAGGGAUUGGAAGAACAUGCUUUAAUAAAGGCAUCUUUGCAAGCACGCAUCCUAGCGGUUCUUUCCUUGCACUCAUCAAUGGAAAUUCUCAUGGCUUUGAGAGACUCAUUGAUAUCAUGCUUAGGAGGAAUAUAUCUAAGCUUUAAAGAAUCAAUUUCAAGAGAAAUUCUAUCAACGUUCCUAGCCAAAUCAUCAACUUUAAGCAAUUUCUCUUCAAGCAAAGCAUUAAAAUUCUUUUGUGAAUUCAUAAACUCUUUAACACUACUCUCAAAUUCAGAGGGCAUCUUAUUAAAAUUUCCAUAAGAGUUGUUGUAGGAAUUUCCAUAAUCAUUAGAAGGAUUACUAGGAUAAGGCCUAGGAUUAAAAUUCCCUCUAUAAGCGUUGUUUCCAAAACUAUUCCUACCAACAAAAUUCACAUCCAUAGAUUCAUUAUUAUUCUCAAGCAAAGUAGAUAAAGGCAUAUCAUUGGGAUCAAGAGGAGUAUUUUUAGGAGCAAACAUCUUCAUAAGUUCAUCCAUCUUUUCACUCAAAACAUUGAUUUCUUCUAUAGCAUGCACUUUCUUACUAGAAGAUCUUUCGGUGUGCCAUUGAGAAUAAUUAACCAUAAUAUUAUCAAGCAAUUUGGUAGCAUCCCCUAACGUAAUUUCCAUAAAAGUGCCUCCCGCGGCCGAAUAUAAAAGAUUUCUAGAAGCAAAAUUCAAUCCGGCAUAAAAAAUUUGUAUGAUCAUCCAUAAAUUCAAACCAUGAGUAGGGCAAUUGCGAAGCAUUAAUUUCAUUCUUUCCCAAGAUUGGGAAACAUGCUCAUGAUCAAGUUGUUUAAAAUUCAUGAUGUCGUUCCUAAGAGUGAUAAUCUUAGCGGGAGGAAAAUACUUAGAGAUAAAAGCAUCUUUGCACUUGUUCCAAGAAUCAAUACUAUUUUUAGGCAAAGAUGAAAACCAAACUUUAGCACGAUCUCUAAGUGAAAAUGGAAAUAACUUCAAUUUGACAAUAUUGUUAUCCGUAUCUUUCUUCUUUUGCAUACACACAUAUCAACAAAAUUGUUUAGAUGAGUAGCGGCAUCUUCACUAGGAAGGCCGGCGAAUUGAUCUUUCAUAACAAGAUUCAACAAAGCGGUAUUGAUUUCACAAGACUCAUCAUUAUUAAGAGGAGAAAUCGAAGUACUAAGGAAAACAUUAUUAUUGGUAUUCGAGAAAUCACACAAUUUGGUAUUAUCUUGCGCCAUGGCAACAAGUAAUCCAACACACAAGCAAACAGAAAGGCAAAGGGAAAAAGGCAAACGGGAAAUAGAGGAGGAGAUUGGGAAAGAGAGGGCAAAUAAAACGGCAAGGGUGAAGUGGGGGAGAGGAAAACGAGAGGCAAAUGGCAAAUAAUGUAAUGCGAGAGAUAGGGAUUGCGAUGGGUAUUUGGUAAAGUUGACUUGCUUGCGUGAGCCUCCCCGGCAACGGCGCCAGAAAUUCUUCUUGCUACCUCUUGAGCAAUGCGUUGGAUUUCCCCGAAGAGGAGAGGAUGAUGCAGCAAAGUAGCAUAAGUAUUUCCCUCAGUUUUUGAGAACCAAGGUAUCGAUCCAGUAGGAGACUAUGCACAAGUCCCUCAUACCUACACAAAACGAUAGCAACUCGCAACCAACGCUUAGGGGUUGUCAAUCCCUUCAAGGUCACUUACGAGAGUGAGAUCUGAUAGAGAUAAUAUUUUUGGUAUUUUUGAUAGAUAGAUGCAAAGUAAAAAGUAAAAGGCAAAGUAAAAACAAAGCAAGUAAAUAAAGUGAUAGAGAUUGAUAUGAUGAGAAUAGACCCGGGGGCCAUAGGUUUCACUAGUGGCUUCUCUCAAGAGCAUAAGUAUUCUACGGUGGGUGAACAAAUUACUGUUGAGCAAUUGACAGAAUUGAGCAUAGUUAUGAGUAUAUCUAGGCAAUGAUCAUGUAUAUAGGCAUCACGUCCAAAACAAGUAGAUCGAAACGAUUCUGCAUCUACUACUAUUACUCCACUCAUCGACCGCUAUCCAGCAUGCAUCUAGAGUAUUAAGUUAAAAACAGAGUAACGCCGUAAGCAAGAUGACAUGAUGUAGAGGGAUAAAUUCAUGCAAUAUGAUAAAAACCUCAUCUUGUUAUCCUCGAUGGCAACAAUACAAUACGUGCCUUGCUGCCCCUUCUGUCACUGGGUAAGGACACCGCAAGAUUUAACCCAAAGCUAAGCACUUCUCCCAUUGCAAGAACUACCAAUCUAGUUGGCCAAACCAAAAAGGAUAAUUUGAAGAGACUUGCAAAGAUAACUCAAUCAUACAUAAAAGAAUUCAGAGAAGAAUCAAAUAUUUUCCAUAGAUAAUACUGGAUCAUAAACCCACAAUUCAUCGAUCUCAACAAACACACCGCAAAAAGAAGAUUACAUCGAAUAGAUCUCCACGAGAGAGGGGGGAACAUUGUAUUGAGAUCCAAAAAGAGAGAAGAAGCCAUCUAGCUACUAGCUAUGGACCCGAAGGUCUGAAGUAAACUACUCACACUUCAUCGGAGGGGCUAUGGUGAUGAUGUAGAAGCCCUCUGUGGUGGAUGCCCCCUCCGGCGGAGCUCCGGAAUAGGCCCCAAGAUGGGAUCUCGUGGAUACAAAAGGUUGCGGCGGUGGAAUUAGGUUUUUGGCUCCUGUUCUGAUCGUUCGGGGAUACGUAGGUAUAUAUAGGAGGGAGGAGUACGUUGGUGGAGCUCUGAGGGGCCCACGAGGUAGGGGGCGUGCCUAGGGGGCGCGCCCUCCACCCUCGUGACCUCCUCGGAGACUUCUUGGAGUUGGGUCCAAGUCUCCUGGAUCACGUUCGGUUGGAAAAUCACGAUCCCGAAGGUUUCAUUCCGUUUGGACUCUGUUUGAUAUUCUGUUUCUUCGAAAUACUGAAAAAGGCAAAAAACAGCAAUUCUGGGCUGGGCCUUCGGUUAAUAGGUUAGUUCCAAAAGUAAUACAAAAGUGGAAAAUAAAGCCCAAUAUAGUCCAAAACAGUAGAUAAAGUAGCAUGGAGCAAUCAAAAAUUAUAGAUAUGUUGGAGACGUAUCACCCAUCAUCAAAAGUUGUAAUCUGCUGCUGAAAAAAGGCACAAAUGAAUCAGCGCAUGUCGUGUAAAAACAAAUCUUUGCUGUUGUAUAUGUGUGUCAUACUGUUAGAAACAUAACACAUAUAAGAAAACAAGAAGAAACAGGAAAUUUUUGAGGAAAAAGAAGAUAUGAAUUGCCUCUGUUUAACUUUAUAGUUGCCCAAACAAGUGUUUAUAGUUGCUCCUUUAUAUUCUACAACUAGUUUGUUCAUAAAAGGUCAUGCAUGCUUUUGUGGUGGGUUAACACACAAUUUGUUGCAGGUUGAUUGUUCAUGAUGAUUGAUCUGAAUGAACCACCGCUUGACGUAGAGUCCAUCAACAUUUCAGUCGAGUUGAGUGCACCCUUCUUGCAUGCAGGGGGUGAAUAGGAACAUCAACAACUGGAGGAGGAGGUUGGUGAGCCUCCUGACCCCAAUGUUGGAUCUAACACUACUCAUGUCUCGGACAAUCGUGUUGCCGCUCCCCCACCUAUGGUUGCUCCUGCUAAUGCUUUAGUUCAUGAGGCACAUGAGUUGGAAGAUGAAGAAGCUGGAUCACAGCCACAACAACCUUAUGUUGGCAUGCGCUUCGACACAUUAGAGGAUGCGAGGGAACACUACAAUCGCUAUGCUUUGAUGGAGGGCUUUUCAAUCAAGUCAAAUACGUCUUACACGUCGGCCUACACAAGUGUGGUGGAAAAACAGCAAUUCUGGUGUAACAAGUUCCGCAAACCAGUCGAGAGGGUUGGGAUCCCGGAUGUUCCCUCGUCGAGAAAAAACACUACAUGUCCAAGCUCACCUGAACAAGAUCUUGAAGAUGAUGUCGAGGAACACACUUUCAAGCAGAAGAGGAAACGGGAAACUGUGAAGAAAAGAAAAUGUCGUGCUAAGAUGGUGGUGAAGCUUAAAGAUGACAGAUGGGAGGUUAUCACUUUUAUUGCAGAUCAUAACCAUCCACUGAUUGAGAAGCCAUCGCUUUCGAAAUACCUCCGUUCUCACCAAGGAAUCCCACCGGAACAGAAAAAACUACUGACUCACCUAAAUGACUGCAACUUGACAGCAGGAACAAAACUCACAUUGCGUUAAGUCUUUUUACCACAGAACUGUUACUUAUUCCUGCAUCAAGUACCUUGACCUGAGCCAACUAUGUUCAUUUUUUAUGCAACCAUGUUCAUUUUUUGUGCAACUCUAGUAAUUAAAAAAAUCAUGACCCAAAAUCGAAACACCUUGGUGUUGCCUAUUCCUACCUCAACUACUUGGGUUUGUUUCCUAUCCUAGUAUAAGCUGCUUAGGAUUCAUGGGCAACCCUGAUCAGGGGGAAAAACUGGCAACUUGAAUAGUAAACUAAGGCAACUAUGUUCAUUUUUCGUGCAACUCUGAAAAUAAAAUAAAAGACAUCACCCAUCAAAAAACAAAACUUGGUUGGAUACAGGCUUGGUUCUUGUUCUGCUUAUGCAUAAUUGUUACUUUAUGUUAUCUAUAAAAAACAUGUUGCUCGCUGCAUUGUGGUUAGUUAUUCCUGAAAAAAACAAGUUUCUGUUUUUUAUGGCAGGAAAAAUGAUGAUGUUAAUGUCAUCAUACUACGGCUCGGAGUUGAUUGUUCCAUACACAGCUAAAGCCAUCCAUAACCACCGUUCGAAGCUCAAUGCCCCAACUAAAGACAUUGACAUUGAAGAAACACUAAACUACUUUUGCAAGGUGAUGGAAAAUGACCCAGGAUUUUUCUUUAAAUGCAAGAUAGAUGCGGAAGGCAAGACAGAAAACUUGUUUUGGGUGGAUGGUGCGGCACGGAAAGCAUACGCGGAGGCUUGUCAUGAUUGCGUGUCAUUUGAUGCAACUUACCUCAUGAACAUGUACAAUAUGCCGUUUGCCCCCUUCAUUGGAAUCAACAGACAUGGGCAGUCAAUAAUGCUCGAGUGUGGAUUUGUCCGGCAGGAACUAGCCUCAAGUUAUGACUGGUUGUUUGAUGCUUUCCUAGAAGCAAUGGAUGGUUUGGCUCCGGACAACAUCAUCACGGACCAAGAUGUUGCUAUGGCACAAUCUAUCAAGAGGAAGUUCCCGGCAACGAUUCACCAUUGCUGCCGUUGGCAUAUAAUGAAGAAAGCACAAGAGAAGCUUGGCCCUGUGCUGGCUAGGAACCCGGAUUUGGUAAAAGACUUCAAUGAAUGCAUUGACUUCAGUUUCACCCCGACUGAGUUUGAAAGGAAAUGGGCUGCACUUCAAUUGAAAUAUGAAGGUCUUAUGCAUGGUCACUUUGAGAAACUCUAUGAAGAUCGGGCUACAUGGGUGCCGUGUUACUUCAGAUUCAGGUUCUUCCCUUUCCUUCAGUCAACGCAACGCAACGAAGGGUUCAAUGCUAUGUUGAAGCGCUAUGUGAACCCACACAAGUCAAUUCUCAACUUCGUCAAGCAAUAUGAGAAAAUUCAGGUACACAUACUCGUGAGGGAGGGCGGGAACGACUACCGGACAGAGCAUCUAGAGGCACAAAGAUGGUCGUGUUUCCCCAUUGAGAGGCAUGCCUACAAAGCAUACACUAGGGACAUCUAUGUGAAGUUUAGAACUGAGUUUCAGAUGAUUGGCCAGUAUGAUGUGCGUCCCGCGUGAAUCAAAUUCUAUUACCUUGAGCCCAAUAUAGAAGAAGUUCUAGGGUAUGUCUCUAGGAAGUACCUAGUCACAGUGAGACCAAAGCCAGCUAUCUACGAUUGUGAAUGUUGCAAGUGGCAUAGGGACGACAUGCUUUGUUGCCAUGUCUUGAAAAUCUUCACACACCUUGGCGUUAAUGAGAUACCUAAACACUACAUCAAGCGCCGCUGGACGCAAGAUGCAGUGCCAAGUGCACCACCGCCACCUAACGAGGGCCCUCCACAUGACUUGCCCGCUGAGUCAGAGAACCAAGUUUGGCAAGUGACUAUGACAAUGGAUUUUGCAAAGCUAGCCAAGAAGGCAAUGACUAGUGAUGAUGCAGCUACUGCAGUUAGGAGGCACAUGAAAGCAGCAGAUAUUGAGGUUACUAUGCUGAAUAAACUAAGGAAUAAGAGGCUAAAGGCAGCCCGGGAAGCGGCUCGUGCUAGGGAAGCAUCAAACCCUAAUGCCCCAAGUACUUCAAACCAACCUCCUGCCCCCUGCUCCUAUGGAUCCACCUCGUUCAGUCACGAAAGGGCGCAGCCGCAGCAAGCGCUUCAAAUCAGCCCUGCAACUACACCCUAAGAAAAAGAACAAGUGCAACAUUUGUGAAUCAAUCGAUCACACUGCUGGGACGUGCCUAGGGAAGCUGAUGUGAUCGUUACCACAUGAAGAUAAUGACCCCCUGGGCUUGCAAAACUAGCGAAAAGUAAGGGAAAAAAUAGCAAACAGUGUCCUGGUAGAUGAAGCAAUUGAGGCCUGGUUUCUGAGCAAAUGUAGAAGGGAAAUCAAGCAACUGCCAGCUUCAAGAAAAAAGCAACGAUGAAAUCAUUUGCAUGGACUUGUUUUAAUUUAUGUGUUUUCCAAGCUUUAAAUUCACAAAUUGGAGACUGUGUGGAGGUAGAUGCUUGACAUUUGUGCUUAUAUUCCUUACUCGUAAAACAUGCAAAAUCCUAUGGACGCUUGUGAUUUAUGCAAACAUGUUAUAGGUGGUUUGGGGCAAACUUUUGUGAGUUUUGUAAUGGAACACAUUAGUAUUCGCAUUUGAUAUUCUCUAAUGGAACACAUUGAUCAGGAAAAAAAUGUACCUAGAUAUUUGUUCACUUGUUGGCCGGUUUGAGGAUCUCCUGCCAUGGAAUCUUGUUCAGGUCACACUUCAGCAUGGAGAUGGUCAUCUUCUUCCUGAUGUUUGGUAUGUCGCUUUGUCCGUAGUUCGAGAGCCACGUCCCGUUCCACAAUAACACGUUCAUCAAUGCAAAUAUGCUACAGUCACCGCUGCAAAAAACCAAAUGUCAAGAAAGCACUUGCAAAAAAAAGCAAACACUACGUCAUAUAACAACAAUAUGUAUUAUGUGGGUUGGUCCUUACGAUACAGUCUGCUUUGGUGCAUCGAUAUCCACAAGCGGGAACUUGUCCAUUGUCUUUGCUUGUUUUGGAUAGUACUUGUCCCACAAUACACGGACUGCAUCUACAAUAGCCCUUGCAACAUCAUCCAGCCUCUUGCUUUUCUUUAACAUCCUCCAUGAGUCAAACACUUCGAACCUUUUGUCCCUCAGAUUGAUGUUGAGUACCUAGUAGUGGUGUGCGCCAUUGGCGUUCUCUGGGUCUAAAUUUUCAAGCACAGGAAUCAUAACCUUCAAGAAGAAAAAACCAUGUCAGCAUACCAAAAAAGACAUCAACUACUGAUAUGUUUUUGGGCAACUCUAUAUGUUUGUAUGAGCAACAUCUCAUAUGAUUUUUAGGAAACUCUAUAGAAUUUUAGGCAACUUCUGGCAUAACUCUCAAAACACUAAAAAACAUCAAAAAACUUUUGACAAUGUGUAUGAAGCUUCUGCAAAAUGGCUUAUCAGGCAACUCAGUGGCUUUUUAUGAGCAACUUAUCAUGUGAUUUCAAGCAACUCCUAUGAUUUCCUGACAUCAGCUUCUAGAAAAAAAAUCUAAGAAAAAACAGAAUAGAGCCUUUUAUCAUGUUUGACAACUAGUAAAAGACAUGGACCAUACCAUGUCUUGCUCAUCCAAACGGUUUGAUUUUUUGAACCUAUCAUGCAGAUCCCUCACAUCUAGAUCGAGCCUUUGAAGCCAAGUUUGUGGAGAAAUGUAGAAUCAGAUAAUAAAGCAACAACUUCAGUGCCAAAAAAUGAAAAAGGAAAAACUGUGGGUUUUUAUUUCUCUUACCGAAAACCUAACAGGCAUGAUUAUUUUCUUGGACCCCACCUGUCUGUUGUACAUGAUUGCUUCAAUCCCUAAUUCAAAGACAUGUGUCUUCAUCCAUCCUGCCUUCCUCAUUGAUUGAGCAAGCUCCUUGAUUGUGCAGAAGUAACCACGAUAGUUUAUGAUUUGCGGCCUGUAGAACAAAUAGAAAGACUCUGUUAAGAAAAAUAACAAUAGGAGAGAUCAUUGCAUGCAAAAAAAGAAAAAAGCAGGAAAAAAAGUGGCUACUGGAACAAACACACACGUUGUAUCAUCACCCUGCGACGUCCUUCUCAUCCCUCCUCCUCCUCCAAGCAACAGAAUCAGUGCAUACACUCUGUUUGUCUCUACAUUGCAUGUGAAAUCCUACCUCAUCUCUACAUUUACAUAUGGUGACCUCUGUGUUGCGGAACGUAGCAGAAAUUCAAAAUUUUCUACGCAUCACCAAGAUCAAUCUAUGGAGUAAUCUAGCAACAAAGGAAAGGGGAGUGCAUCUACAUACCCUUGUAGAUCGCUAAGCGGAAGCGUUCAAGUGAACGGGGUUGAUGGAGUCGUACUCGUCGUGAUCCAAAUCACUGAUGAUCCUAGUGCCGAACGGACGGCACCUCCGCGUUCAACACACGUGCUACCCGGUGACGUCUCCCAUGCCUUGAUCCAGCAAGGAGAGAGGGAGAGGUUGGGGAAGACUCCGUCCAGCAGCAGCACGACGGUGUGGUGGUGGUGGAGGAGCGUGGCACUCCAGCAGGGCUUUGCCAAGCACCGCAAGAGACGAGGAGGGAGAGGGGUAGGGCUGCGCCAAGAGAGAGAUCAAAUCAUGUGUCGGGCAGCCGCCAAACCUCAAGUAUAUAUAGGAGGAGAGGAGGGGCUGCGCCCCCACCUAGGGUUCCCUCCCUAGGGGUGGCGGCAGCCCCCAGAUCCCAUUUGGGUGGCGGCCAAGGGGGGAGAGAGGGGGGCGCACCUAGGGUGGGCCUUAGGGCCCAUCUGGACCUAGGGUUUGCCCCCUCCCACUCUCCCUACGCCUUGGGCCUUGGUGUGGGGGCGCACCAGCCCACCUAGAGCUGGUCCCCUCCCACACUUGGCCCACGCAGCCUUCUGGGGCUGGUGGCCCCACCUGGUGGACCCCCGGGACCCUCCCGGUGGUCCCGGUACGUUACCGAUAGCACCCGAAACUUUUCCGGUGACCAAAGCAGGACUUCCCAUAUAGAAAUCUUUACCUCCGGACCAUUCCGGAACUCCUCGUGACAUCCGGGAUCUCAUCCAGGACUCCGAACAACAUUCGGUAACCACGUACAUCUAUUCCCUAUAACCCUAGCGUCAUCGAACCUUAAGUGUGUAGACCCUACGGGUUCGGGAGACACGUAGACAUGACCGAGAUAACUCUCCGGCUAAUAACCAACAGCGGGAUCUGGAUACCCAUGUUGGCUCCCACAUGUUCCAUGAUGAUCUCAUCGGAUGAACCAUGAUGUCGAGGAUUCAAUCAAUCCCGUAUUCAAUUCCCUUUGUCUAGCGGUAUAGUACUUGCCCGAGAUUCGAUCGUCGGUAUCCCGAUACCUUGUUCAAUCUCAUUACCGACAAGUCUCUUUACUCGUUCCGUAACACAUCAUCCCGUGAUCAACCCCUUGGUCACAUUGUGCACAUUAUGAUGAUGUCCUACCGAGUGGGCCCAGAGAUACCUCUCCGUCACACGGAGUGACAAAUCCCAGUCUCGAUUCGUGCCAACCCAACAGACACUUUCGGAGAUACCCGUAGUGCACCUUUAUAGCCACCCAGUUACGUUGUGACGUUUGGUACACCCAAAGCAUUCCUACGGUAUCCGGGAGUUGCACAAUCUCAUGGUCUAAGGAAAUGAUACUUGACACUAGAAAAACUUUAGCAUACGAACUACACAAUCUUUGUGCUAGGCUUAGGAUAGGGUCUUGUCCAUCACAUCAUUCUCCUAAUGAUGUGAUCCCGUUAUCAACGACAUCCAAUGUCCAUGGUCAGGAAACCGUAACCAUCUAUUGAUCAACGAGCUAGUCAACAAGAGGCUUACUAGGGACAUGGUGUUGUCUAUGUAUCCACACAUGUAUCUGAGUUUCCUAUCAAUACAAUUAUAGCAUGGAUAAUAAACGAUUAUCAUGAAAAGGGAAAUAUAAUAAUAACUAAAUUGUUAUUGCCUCUAGGGCAUAUUUCCAACACUUUGUGAUGGUGGAGAUUUCUGUAUCCUCCUCUCACGCUUCUCAGAAACAGGUUCAUCCGAGCUGCUGGCUGCACCUUUGCUAGAUGAUUUCCCCUUAGCGGUAGUUUUUGCAACUUCGGUUGGCGUGCUGAAACUGGCAGGUGACAUGUGCCCCGCACUCUGACCUACAACAUUUUUCACUGCCCCCUCGACAACUUCAUCGAAGUCCAUAUUGCCCCAGUCAAUUCCCCACUCAAUGUCACCGGUGGCAGCUGCAUUUGCAACCCCCUUAUCCUCUGCUGCCUUGCCCUCCUCACCUGUUAUUCCUGCUGGCUCAUCUAUCCCAAGAUCGAAAGGUGGAGCUGGACAGUAAUCAUCCCACACAGCGCUCCCAGACUUUGAUCUUUGCAGCAAUUGUGCUUCUUCACCUGAAUCGCAUGCUCCUUUGUUUGUUGGUAGAUUGAUGGCAACUGAUGUCCGUAUUACAGGUAUGGUGCCAGCAGAAUUACUCCUCGCGAGCGGUGGCAUCGAACCUGGGCUCACACACUUCUCAAGGAGCUCGUUGAUGUCCCUAACAUCAUCGAAUGAGAUUUCUUUCCCCUUUGCAGAACAUGCUUGCUUGUUGGGAAGUACCGGAGGCUUGUCUGUUGAGUCCUGGGCAGUUGCUUGCUCCUGCUCAGGGGUUGCUUCCUCAAGCAUAGCAGUUGCCUCCGUACUUUGCAUGGGAGGGGCUGCUGAUUCCUGGGCAGUUGCUGCCUGCAUGCUCACUCUGGUUGCCUGAGUUUUUUGCUGAGUUGCUUCAAAAGUAGCACCAGUUGCUCUGUUUUCAGCCUUUGCUGAUUCAGUAGUUUCUCUAUUUUCACUCUUUGUUGAUUCAGCACUUGCUCUGUUUUCAGUCUUUGCUGAUUCAGCAGCUGCUUGUUUUCUCUGUUCAGUUGCUUGCAGAAUAUGAUCAGUUGCUGUGUUUUGCUUCUUUGCUGCUCUUUUCUGGUAAACCUUAUUUUUUGUUGGUGAUGUUGCUUUCUGACUUGUCGCUUCAUCUGUCGGCCUCUGAGCUGUCGGAGCUUGCUGGCUGGUUGUCGUAGUUGCAGCACUUUGAACAACCACAUCCUCUCUUCCUUUUGGAGACAUAACACAGGCCUUAACUGUCUUAUGGCUCACUUUCUUGACCUUCCUUGUGGCAGCCGCUCCAACUCCUCCUGCAAGCUUUCUUUCCUUCUCUUUUUGGUCAAAACUUGGUAGUUCCAACUCAUCUACCAUCGUCUCAGGGCACAAAUCCAUCAUGGAGAAUUUUUCCUUAGUUGCCAUCGCAGGCAUCGGGAAAAGAGGGAUAUCAUGGGUCUCGGGAAUGACCUAUUUCUGUCUGUACUGGGUAUCUCCAAUCCUCACCACAUCUGCAGCUGAAAUGACAGGCCCACUCUGAACCUCACACGACUCCUUUCGCAUGUCCAUCUUAACGAAGCUGCUCUGAAAAAAACUGCCGGCACUUUGGAUGCUUCCUUGUGUGCUCUCGACGGACAUCGUUUCCUAUGCCUCACUUCUUUCCUUGCCAGUGCGCUUGAGUCUCUCCAUGAUGGUACUUAGCGGCACCUCGUCGUCGCAACUGCCCCCACGCCACCCCGAAUUUCGUGCACCUCCCUCAUCAUCACCACCUCCCUUGCCGAGCUGGUCGGUGCUAGCAUUGCCGCCAUUCCCGCCAUCAUCCUUAUCUUCACCCCCCUUCUUCCCACCCCCGCCAUCUUGCUCUGCAUCAUCAUCUUCAUCCUCUCUGCCUUCCUCCUCUUUUUCCUCUUCUUCACUCUUUUCAUCAUCUUGUUUCUCCUCCGAUUCCCCCUCUUUCUUAUCUGGUUCAUUCUCUUCAUCAUUGCCCCCUUCCACAUUUCUCUCCUUCUCUUCGUCCCGUUCCUCUUCAUCAUCCUCCUCCCUGUCCUGCUCUUCAUCUUCAACAUCAUCCUCAUCAUCGUCUUCCUCAUCUCCACCAUCUUCUUCACCAGCAAGGGGCGGCUGUGAGUUGUCAGCGUCCAUGUGCUGUGAAUCAUAUCGUCAUAUUCUGUGGCUGCUAGCAGGCUGCUAUAUGACAGAGCAUCAUCAUCAUAGUCAUCAUCAUCGUCGUCAUCGUCAUUGUUGUCCUCGUCGUUAUCAGAACUCUCCUCUUCAGGACUGUCCUCAUCUUUCCCUUCCUCCUCUUCUUCUUCUUCUGAAGAUUCAAAUUCUUGCUCGUCGGAUUCCUCCUCGUCGUCAUCGGACGCCAAAAGUGUCUCCUUGCACUAACUGCUACUGCCCCUUGUAUUCUUUUGCUUUGCAACCUUCUGCUGUUUCGGACUUGCCGCUGCCUUUUUCUGCCGUGAUGAUUGUCGUAUGCUUGCGACCCUAGAAACACUUGUGCCUGCUGGUUCAACCUCCUCCUCUUCCAACUUGCCCACCCCUUGAACAAACCUCCCAAUUUGGACUGAUAUUUCAGAGCACGUAUCAUGGACCAGCAUUGACAACCUCUUUGUUUCUGCAAAAAUACAAAAAUACAGAACUCGAAAAGAUGAGCAGUCUAUACAACAACAAUGAUAAACGAAAAAAAGCACUCCCUUUCUUAUGAAAAGGGCAAAACCAUGGUGACACUAGAAAAUACAUUGCUGUUGUAGUUUUGAGGAAGCCUCGCAACAACAAACUUCUGGAUGUGAUCCAUGCUCCCAAAAACACUAUCUUCUGCGCAUCUCGAGAACUCGGCUUUGAGUUCUUUGUUGUAAAAAAAUGUACAUGAUAAACUCAGUUAGCAAAAAAGAUCAAACAAAGUUCAAAAAAUAGGAAAUGAAUGAGCAACUGCCUCCCUAACUUAGGGCAAAUACAAGCACUAUUGAUGGCAACUGCAGUUAUGGACAUCACAAAAACCUACAGCACCUACAGCAACCCCUCGAUAAAAAUUGAGCAACUACAGAAACUAUAAAUUAUUGGCAAUUGUUGCUUAAAAAGACUAAUUUAAUUGGACAUGUAUGACUACUUGGAGACAAAAUGAUGAAGAUUGCCAUGUGAAAUUCCAUGUAAAAAAACUAUCAUGAAACUAGCUUCAGAAAAGCAACUAGCUUACUAAAAUUAGGCAACACAAUCCCUAUAGGUGGGCAACUGCAUAAAAAAAUCAAGCAACUACAAAAAAAUCUGUUCAGACAGUAAAGUGAUCUAUACUUGCAGAUUAGGAGAUUGAAUUUGUAGUAGUAAUUCUUGGCCUAUUGGUUUUCCUUUUUUUCCUUUUUGGCUUGGUCGUUCCAUUCAUGUUGUUACAGUCCAGUCCAUUGGGCAAACUGCAAUGUGCCAAGUGGUUUGGGUCUCCCUUCUUGACCAUGAUGAAUGCAUCAUGUGCAACUAUGUAUGUGUCAUGUGUGUAGAGAGAGCAAGAGUCAUCUGUAACAAAUGAUCCAUUUGUUAAAGAAAAGGUAUCAUGUUGAUGAGAGAGAGGUGAGAUGGAUCUGGAAUUUGUUUCAUGUUUAUGGAUAGUUUAGCUCGCGAGACUUGACUUGAUGCACCUAAUACUAACAUGACUAACAUGAUGUCACUUCCAUCUUGGCAUAGUUCCCCUGUUUUGCAUUGCUGCAUAUGCUUGCUAAACUGUGGACCUUUUAAUCACCAGGCCUAGGCUUCCUAAAAUUAGGCAACACAAUCCCUAUAGGUGGGCAACUGCAUAAAAUAAUCAAGCAACUACAAAAAAAUUUUGUUCAGACAGUAAAGUGACACUUACUCGUAACUUUCCAUAGACACCCUUCCUAAUCAUGUCCUUCUUAAUUACUGCUUUGAUCAGACCUUCAUUCCAUGCUUUGACCCUUGGAAGAACAGUUGCCAUCCUCUCAUCCACAUAAUCCUUAUGGACUGUCCUAAAGUCCAGGUCCAGCGAGUCAAGGUAUAGCAGCUGUUUCAAAAAAAUAGAGAACACAUGUCAGUUGCAAAAAAACCUAUCCAACUUCAGCUUGAAACAUAUAACACGAAAUGAAAAACGGAAAAACAAGGGGGGAAGGCCUAGAUCAUUUUACCACUAGGUGGAAAAGGCAGCAGCAUAUAGUAUUCUUCUUGUCUCCAAAACCCAUGAAAGCAAGCCUAAGUUGGUCGACGACAAACUAGCAAACAUUUGAAUUCACAACCUCACGUGGAUUUAGCGCAGCUGAGUAUGUGCGCGGUGACACCUUCAAGCUGGUCGUCGGUGCAAGAAAACAGCUAUAAACAACAACCAGCCAAGCACUUAAGAACUUGUCGUCCGCAACAGCUCCCAUAUCAUUUAUCAUUUUGCACCACUCGGUCACUGAUGGCACGGGCCCUGUCGGGAUGUCGUACAUCUCAUUGAACAACCUAACUACGUCUGGCUCCACUUCAUAUGCAACCUUCCUCUGCCCCCUUGGCAAACCCCAGAUUCUUUCUACGCUUGCUGCAUCAACUGGGAUCUUCCCCCUAUAUGGGAUAACAAGCUGCGACAACUAUGGAUCAUAACACUUCGUCACAAAUUUCACAAGAUCUCCUUUCAUUGUUCUUGUCCCGAUAUCAAGCACACCCCCAAAGCUUAUAUCACCAAUGGCAUCCUUUUGUGUAUCAUCGAGGCCACUGUUUAGGAGAAAAAGUCUUGAAGGUGAUGCCCCGUUCCUCGGUGGUGGCCCACUGCUACCAAUCUGCAUACAAAUUUAAAAAAUGAGCAACCCACUAUAUUAAGCUGAGCAACUCACUGUACUAAACUAAGCAACUAGAUCUAUAAUGAACUGCAACUGUUAGUACUAAACUAGGCAACUGCUACACUCCUAUUCUGCUGCUUAUCAAAAUGAUAGGAGUGCAUAUACAAAAAGAAAAUGCCAUGCUGACUUGAGCGUUACAUAUUCAAGGAUGCCUUCCUUCUUUCAAGUUUUUCAUAAGAAAAAUACCUCAUCCACAACUUUCUUCGCACGUUUUGAAUUUCUCCCUCCUUCAUCACGAGGGCCGGAAUCAGUACCCCAUUUCCCCGCCCGACCACCCCGGGCAGAAUUGGUGUCCCGUUUCCCUGCCCGACCACCACGUACAGGAUCCUGAUUAGCCCGCCUGCGCUUGCGUCCAACAUUACUCCUUGCUGGUUGAGCUGCCACUUCUUCUCCCUCAUUUUCACCAUCAGUUCUACCCGCAUGCCUUUUGCUUUUCGGAGCCAUUCUGUACAAGAAAACACAAAAAAAACAUGUUCAUGAAAACAGAUACAACCAGAUACAAAAGCCCUAUAACUCAACUACUCAAAUGAUAGUGCUUGCAUUUGGAGCUAACAUCACUCAUUUGGAGAUGAACAAAACUCCAUUUAUUCCCUACCCAGAGAUAACUCAACAAUUGAAUUGCUAGUGCUUGCAAAAGCAAAUUGGUAUUGAGAACUAUGCAACUACUCAUUAUUUUGUGGCAACUAAAAAUAAAGCACAUAAAAAAAACUACCAUCACAAAAAGUCACAUGUUCAUCUUCAUCACAUUAGCUAAAAGAUCAAAAAACACUCAGGCUUUGCCGCUUAUUCAUGAGAGAUAUCUCAUCUCCUAUUCAUAGUUGCAAUGAAGGACUGCAGCUCGAUGGUGGAUAUAAGCAAUGUCAUGUUUCAUACAGUAAAUUUAAAGAACACUACAAAAAGGAUAUCAACUUGGUGUUGCAAAUCUAGGCAAUAACUAAAACUAAAAUCAACCAAUCACAAAAACAAUUCCCCCCCCAAAAAAACAGUGCACCCCUAACCCCUCCAUGAACUGCCCAAGUCAGAUGCAUCCCCUGACCCUCCCCCUCGCAAAUUUGUAGGAAAAAACCUAAGAAACUAGCAUCAAAUUUAUGAACAACUACCGACGUAAGAUGCAUCCCCUGACCCUCCCCUCGCAAAAUUUGUAGCAAAAAACUAAGCAACUAGCAUCGAAUUUAUGAGCAACUGCCAUAAAAAAAUGAGCAACUGCCCCCAGUCAGAUGCAUCCCCUUGCCCUACCCCUCCAUUUCACAAAUUACAGGAAAAAUCUAAGCAACUCCAUUGAAAUUAUGAGCAAUUGCGUCUUGAGAAGCAAGCAACAUCGAAUAAACGAAUCCUAUGCGCCAGUCACUAGGAUUUGGUCGCGUGUAUCCCCUUACAACGACUCAAUCCCGCCUACCCCCAGCACAAACCCACCCUCCCCUCCCCUCGCCAUAGCAACGCCACACCCUCCAAAAGCAUUCACGACGCGGAGCCCGAGGACGCCAUGGACAACCUUGUGCCCGCCCCCUCACCGAAACCCUAACUCCAUGGAGCGCAAACAGGGGAGCAGAGCGAGAAAAACAGGGGAGCAGGGGAGGAGGAAAAGCGGUUUACCUCCGCCUGCACGCGGCGACUCGCGGCGCUCGCGGACAGCCUCCCGCACCGGCGACUCCACGCCGGAUCCACCACUGCAGCACCCCGCCUCGCCGCGCCGUUGCUAGAGGAGAGGAAAGGGAGAGGGAGAGGAGUUCGAAUGAAAUCUGUGGGGGGUGCGGGCGGUUUCGAACAAGACGAGCGGGGGUGCGGGCGGGGGAGCGAUUUCGCCUGGAAUAAAGGGGUCGGGCCCACCACUCGCCGCACGUUUCGCGCAAUCCGUAACGGGCACCUGGUCGGGACGAAUCGCGCGCAGACACAUCGCAUCGGACGGCUGUAGUCCGUGCGCUCGCGCCAGCGGACGAGCGCAGCUGCACGAGUCAGACUUUAGGAAAAUAUAAUCUCCAGGGGGUGUGGGACCCUUAUCCCUUUCUCUUCCAAUCAAUUUGUCCCAACUAAGUAAGAAACAGCUCACGAGUGUAGCAUUGCUCAUUUGACGCAGAAACCGUAAAAAAGAAGUAUUUCACGCAGGACUCGCUCAAACCUGAACAAACGGAUGCGAUCGUUUCGAUCGAAGAUCUAACAGACAGAAACUCGCGCUCGGUGGAGGGGGCUUGAGGGUCCUGGUCGUUCACCCGGUUGAAAAGAGAAGAGACGGGAGGUCGGUUCCUUCUGCCUCGUACUACCGCCGUAACCCUAACCCUAACCCCUAGAGCAGAUCCAGCCAGCCGCAGUGCGAGCGUCACCGGCGUCUCCUCCGCCCCCUACCUCAAAAAAGAUAAAGCCGGAGAAACUGGAGGUAGGUUCUUUCCGCCUCGUCGUAACACCCUAAGCCAUACAUCAGAUCUAGCCCGCCGCAAUGCGAGCGUCGUCGGGAUCUCCUCCUAUCCCGACCUCGAAGGGGGAGGGUGUGAUGGAAGUUGAAUCGGAUCAAGAUCAGGAUGAUUGUGAUGUGAUGAUUGAGCCUGCCGCUGCCCUCAGGGGUCUCUAUGCGAUGAUGGUCUCAUGGUGUGACCAAUUCCUUGAUAUUGAUAUUGAUAUUGAGGAGGAAGGGGAUAGAUCCGUUCCUCCCUUGUUGAUGAUCCACUUUCCCCGUG